UACAAAGAAGUUCUAAAAGACUACAAGAAAGAGUUUCCACUAAAGAAAAACAAUGAAACCAUUUCUACUAAAGACAAACAAUGAAACCACAGAUGCUUUGUGAAAUAUGUACCCGCACAAUCCAACAAACUUUAGAAAUUCACAAACACUACCUAGAAUUUUUGCUGACCAGCAAAAAAUUUAUGCAAUUUAAUUCUUAUUGUUAUUAUUAUUUUCAAUGUGAACAAAUAUGAUUGAAUUAUGAAGUAUUUGGCCAGAAGAGGAUCUUGCCUAAUUAUAGUCAUUAAACAACCAUUUAUACCAUAGCCUCUAGACUUUAAAAAGUUUAUAAAACUCAAGGGCUUCCACCCAAUUUCUAGAUAUCUCCAUAACAUUCUUCUGACUAUUAGAAAGCAAUUACCACUUUAAUUUUUCAUUUCAUGAGUGUUCAAUUCAGAAAAAGACCAGGAUCGAACUUGCGAUCAUGCAGUCGAAAAUCCACCUGUGCAUGAAACUAUUGCCUCACGAUUGCAAACUCAAGUUGGAGUCCAGUAACAACUCUAGGUUUGCUGAUGUGCUCCAUUUGAAAUAAAGGAACUAAAGAAUACUUUAUAAAGAUUAAUUACCUUCAUAUUUUAGGUUGGGGUUAAGGCAAAAUGUGAUAGAUUGAGAGGAAGAAAAUAUAUCUUGUUCAGGAAGCCAAUAUUUUGGAGUUCACCUUUCCAUUCGAGUCCACUCUGCUAUAGCAAAAUCAGAGUCACAACUAUGCCUCUUUAAGCUAUCCUUUAAUUGGAUGAAUUGCAGAUUUGGUUGCUGAGAAAGUGGAUAAGAAAGAAAAAUGCAUACUGUAGCUUGAGAUUAAGAGUUUGUUUUCUAAAAUGAGAGAAAGGGAAAGAGAAAAAAUGCAUAUUGUAGCUUGAGAUUAAGGGUUUGUUUUCUAAAAUGAGAGAAAGGGGAAGAGAAAUGUUCGACAACUUUGAGAUGACAAAUUUUUAGAUUUGGAAAAUUUGAGAUGAGUCUCAGGUUUUUUUUUUUUUUUUUUUGUCUUUGUCUUUGUUUUUUUUUUUUUUUUUUGUUUUUUUCCCAAAAACAACCUGUUAAUGUGGUUGUUGACAUAGAAGUGGGUGAGGGCAAAAUGGGCAUAGAAAAAAGAGUCAACACAAAGUGCACAAAACCCAUAUUAUUUUCCACAUUAAUGACUGAUUCUCAUAUUUCUUGUUCUUGGGAUUUGAAAACCAUAUUAUUUGCAAAUGGACCUCCCAAAGCACAGGUUUCCCUUAGUUUUAUGUCUCCAUCUACAUUUUACAUAUAAAUAGAUUAUUUUAUAAAAUUUGUUUUGUAGAUAUAUUAGUUAAUAAUUAUAUAAUUAAUGAUAUAGAAAACAUAUAAAAAUCAUAUUUAAAAAAGAUAAUUACAUAUUCCUCAACAAUCCAUCCCAAGAAUUCGAGGUUGAGUUGAAAACAUGUAGAGUCUUUGAUGUUAUUAUAAUCAUAUCCAACACAUAUGAUUAUUGUUUAUGAGAUAUUAUUAGAAAGUUUGUCUUAAAAUAAUUGAUUUAUUACCCACCUUUAGCAAAUGCCCAUUUUUGCGUCUUUCAAAAUUUUCAUUUUUUUUUUGUUUAAAAGAAGUAUUGUAAAGAAUGAUGAAAUAAGAAAUUUGUUGAGAAAGUGUGAGUAAAUAAUUUUACAUAAAAAGAGAUUUAAUACUUGAUAAAUAAAAUAAUAAAAUCAUGAUUUCUAGUUGUAUAGGGCCGGGUGGAUGGAGUGGCUAAGAUGUAAUUCUUGAAAUAGAGGAGACAACAUCAAUGUAUAAAAGUUUAACAGAGAAGGAAAGUGUGUUUGAAUGACUUUAUUUUCUUCAUUUAAAGUUUUGACGAUGAGUGUUUAUACAAGAUAAAUUUUCAAAUGAUAGGACUCCUAUUUACAUGGAGUUUGUGAUAUACUAUGAUUAUACAAAUUUAAAAUUCAAACAGAUUCAUGAGUUGAUAGGAGUCUGCUCAAUACGCCCCUUCAAAAUGGUGGGAGAUAGCACACCAAUCUUGACUCGAAGGGCCUAAACUCGUGCAGAAGAUGAGGGCUUUGUUAGAGCAUCGACAAGUUGAUCCGUGGUUGACAUAUGGGACACCUUGAGCUCACCUGAUUAAACCUUGUUUCAAACAAAAUGAAAAUCAAUCGCCGAUGUGUUUCAUGGAGAGUGAAACAUGGGAUUUGCACAAAGAUAUGUUGCACCCACGUUAUCACAAGAGAUAGGAGGUGGUGAUAAAUUUGAAACACUAAGUUUUGAGAGAAGAGAAUUAACCCAAAGAACCUUUGAGGCUGUAGAGGCCACGACGUGAUAUUUCGCUUCAGUGGAAGAGCGUGCUAUGAACUUUUGUUUCCUCGAUGACCAAUACACAAGAUUGUGACCAAGAAAAACAAUGGGAGCAUUGGUGGAGGAUCUGACAUAAGGAUUCCUUGCCCAUUCAACAUUCGAAUAUGCAUGUAGAUUGAUGGGCGAUUUCUUAUGCAAGAACAGACCAUGCACCAUUGUGCCGACUAAGUAUCUAAGCAAUCUUUUAACACAAGACCAAUGUGUUGAUGUUGGAUGGUGCAUAAAUUGAGAUAAUUUAUUCAUCAAGAAGGUGAUGUCAGGGCUAGUAAGAGAGAAGUAUUGAAGGCUUCCAACAAUUGACAUAUAUUUAGUGGGACCAGGAAAAGAGGUGUCAUCACACAGAUUUGGAACAUUGUUGAGGAACAUCAAUGAUUGAACUGGUUUGGUAGCCACCAUUUGUGUUUUCUUAAGAAGCUCUCGAAUGUACUUGAGAUAAAAAUAAUCCUUUGGAAGUAUGUAUCAUUUCAACACCAAGAAUAAAAGAUGAAGUCCUGAGAUCCUUAAUGGAGAAUUUGACUGCUAAUUGAGAGAUCACGCGAGCACGAAAAACAUUAUUGUUACUUGUUAAAAUAAGAUCAUCAAUAUAAAUAAGUAGGUAAACAAUGAGACCACUCUUUUUAAAAAUGAAGAGGGAUGUCUCGGUUUAGGAGUUGACGAAGGCUAUUGAGAGGAGAAAUUGGCAAAGUUCAUGAUACCAUGAUCGUGGAGCUUGUUUAAAGCCAUAAAAAGCCUUACAAAGUUGGCAAAUGUGAUGAUGUGUGUAUUCGUGAACCCAGGAGGUUGAAUCAUGUAAACAUCUUCAUGAAGUGUCCUAUGCUAGAAUGCAUUAUUAAUGUCCAAUUCAUGAGUUGAUAGGAGUCUGCUCAAUACAAUGUGGGAGUGUGAUUUCAAAAUUAGGGUAAUUUCGAAAUGGAUUUUGUAUUCACAAGUUGAAUUUCAAAAUUAUUUUGAAAUGGUCUUUUAACUUUAAGCAGUUGUGUUCAAAAGGUCAUAACUUCUUCGUUUCAAUUUUGAUUUACACAUUGUUUAAAACAUUGGACUCUUUACUUCCCGAGCUUCAAAACGAUAUAUAGUAUGCUCAAAAAUGACAUCAGGAUUGGUUCAAAUUUCAUCUUGAUAUUAGAGUACAUGUUGUGAUUAGAUUUUGAGUUCCAAAUUUCCAUGUAAACUUGAUUGCAUUUGCUUCAAACCUCCUUCAUUAUGGUUGCUUGCCCUCUAUCUCACUUUGCAACAUUUGUUACUAGUAUUUUAUGUCCAUGACUUACUCAUUUCAACCUUUCUUGGAUUCUUCAUGGUUCACAAAUUAUGGAUUCUUCAUGGUUCACAAAUUGAGUCUUUCAAUUAUGCAUGUUUAACUCCUAUUUCCUUGGUUGAUAAUGACUUUUACACUUAUCAUUUUCUUUUAUUCUUUAAACCUGAAUUUAGACUUACAAAAAAAAGUUAGAUCCAUAACUAGGGUCUUAGCAUCAAUUUGAGUUAAGUUGGAUGAUUUGAAAAUUUUAUAUUACAUAAAUCAUAUCAUACAUGUGCCAUUGGAGUGCACAUUUUGGCUCUAAUCAUGUUCCAACCCAUUGUUUUACUCUUGCAUGAAGUAUGUGGCCAUUGAUUUUAAUUUUAUUUGCGAUUAGGUUCAAAAUGGUGCUUUUGUGUUGCUCAUGUGUCAUCAGAAGAUCAACUAAUGGAUUCUCUAACAAAACUACUACAUCAUAGUCAUUUUUUUUUUUCUUAAGACCAAGAUUGAGAUCUCCAAUCGGAGCCAACUCCAUCUUGGGGGCAUGUUAGUGAAAGAUAAAAUUUAUCUUUAAUUUAAAUAUUAAUAUUUAUCAGUUAUUAGUUUUAAUUAGAGUAAAAGAUAGAGUUUAAAUUGGAGUAGGAGAUAAACUUGUGUUUGAACUAGAAUAGAAGAUAAAGUAUAAAGAUUUAUGUUUGAAUUAGAAUAAAAUAUAAAGUUUGAAUUAGAGUAGAAGAUAAACUUGUUCUUUAUUUGUAUAUAAAUAUUCAUCAAUUCUUGAGAAGAAGAUUAUUUCAUAGUUUUUCUAUCUUCUUUUUUCUUCAUACAUAUCUGCAAGAAAUUGAAGAUUUCAAGUAAAAUAUUUUCUGUUUUAAAUAGUGAAAAAAGCUAGAAAUUCACUUUGUUAUCUCUUGGGGUAAAUUGACAAGGUUUAACGUUAAGAAGGUGAAUUAUUUUUUCAGAAAAACUGAAGUAGCUAGGAUAUCUGGCCAGUUGUGAUCGAUAAAAAAGUUGUAAAAUCUCUCAUAUACUAAACAGGUUUUGGAUGUUGGUAUGGUAAAUCCAUCUGCAGUCAUUCGUCAUCUCAUCUAGUGAGAUGUUUGGGAGGUGGUGACCGCCGGAUUGGGUUUCAUUUGGUUAAAUCUGUCAGUGGGUUGGCUACUACCCGAGCCUCUUGCUUUGGGGGAGGUGGGUUCUAGAUAUAAUGUUCAAACCAUUUUAGUUAUCAUAUGCAUGACAUGUAAGCAUAAUCUCUUUAUCACUUCUUCAAUGGGAGUUCAUGGUUAGGAAUUGACUUCUUUUCUUCUGGGAUGCUUGGCAUGUAAUGGACAAAGUUACUUUUAUAUCGAUCGAAUUUCUAGUAUUAUAGUGAAGACUUACCCUUUUGACAUUUUAUAUCGAAUUAUAGAAGAUGAAAGGGACAUACAUGCAAUCGACUGACGCUUUAGUGAAUAUGCUGAAAAUAUGCUGAUGCUGUGGAGAUCGUAUGAGGACAGAGGAAAAAGAUAGAAAUGGAUAUAUAAUUAGACCUAGGUUUUUAUUAAAUGAGAUGGGGAACAUAGAGUGAGGGAAAAUCAAAAUUUUUGGCUGCAGUUCACAUUGGUGAUAUUUUGGAUUGACAAAGACUAACGACUUUUCUAUUUUUCUUUUCGGCCUGACUGGAUAGUUGGACAUGGACAAUACAGAAUCCACAGAAGGAUUGUUGGGACCGCUGAAAAUUAGCUAGAAGAAGCUGAGGAAGUAGUCUACGUAGUCAAAUACCAAACACAAAGAAAGAAAGAAAUGGAUAUCAUGGAUGCCUAGAGUUAUACUCCUAAUACCGUCACAGGUAUUUUUCUUUCCUCCUUUUUUUUUCUACGAUAAUUAGAGCAUUUCUCCUCCUCCUCCUCCUCCUCCCCCCACCCCACCACCAAAAAAUAAAAAAAUAAAUUAUUGCAAGUAACACUUCAAAUAUUAAUUUAUACAUUCUAAAGUAUAUAUUCAUGAAAUAACUUGAGUAUCAUACAUUAGUUCUCAAAAAAAAAAAAAAAAAAAAAAAAAAAUUACUGGAAGAGAAAAGUUUAAGAAAACAUAAAAAUAUUCAACUACUAUUUUAAAGAGAAAAUUUAAUUUUUACACUAUAAAUUUGAAGAGAACUUUUACAUGCAUCUUAUAUAAACUACCAUUUUUUGCUAAAAGGCUUAAAUUUGUCAAAAAUACCCCUUAGGUGCUUAACGUUCUGGUCAUAAUAUAAUUGGCAUCUUUUCUCAAACAUAAGGCCUGUGUGUGGGAACAAGAUUUAAUGUUAAUGAGCUUCGCCACCGACAUUUAGUUCCAGAAAUCAUUAUUUUAAUAGAGUGGGCUCAAUUUACAACUUUAAUUAAACUCUAACCAACUGCAUUGUGAAAUGAAUAUGUUUCUUUCGUGGUGAAUCCAAUGAGUUGGGAGUCAAACUUUGCUUCAUUGUGUAUAGAUGAAAUGUUAAGACUCCAUGUAACCUCAAACAUUUCCGCAAUNNNNNNNNNNNNNNNNNNNNNNNNNNNNNNNNNNNNNNNNNNNNNNNNNNNNNNNNNNNNNNNNNNNNNNNNNNNNNNNNNNNNNNNNNNNNNNNNNNNNUUCUUUCGUGGUGAAUCCAAUGAGUUGGAGUCAAACUUGCUUCAUUGUGUAUAGAUGAAAUGUUAAGACUCCAUGUAACUCAAACAUUUCCGCAAUGAGCGGGAGUUCUAAAUUUAAUAAUUGAAAUUGUCAGUGGAACCAGUGGACAAGAGUUGGUUUGUGGUUGACAAACUUAUCCGUUUGAUCUUUACUUGAACAGUUCCAGUGUGUGGAUGGGUACUGAUGAAGUGUGCGCAUUUAUUUUGAGAAGCCUGCUUGUUCGCAUAGAUUUUAACGACAUGAACAUUGUGGUAAGGUUAGAGAGUAAUGCGAAUGUAGGAGCUUAUAUUAGAAAUGACACAAACACGUAAAUAGAAGUAAUCUAUAUAUGAUAUUACUCAUGGACUACAAGCAAAGAAGUACAAUACAUGGAGUAAGUGAUGAAAUGAGCAUUCCUCACUACUACUGCUUGACUGAUGGAACAUGAUGCACGAGAUAGCAUAAGUAGUAGUAGGAAGCAGCUCUUAUUUGUGGCGUCGGUAUACAUCAUACUAGGUAGAUGGUUCAAUUGGCAUGGAUGGGUGGUGGAGCCUUGAAGUGCUUGUGAUGGGGAGCCCACGGCUUCUUCUCAGGAGUUGGUGGCUUCUUGUAUGGAGUUGAUGGAGGUGUUUCUACUGGAGGGUGGCCAGGGUAGUGACCCUGGGGUGGUGAAGGUUCUUUUGUCGGUGGUGGCCUCACUAUUAUUGGCGGUAGAGUUGGUGGCUUGGGCGUUGGCGGUGGUCUCACUACUCUUGGGGGUAGAGUUGGUGUCUUGUGUUUUGGUGGUGGAGGUGGCUUAACAGGAGUUGGUGGCUUGUAUUCUGGGGGUGGUUUCUCCACCGGAGGUGGCUUAUAAACUGGAGUUGGUGGCUUGUAUUCUGGGGGUGGCUUCUCCACUGGUGGUGGCCUGUAAACAGGGGUUGGUGGCUUAUAUUCUGGGGGAGGCUUCUCCACUGGAGGCGACUUAUAAACAGGGGUUGGUGGCUUGUAUUCCGGGGGUGGCUUCUCUACGGGAGGUGGCCUGUAAACAGGGGUUGGUGGCUUCUCCACCGGAGGUGGCUUAUAAACGGGGGUUGGUGGCUUGUAUUCUGGGGGUGGUUUCCCCAGUGGUGGAGACUUGUAAACAGGAAGAGGUGGUUUGUGCUCAUAUGGGGGUGGCUUGUGGUCAUUAGCAAGUGAGGGAGUGGUGAGGACCACCAAUCCAAGGAACAACACGAGUGAGCAAGCAGAAGACAUGUUUGGGCUCUGGUGAUGCACAAGUAGAAGAAAUGGGAACCAUUUAUAAUGCUUCGAGACCUUGGUUAGCACCAAAAUAUGUCAAAAUCUUGAUUACUUCAUUUCAUACAUAGAUUUAAAAUUAUUUCAAUCAACCAUGAUCCUUAAUUUUCUGGGUGGUCCAUAAAUGUAAUGGGGUCAAUUUGGGACCUAACAAGCUGAGAAGUUUGACAAUGCUGCAAGGCUUCAUCCGAAAGUCCGGGGAAGAAUAUUAGGAGUUACACUCCGUUUCCUUUUUUGGGUGCAUUUUUCUCCUUUAACAUUCUAUUCCCUUUUACAUUAGCAUUUGAUCUUAGCUCAUUUCAAGUACAAGUUUCUUGAACCCUAUACCAUUGUCAAAGUUGAGUAACCAUCUCUACUUUGCUCAAGAAACAUAAAAGACAAUGACAAUAAAGAAAAAGGAGAGAGACCAUACGUGACUUGGUUUAUAGGUGGCUUUGUGUUGACAUUUGAGUAUGGAAGCCGACAUGCAUCUUAGCUUCGAUUUUAAUUAAAUUUGUACAUUAGUGUCUGUGUCAUUCAUUUUGGUAUAAAAGGUCUCUUGAUUUCGUAAGUUUGGUAAGAACCGUUGAAAAUAGCAGUAGCAGCACAUGGUCCACUUUCUUUCACAAAAUAAUUUUAAAAGUUUAGAAGCAUAGGAGGUAACAUUAGUGGCCUUGUGGCUCAGCCACGAGUACUAUGUGGUGCUCGAGAAAUUGAGUUUAAUUUCCUUCCGAUAGUUCAUGAUAAGGUCCGUCACUGUCCUGAGACAGAUUGCGUUUUUUCUUUUUUCCUUUUUUAGUGUUUUAUUGACUAGCUAGGUGUGACUUUUCCUACUUUAAGGCACGAGGCAGAAAAGAAACUGGGAUUUAGUGCUUAAGAAGGCAAAUUUAAUUCGAUUUGGAUCUAAAAUUUGCCAGCAACAUGAGAUUUUCCAGCCUAUCGUUGCUCCACAUAUAGACAAGGCACUUGUAGAAGUGGCUUGUUUGUAGCCAUUCCCGAUAUUUGGACUCACUUGAUUCACCGGACACUUUGAUAAAAUUUAAUAUUUAUUAUUUAAUAAUUUAAAUUGAUUUAAAAUUAAAUUAUACCGAAGUUGUGAUUUAAAAAUUAUUAUUUAAUUCUUACUUUUAAAUAUGAAGAUUAUUUGAUAAAAAUAAUUUAAAAUUUAUUAUAAAUUAUCAAAUUAACAUAUUUAUCCUUAUAAAUUAUAAUUAAAACAGAAAAGGUCAAAUGAUUUGAGUAUCCAUAGAUGUGGUAAAAUAAUAAAAAAGAUUAUAAAAACAAUUAUGAUAAAUAAAGAUAAAAAGUAAAAUGAAUAUGUGAAUUUAAAGAAUAAAUUAAUUAUUUUUAUUUAUUACUUAAAAUUAUUUUUGACUUUAAAUUAUAUUAUUAAAUUAUUUUACCAAACAUACUUAAUUUAGUUAAUAAUUUAAAUUUAAUUUAAGUUAUUAAAUUGAUUCACCAAAUACCCACUUAAUCAAAGACUGAAGUAUACAUUAUUUGGCCAAAUGCAGCUAUUGAAAUUUAACUUUUUCCAAACUUAUUCAUUUUGUGGAAAUAUUUUUAGAAAUGAUUUUAAAAAUGCACUAUUCUGUGUGUUGAUUUUAUAUUUUGGCAUUAAUCCAACAUAGAAAACGGUUCUUAUUUUCGCUGUUAAAUAGGUACCAGAUCCUUAAUUAGUGCCGUGAAUCCGGCAGCUUCCAAUGAGUAAUUUGGACUUGGGUAUUGACAAUGUGUGGCCAUGCUUCUACUAUUUUAUUAUUCUUGAAACAUAUAUGAUAUAUUGGACUUUAUACAGGGAAAAAAAAAAAAAAAAGUCUUCACCAAAAAUGAUUCCUCCUAAAAAAUAGACUCCACAAACUAGGUUUAACAGGAAAAUGAUUCUAAUCUAGUAGUUUCCAGCCACAUGAGCAUUUACGUAACAAUAGUAUAGUUGAUAACGACUUUUAUUUUAUUUAUUUUUAAAUAGUUAAAGGGAUAAUUUUUGAGCUUAAAUUUUAUUUUUUUAUUUAGAAACAUUUUACUUUAUUUUUUAAUCAUAAUUCUAUUAUAUUAAUGUUUUAUUUUCUAUUUUUUAAUAUAUAAGGAGAUACUAAAUUUAUGUGAUUAUUUUUUAAAAAUUUAGUAUAUGAAAUUAAAUAAUUGGAUAUAUAUACAUAUAUCAUAUAAUGUUUUUUAAGUGUGAUUUUUGAACUUUUUAGUCAUUUUAUAAGUUUAAGCUUUUGAUUUUUUUUUUUAAACUUUGGUAUUUUUUAUUUUAUAUAAAACUAUUUUGAUUUAAUUUUAUUAAAAAAUAUUGGUAUUAUAAAUUAUUGUAUUAAUUAUUUUUUUAUAUUAUAAUGUAACUGGUAUAUACUAAAAAAUGUAUGCAAGUUCAAUUUAAGUUUCAAAUUAAAAAAUUUCAUUUAAAUAUUUAAUAACUUGUUCAUAAUAAAAAAUUAAACAACAUAAUACAAAUGAAAAGAAACAUAAAAGAAAAAGGAAAAAAUGGUCCUCUCUGUGUGUCACAUUACUAGGUCAUCCUCUUUUUCUAUGACCCUUACAAUAGAAUGGCAUAUUUGUCAAAUCUACUUAUGAAAGUUGGAAUGUUUCUACAUGUGUAGGGUCCAUUGGAACUAAUGGAGGAAAGGCUUAACGUCUAUGUAAAUCACAACGUUGCCUAGGUGGGCAUAGAUCUAGUUGUGUAACAUGAGAUGGUGUGAGAGUACAAUAUAUGCAUUGUAGUCUCUAUGGGAAGAGAGAUAGGUAAUGGUAGGGUGGUAGACGGUAGGGUGAUCUCUAAUAUAAUGACAUUUGAUGUGGUGGCUUCUAAGAGAGGAGAUAUAAGAGAUGGUAGAAUGACAUUUGGUGUAAUGGUCUCUAGUGCAAUGACAUGUGAUAUGGUGACCUAUAAAGAAGAGAUAUAGGUGAUGGUGAAGUGGUAUGUGGUGUAGUGACCUUUGAGAUAGAAAAUAGAGGUAAUGGUAGGUUGGCAGGUGGAGUGGUCUUUGGUGUAGUGACAUCAAUUAUAAAUGUCUCCAAGGGAGGAAAUAAAGGUGAUGGUAGGUAGUAAAUGUUGAGGUGGUCUUUGAUAUGUUAUGCUCUAAGAGAGAAGGUAUAGGUAAUGAUAAUAGGGAAUUUGACAUAGUGGUGUUGGAAAUAAAAAGUGAAAGUGACCGUAGAGGUGAAAGGGCAAGUGUAAAAGCCUCAAGUACGAAUGGAGUAAUUAAUGUGGAUGGUGCUAACAUAGUCUUAGGUGGAUACACAAAUAGUCAUAGUCAUCAACUAGCUUGCCCACCAUCUGUCUUUCUGCUAGUGAUAGGUUACAUCUUAAUAGUAAUGGCCAACAUAAGUGGUGUGGAUCCGAUUUUUUUACGUGUGUCCCCACUCAAUCGACAAGACUUAUUUUUUAUUAGUGAAAAAUUAAUUUUGGAAAAGUUGGAGUCACCACUUAUUUUAUUUUAUUUUAAAAAGGAAAGUAAAACAAGAAAGAGAACUCUAAAGAAGUGACUUCAUAGUUUUGGAAAAGUUAGUCUUAAAAAAUCCAAGUCUUGGUCCGGAGAUCAGGUUACUUAUUGGGAAGAUACCUCUAAGAGGUAAUACCCCUCUAAACCCUAAAGAAGUCUCUAAUGACUAAGUUGAGGAGAAUGUGGUAAUUAAUUAAUUGAUUGAGGGUACCUAGGUAGACUAAGGUGAUUUCAGAAUUAACAUACCAAGCUAGAAAGUCCAAUCAUGAUCAUAAAAGAGAGUCAAAGUAUGUACCUGAACUGCUUCUCAAACGCUAUCAUAAAACAUCAAAGUUAGUAUAGAAAUAUAACACAUAAUAUUUGUUUUAUCCAAGCAAAUAAAGCAUACAUCUAAGCACCCAAGAAUCACAUCAAGUAUGGAUAUAGUCAUCAAUAGCAUACGUGUCCAUAGAACUAUCGAAAGUAAAUGUGGAGGAGCGUAUCUGGACAACAUAGAUAACUUAUAAUGUGCUUCCACAAGACAUGGGGGUUAGAUAAAAGUUAUAAUAAUAAUUAGUAAAUGAAAGAAUUCUAGCAUGUUUGGUAUCUAAAUAACAUAGCAAAAAUGAACAAGAGUACACGAAAACAUCAAUUAUCACACGAGUCAUAUUGGCUAGUAUUUAAUCAAUAAACCAACAAUAAAUGACUAUAAACAUAUAAAAUGACAUAUUCAAAGAGACCCAAACAUAAAGAGCCUAGAACACAAGCUUACACUAAAUUUAGAAAACUAAAACAUGGAAUUUUAAAAGCAUAAAUUAGCAAACAAAUUGAUGGAAACUAAAUUUAGAUAACUUAAGAAUAUUUUUCUUAUCCUUCAAUUUAAAUCAGUAAGCCAACAAUAAAAAAUUAUAGAAACAUGGAAUAUCAAGAUCAAUGGGAUACCUAAACUAUAAUUUUUAAAAGAAAAUAAACUAAGCAUAAUAUCUACAAAGCAACUAAACUAACAUUUUUUUAAAAAUAAAUUAAACAUGACAUUAAUGGAGUAACCAAACUAAAUUAAAGUAAACUAAAAACAUUUAUGAAUUUUCAAACAUGGAAUCAGCUUUCUUAGUAAAUUAAAAUUAUUAAAAUAAAAUCUAAGCUUAAAAAUGAAUUAAAUACUAACUAAAGCAAAUCUAAAACCAAAUAUUUAACACAUAGGAUCAAUUAUAUUAACAAACUAAAAUUUUAUAAGAACACUUAAACCUAAAGUUGAAUUAAAAACUAACCAAUUUUUAAAACUAGAUCUUUAACCCAUAGGAUCAAUUAUAUUAACAAAUAAAUAAUAAAUAAUAAAUAAAUAAAACUCAAACCUAAAGAUGAACUAGAAAUGUACCAAAGUAAAUUCAAAACAAGAUCUUUAACACAUUAGAUCAAUUAUAUUGACUAACUAAAAAAAAAAAAAAAAAACACUCAAACCUGAAACGAUGUAUUAGAAACUAACCAAAGCAAAUUUAAAAUAGAGUCUUUAACACAUAGGAUCAAUUAUAAUCACUAACUUAAAUUACAAUUUUUGAAACAUGAACUAAUUAGUGUUGGAUUAAUUAAACUAAUUAACUAAAAAAAACUAUAAACUAGAAUACGGUGAAUCAAGAAUUCAAAUCAACAAACAUAAAAUAUGGGUACAAUGAAAUGAAAAUCUAUUAAACUAAUAAGACGGAAAUAUGACAAACUCAUGAACCCACAUUUUGAUCAACUAGGAAAUAGAAAUUAAUAGACCUGUAGCAUGGAUACAAUGAAAUGAGAUCAGUUAAAUUUAUUUGCCGAAAUUCUAAAAAACACAUACACUCAAAUAAGAUCUAAAUCUAAGACCAAGCAAAACUCAAACUUUCUCAAUCUAAUGCAAUGAAUCAAAACUAAAAUUAAAUAGAAAUCAAACCAUUUUUUUUUUAUCUAAUAUAAUAAAUCAAAGCUAAAACUAAACAAAAUCGAAUUUUCUUAAUUUAAUAUGAUGAGUCAAAGCUAAAAUUGAACAAAGUUCAAACCUUUAUAUAAUGGAUCAAAGUUAAAUCUAAAUGAAAUCCAUACUUCCACAAUUUGAUAUAACAAAUCAAAAAUAAAACUAGAUAAAAAAAAAGUCAAAGCCUUUCAACUUGACAUAGUGAAUCCAAACUGAAACGAAACAAAAUUUUAACUUUUCCAAUGAAACCCAAUAUAGAAAAAAUUAGCUUACCUUCUUUAGAAUAUAUGUAUGGGCCAUAAAGAAGUCACCUUGGUGCAUGUGUUCCUCACUUUGACGCCAAUGGACGACUUUCUAUGGUAGCAAAUGGAGAUCCUUUUUGGUGGUAACUUGCGUGUGGAAACCUAUGGUACAACCAAUGUCAUCUUUUAUUGUGCGUGUGGACCAAUUUCUUCUCGAGAACUCAUGUGUGUUGUGCUCAAAAUAUGUUGCCUGUGAGAAUCUAUUGGUAUACCCCACAUAUGGUUUCCUUGAGAGAAUCUGUGGUUGUGUGUGGGCGUUUUCUUCAUGACAGCAUGUGGAUGUUCCCAUCUAUGGUAGAUUGGUUGUGAUGCUUUAGUGCAUGGUCUCCAUAGGAAUAGUGUGUUAUGGAAAUUUGGUUUUUUUAUUGGUGCAUGUUGUCUAGACUUUCCCAUAUGCGUGGACUGUGUGUUCAUGCUUUUCUUUUCGGAUGGUCGCCUGUGUUAAUGUGUGGCGGUGUCUACAAUGAAAGAUACAACCCUUUCUCUCCUUCUGCGUGAUAGAAAAGUCAAUCCCCCAUGGUGCGACUAUGUUCCCUCGUCCUUUUUGAAAAAUUUUGGUGUUUUCCCCCCAAAAAAUCCCCUCCAAAAAUCUAAUUAUAAAUGUCUGCUUUGGCCUAAUGUGUGUGCUACUUUUUUUUUCCUUCUUUUUAUGGUUGUGCGUGCUUUUCUUGAUACGUGGCUUAUUUCUUAAGGAUAUGAUUCGCUCCCAAUUGGUGUCUCAGCUGAUUCAUGUCCUUUCAAUGGUCCCUGACAGUGGUGCCAUUUGAUUCGUGUCCAGCUGGUGUCCCUUGAUUGUGGUCCUCAGAAGGGAGUAAUCAAUAAAAUUUAUAACCUAUUACACCAUGUAUUAGGAUAGCCUUAGCUAGCAUAGCAUAGUGGCUCUAGGGUCGUUUAUUGGGAUGAGUUUUCACUUCACAAUUGAUAUUAAUUCAAGAGCUGAAUUGGUGCCUUUUCAUUUCAAGGUUAGCUUUAAAAGAAAACAUAAUCUUUGGUGGAAAAAGGUUUGGUUUUAAACUAACCAAAAAUAGUAACUGAUUUUACUUACAAAGAAAAGUGUUCUUUGGAGUUUAGAUCACUAGGCUCAGGUUCCUCAUACAAAAAGGAGAGUUCCGAUCAUUUGUUUCUUUUCCUCGCAUUAGAGAAUUAACAUAUAGUUAAUUCUCUAACCGGUGCGGUACAUAUGCUUCCCAUUAAUGGGUUCAAACACUAAAUACCUCUCACUGAUGCACCUUGCAAUGGCUCGUGCCUCUCACCUAGCAUUUAUCAUUCAAGGUGAUCUUUAACCUUGGAUUACCCAUCAAAAGCUCGCAAGAGAUAACUAAAGGAUGUCUCCUUAGAGUCCAAAAGCUUACCAAGUGUUGGUUAUUCUAGAAAAUCCUACCUUCAAACCACCUCCCAAAGGCUCGCAAGAGAUAAACAAGUGCAUCUCAAUGGAUGAAGAUCACUUGCCUUACCAAGUUUUGGCCCAGAUGAUUUAAUGACAUUUUAAGUUAACUAAAAAGAUAAAAACCAUUAACGGGUCACACUUUCUCUUCAUUAAAAACUAAAACAACAAAACUUCCAAUUUAUGCAUGAGGAAACUUACCUGGCUUUCUUCACUUCAAGAGAUGAAGAGCCUAGCCACUCAUCAUUUGAGGAAAAAUCCUCAGAGUUUGAUUUGCUAGAAAUAAAAAUAAUGAGAAAACAAAAAUAUAUAUAUGAAAAACAGAGCAAGUUCUCUGUAAUAUAUUUUUCUUCCUUAUACAAAAGGUUGUCUCUAAGAACAAGUUCCCGAGAUCUAUCUGAUUGUAAAUAAAAUUACAACUAUAUAUAAGAGGUUAUUCACCCCUUUGUUCUUUCUUAAAGACUAAGGAAUCCUAUGAUAGGUGGGUUACAAGGAGAGUUUGGGGAUUUAGACAUCAAAUAUCUAAAGCAAAAUAUCUCAAGAUGUUAGUCGGAAAUAUCAGGAAGCUUCAGGAGAACACCGCGACACUGUAUACUGAGAGAAAAACUCUCCGGGUAAGCUCUAUCAAAGGAUCCAGACAUGUCUGACUGGGAAAGUUGAAACGUCCUUCUCUCCCAUCCGGAUGUGAGAUAUCCGGAGAAAGUGAAAUGUCGGUCGGACAGAAUUCUUUCCCCGGGUGGAAUGAGUUGUGUUGCGCGUCGCAAGGGGGACCGUCUGCGUGUACAAGUUGUAGGGACCCCUCUCCCGGAUGACACCGAGCGCGUAAGGCUAUCCGGAUCAACUCCAUUCGGAUUCCCCAAGAGGACAUGUGGCGUGCUCCCCUAUCAGGACUCCCUUAGGGAGAAGCACACGACACUCGUGAACAUCAUACCCGGACGAUAGCAUGUCCUAUCCGGAUGUGUUGUCCGGAUCAUUGACUAAAGUGAGCAAGCCUUGCUACGUCAUUCGGACAGCUUGCCACAUACCAUGUUCCGUCGCCAUCUGAUGGUGUGUCCGAACGCCUUGUCCGGACAUCUUUUGCUCCUUGCAUUCCGGAUUUGCUUAUGACAAAGGACUUCAAAGCUUCGGUUCUUCAUGUUUCUGAGCUUUCCAUUGCUUUGCCAUGGAUUCCAAAGAACUCUCCUUAAUCACGGAUUGCUUUGGUGAUCAAAAAGUUAUCAAAACACAAAAACUUAACAUAGUUUGAUUAGAAUUGAUUGCAAGGGUUCUUAAUAUGUUAAUUGGGUUAAAAGGUGAUAACUACUACUCAAAAGUGUUUAUAAGAAUUAAUUACAAGCUAUGAAAUAACACUUUUUGAGUAGUAAUCAGGAUACAUCCUAGUUUUUCAUGGAAUUGAUAGUGGGUUGUUGUGCAUGAAUGCCACCAUUUCAACUAUGCUGUUGUUAUUUUUAAAAAAAAUAUGGAUUAUGCGCGAGUGGCAAUUCUCCACUAUGGAAAGUGGAUUGCUCCUUCAACCCAUGCAUGGCUACGUAUUCCUAUGUCUUUCUACUUGUGUUUGAUCCUCCAAAAAAAAUUUCGGUUUAGUGCUAGUAGAUUUUAAGUGGUGGAUCCCCAUUUUUUGAAAAUGAAGUGGCAGCCUCCCAUUUCAAGACAAAAUGGUAGCCUGCCUUUAAUCUUUGGAGAAAAAUCUGUGCAUGACCUUUUUUUUUCCCAAAAAAUCCGUGCAUGGUGUCCUUUAAUAUUUGGAGAAAAAUCUAUGUUGGAUCUUUUCUUUUCUAGAAACAUUUGUGUGGUCUUUUUUGUUAGCCCAAGGGUUCUUCUAAUCAAGUUUUGAUGAUAACAAACCAUGGUUAAGUGACUAAUUGGUUUAAUGAUUAAGAAUCUCAAACAUAAAAUCGAAAAUUCAUCAAAGGACCAAAUGGAUACAAGAUCGAGACGCUUGGAAGACUUGUAAUCAUAGGAAACUAAUGUAAGAUGAAUGCAUGAGUGCACUUAGGAUUUUCACACGUUUCAUGCAACUUAGAAAACCCAGUUUAUUCUUUAAAACUUCAUCCCAGUUUAUUCUUUUUAUGGUUGUGUGUGCUUUCCUUGAUACGUGGCUUAUUUAUUAAGGAUACAUCCCAGUUUUUCAUGGAAUUGACAGUGGGUUGUUGUGUGUGAAUGCCACCAUUUCAACUGUGCUGUUGUUAUUUAAAAAAAAAAAAAAUGGAUUGUGCGCGAGUGGCAAUUCUCCACUAUGGAAAGUGGAUUGCUCCUUCAACCCAUGCAUGGCUACGUAUUCCUAUGUCUUUCUGCUUGUGUGUGAUCCUCCAAAAAAAAUUUUGGUUUAGUGCUAGUAGAUUUUAAGUGGUGGAUCCCCUUUUUUUGAAAACUAAGUGGCAGCCUCCCAUUUCAAAACGAAGUGGUAGCCUGCCUUUAGUCUUUGGAGAAAAAUCUGUGCAUGACUUUUUUUUUCCCAAAAAAUCCAUGCAUGGUGUCCUUUAAUAUUUGGAGAAAAAUCUAUGUGGGAUCUUUUAUUUUCUAGAAAAAUUUGUGUGGUCUUUUUUGUUAGCCCAAGGGUUCUCCUAAUCAGGUUUUGAUGAUAACAAAUCAUGGUUAAGUGACUAAUUGGUUUAAUGAUUAAGAAUCUCAAACAUAAACUCGAAAAUUCAUCAAAUGACCAAAUGGAUACAAGAUCGAGACGCUUGGAAGACUUGUGAUCAUAGGAAACUAAUGUAAGAUGAAUGCAUGAGUGCACUUAGGAUUUUCACACGUUUCAUGCAAUUUAGAAAACCCAGUUUAUUCUUUAAAACUUCAAUUUCAUUAAAACCCGAGUUUUUAACUAAUGUACCUUAGGCAAAAUGUUUUAUAAUUGGCUUAAUAAUUCACCUAAAUACAUUUUCUAAGUGUUAGAAAAGAAAGGAAUUAAAAAAAGGUUUUCGGGGCAAAAAAGGCUCAACCGGUCGAGGCUAUGGUCAACCGGCUCAACCGGUUGAGGAACCAAUCGAUCGGUUGUGCUUGUCCGAUCGAAGACCAAUCGAGGGAUGCCAAAAAAUUUCUCUCUCUCCUAGUGGCCUUCUCUUCCCGGUCGAGGUUCGGUCUAGGCAACGGUAACAUGUCAAGCAUUAAAUGCUCCGACGACUAGUGAAUCGGUCGACCCCUAGCCCGAUCGGACGAGGUUGCCUUUUGCUGUUUUUGACUCCCGAGCUUAGAAACCUAUAAAUUGAGAGCUCCACUUCAUUUAUUGAUAAAAGAGAACACUUGCAUUCAAUAGUCUACCUACCUUUUCUUGAUCAAAAAGCUCUCAUUUCCUUCAUAGUGCAUUAAAUCAUCACUUGCAUAUCCUUUAGUGCACUAUUGUGUGUCAUCCUAGCUUUGUUUUGUAUUUGAGCUAUCCUUAAGCUAGGUUGAGGGAUUAUUUCUUAUAAAAAUCUGAGUGUUAAAGCCUUCAAGAGAUUUGAAUCUUGAAGAGAUUGUGUAAGAGCCCAUUGGAGCCGGAGUCCAAGUGUAAGAAGAUUGGAAGCUUGGUUGAAGCUUCAAGUUAGUGGAACCCUCACUCGGUUAGGAGGUUGAGGAGAGUGGACGUAGGUAAGGAAGUGUCGAACCAUUAUAAACCCGAGUUUGAAUUCUCUAACUCUAUCUCUUUAUUUUGCUUAUAUUGUGUUUGAAUUUGUUGUGAUUGAAAAGAUUUUAAAAACCUAAUUCACCCUCCCCCCUUUUGGGUUUUUUUUUCUUAAUUAAGCAUAACCUUUGUUUUCUAAUUUUCUUUUUAGGAAAAUCCAUGCGUGGUAUGUCCAAACUCUCCAAGUGGCAGUCUGCCUUCUUCUAAAAAAUUUGUUUCUAUUUCUUUAUUCGACUACCUUCCAUGUCUUCCUAAUGAGUGCUUGUGCUCAAUGGUCAAUCCCUGGUGGUUGCCUCCUUUUCCCAUAUAUACGUGUUGCAAAAUCAACAUCCCACUAUAUGUGGGUUGCCUCUAUGGCAAGUUCACAUUUCCCACAUGAAACCUAUGAGUUUCCACCAAAAAUUGCCAUGAAAAAGUCUUUAUAUGCAUCUCAUGCAAUAAAAAGUCAAGCCAAUACUCAUCUUAUCUCGAAAAAUAAGUAACCAAAAUCAAGAUCAUGCCUAAGUGAACUAUGCCAAAAGAAGUGUCCAAGUGACCUAUUAUGAAAAAAGUGCCUAAGUGACCUAAGGUGAAUGUGUGUAAGCUGGAAGGUGUCUAGGAUGUUUAGGACAAUGCCUAAGCCUAAAAUAGGGUUGCCAAGGGUCACAAUGGGGUUAGAUAAAUCUCUCAAUCAGAGUCUCCAAGGUGGCUCAUAAAAGAUAAGCUACACGAGUAAUGAUGGGCCACCAGGGAAUUAUUGUAAAGCACCAAACGAACACAUAAUAGGACAUGUGUUAGAAUGAAAAAAUGGAGGGUUUACAAGUGGUCUCAUGGAUGAGCUUGAUAAUUUAAAUGACUCACAUAAUGAACGUAUGUGAUGUUUCUCUCCAAUAACAAGCAAAACAUCACUAGCAAUAUGAUGAAUGUCUCCUAAAUCACUUGAAGUAGUCCUAGCAAAUCAAUUAGAAAAAUCACACAUAUUGCUCUAAUGUAAUAUUAUAUACAUCUGUCAAUGAAUGGGAGAACUAAUGACACAACCAUCAUGUUGAUAUCUCGAACCCUCUAAUCUCAUAUGUAGGUGGGAUCACACUUAGAAACUCAUAACACAGUAAUGACCAAUCUAAGUCAAAAUGUGUUGGUGAUCGGAGGCCCAUGAAUAUGAAGUUCUAGGAUGAUAAUGACAUCUUAUAAAGUAAUGAUCAUCUCCUUAAUAGAUAGGUGAAAUGUGUGUGUCUUAGGACACCAUCUCUCAACAAGACUUGUGAUCAAUCCCCAGUCUAGUGUAACAUGCCUAUUAUGACAUCCAUCGUAAAAUCUAGACUAGAUAAUAUAAGGACAAAUGUGAGGGUUCAUCUCCCUUUCCCACAUAAAUUUAAAAAAUUAUUAUUGACAAGUUAAGACCAAACUAAGUUGCAAAAUAUAAAUAAGUCCAUUAGAUAACAAAUUUAUGUUUUCUCAUUUUCUCAUUUUUAAAGAGAUAUUAUGUGCUUCCAUGUACAUACAUGCUAAAGUCAAUUAUACGAGACUUAUAUCCAUCUUGUAGAACCAAAUCGAACCUAUCUAAUAGAUCCAGAUUAGAAGUAUGUCCUCUAUACUCCAUAUUUAUAACACAUUUAUAAAGAUAAAUGCUAAAAAAAUGUUAAAGAUAUAAAUUUAAUGAACCAUACUUUAUGAUUUUAAUUCUCAAUUAUUGUUCAUAUUUAUAAGAGAAAAGUUAAAAAAAUUGAUAGAGUUUUCCCUCUAUCAUGGACAUUAUCCCAAAUAAAAAUAAAUUGAUUAUGCAAAUUACAUUAAUAUUUGUAACCAAAUGAUCAAUAACUAUCUUGUAUCAAUUUAGUAAAUAAAUUUAAGUAUAUCUUUUCAUUUAUGACUAACAAAUAACUCAUACUUGUCCAAUAAAAGCCACACCUAAUUUCUAAAAUUUUGUCUUCACCUCAAGUGAGUGUUACAUUGAGAAAGAAAAAAUAUGAAAGAAAAAAUGAACACCUUUUUCUUUUAAUAAAAAAAGGCCAUAACGAAACAUUAAAUCUCACUGUUACACCUAUCUUCAAUGGAAACAUGAGGAUGUGAAUGGUGGCGGUGAUAUUCUUUGCUUGAAGCUCAUAAACAAAUAUUCCUUACUAAGCCUAUGCCAUUUAGUAUUUCAAUAGUGGACCCCCCCCCCCCCCCCCCCCCCCUCCUUGCAUUUCAGAUUUAGCAAACUUAGAACCAAAUAACAAAGUGCAUUUGAACCCAUAAAGAAGUAAUGAGACUCUCCUAUAUUGGCAAUAGAAGAAAUUUUUGGAGGUAUAGGAGAUUCACGGAUGAAGAAGUUGGGCCCCAAUUGAGAUAAGACCCAAGAAAAGAUGGGGUAGAGAGGGAUGGUUGGAAAUUGUAAAGUAAGAUUUUCAAAAUGUAGUUGAUGACUAAGAUUUUGACAAUUUAAAAAAGGUUUAAAAAUGUAGUUAGCAAUCGGGGUUUUGUAACAUUUAAAAAAUAAAAUAAAAUCUCAGGCCACAUGGUAGCCCAUGUGAUUCAGAAGCUUGAGAAUUAUUUUAUAAGAAGACUUAAUUUGUGAUUUUUUUAUAACUAUAUUAUUUUUUUUCUUAACACACGAAAAAAAUUAUGAAAUAAGACAAUUUUCCUAAGAAAGCAUGUAAGUGACUCUUGGUUAUUUUAUUUAACUUCUUCUAGUUUGGAGAGGAUUAAUACCUUUGCUUUUACUCACUUGCUUGGAUAUGUACACGUUGUUCAUGUCACUUUUCAUUUAAUUUUCUGAUUAAGGGAAUUGGAACCGUACGUAACUGUCUUUAUUCCCUCUGAAACUUGGACUUGGAGUUGGACUUUCAAUCUCAUCAGUCGUGUUUCCAUAAAAAAGAAGAUGGAUUAACCAAUUUUCCUAUGCCUACUAAUCAUACACAAAACUCCACUUCCAAAUAAAAAGGAAUGGGAUAUCACUUGUUAAUAGUGGCUAAAGACUAUUAAUAACCAUGCAAAGAAAUGUCACAUUUUUUGUUCUACGCAAAUUUUAUUCAUCAACUACUAGAACCAUUUCAUACAAUAGUAGCUUUUCGAUCCUUUGAUAAAUGGACACUUGAUGUGAUAACACCAACUACACCUAUAUAUUCAAGCAAUCAUGCGUAUAUAAUAGUGGAUAUGGAUUACUUCUCUAAAUGGGCAAAAGUUUUGUCAUUCAAGGAAAGUGAACGAGGAAACACAAGUUUACUUUCAUCGGAACUAAUAUUAUAUAUUGAUAUGACUUCCCAUUAUUACUUACGAUGGAAUAUGCUUCCAUAAAAUGGCCUAGAUGAACAAACUAUCCAAGAAGUUUGGGAUCAAAUAAUAUAUAUAUAGUUCAUGUGUGAUUCUUUGGUUGACAACCUUGUUAAGGGGUGAGUGAAGCACUUUGGGCAUACCACAUACUACAUGCUAGACUUCCACCCAAGCUACCCUAUAUUCCUUAUGAACAAAGUAGAAGUUGUCAUCUCUCUUGAAUACCAAAUCCUUUCACCUAAUAAUGCUAUCUAAAAAGGUCUUAAAAAGGAUAAAAAUGCGCAUAUUUGAAUUUUUGAAUUAGGAGUGCUACUUAAAAAGAAGCUAGAUAUACAAUAAUAGAAUGUUAUCAAGCAUAUCUCUUCAAAGUUUUUGACCAAAAAAUAUAUGAUUUCUCAUUUUAGGUAGGAGACUUAGUACUCACUAUUCAAAAACCAAUUAUCAUUACUCAUAAAAACUAAUAGAAAGUUUGGGCCAAAGUAGGAUGGACCUUAUAUUAUGCAACAAUUAUGCCUAUAAAAUUGUUGCAAAAGAGGUUUUAGAAUCAAAUCAAUGAAUGAAAAAUUAUUAAAGCAUUACUAUGCUUGAAGGCUAGUCAUUUUCCCUUAAAGUGCAAUAUUAAGUUGCAUAGUACUAUGUGGAUCCGCAUUUUUCACAUGCGUUCCCACUCAUUGUCGAGACUCACUUUUUAGAAGUGAAAAAUUAGUUUUAUUAAAGUCGAAGUUGCCACUGGGGAUUUGAACCCUAACAAAAGGUUCAAUUUAAGGAUAAAAAUAUCGAUAAUCACAUAUAUAUAUAUUGGUACUUUGAUUUUAUGAAUAUAUUGAAGAAAUAUGGACAAAUAUUUUGACACAAAAUAUGUACAAAAUAAAAAUUAUAUAAAAAGUAAAAAUAAAUAUUUUAAAAUUAUUUUUUUAAAUAUAUAUAUAUAUAAUUUGACAUAUUUGAUAAUAAUAUAUAAGGGUCUCCAAAAAGCCCGUGGCCCGCUUUAGGCCCGGUCCGACCCGACAGGCUAAAGCCCGGCCCAAGCCCGCCGGGCCCAAGCUCGGCCCGAGCCCGUUUAUGGGUGGGCCGGGCCGCGAGCCCGUAGGCCUGCUCCUUUAAAAAAAAACUACAAAAAUAAAAAGUAUUAAAAAAAAUAUUCAUUUCAAAAUUUUAUUCAUUGAAUGUAUAAUUACAUUUGAAAAUGUGGGAAAAGUUUACAUCACUACAAAAUAAAUACAUCCCAACUAGGUUGGCACCUAUUUAUUUGUCAAUCAUCUGUAUUUUUCAACCACAAAAAAUAAAAAUAAAAAUAUAAUAUACAUUUAGUCAUUAUUUUCUGGCGGUGAUGGCGAACUAUCAUGCAUCCAUGAAGAUCUUGAUAAUUUUAAAGAUUCCAUAUCGGUAAGCAUCUUUGUUUCUCGAAUGGAAUCAUACAUCCUUUUAUCUGCUAUUUCCCAAUCUUUCACACAUAUCCCUGCUUUAAUAACAUCUGACGCUAAGUUGCAUCGUUUUUUACUAACUACUCUUCCACCUGCACUAAAAGCAGCUUCUGAUGCAACUGUACUCACAGGAACUGUUAGUACAUCACGAGCAAUUAUAGAAAGCACAGGAUAUUUGUGUUGAUGUGAUUUCCACCAUAUUAAAAUAUUAAAAUCUUCUUGAUCUUCAAAUGAAAUUAUAUCAGUAUUAAGAUAUUUAUCUAAAUCAGAUGUAUUAUUUGGAGAAUUAUUUGUUGUCUUUUUUCGACUUUUCAACAUUUCUAGAGCUCCUUUAUAAAAAGAUGAGGAGUUUGUAGAUGUAGGUGGUAAUUUAAUAGUAUUAAUAUCAUUACCAUAUUUUUCUUUAUAAUAGUUAUAUAAAUUAUAUAAUAAUGAAUUUAUUUCAUUUUUAAUUUCUUCAAUUUUUAUUUGGUCAUUAAAAUAAAUAAUUGUUAACCAUUCAUCCAAAGCUUCAAAUUUCAAUCUAGGGUCCACAAUUAAAGCAAUAUAAAAAAUUAAAGGUAUUUCUCCCCAAUAUUUUCUAAAUUUUUAUAUCAUUACAAAUAUUGUAUCAUUAAAUAUUUCAAAACUUAAAUAUUUUUGAAGUACAAUAAAAAUAUUAGUUAUUUGCGUAAUAACUCGAUUUGAAGUUGGAUAAUAUACACCACAAAAAAUGUUUGUUGAAGUAUCAAAAAUUUCAAAAAGAUCUCUUAAAACAUCCGCAAUAUGCCAAUCAUAAUCAUUUAAUGCAUAAAUAUCUGCUUCAUAAUCAUUGUUAAUUAAUUGUAUUUCAUAUAAUUCGACUACUUUUCUAUAUUUUGUAAUAUUUUCUAAAAGUUUAUAUGUGGAAUUCCAUCUAAUAGCCAUAUCCAAAUUUAUAUUUUUUCUUUUCAUAUUUAACAUUUUGCAACAAUCAAAAAAUAAUUCAUGUUUUGCUUGAAAACUAUUAAUACUAUAUGCAAUGCCUCUAAUUUUUUUCCAAUGUACUAUCAACAUUUUUUAAUCCAUCCUUUACAAUUAAAUUUAAAAUAUGUGCACAACAACGCACAUGAAAUAUUUUAGCAUGAUCUUCUUUUACUUGCCAAUAUCGUUUUAGUCUAUGUAUUGCUGCAUCAUUAUUAGCAGCAUUAUCUAAUGUUAUUGUCAAUAUUUUAUCACGAAUGCCUAAAUCUAUAAUUUCAUCAUUUAUUAAAGAUGCUAUAUUUUUACCACUAUGUGGAGUAUUUAUUAAUUUAAAUAAAAUUAUUCUUUUAUUUAAUUUCCAUUCAUUAUCAAUGUAGUGAACAAUUAUAUAUAAAAAACCAGUAUGAGUUAAAGAUGUCCAAAUGUCAGAUGUUAAACGAAUAUUUCCUUCAAAAUUUGCAAAAUUUUUUUUUAAAAUUUCUUUUUGUGUAUAAAUUUUUUUCAUAAUAUCUCUUUUAACUGUAUUUCCAGAUCAACCUUUAAAUUGAGGAUUAAUACCUCGUUGAAUUGUUCUUGCAAAAUCAUGAGUUUCCAUCAUGUUGAAAGGUUGUUCUGCUCUUAUUAUAUAAUCAAUCAUUUCUUCACAACAGUUAGAUUCAUCAUAAGAAAAUGUUUUUAAAUUUCCACUUUCAUUUUUACUUAAUUGCAUAUAAUUUCUAAUAUCUACAUUAUUUUUAGUUUUACAAUUUUCAUGAUGUCUUUUUAAAUGACUUGUAUCUGCAUUUGAGCCACCAGUAAGAAAUUUAUUACAAAUUUUACAUUUUGCUUUUAUUUUUUUUUUAUUAUUUUCUAAAAUUAUUUCUAUUCUAUCAAAAAAAUUCCAUAUAUUUAAAGUAAAUUUUUUGUUUGAUGAUAUUUCAUCACAUGGACUAGACGAAGAAGCACUUGUCAUAUUAUAAUUAUUGAUAAAAUAUUAUGCCAAAAAUAAUAAAGUAAUAAAUAUAAAAAAAAAUGUAACAAAAAAAAUAAAGUAGUAGGGGUGAAGUAUGUUACUCAAUUAGAGAACCUAUGCAGAAAUUCCUAGCAAAUUUGAACUCUUGGAGCCACCAAUGCUUGUUUUGCACCAUCAACAAUAUUGUAUAAUUUGAGGGAAAAAUAAAAGAAUUUAAAAUAUUGUAGAAUGUGAGAGAAAUAGAGAGAAUUUGAUGAAAAAAUGAAAAGGAAGAAAAUGUAUUUAUAGGAAGGUUAAAAAUAAUAAUAAUAAUAAUAAUAAUAAUAAUAAUAAUAAUAAUAAUAAUAAUAAUAAUAAUAAUUGGCCAUGUGACCGUUGGAGGCUUAGCUCCAACGGUCACAUGGGCUGGAGCUAGGCUCCAACAGUCACAUGACCGUUGGAGCCUUUAAUUUUUUUUUUUAAAAUAAUAUACUUUAUUUUUAUAUAUAUAUAACUAACUCAAUUAAUAAACAUAAAAAGAAUAUAGUUCAGUUGGUUAGAACCUUGAAGUUUAAACAUGAGGGGAGGGGUUUGAAUCCCUCCCUCUCCCUUAGGGGCUUUUUUAAAAGCCAUUUUGGCUUAUUUCAAAAAGCCUGUCGGCCCGACCCGCCCUGCAGCCCGCGGGCCUAGCAUUUUAGCAUGGCCUGGUCUGUUGACUAGUCAAAUGGCUCAUAGGCUCGGCCCGAACUGGGCCGCGGGCCUCUUAUUUACGGACCGGCCCGACCCGGCCCGCCCGUUGGAGACCCUUGAUAAUAUCUUCUAUAUUAAGUUACAUUAUAGUUUAUUUUACAAUAUUAUUAUGAUAAUAUGUCUAAUUUUAAAAUAUAUUUAAUAUUAAAAUUAUGAUCUAUUUUAAUUUAAAUGUAUUCAAUGAUAUCAAAUAAAUAAUAAUAUAUGUAUAAUUCUUUUAUUAUUUAUAUUUAUUAUUUUUAAUAAAUAUAUAGAUUAUAUAAAAAAGACCGGAUAUAUCUUUUCAAAUUUUGUAUCGCUCUCCAAGGAUAUUAGAUGUAUGGGAAUUUGUAUUGCUAUCUACGGAUACGUUGAUAUAUGGGUGAUUUAUCAGGAUAAUUAGAAAUUCUAAUUAUGUAAGCAGGUACGGAGUUCUGUGUCGGUGCGAUCUUGUCGACAACAGCUCCAAAUUGUGCAUCUUGCUCAUAGAGAGUAGCGGAAUGCACCAAUCGUAGGCUCAGAGUACCACUGAGUCGUCUGGCAGAGACCCAACUGAAGGUGCCUGUGUUGUUCCUGAUCUGAUCAGGCUUCAAACUACAAGGUGGAAUACUGGUUCCCCUAUAUCAGAAGCUGGAGAUACCCACCCCAUAUGCUCGUCUGGAUGUGCUCCUACCCUUUGAAGCCUUCUUCCGAGUCAAGUCCGAAUUGAUAAGGCUAGUGAGUUCCCAACCAACUGUACUCAGCAUGCUGCCAGGUGGAGACCCUCCAUAUUUGAUGGCUUCCUAAUAUUAAAAUGCUGACCACUGGUCUUCAUGUUCCACAGGCUUAAUUGUGUCCUUUGCUGAAAGAAUGGAUAGUGAUCCAUUUUAACACAUGAUUCACGCCGUCUUUGCCAUUCUUCAUGGUCUAGCCCUUUUAUAUAUAUGCUUCCUGAACUGUUGCUAUUAAUAAAAUGUGGUAUCUAUCCCGUACACCUUCCUGAUGGCCAGCGAAUGCAGAAGCUACAGAAACGGUUCCAUCUUUUGCUUCCGCCACUUUGGCAUCCUCCAUGAUGAGAUCGAAGGUGAAUAAUCAUAUUCUGGGGAUUUAUGUCCUGGAUAUUCUCAGUAAUGCCCAAUUUCCUGGUGCCGGCCUCAUUUCCAUGGGAACUGAUGGAUAACUUAAGGCUUCUACCAUCUGCGUGGUUCGCUUCUAACACAGGAAACUUCACGGCUAAAAGCAAGAUACCAAGAACAUCAAGGCUGUGACAAAAAUUAGUAUUUUUAACUUGUAGGAAUUUGAAAGGCAACCAACCAUCUAGCUCUGUUCUUAAAGCUCCCAUAGGAGGAUCAGAGGCUGGAUUGCUCAAGAUGAACUCAUCCAUUGUUGCACUUAAAAAGAAUUGGCAUGAAUUGUGGCCGCUCUAAUAGGUUCCCUAAACCAUCAUCCAAGUGGGCUUGCGGAAGGUAGCGAGUUUAAAACACCUAGGGCGAUGAACAGUGGACUGUGAUGCUCACAAAAGAGAAAAGGAAGAAUUCAAUAAUUCCUAAGAAUCCAUUUGCCUGUCAUCCAAAUUUUUAUAUUCUCUUCAGUCUGACGCGUUAUGCCAUAUAUUAAAAAUAGCGGCUUCUUCCAAGCCGAGACAGACUGUGCAAAGUUCGCAAGGCCAAUCAUCACCAUAAUCUGAAGUUGGCCUCCUCAAUCGCAGCUUGUAUCCGAAUGCUCACUUCACGGGAUGGAUUGUAAUGAAAACUAAUCUCAGUCCCAGCUAUGGCAGCAUCCUCACUUGACAGCAUUUUCUGCAUAUUCUAGAACAAAGCAAUAAACCCUCAAAGGCUCCUUCGGAUCAGAGUUAGAAGACUGUCCCUCAGGAACGUGAACACUAUGGUGGUUCUGAUAAGCAGUGAUAUUGCAUUAGAGCCUUUUGGAACAAGAGGAUCUUUUCAGGUGGAAACUGUAAACUGCUUCAUGUUGGGCUGCAACCUUUUCUUCAAGCAAUACUUUCUUUCUGUAUCACGACUUAUGUUGCUUCCGGAGCCAUCCCGUGUGGACUGCCCUUCAGUGAAAGAAUAUGUGUGUUGACAUGUUGGAUUGUAAUCUUUGUUCCACUCUAAUGGCUUUUGGUCCUCCUCUUUCUCUUUAUGACAGAGAACCAUUUAGUGAUCCAUCUCUAUAUUGUAGCAUUGCUGGUGCUUUGCAAUACUACACUCUCACCAAGCAUAACAUCUAUUUUUCCGUGACCAAAGUAUGUCGGUUUAUGCAUGCGCAAACUCUUAUUCAUUGGCAAGUUGUCAAGCGUAUCUCAUGAUUUCCCAAAGCCACAAGUUCUUAUGGUCUUUCUGUUCAAGCUUACAAUGAUCUAUCUUUUCUUGGUUAUACUGAUGUCGAUUGGGCUAGUUGCCCUGAUAACAAGCACAAUACUAGUGGGUACAACACUUUUCCUGGUCCUAAUCUCAUUUCAUGGGCAUUUUCAAAGCAGAAGGUUGUGUCUCACUCCAAUAACGAAUCUGAAUAUAGGGGACUCACUAAUUAAUGUUGUUGCCAAGGUCACUUGGAUUGAAUCUGUCUUACGUGAGUUGCGUGUUUCUCUACCCCAACCACCAAUUUUGUUGUGUGACAACAUUAGUGCUACACACUUGGACAAACCAUGUUGAAAUACACUAUCAUUUUAUCCAUGAAAGGCUUAUGCAUCACACACUCAAAAUUCAAUACACCUCUUCUAUAGACCAACUAGUCAAUGCUAUGACCAAAGCUCUUCCUUCAUCUCACUUGUACAAUCUUCAGUGCAAGCUGAUUGUUCUUCCCAAACCACUCAACUUGAGGGGAGAUGUUAAGCCAAUUUAAUAAAUUGAUUUCUUUUGGUUAAUUUGUUAGAAUCAUUUUUAUUAGAGGUUUGUUUGUACAAUUACAUCCAUUUAUCAGGAGAGUACACGUGUACAACUCCUCUUUUAAUCUCACCAUUGUAUAUAUAUGAUACACGACCUUACUCAGAAUUGCAUAACAUUUCCUCUGCUCAUUCCUUUUCUUCUUUGAAUUUUCCCUUACCUCACUGAUUUUGAUUUAUACCUGGUGUUUUCACCUUUGGUCUCUACCUUUCUAGCCAGUUUUCUAAUUAAUCCGUAUAUGGUAUACCUGUCAACUAAUGAGGAGAAAGAGAAAAGGGGAUUGCUGUUCCACCAGCUACAUAUAAUAAUUAAUUACAAUCAUGGUAAUGGAUCCUGAAAUCCAUCCUUUGUGGAUUUUGUACGGAAUAUUGUUGUUAUGUAUGUGGGCUCACUUAGAUGUAUAUUGCUAGCCUGUCUGGGAAAUGUGAUUGCAGGUCCAGAUUAUGAUGUUGAUAUUAGUGGGAUAAGCAAGAGAUGCAGUUAACACGUAUGUGAUGGACUUGAGUAACUUUUCCAUUUCAGUCCAUUUUUUAAGAUUAUGCUUAGUCUUAUUACAAGGAAAGACCAUAAGAAUCAUGAGUCAUUGGCAAGGUAAUAUCAUUCCCUCUUUACAGGCUUCUUCACCUUUUGGUUUUUUUAAUAUCCAUCAAGAUCUUUUAAUUGGAGGACAAUUACAAGUAUAUAUAUAUGUAUUAAAAGGGGAAAAUAUUAAAACAGGAAAUUUUAGGGAAAAUAUAAUAAUUAUUUCUUCCUUCUUUCCCAUAUAGAACUACACAAAAUAAAACUUUAAUAAUUUUUUCUUAUCUUUUUUAUUAUUAUUUUUUCUUAGAAACAUCCGUGGUCUCACAAGCUUGUAAUCCUAGAUUGUUAGGCUCCUUUAACAGUGCCCCAACAUCGUGGUCCAAUGACAAGCUUCCACGCCUUAAAAUCAGAAAAUGCCAUUAAACUUUAUCAGACAUUACAGUUCAAGACAAAGCUUUCAUUUGCUUAAUGUGAUAAUGAAAUUGUUAAUUUCAUUUCGUGGGCAUCUAAAUUUGGACGAGCAAGACCUCUGAAUUCCCUGUUUUUAUCACCAGCAGAGGAGAUAAAAUCUUAAUGGUGAGAAUCUCCACGUGAAAUUUAUGUGUACUGUCAACAUAUUUUUGUUUAUAUAGUCCAGUAGCUGCAGGAAGUCUAGAUUAUAUAGGUAGCAGUAGCACUAUUUAUAGCACUCGAUAUUCGCUGUAUGAAUACAUUAAACCUUGUUUUCAAUACGCAUCACAAGCAAGUACUAGAUACUACAAGGAGUGACAGUCGCAUCAACAUUUCUUGAUAAUAGCAGUGACUGAUUUAUACACAGAACAGUACUGUACACGUACCAGUCACCAGAGAUAGGAUCUUAUUCCUACAUACGACUCUUAUUGAUCGAAGUCACUCAGUUGGGGUAGCCUGGAGUUGGAGGUUUGUGUGGUGGCUUCUUCUUUGGAGGAGGCUUUAUCUUUGGAGGCAUCAUCUUUGGAGGCAUCUUGUGUGAGUCUUCUUCAGCAUUCUCUACAGGAGGAUGGCCAGGCUUAUGACCCUUAGGUGGUUUGCCAACUGGGAUUGGUGGCUUGUGUCCUGAGAGUGGCUCCUCUUCUUCGGGAGGUUUGCCAACUGACGUUGGUGGCCCGUGUCCUGGGGGUGGCUUGUGUUUUGGGGGUGGUUUCACUCCACCGGGAGGUUUACCAAUUGGUGUUGGUGGUUUGUGCUCAAUCGGUGGCCUCUCAACUGGGGGGCGCUUGGGGUAAUCAGCGAGUGAAGAAGUGGUGAGAACCACCACUCCAAGCAACAACACUAGCAAGUAUGUGGAAGACAUCUUUGAGUUUGGCUCAGAUGGUGUAGAACUAGAAUCCUGGGUGGCCUUUUAUAUUAGUUGGGCCCUAUGCCCGAACGACAAGUGUCAUGGUGACACAUAAAGUGAUGGGGUCGAUUUGGGCCUACCGGAUUUGAAAACUUGGACAAUUCGAGAAGCGUCUCCUGACUCCGGGUUGUAAAGUGAAAGAUUAGGUAUCGACCAUUGAAGUAUGAUCACAACUUUUGGCCUUUGGCUCUCUCUACUGCCGUAUAGCUUUUUUCCUUUGGAUAUUUUUCUUAGCUAGACACAAUUAUUGAGCAGUCUAAUCUCGAAAUGGGAUUAGUAUAGCUUUAAGCAAAUUUAUUAUAGUUAGUGGAGGACUUUUAAGAGUGCAGACGACAUUUAACACAUGCAUGCAGUAGUAUAGGGGACAUAACACUAUUCUUUUUCCAAAGAUUCACAUGAUUUUUAUAUUAUAGUAUUGGCACAUUGUAUGUAGCUGGUUUUGUGGUUAAAAUUCCAUAUGUAGACACUGGCGUUUCUCCAUUUCUCACAAUUGAUGUUUACCUCCACGAUUACUAGAUUAGAUAUACCAAACAAUAACACAUUGUAUAAUCUAUCCGCCCUUCAAAAUCUACUGUAUGAUGAAAUGUUUCAUGUGUGUGUGAAGUGUUAGAAAUGCACUAUAGGCAACAUCAUCUUCUUUUGUCUAGGCUUGGGCCUCAAAUUAUACUCCCAUGCCAUGAUAAAUUUUCAUGUGCAUUCUCUAAAGAAGAGUGUCUUGAAUGUGCCAAAUCAUUUUGAUUGAUUUUAUGAUGUUAAUUGCUCCGCAUAUGGAUGGGUAUGUGCUUUAUUUGCUUAUUCAAUCCACAAUUACCUUGAACUGAAGUCCUAUUGGAGCUCUAUUAUUUUAGCAACGUCCUGUCAAAUAGGCUGCUAACUUGGGGUGGUAUGGACCCAAUGAUCCAUCUUAAUCUUGGGUUGAUUUUGUCUGACUCUAUCUAUCUCAGAGAGAACCAGGAUCACCAGUGCUGGUCUGCUUAAAGAAGACUCAGUACUGGAUUAAUAUUGGUUUGGGUCAAUAGCUUAUAAUGCAUUGAAUGCAGAAUAAACAAGAUCAAUGAAACCCAAAACACACUGCCCACACAACUUCACUCUGGUGUCUGUUAUUCAUCAAUUCUAUUCCCACAUGAACUGGUUCAAGUUUAAGAAAAUGACAACGGAUCCACUGUAUUAACUUGGUUUUGCUUGGUUUUGAGCUAGUUGCCAAACCAGCCAUGAGUUUUACCUCUAAUGUCAAUGAACAAACCCCAAAUGAACAACUGCAACAGCUUAAAGAGAAGGAAUGGAGAUGAAAAUCCCUGUUUCUUCUCAUUCUGGGGACAAAUUAGAACAUAACUACAAAGGUUCUAUUAAUUGACUUACUCUACCAUGAAUUAUGGUUCUUUGGUUUUCCAAAUUUAAAUUGUACAUGAGAUUAUUUUUUUCCUUUAUAUAUAAACAUAUUAAGGUUUUCUUAUUUCGUGGGCAAAUGCGCUAAGGAUGAAAGUCAUUUCAUUUGGCUGCAACAGCAUCUUAUAAUCAACAUGCAUAAGCAGCAGUUUUAAUUGAUCGAUUGAACACCGACUCACAAGAAUAGAUAGAAUGGUACAAGACAGCUCUUAUUAAUUUAUACUCGUUACUCAUUUUAUGUAGCCCCAUUAAGAUGGCUGGCUGGACCACCGAGGUCUGGGGGUGGUGUUGCUUGUGUGAUGCAGCGGGCCGGGCAGACACUUCUCUAGUUGCUUCUAUUUGGAGUUAGAGGAUCAGUCUCUGCCAACCUUGAGGACUCUCUACCUCAGAGGGUCCAGGUGGUGGACUCUGGUGUCGGUAGCUUUGAACUCUCAGUAGACUAGUGUGUCUUAAUCAGUCACUGCCAGAGGCUGGCGUAGGCAGUGACGAUAAGGUGAGACAAAUUACCGAAUAGUCAAUAUCGACUGCACUUGACCAUUAUAGAUUUGUUCUGACAAAAGUGAGAAAAGGGAGAAAAUCGGAUGUUGACCUUUAUAGAAAAAGAUAAGAUUUACUGCAACACAGAGCACUGAUUUGUUACUUGGAAACCAAGUUAUGCUAUUAGCUAGCCUCCAUUAGCAGCAGGGUACCUUGCUGCCUGAUCCUAAUCUGAGUUCCCAAGGUUUCAAUCUUCGUUUGUUAACGCUUCAGGAUUUGGAUAUUUCAGCUUCGUUUCUCCAUUUAGCCAACGCUGCCUGGUUUGGAUUUCAAUCCUCAUCUGGAACAUUCUUUUUUCGGUCUGAUUCAGGAAGUGUUUGGUGAUAGUUGAUUAAAAUUAAACAGUACUAUCAUACAAAUAAAGCUGAUCUAAUUUUGGUGGGCAAUAUACCAACUCAUUUAUUCUUGAAAACACCAUGGGGAAUUGGAGGUCCAUCCGAAGUACUAUUUGAUGGGACUCACAAAAAGAACAGGUGCACAUUUAUGAGAUCCGUGGAAGAGAUAACUAUGACAGCUAUGCAUGUACAACAGAUUUAUGUCGAGUUCACCUCGUAGAUAUUUUGUUUUCAGUGUCGGUGGACCCCAAAAUGGAAAUCGGAAAUUAAGGUUAUAUUUAUUUUUUUAUUUAAUUUUAAAUAGAAUUUUAAUUUUUAAUAAUAUUAAGUAUUAAAUUAUUUUUUUAAGGGUAUUUUAUUUUUAUUAAGUAUUAAAAAGUAAAAAAAAUUAAUAUGUUGCUUUUUUAUUUUAAAAAAAUUAUAUAUUUUAAUUUUUUCUAUUUACUAAAAAGUUUAUAAUAAAUUAUAAAAAAAUAAAAAAAUAAAAAACUUAAAUUCUGAAAAUAAAUUAUUUUUAAUAAAAAAAUCCAAAAAAGCAAACACCACCUAAAUUUGAGAUGACUCAAAAUUUUAUAUUUUUUUUCACCUAAAUUAUAUUCAUAAAUUUAAAAUUAAAAAAUUAGGAAGUUGAAUUUUAUUUUGGAUAAUUGGAAACUACAAGAAAUCAAUAAAAAUAUUUGGAAAAAAAAGAAAAAGAAAAACUAUCUAUAUAUUCACCCCCUUCUAAGAAACAUAACUUUAGUUUUUAACUAUUUUUUAAAAUAAUUUUUGAAAAAUGUUAUAUAAUAUUUUAUAAAACAAAAAAUCUGUUUGACAAUUUGAUAUGUCUUUAACUUAUUUUUAAUAUUUAUAUAUAUAUAUUUUAAAAAUAAUUUUAUAUUUAGAACUUUAUCUUUAAUUAUUAUAUAUAUUUAUAUAAUUAUUUUUUUUAAAACAACUCUUAAAAAAUAAGUGAAAGUAAUUGAAAACAACUCAAAGAUAUUUGAUGAAAACACUCUAAUUUGUAUUUUUGAGAAUAAAAAAAUAAAUAAAUAAAUUUCUAGUUAUCAAAUGUAUUUUUUAAUUCUUUUAUUCUAAAAAAUAGAAAAUCGUUUUUGAAAAUAAUUAUUAAACAACAUUCUUAAAAAUUCACUCGUUACAAUCUAGAUUUAAUGCAAGAAUGAUUGAAGGAGUCCUCCAAUAGAACCCAAAGUUAUAAACAUGAACAAGAAGCCCUAGAAACACCAAAGAUCUCAUAUGGUAUAUAUAUGAGCUUGAUUGAGAACUGUUUUAAAUUCAGUUUUUUUUUUUUUUUUUUUUUUUUGUUUUCAAAGUCAAAACAAGUUUACUUUUAAUUUUUACUUCUUUUUUUUAAUUUUAUAAAUAACAGUUUUUUAAUAAUUUAUUUUGAAAACAUGAUUAUUUUUAAAACUUAUAAUGAAAAUAGGAAUUUUUUUUUUAAUAUCAUGGUUAUUUUCCCUUCUUUUAAGGAGGGCUAUUUUAAAAAUAAAUUUACAAAUAUGAAAAAUGAUUCAAACUAAAGCAGUACAAAUAAAAAACAUUUUUAAGAAAUAUUUAAAAAUAGAGAAAAUUAUUUGAGAACAUUUGAAGUCCUUAAAUAGACUUUUGUUUUAGAAAAGGCAAGAUAAUUAUUUUUGAAAAUUGUUUUCAUAAUGAUAUGCAAAAACCUACGUAAAAACCAUAAUUAUAAUCGGCCACAUAUCAAAUCUACUAAAUAUGAAAAGUAAGUACAUAAUUAUAUUUGACUUAGAUGCAAGGAGGAAAAUGUCGCGAUAUUAUCGCCGAAAUAUCGUGUGUCGAAGGGUAUCGACACGAUUUUUCUUGCAGAAAUAUCGGCCAGUCGAUUUUUCGGGAUAAAUCUCGAGAAAUCGGCAAUUUAUCGCGAUAUAUCGGCGAUUUUUCCUCGAUAUAUCUUCUGGUCAACGCGGGUCAACGGAGUCAACACGCUACAGUGAAAGUCAAAUGUGCUACAAUGUCCCCGCUACAAUCACCUCCCCAAACAAAUUGCCAAAUUGCUUCCGAGGGGAUUUGAACCAGCCUUCUUGCCAUUUGGGCUAACUCGCCCUUAUGAUAUAUAUUGCAUUAAACAUAUAUAUACUUAAAGUCCUUAUAUAAAGAAAAUGUUAAAAAAAUAUUUUAAAGAGCAAAUUAAUUAUAAUUAUUUUAUAAUUAAAAGCAAAAUUUUCUUUUAAUUAAUUACCAAAAAUAUAAAAAUUAUAUAAUUUUCUUCAUAAUGUUUUUAAUAUCAUUAAUAAUUAAUUAAAUAUUAAAAAAUUAUAUAUAUAUAUAUAUAUAUAUAUAUAUAUAUUAUAAUUUAUUUUAUAUUGUUUAAUACAAUUGAAUUAAAUGGAUCAUAUUUUAAUAUUAAUAUAUAUUUUAAAAUUAGACAUAUUGUAAUCAAAUAUCAUAAUAUUAUAUGUAAUUUAAUAAUAAAUGUACACUUAUAAAAUUCAUAUUUUUAUCGAUGCAUACAAUAUUAUUAUCAAAUAUGAUAAAUCAUGUUAUACAUAUAUCAAAAUUUUCAAUAAAAUAACUUUAAAAUGUCUAUUAUACUUCUAAUUAUAUUAUUAUGAGGUUUUCUUUACAUUUUCAUGAGUUUUAAACAAUUUUAAGCACCAAUAUUUUUUUCCAAAAUAUCCACCGAUAUAUCUCCGAUAUAUCCAAUAUAUCUCCGAUAUCUCCGAUAUAUCCGUAAAAUCGAAGUACCGAUAUAUCCGUGAUUACCGAUAUUUUCAUCAUUGCUUAGAUGCAACCUUCUUCCAAAUGACAUACUUUAGUCAAUACUUAUAUUUUUUCGUUUCACUUCUUUGAUACAACACCUCAUGGAUUUAUUGUUUAAUUUAUUUGUAAUUAUAAAACUAUUUUUCAUUUUUAAUAAGACUUGAAUUAAUUUAAUAAAUAUUAUAUAAUUUGAAUUUAUAAUUCUUUUUAUAAAAUCAAAGUAUAUUAAAAAAAAAACAAUUUAUCCGAAGAAAGUUUUUUAUUUUUUAUUUUUUAAAACCGAUUUUAAAAAUAACUAGCUAGACACCCUUAUUUUGAUAAAAUACGAAAUAAAAGUGUAAAAACAACAUGGCCAAAUAGGGGCUUAAAUUUUAUUUUUAAAACAUUUUUUUACACUAAAGUGCAUUUUAAAAACACCAUCAAAACCAACUACAAGUUAUGCUUCUUCCCGUAAUAGAAAUAUUUUAGGCCAAAAUAGAACCUCCCCAAAUAAAGACCCUAUACUAAACUCCUUUUCAUUUUAUUAAUACAAAAGUGGGGAAAAAAGGUCUAUGCUCACCUAAAAAACAUGAAUAUUGUGAAUUCACCAUUUCUAUAAGGAAGUUGAAAACUUCAAAAUUUUAUCAACAAAUUCUCUAAAAUCCUCAAAAUAUAUAGGGCCUGUUUCACAAAGUUUUUUAAAAUUUGUUUUUAUAAAUUGCUUUUAAAAUAUAGAAUAAAUAACAGUUUUUUAGAUUUUUUGAAAAAUAAGAGUGUUUGGUAAGAUGUUUUUUUUUUUUUUUUUUUUUUUAAGAAUUAAAUAAAAAAUAAAAAAAUUGUUUAGAUAAAAGAAUUUGUAUUGUUUUUAAAAACAAUGUCUUACUUUUAUGUUAUAAAAAUUUUAUUAAUUUAAUUUAUAAUAAUAUGAAAUGAAAUUCAAGUUAAGUCUUAUUAAAAAAUACAAAUUAAAUCUAUAAUUAUGCAUGAGUUAAAGAUAAAUAUAUAUUUUUUAAAACUAUAAAAUAAAUUUUCUAUUAUAGUGAAACAAAAAUUACUAUAAAAUAAAAAUAAUUUUAAUAUUCAUUUUUAAUACAAGUCAAAUAAGUACUUUAAUUAAUUUUUUUUAUCAUGAUUUCUUAUGUUUUUUUUUUUUUCUAGAAAUUAUUUUAAGUAAUAUAACUAAUUUUUUUUUUAAUGUUUUAUAAAAAUAAGGAUAUUUGGCAAGUUGUUUUUAUAAAAGGAUUUUAAAAAUAAAUGGAUUUUUUUUUUUUUUAAAAAAAGAACAAAAUGAUUUGUUUGAAUAAAUUGUUUUGAUUUUGUAAAAACAUUUUAAAUUCAAUUUAUAUAAUAUUAAUUAAUUAAAUUAAAUUGAAGUUUUAUUGAAAAUAAAAAUAAUUUUGUAAUUAAAAUUAGAUUAAAAAAUAUAUAGGUUUUAAUAAAUCGUAAAUAGUAAUAUUAUAAUAAAAUUAUAAAUUAUAUUUUUAACAUAAAAUAUACUAUUUAUUACAUAUUAAAAAAAAUAUUUUAUUAUAUUAAUAAUUUUAUGGUAUUAAUGAGUUUAUUAUUUAAGUUUUAAAUUAUUUUUAAAAAUUAAUAAAUUUGUUAACAAAUGCAAUGUACUAAAUGUGGUUUAAUUUGGAGUUAAUUUGUUUAGGGAAAAAAAUAAAAAAUAAAAAUCUUAUGUAAAAGAGAAAUAAUAGAGUGUGUGUGUUUUUUUUUAUUAUUUUUAAAAAUCAGUAAAAAGAACUUUUACUUAUUGCCUAAAAAUUAUUCUCUAUUUUAUUUUAUUUUUUAAAUCUAGAAAUAGAUAACAAUAAUAAAAAAAAUUAAAAAAGAAAAAUGUUUUUUAAAACUCAGACUUAUAAUUGCUUUUGUUUCUCAUUCGCACCCCUGGAUUCCUGGAUUCUAAACACAAAAUUAAGUUGAAUCGUCCAUCUAUCUUGUAAGCCAAGAAUUCACAUAGAAGAAAUAAUCGGAAUUUGAUUUGAUAUCAGAUUUAGAGUGGCUCACUACUCAUGCAUUGUCCCACAAUAGUAAUGCUUUGGGCCGAGAUAAACCCAUUUGUGGGCCCAAAUAAAACCCCUGGUUUGAAAACAUCGAUUUUACAGUGGCCCAAAAGAUUAUCUAUGAGGGGAAGAUAACUUGGAAGUCAAGCAAACACAUUUAUCGCUAACUUUUCUCUAAUUAUAAAAUUAUAACUUGGUCUUCUACACGUCUCACUUAAGAGGCGGAGCCACUUGGCACUACCUUUCCAUAUUGUAAAAGGAGAAGAAGCAGAAGGAGAAGAUUCUUAUGCCAUUCCACACACCAUGGCUAGUACUGCUAUGCUGCUUGGCCCGCCGGCUCUCCGCCAUCCUAAUUCUCCCGCCGGCACUGUCUUUGAAGAUGGGGUCAUUCUAACGGAUUCCCUGAUCGUCCGCACCAGUAAUCUGGAGCUUUCUGAAAAACCGCCACUGGAAUCCCUGGCGUAGUGCUCUGUCAGUGGGGAUAUUGCUAUGGAUUGUUUGGAUUCCCAAGCCCACAAUCUUCAUCUUCCCGGGAAACCGCCGAUGGGCUUAACGGAAAACAAGUCUCCGACCUUUUUGUCUUCCGGGAACCCGUGCUUGGACUUCUUCUUCCAUGUGGUUCCCGAUACGUCGUCUGAUGAUCUGAUCCGACGGUUUGAGUUGGCUUGGGAAUUCAAUCCGCUGACGACGUUAAAACUGAUAUGCAACUUGAGAGAGGUGAGAGGCACCGGAAAAUCUGACAAAGAGGGUUUCUACACGGCGGUUCUCUGGCUCCACGACCACCAUCCCAAAACCCUAGCCUGCAAUGCUAGGGUGUUGGCCAGCUUCGGUUAUUUCAAGGAUUUUCUCGAGAUUCUCUACCGGCUUCUGGAGGGCCCUAAAAUUCGAAGAAUCGAAAAGAAAGACUGGCUGGAUCGAAAAGGAAGGAAGAAAAAUUCCCGGAAAAGGAACUCAAUAUUCAAGCGAGAAAAUAGGCCUGGAGUUGAAUUUCCUGUAGAAGAGAAGGAUGUGGAGUAUAUGGUGGAAGAAUUUGUGGAUAAAGAAAAGGCUAGGGUACUGAGAAAGGAGAGAGAACUUGCUCUUGCCAAAAGAGCCCUGCACAAGUAUUCUACUGAUUCUAAUUAUCAGUUCUUACAUGAUCAGAUUUCAGAUUUAUUUGCUGAACUUCUGAAAUCUGAUAUUCAGUAUUUAAACUCCGGUGAGCUUUACAAGAUUAGUCUCGCAUCCAAAUGGUGUCCCACAAUUGAUUCUUCUUAUGAUAAAUCCACCUUGAUAUGUGAAAAUAUUGCUCGAAAGGUUUAUUCUCGCGAGGAAUAUAUAUCCAGAAUACCAAGGAAUUGAGGAGGCUCACUAUGUUAAUAGAGUCAGGGAUAGGUUGAGAAAACAAGUACUUGUUCCAUUACGUAAGGCCCUGGAGUUGCCAGAGGUUUUCAUGUGUUCGAACCAGUGGGGAUCACUUCCCUACAACCGUGUGGCUUCAGUGGCCAUGAAAUCAUACAAGAGCCUCUUCUCAAAACAUGAUACAGAGCGGUUUGGUGUGUAUCUUGAGAAAGUGCAAACUGGGAAGGCUAAGAUUGCAGCUGGUGCAUUACUUCCCCAUGAGAUUAUAGCUUCAUUGAAUGAGGAGGAUGGCGAGAAAGUUGCAGAGCUUCAGUGGGCGAGAAUGGUGGAAGAUUUAUCAAAGAAUGGGAGGCUCACAAAUUGCAGUGCGGUAUGUGACGUAUCAGGAAGUAUGAGUGGAACUCCAAUGAAGGUGUGUGUGGCUCUGGGGCUGUUAGUUUCAGAGCUCAGUGAAGAUCCAUGGAAAGGUAAUGUAAUUACUUUCAGUGCAAGUCCUGAGCUUCACAAGAUCCAAGGAGACAGCCUUGUAUCCAAGACUGAAUUUGUGAGGAUGAUGGAAUGGGGUGCGAACACUGAUUUUCAGAAAGUUUUUGACAGAAUCUUACAAGUAGCAGUGGAGGGAAAUCUGAGUGAAGAUCAAAUGAUAAAGAGGGUUUUCGUUUUCACUGAUAUGGAGUUUGAUGAAGCUUGUGGGAGGUAUAACUAUUGUGAAUAUGACUAUGAUAUGGAGGAAAUUGAUGAGAGUCAGAAGGCAUCUCAGAAGUGGGAGACAGAUUAUGAAGUGAUACAGCGGAAAUUCCAGGACAAAGGAUAUGGAAAAGUUCCGGAGAUAGUGUUUUGGAACCUUAGAAACUCAUCAGAGACUCCAGUGAUGGCCACAGAGAACGGGGUGGCCUUAGUAAGCGGGUUUUCGAAGAAUCUGUUAGACCUUGUUUUUGGAAGGAGGUGGAAUUCUGACCCCUCAGGAUGUGAUGGAAUUAGCCAUCUCUGGUGAAGAUUACAAGAAACUUGUUCUAUUUGAUUAAGAUAUCAAGAGAUUUAUCAAUAAUAAUAUGUUUUUUUUUUUCUAUGUGAAAUACAUGUAAUAUUAACUAUGGAGUUAUCAAAGUUCUGGAAAUUUAAUUAUUUCUUCUUUUCAAGUUUUGUUUGUCUUUGUUAGGAAUUCCCCUUGGGCGGACCCAGCUGGGGACUUGGAUUGAGGAAGUAAGGAGGCGAAAUUGUGUUCUUCUAUGGACAGAGAAAAAAGAUAAAAAUAAAAAAUAAAAAAGGAGGUUAUUUGCAUUUGGAUGUCAUGUGGUUUCAGGGUACAACUACAAGUUCGAAAUUGUACAUAAUGUGAAAAUUCCUGUGUGGAGAACAGCAUAAAUAUGUAUCUCAGUGUGUUUUGUUUGAGCUAAUUGGCAAAUUCGCUUUAAACAUGGUCACAUGGAUGCAUAUUUAUUUGUGAAAUGAUAGUAGUCGAUUACUUGGUCAGUAAGGUUUGUAUCUCUAACUCCAACAUCUUAUUGUAGUCUUUUAAAAUGUCAAAAGUUUAAUGCUAGCUUGAGAAAUUUUGGAAUGGAGACAUUCUAAACAAAGUUAAUAAUCCAUGAGACUUGGUAAAACCGAUCAGAUGAUGCUUACGUACAUGAAUGCCUUCUUUAAGCCGUAUCCUAUUUUCAUUGAAUGAGACGUGCCAUCUAGUUUUGUUCUUGUCUUGAUUGGAUCAUGAUCCCGGGAAUUGAUUACUGUUCUGAAUUUGCGAAUGUUCAAGGUAUUAGAGAAAGUUAAUAUUAUCGUUAAUUUACAUAUUAGUAUUUAUCUAGUUAUUAUAUAUUAGUUUGAAUUAUAAUAUAAUAUAGAAUUUGAAUCAAGUUUACUAUUAGUUUGAAUUACAAUAGGAAAUAAAGUUUGAAUUAUAGUAUAACUCAAAUAUAUUUGUAUAUAAAUAUCCAUCUUUAUCAAUGAGAAUAGUAAACCAUAUUUUUCUCUAUCUUCUUCUUUCUCUAUAUAUAUGGUAUCAAAGCCUCCAAAUCCUAAACCUAGUCUCAACUUAGAGCAAAUUUAGGGUGCAGGGUUUAGGCCCCGCCUCCCCCAACCCUUACCACAAAUGGUAGUGACCUUGUUAUGCCUAUGUAUUGUCAAUGCCUCAUUUUCUAUGGUCUUCAAUACAAUAUCUAGUUUCAAUGUCUCUUUCCUUACUAUCUCCAAUGCAAUAUAUUGAUUUCAAUAUCUCUUUACAACCAAGAGCUCCAAAUUUUCCUGGUUCAAAUCUACCAUAAUUUUUAUUCUCCUUUGCUUUUUACCAAUAUUAGUUCCCCUAAUUUAAUAUAUAUCUCUUUAUUACCUUCAACUCUACCUCUCUCUUUCUUUAAAAGCUUCCUCAAAGAUUUGAUUGCUUUCUUGCAUGUUUUGGGAAAACAAACAUGCUCAUAUUCUAUUACCUCUACUUGAGAUCUGCCUUAUACUCUACCUUCUUCUUUACCUCCUAUAUCAUCUACUACAUUAGCUUCAAAAACAUUAUUUAGUUUGAUGCUAAAUAAGGCUCCUAAUCCUACCCUUCCUUCAACUAACUUUCUUUUACAAGUCCCUCAAAGUUUUUUUUUUUUUUUUUUUGGAAAUUUGGCUUAGAAAGAUUUCAUUACUCUUACCUAAUCUUUCAACCAUCAAGUCGAAUCCACUUAUCUCUUGAAUCCAAGGAGACUACCCUCCACAAAAACAAGGAGAUUGACCCCCACAAUAACAAAGAGAUUGUCCUCCAUAGAAACAAAGAGAGCUUCCUUCAUGGAAGCCGAAUACAUCGCAAUCUAUUUUCUUUCUCUCAAGAUCAAAUCUCCAAUCGGAGCUCCAUCUUGUGGGGAUAUAUUAGAAAAAGUUAAUAUUAUCCUUAAUUUACAUAUUAGUAUUUAUCUAUAUUAUAUAUUGAAUUAGAAUAGAAUAUAGAAUUUGAAUUAAGUUUACUAUUAGUUUAAAUUACAAUAGGAAAUAGAGUUUGAAUUAUAGUAGAACUCAAAUAUAUUUAUAUAUAAAUAUCCAUCAUUAUCAAUGAGAAUAGUAUUCCAUAUUUUUCUCUUUCCCUGAGGCUUCAGAAUGUGAUCUUGAACAUUUGAUCUUUUGGAUUCUUCUUGUUUCGGUGGUUUAAUAUAAUGGAAUGUUUAAUUAUAGCCUACUUUAUCACCAUGGAUGUGCUCCUGCAGAUUUCUUGAGGGUGAUGGUUAUUUUGUCAUGUUUCUUGAAUGGUUUGCAUCAGCUGCCUGAGCUGUUGUUGCUGGUCACUUUUGCAACCAGGGAAAGAAUCAUGGCUUUGGAGAAGCCAGCUUCUGUUUUUGUUGCCCAGCUGUUAGUUCACUAAGAUUGGGGGUCCUAACAUGUAUGUAUAAUCAUAAGCAAGGAAAUUUUAUGUCUUACGCUAGAUAGGUACCAUGAUAUGAUGUUUGAUUGAUUUAUUAACUCUACCUGUUUCAAAAGGCAUCAACAUUAAUUUUACCCUUUUAACACAUUGGAUUGUUUGACCUUACGAGAUUUUCUAUUUCUGUACUAUUUGAACUGCAAUCGUUAUGGUCCUUAGGUCUCUAAACCUUCGUUUAAAAUAAAAGUAAGGAGCACACAUAGUAAAAGUUAAUUUUGGGUAACUUUUAAAACAAAGAGAAAAGUAAAAGUUGUUUUUGAGAAAAACAUAUAGAAAUUGAAAGAUUUUUUAUUUUGAGAAAAAAAAGUCAUAGAAAAGAAAUAAUAUCCCCAUAUAAGUAGAUAUGAUCUAUCCGAAGUGUAGCUACUCUCCUGGAUUUAUUCUAACAUUUUAAAAUUUUUCUCAAUGGGCAAAGGAAUAUCAAAUCAAGCUUGAGUAGGAUUAAUUUCUUAAUUUUUAAAAUAACUUAUAAUUAAAAUUUUUUGGUGUUUUCUUUUUUGGACAAUUUUUUAUGAAGACUCUGAAUCAUGCAAGAGAUAUGGUUAUUUUAAAAAAAAAAAUAAUUUAAAACUCAAAUACAUAAUCAAUGUCACAAAUUUAUAAACAAAAGGUUUUUAAAAAAUACUAUUAUUUCCCCUCUACACAUAAUUUUACUUUUCCGAUUUAUUUAUUUUUGUUGGAAAACAGUCUUCAAAUCAAGUAAAAUUAAUAUGUUAAAUUUGUUAAACAAAUAAAUUUUAAAAUACAAUUUGGAACUCAAAAAUCAAUUCAAGUAAUGCUAAAAUUCAAAAAAUCAAAUUUGGAAUAAAAUGACUUUGUAAAUUUUUUUACUAAACAAAUGAAUUUUAAAUCAAGUGAGAUUUAAUACAUUGGAUUUUUAUGAGAAUAGUAAUUUUAAAAAUUAAUUUGGAACUCAAAAAUAGACACAAUAAAUACCAAAAAUCAAUGAACCAAAAUUGGUUUGGAAUAACUCCAUAAUUUUUUAUUUAUUUAUAUAUUUAUUUUUUUGUGCACACGAAUUUCUUACUAAGCAUAUUGCUUCCAAAUUGAGAAAAAUUUACUAUUUAGAUUUUUUUAAUGAGUUUAAUGGUAUUUAAAAAUAAUUCAAAAAUUCGAAAAUUGACUAAUUUAAUAUUAUAAAUUCAUAAACCAAGACUAAUUCAAAAUGCAUUGGGGGCUAAGGGGGUUGAAAUUAAUGCUCCAUUUGGUUGUGGCCACCAAUUGGCAAUGGCCACCAAUCAACCAAUCAAGGUGGCUAAGGGGGUUGAAAAUAGGGACAAUGGGGUGGGUUUGGGACAGGACACUCAUAUCCCAUUCCCAUCCCAAUUACACAGUUAUUUCCCAUCCUUAUUCCAAACUUGUGUUGGGGCAAGUUGAUUUGUUCCCAUCUUUGUUAACGAAAUGACUAAUAACCUCAUCCUCUCCUUGUCUUAGAUGUACAUUUUCUCAAAUUUGGUCAGGUAUGAUUGAUUCAAGCCCUAACCUUAAUUGGUAAUGAGUGGAUACCACACCUAAUUGCAUUCUUCUUUCGUUGCAAAAUAAUGAGAUUAUAAUAAUCUAGCAAAUAAGAAAAAAUAGUAUGGAAGUUCAAAUUAACACCAUAACUAUCAAUAAUUUUAAGCUUAUAGAUGACUUAAAUGAUUGAAAACUAAUGCAAAAUACUAAAAAAAAAAAAAAUCAUCUAAAGAAUUCACAAGAGAAUAGAACGAACAAAACCAAAUAGGAACAUGGGUCAACAUUAGUUACAGAUUUUGAUCCCUUUCAAGGCCAAUCUUUGAACCAAGACUUCAUCAAAUCUACUACUUCAAAGGCUUUUGUGUUCUUCUUGAGUUGUACUCUGGAACAAAGACUUCGAGGUGAUGCUUUAGAUGAUUGCAUUACACAUAUUUAGGGUAGGGAGAUUGGAGAAGCUUGAAGAUGCCAACGAUGGGUACAAUUGAGUGGUCAAUAAGAACAAUGUGGCCUAUGACUAGUUUGAUGUCAUGGUAUAGGAGUUUUGGGCAUUGAGGUGAAAGCAAGAGCAACAUGGAAUUGAUUUCAAAGUCUUUCAAUUAGUGUAAAGGAGGAAGAAGAAGUGGUAUUGAUCCUAGAAAUAGUGUUUUAGGUGUUGCAUUAGAGGAAAAGAAAAAGAAAAAGAAGGAACCAUUGGAAUUAGUACGAGUGUGAAGAGAGAAGUGUAUACAUAAGGGGAAGUAAAAGCAAAGUUCUAAAAAUUUAUUUUUUUAUUGGUGGUGUAUGGUUGCAUGAUUAUCCCUAUAAAUAAUAGGAGUUUUUUGGUGUUCUACUAGUAGUUGAAGGAUAAUUUCAUAAGAUAAUAUUUAGAGCGGGGUGGGGUGAGUUGUGACAAAAUCCAUACCCGUCCCAAACAUUGGUUCAGGUUUUUAAAAUAUUUUCAAACUUAUCAUAUACCCAAUUUUAUAUUUCAUACUUGUCCUAAUAGAGACAGGUUAGUCAGGGUUACUUGAGUAGCCUACAAAACUAUCAUCCCUAGUUGAAAUGCUCUUUUUGGCAGUGGCAGCUAGAAGCUCGAUCGAUUGACCUACAAGACUAGUUGUCAUCAUUUUAAAAAGAGUUUUGGCUUUGGUUGUGAGUGCAAUUGAAUCUAAACUAACAUUUCCUUAAUGCAUCUACUUCAAUCCUAAACUUCUUACUUAAGCCUCAAUUGUUGUUAAGAUUUUGGAAAACCCAUUUCCUUAAAUUGUAAAUUUAAGAAAAAAAAAAUUAAAAGUGAGACAUUUCUUGAUUGAAUGUUGUUAAAGGUCCCUUGGAAUUAAGACUUGGUUGAAGCCUUGGAAGAUUAGCAGAACUCUCAACUUAUGUUUGAACCUUGAGGAGAGUGGACGUAGGCCAAAAUUUUGUCAAACCAUUAUACAAAUUGAGUUUGAAUUCUCAUUUCUUGAUUUCUUAUUUAUUUGCUUUUUCUUAUUAUUACUUGAAUUGUCAUUUGCAUUCAUUAAUGUUAAAAUUGGUUAUAAUUAGCCAACACUAAUUCUCUUUCCCCUUCCCUUAAUUUCUUGGGUGUAAACCUAGGUUGGAUUAACUAGAUUUUAUCAAAUCUAUUAAGAUGGUAAAAGAAUAAUUAUUCUUAACAUACAUAAGAUCAUCUUCAAUCAAAUGACUCAUUGGCUGAUAUGUUGAAUUUGCUUAUUACUUGCAACUCAAAAUUGUGUUCUAGUUGAUAUGUCAAGUCCUGAGUGUAUGGACAUUAAAUUUGUAGUACGUGAUGAGUAUUUAGAUGGUCCAAUUCCAAGAAAGUGAUUGAAAACUAGUUCAAGAAAGGUGCAAAAGGGAAUUGUUUUGGUAUUUUCGUUUUUAUUCUUGAAGGUGGCAGAGCUAAAAUUUGAGAAAUCAAGCAAAACAUACUGAAAUUACAUUGAAAGAAAGAAAAUGGGAGUUAAUGUCUUGCAGUACAUGAUAAGGACUUCAUGCAUGUAGUGUGACCCAUGUCUUGGACUGAUGCCACACUCACGGUUACACUUAUACCCUUAGUUCUCUCUUUACUACCUUAGCUAACCUAGAUCAGGUUAUGAGAUAGGCACCUCACCACACCAUUACUUGCCCAUUAAUUAGUGACAUUUUCAAGCAAUGAGGUAACAUGGUGACACCAAGAGGGUAUAUUCCUCACCCCCAACAAGCCUAGACCUGGUCUAAAAAAAAUGGAGAAAAAUGACGUGUUGUUAUGCAGAAAUAUAGCAACCAUGCCUUCCUCAUUACUUAGAUUCAGAAUGUGAAGGUGAAAUUGAGAAACAGAAACUCUUGAAACCAAAAUGAAAAUUGAUACUUUUACGAAGAAUUACAACAACAUUAGAGGAAGACUACAUUCUUCCUCUUUAUUCCUACAUUUCUACACUACUUCUACUCCACUCCAUAUUUCUACAUACAUCUUUAAUCAGUCUUCCCUCCUUUAUAUAGAGCCAUCUUCACACAAAUUCCGCAAGGUAGAAAAGAGGAAUGAAACUUGGAGCAAGGUUCGACUACUGGCUGUAGCUUGUCAAGGCUGAAAGUGAACUUUUUUUCUUGGCUUUUCUGGGCAUAGGUAGUAACUUGUAGGUUCCUUUUUGGAAUGAAAAUGGUACGGCUAGAACAUGUGGCACUCUCUUGUUGGAUGAUGUGUCAAGCAUGUGGCAGCCAUCUAGUGGAGAUUAUGUCAAUUUUGGGAUGGAGAGUUGGCAUCCAAUUGCAAAGAAAUAUGACAUCUACCAACAUGCAAUGUCAACCUAUGUAGAUCAUAUGAAGAUAGAGAGGAAAAAUAUAGAAAUGGAUAUAUAACUAGAACUAGCUUUUUAUUAAAUGAGACGGAGAGCCAACAAUGAAGGAAAAUCAAAAUUUUUGGCUCAUAUCAAAGAAUUCACAUUGUGUUACCCUAGGUUUUCUUAAAACUUACUUUUAUGAUAAUAAAAAAUCAUUAUUGUUUAAUCCUUUGUUUUAAACGCAUGUUUAGCAGGUUGUAAAAUGUAAAUAUCUUUCGAAAUUCAAAUAUGAAGAUAUGACAUCAUUUCAAGCAAUAUAGUCUCUAGGAAUUAAUGUAAAGCUAAAUUAAGGUGCAAUUAAGUUAGUUCAAUGCAUUAUUUUAAGAAACUUGACCUAUCAAAACCUUGUCUUACUUCAAAGCCUCUUUUUCUUUUCUUCCAACUAACAUUUUAAUAAGUGAUCGCAAAAGUACAAAAUUAGAUGAAAUCCAUUUCAAUGGUUAAAAUGAUCAAAUUCAAACUUUUUCUAAGUAUCUUUUAAAAGCAUCAAUAUUGAAAGACAAUUUUAUAUUUAGUCAAAGCUUGGACAGAGCCAAAAAGCACACAAAAAUUUAUAUUUUCUAGCUCUCUACCUUGGAUGGUCUCUUGAUCCUACUUGGAGAUGUGCAUAAAUAAAAGGAUUUGAAAAUGACAAUUGACUAAGUAUGUAGUCAAUCAAUUACUCAUUGAUUGACUAGUUGAUCAAUUAACUUUGCAACAUCAUAUGCAAUCCUAAUAGCUAGUCAUCUAAUCAACUAGGUAGUAAAUCAAUAGGCCAAAAAUAUGUUUAUAAUGACUAUUUUGUACAAAAACCACUUAUAUAGUUAAAUAUAAUGCAUUUCAUUUAUAAAUCUUCUAAUUCUUGAAUAACAAUCCUAUCAUCCUUUGAAAGUUUUUAUUACACCUUUUCUACAUUUGUUCUAAAACUUAUACAUCACCCUUAAUUGUACCAUGAGAACCUAGCAUUUUUUUUUUUUUUUUUGUAUUUCAUCAAAGUUAGCUCUUGUACUCAUUGUUGUAUUAUUUUUAUUGUAACUUAGAGAGCGAGUGUUUUCAAGUGAGUGAAAUUGACUUGUAAAUAUUGUAAAGAUUCAUUGAUAUGUAUCUCAAACUAGGUGUACAAGUUGAAACAUUUGCUAGUAGAUUUUCUCAAGAUUUAGAAUGAGCUUAAGGCUAUCGAAUUAGGUGGGGUUGCGCCAAACCAUAUCACAUCGUUGUUUGCACCUUUUUUUUCACUCUCUUUUACUUAGUUGCUCUAUAUAUAUUGUCUAGCAAUAUCCUAAAGGCUUGAUGGGCUAGGGAGCAUCCCUCUGAAUGAAAAAUUUUCAUUCAAUUCUUAGUUGUAUUACGCAUAUAUAAAAUGCCUCAUUGUUUUAAUGGUAUUCAGUCGUGGCACCACAGAUAUGGACAUCUAAAUUUUAAAAGUUUGAAACUUUUAGCUAAAGAAAAUAUGGUGCUUUGCCUUUUUGGAAAGCAUGUUGAUGAAAUCCAUGAGAAUUGUAUACUUGGAGAGCAACAUCGAGAUAACUUUUUUUUUUUCUUUUUUUAUAAUGCAUUGUUUGUCCAAAUUCCGUACAAAUUAGGCCACCACAUGUUCAUAAUUCUCCCUUCUUGAAUUUGAAAACUCGGACAAUUUGACAAUGCGACACCUAAGUCCGGUUUUUAAAUGCUAAAGUGAAAGGGCAGGUAUGGACCAUUGAAAUGUGAUAACAACUUUUGGCCUUUUCCUUUUCUCUGUAGCCAUGUUGUCUCUUUUUAAUUUCUUUUGCAUGAUUUUCUUACCUAAACAGAAUCAUAGACUUGUUUAAUCUCUAAGUGGGAUUUCAUCCACCUUAAGCUACUGUAUUAUAUCUCGGUGGAGGACAACCGACAUAGAGCACAUGCAAGUGGGUAUAUGGGACAUGAAAUAUCUUCUUAUAAAGCUUGUUUUGCAGUUAAAUUAAUUGGAUAAGUAGACACUGGCGUUUCUAAAUUUCCCACCUAAGAUAAUGACCUUAUCCUUGACUGCUAGAUACACAAACAAUUAUACCUUCAAAAUCUACUGUGAAGUGCUUCAUGUAUGUGUGAAGUAUUAGAAAUUUCUUUCUUGGCAACUUGUUUUUUUCUUUGCGGUCUACUGAUAGGUUUGACUAAAAUUAUAUUCCCUGUCCUGCUAAUUAAUUUUCACGUGCAUGCUCAAAAGAAGAGUAUGACCUUAGUGCACCAAAAUCACUUUCAAUAAUUUGUGAUAAGUUUUUUUGCAUGACAUUAACCUUAUUCAUUUAGAUAAUGUUUAGUUCUCAUAAAUAUUAAGAAAAUGAAAAUAAAUAUUAAGAAAAAUAUUCUUAUAUUUGAUUGUAUUAUGAAAAAUAUCAUAAAAAAUCAAAUAUAAUUAAAAUUAAUUAAUAAUUUAUAUAUUUUAAAAUUAUUUAAUUUUUAUAUUAAAGAUAUAAUAUAAAUGAAAUGAGUUUUAAGUAUUAUAUAAAAAUGAUUUAUUUAUUUAUUUAUAUAUAUAUAUAUAUAUAUAUUUAGUUUUUCUCUUUAUUUUAUUUUCCUUAUGUUUUCCUCACAUUUUCCGGAAUCAAAGAUAGGGAAAUCCACAAUUACCUUCAACUGAGUAGAUUCUAUUGUUUUAGCAAUGUUAGGCUGCUAACUUGUGGUGGUACGAACCAAAUGAUCCAUGUUAAUCUUGGCUUGAUUUAAUUUGGCUCUAUCUCAGAGAACUCAAGGAUCACGUCAACUCUGGUUUCUACUAUUCAGGUCCAUUCCCAGAUGAACUGGUUCAAAUUUGAGAAAAUGGUAACAGACCUUUAGUGAUAUUGGUUUGGAGCCAGUUGCCAAACCUGCCCUGAGCUUUACCACUAAUGUCAAGGGACAAAGCCAUUUGAACAAAAACAAUAGCUUCAAGAGACUGAAUCGUGGAUGAAAUCUGAUCCACAUUUCUUCUCAUUUUGGGAAAAAAUGAGGACUUAACCACAAAGAUUCUACUGCCUCAUAGUGCUUUUCCUGAUCUAAGGUUGGCUCGUUUCCCAAAUUGUGAGGUGCACGUGCCACUCUCACGCUCAGGAGUGUAUCCACGUGGUGGACAUAAGAUGGUGGCUUAAUAUCUGGUGUCGGUGGCUUUACUUUACUAGGAGAGUAGUGUGUCUUCAUCUCAUUCACUGCCAGAGGGUGGCGUAAGCAGUGACGCUAAGGUGGGGCACAGUCAAUAUCAUUUGCAUUUGACCAUUAUAAUUUUCUCCCGGCUUUAAAGUAACCUUAUCGUGAUAAUGGAUUACUAGCACUAGUUCAGAUGACAGUCAUGUUAAAUUCGGACCAUGUUUGUGUCACAUUAUCAGCAACCAUGUGCUUGUGGUUCAUGCUAUCUGCAACUAAACUUGAUAUAUAACCAGGUGAACUUCAAUCUAAAUUCUGGAAGUACUCAUGUGAUAGAUGGUGCCUGUCUGCAGUGAGUGUAUCUAUAAGAGGGAAGGCUUGGCAAAUGUUCAGUUUUCUGGGAAUUCAACAGGGAUCUAAAAUAGAUUGUUUUCUUUGCUGAUUUCAAUGGUUGAAAUUUGAGAAGAUUGUGUCCACAUAACACAACUAUUACUGGUCCUUCUGUUGCAAUUUAUCCUCUAAGGCUCUAACAUGUCUUCCAAUUCCCACUUCCCACUUCCCUGUUACUCCAGGAAAGCUGUUUCUGUCAUUGUGAAGAAGAAAAGAGACUGUACAUAUCGAUGCUUUUAAGUGGACUGGAGAAUUCAUAUCAGGUGGUCUGCAGCCAUACAUGCCACUUUGUGAAGGUUGGAACAGUCAAUCACUAGGCUAUAUUAGUGGGGCCCAGCCACUUCAAUCAAGGACAAGUCUUCAUACUUAAAGUCAAAUUCUGCCUUUAGUCUCAUUAUAAAUUGCUGUUUAAAUAUCAAGCAAACAUUUGUUUAAUGCGAUUAAGACAGCACUAACUCAAUACUUGUUCUAUUUUUGGAUGCAAAUGCUUGAUAGUUUCAUCAUUGGAGGGGAUAAAGGUGCAUUCAUGAUUAUGAAUACUUGUAGUUAUAUUUUCAUUCUCUUUUUUCUCAAUGGGACUUGUUGGCACAAUUUUGCUGUUCAGAAACCUACCUCUCCAUGGAAAAUCAGUUGUGAUUGAUAUUACUGGAUAUAUUCAAGAAAGCUAAAUGUAGAUAGCACAAAAUAUUAUCGACAUAAAUAGCAUUAACAGCGUACGUAUGUCUCAAUGCUCAUCAGCUAUAAGCAAGGGGCAAACACUUACUAUGAGCAACUUACGUCAAAAUUCCGGAAUAGGACAUAGAAGUGACAGGUCAGUAAAUAUAGAACACUGCAUAUGAGUCACAAGAAAGGAAAUUACGGGUACAUAGCAGCUCUUAUUUUACAUCCUACUCAUACUGAUCAAAGUCACUCAGUUGGGAUGGGUGGGAGUGGGAGGUUUGUGGGGUGGCUUGUGCGGAGGAGUUGGCAGCUUCUUUCCAGGACCUGGUUGCUUCUCUGCUGGAGUUGAAGGAGGCUUAAUCUUCCGAGGUGGCUUGUAUGAGUCUUCAGCAUUCUCAGCAGGAGGGUGACCAGGGUUGUGACCACAAUGUGGUGGCUUCUCUCCCUUAGGUGGUUUGCCAACUGGGGUUGGUGGCUUGUGUUCCGGAAGUGGCUUCUCUUUGUGUUCAGGAGGUGGCUUCUCCACUGGAGGCUUGUGUUCAGGAGGUGGCUUCUCCACCGGAGGCUUGUGUUCAGGAGGUGGCUUCUCCACCGGAGGCUUGUGUUCAGGAGGUGGCUUCUCCACCGGAGGCUUAUGCUCUGGUGGUGGCUUCUCCACCGGAGGCUUAUGCUCUGGUGGUGGCUUCUCCACCGGAGGCUUAUGCAAUGGUGGUGGCUUCUCCACCGGAGGCUUGUGUUCAGGAGGUGGCUUCUCUACCGGAGGCUUAUGCUCUGGUGGUGGCUUCUCCACCGGAGGCUUAUGCUCUGGUGGUGGCUUCUCCACCGGAGGCUUGUGUUCAGGAGGUGGCUUCUCCACCGGAGGCUUGUGUUCAGGAGGUGGCUUCUCCACCGGAGGCUUGUGCUCUGGUGGUGGCUUCUCCACCGGAGGCUUAUGCUCUGGUGGUGGCUUCUCCACCGGAGGCUUGUGUUCAGGAGGUGGCUUCUCCACCGGAGGCUUAUGCUCUGGUGGUGGCUUCUCCACCGGAGGCUUGUGUUCAGGAGGUGGCUUCUCCACCGGAGGCUUAUGCUCUGGUGGUGGCUUCUCCACAGGAGGCUUGUGUUCAGGAGGUGGCUUCUCCACCGGAGGCUUAUGCUCUGGUGGUGGCUUCUCGAAUGGGGGAUGCGUAGGGUAAUCAGCUAGUGAGGGGGCGGUGAGAACCACCAGGCCAAGCAACACUACUAGCAAGUAUGUAGGAGACAUCUUUGGGUUUGGGCUCAGAUGGUGCAAAACUAGGAGAAUUGGCUAGCCUUUUAUAGCGGAUCGUACCCAAUAAUGAAAUGACACGUGUCAUUAUGACCCAUGUGUCAUGUGGUCGAUUUGGGUCCUACAGUGUUGAAAACUUCGACAUCCACUUUUUUGGCCUUUUGCUUUCUCUACAGUCGCCUUGCUUUUUCCCUCUUUUCUUUUGUUUUCCUCCUGCCCCAUUCUAUCAACUAAUCACAAUUAUGUAGUUGUUUAAUUCUUAAAUGAGAUAUUAUCCGUCAAUCAUAUUAUCUUUUAUCAAGAGAGAACGGAGUGAAAAGUGGCAAUCCAAAGAAAGAAGAUCCAUAAUGCAGCUGUAAUUUUAUCGUUUACUUUUAUCUCUAGGACCACUGCAUUUUUGUUGAGAGGUGCAAUAAUACACGUCUUUAUCUGCCAUUCAAUGUUUACAGUAAAGAGAGGGCACAAAACUCUUCACUGCUCUGCAUGUGCCCCAAAAAUGCAAUUGGACAAAUUAUGAUUUGCAUGCUAAAAAGAGGCAAAUGAGGUUAAUUAGCACCAAAAUUAUUUUGUUUUCUGGACACCCCGGGGCCCUUUGGUUGGUUUGGGGGUCAGAAAAUGAACAUCAUAGGGGGUUUUUCCCUAAUGUGCAUUUGCAUUUGUAUCUGAUGGCUUUAACUCGCCUUGUUACUACAAAGAAAUUGUCACAGAUAGGAACUUAUUCCAGGCUGAGUAUCUCCGCAUGGACCCUAUAAAAGAAGACAAGUCAUAAUGAACAUCUAACCUUUGUUCAAUUUGAUUCAAUGCCCCUAUUGUGUCCAUCUCACAAAUCUGAAUUAUUAUAUCCAUUGAAUACAUAAAUUAAUGAAGAAAAUAUGAAACCCAAGAUACAUCUCUGCACAACCUCAACCCUGGUUGCUAUGUUUCACUUCUAUUCACAUGAGGAUAUUGAUUACGGAAUAAGGAAACCUAGCAAGGGUUUACUCGGCUCUGGUUUGAUGCUAAUUGCCAAACUUGCAACAAGCCCUGAGUUUGACACCUAAUCGAUGGGCGAAUUAAAAGUCUCCUCCAAACAUAUAUUCCACAGCUUGAAGCUCACAGAAGAUGCUAUACAGGCAGGGAAAAACCUUCAGAGUUAGCUACCAAAGAUAAUUAUCAAGGAGAUAUCACCAAGAGAAUUCCAUGGAGUCUGAAUCAAAGACAAAUUGCUCGCUCGUGGGGGUUCUUACUUAAUUUCUUUUGGGUAUAACUCACUGAGGGCACUGGCUUUGUUAUUUGCAUUUCGCAUUUAGAGUUCUGUUCUGGAAGGUUUGUUCUGGAAACAUAUAAAAGGAGCAUCAUUUUGUUCUAGGGUAACCCAUAGUUGUGAGUGGGUCCAUUUGCAUGCUACUUAGUUGAAAAGUUGGACAAUUUGCUCCGACGCCUACCUCCUGGAUUCCAUGCUCGGAUAAAGCAAGAAUAAUAAAAUAUUUAUAAUUUACAAAUGGGGGAAAGAAAAAAAUGUCAACAACAAACUAGGAAAAAAGAGUAGUAAAAUUUAUGCCACAUGCUAUUGAUAGAAGGGGCAUGUAUUAGAUCCAUCACCAUUUGGUAAGAUUUUAGUAUUAUAUUUUUCAAGGUUCAUUAUUUGAGGGUGUGUUCUUCAUCUCUGUUGCAUUGCUUCUUACUAGGCCCACUGAGGUGGGUUCUUCACCUUUUGUAUAUUCUCUGCACUAGAUCAAUGAGAAAGGGGGAAUUUUGGUGAAUUUGCAGCCGUUGGAUGAUUGAUUCUAGGCUCAGUCCACCAAUGAUGCUCUCUUCACUCUUUCUCAUCUAGUGUCAUUCACAACUAUGUUUUGAUUCAUAUUUGUACUAUCAAAGAUAUCUCAUUAUUCUAGCUCAUUAGGUAGAGUUCCUAAUCUUCCUCCUUUUUGGUCUAUGGACAGUAUUGGCUUCAUAUUAAGAUCAUGUUUCAAUAAUUGCACAUUAAUGAAUGGAUCAUGACCCACAUAAACAGAGUCAGGGUUGAGUCAGUGAACCCUAAAAUUUCACAAUUCUAAAUUUGGGUUCUUUAACAAUGCAGGGUCAAGGACGCGUGGUGAUGAAGGAAAGCUGGUAAGCUCAGUGUUACUUCAAUUCCUGCCAUGUAGGAUGGUGAGGAGAUAUUCACUAUGCAAUUAAUAAUAGACAAUAUUCACUAUGCAAUAAUAAAGCAUAAAUUAAGUUGAAUGAAAAGCAUUUUCUUUGCAAGGAGUUGAUUUUGGUUUCAUAGUUUGUUCAACUGCUAUUUUGGAUAGGAAAGUGUGAGGAGAAGAAAAUAAAAAAUAAAAAUAAAACAAAAAAUAAAAAAUAGAUUUUAUAAAUUCAUUUAAUUUAUUUUUUUUUUAUAAAAAUUAACUAAUUUAAAAUAUAUGUAAAUUUCUAAUUAAUUUAAUUACAUUUUUUUUUUCAGUUUUUCAUAAUAAACCAAAUAUUAGAAAAUUAUUUUUAUUAAGACACCCAAGAUGAGGUAAUAUGCAAUGAAAACAUGAAUUAUAUUAAAAUUCAAAACAAAUUAAGAGAAAUCGGAAAAUAUACAUAGAUAUCUAAACAAAGAAAUUUAAAGAGAAGGAACCACAAACUUUAUUUACAUAAUUUGAAAAUAAAAAACAUAAAACAUACUUAUAGUAAGGAGAAAUUGAAUAUCUUACAAUGGAAGAAGGGAGAAAAGCUUUGAAGAAAGCUUUUGCUUGGAAGCUUACAUGGUGAGAGGUAGAGAAAGGAGAGAGAGAGAAGAAAAUGAAAAAUGAGAAGUGGAGAAAAUUGGAAGUUUUGUGUGCUUACAACUGAGGAUAGAGCCUCCUUAAAUAGCAAAAAAUGGAAUAUUAAAUAGUACCAAUCAGGAGACAAAAUAUUGUUUGCUUUUGAAACCCGUGCAUGAAUAGUAAUCCCGUGAGUGAAUAGUGAAUAAUAAAAGUGAAUAGUAAAAGUCACUUUCUACUAUAGCACUUUAGACUUUUUCAUCGAGAAUCUUACUUUCGGCUGAGUGAUGAUAGCUGAUAGGUUGCUUUGGAUUGUGGAGUCAUAUGUUUGAUGUUUUCGGUGCUGAAACCGCUUAGUUGGAGAAUAAUCUCGUCAGUAGAGCAUCAUGAGAAGCUUGAAUGGAGAGAGCUUAAUGAUGCCAUAUGAUUGGAAGGAAUCCUAUUUUAAUUUCCUUAUUGGAGGGAGAAUACCCUCACAAUCAUCUUCAUUAUCUUGAAGGUAGUUUGAUAUAGAGUCAUCUGACUCAGCAUAAGAGUCCUCUUGGGAGAAGCUUGAACUGCUUUUGUCAAGGAUUUUCUGAAAUUCUUGAGGGGUUUUUGCUAUUGCUAACAUGGUUUGGAGUUGCUGUUUCUUAAGAAGAAACUGUGCAAUAUCAUAAGAUGAUGAAGCUUGUGUAGGAUGCUUUAGGAAAUAUUGCUUUAUUGCUUGUAGUGAGGUAUCAUUUUUCAAGGCAUCCCACCACUUAGACUUGAAAGUCCUUCCAAGGGUUGGAAAGGCUGCUGAUUCAUCUGCUAUAAUGAUAUAAUCCCACUGGACUAUCCAGGCAAGGCCAAAUUCACUAAAAAAGAAUAAUAAUUGGGGAAAACUGAAAGUUCUCUAGGGAUAACAAAAGAACUUUGGAAUAGCUCAAAGCCAUCCAAAAUGGGUUUUGGGAGAAUUUUAAUAGUUGGACCAAAAUAUGUCCACCAAUUGUGGAACCAAAAUGGAAAAGAGGGGAGUUGAUGCUUAGAUGGGAAAUAGAACAUCCCUGAAUGAUGGAAGUCCUUGUUCUGGAUCAGAAAAGCAUUGAACCAUACUCUUUGGUAGUCUCAAUAAUUGAAAAUUUUAGGUUUUGAAGGCUUAGAAAAUUCUCUUGAAAAAUUAGGAUUCCCACCCCACUGCUUAACUGUAAGGAUUUUAUAAAUAUGGUAAGUGGAGAAUGCCAAAUCCAAAUUGCUGAAUUUAUCAGCAUUGUGCUUGAUUUUAACAGAGCCGGUUUCCAUAAGGAUUGCUUCAUAAAAUUCUCUUGUUUUUAAAAGAUCACCAAAGGGAUAAUGAAAAUUUUCAUGAAAAGCUUUUGCUGCAAUAUCUCUAGGGUUUUUAGAGAAAAACUCUUUUUCAAUAACCAAAAGAGGUUGAUUUAAAUCUUUUUGCCAAUAUCUUGCUUUUGCUGAAAGAGGUGUGGGGUUGGCUACCACCACAAUUUGCUUAUUUGAAAAAGAAGAGCUUGAUGCUAAUUCAUUUUGAGAGGGAUUAGCUUUAGUAACCUGCUUAAAGGUCUGAGACACAGUAAUAGUUGGAUACUGAGUAGCCUUGACUGGUUUAGAAGGAUUCGAAGGAUCAUAGUACAAGGACAAAAUCUUAUUAGGCAUAUGGUCAGAAGAAUGAAGCCUUGCUUCUUCUUCUAGCUCAACUUGUUGGCUCCAAAGUAUUUUAUGGGGAGAAGGUUCUUUGCUGGUUUUAGAAGACUAGGAUUCUGGAAGUUUAGGAGCUUGGGUAUUCUUUUUAGGGGCCAUGGUUUCGUGAAUCCUGUAAAAUUCACAAGUUAAGAAAUCAGGGCUCGAAGAAUGUUCUCCUUUAAUAUACUCAAUUUGUAAAUUAAAAUUGCUUAAAAUAGCUUGAUAUAUAGCAAAAAUAUGCUUAGAAGUUAUAUUCUUAACAUCCUUUUGUAAAACUAAUUUUGCAAAUUUACAAUCAACUCUUAAUAAAAACUUUUGAUUCAAAAGAUCAUCUUGAAAUUUUGAAAUGCAUAAAACAACGCUUAAAGUCUCUUUUUUAAUGAUGUUAUGAAUGAGUUGGGUAGUAUUCCAGGUUCUUGAAGUAUACCUAACUAACAUCUCAAGGUUACCAACACUUUGCUUAAGAAUCCCACCAUAACCUAUGUCUGAGGUAUCGAUCCCAACAAACUCAAAGGUUUCUGGAUUGAUAGAGCCUAAACAUGGUAGGGUCUUGACUUUGGACUUAACAUCAAUAAUGAAAACAAUGGUGAAAACAGAAAACUGGUUAAAGUUUUCAUCCAUUAUAUUCUGGAAUUCUGAGGUGCAUUCUUAAGAUCAAAGGGCAUUAUGAACCAUUCAUAAUGUCCAAGAGAUACCACAAAGGUGGUCUUAUUUGGAAUAGGACACCUAAUCCAACUUAAUGUAUCAUUAAGAGGCAUGUAGUUGACGACUAGUCUAGGUGUUCCUUUUUCUGAUUCAACUUGUUCCUGAACAUAGAAGGUUGAACAACUCCAAAGGGACUUAGACUUCCUUAUCAACUUUUUAUCAAGAAGAUCCCAAAUCUCCUUAUCACAAUAGCUUAACAAACCCUUGUUCAUCUGGAUAGGUCUUGAUUUAGUGGGAAUAUUCUUGUCACUAAAGUCUAGUUCAUAAGGUAAUUCUACCUCAUGUUGUUUCCUAUGCCAAAAUGCAUUAGGAAUGUUAGAGCAAACUUCUUCAACAAUCAGAUUAAUUUCUUGCUCAUGACUUUCCUUAGCUUGAAUCACCUGAUCCCUUAAGGUGUUUAUAUUUUUCUUAUUAGGUGGUUGGCAAAUUCAAAAAUAAUUUCCUUAUCUAAGAGCUUUGUUCUUAUACUUUGGUCAUCUACCCACAUGGGAUAGAUGGAGCUUAAAAAGGGGAUUCCAAGGAGAGCUUUCUCCUUAAGAUCCUUAACUAGAAUGAAGGUUUGCUUGAUGCAAAUGCCUUGGUUAUUUAUGUGAGCAUCUGACAGCUUAUACUCAAUGUCAAGCCUUUUACCAUUAGCUCCAAAGAGAGAUUCUUUGGUUUUCUUACAAAACUUAAUAGGACCUAGACCUUCUUGUAGGCAAUUCAAAGCUGUUCCUGAAUCAAUCAAAGCAACAAUAUCAAUGACAAAUUUACUCUUAAUUACUAUAGUAAGGGAGACUUUCCACCUCUGGAAAAUAACCCUACUAACAGUAUUUAAGUAUCCAUCCGUCUUUUCAUCAUUAGCAUGUGAAGAUUCUAGAACCUCUUCAAGGUUUUCCUAGUUAUCAACAAGAUUUUCUAUAACAAUCCUAUUUAUUUGUUCUUGGAGAUCUGAAAAACCUAAGCUUGUGUAUUGUCUUAAAUCUUUAAUUUCCUUCUUAUACUGUCUUACUUCUUCUUGAAGAUCCUUAAUGGUUACGUCUUUGGUAGACUACUGGUUAAAUCUUCCUAAGAUUUCAUUUAAGUUAUAAGAAUUUACUGUCUUCUUAAUCUCUUGCUUAUCGACAAAUUUCUUAAAAACUUCAUAAAGAUCUUGUUUAGUUUUUUCAUCUUCAACUUUCCUUAAAACAUCUAGGACAAGUUCUUGAUCUUGGCUUAUGACAUUUAUAGUCUUAGGUUGGCAAUCACAAUUAUCCUUAAUGUAUUCUUCUUGGUCACUAGAAGUUUGGCUUGAGAUUUCCUCACCACUACUAUCUAGUUGGUUAAUACCAUUUUCAUUAUCUGAAUCAAUCCUUGAUUCAGACUCUGUGGAAUUUAACAUUACUUUACAAAGCAUAUCUUUUAAGUCUUCUGUGACAUUUAAGUUAUUAAUUUUCUGCUUAACCCUACAAUCUUUCUUAUAGUGGCCUAUCUUACCACACUUAAAACAAACUGGCUUAGAUUGUGAAGGAGCUUCUAGCUUUUUAUGGGCUUCUUUGUUCAUCAUUCUUUGGAUGUGCCUUUGUUUCUUAGUUUCAUUCAUCCUAUAGUUGCCAUGAGUUCCUCUCUUGUUGUGAUAGGACUUUUCCUUACUAGGCUUUGUACUUACUUGUUUCUUACGUUGCUUAGAGGGGGGCUUAGUUUCUUUUUGGUUGAAUCCAAACUAGCUACAAAAUGAACCAAACUCAUUCUUGUAGAUCCUUUGUUCAUUUUUCAUCUGUUGCUUAAGCUUAAAGUCAUUGCACAGUUUAAUUGCUUCUGAUGUGACAAUGCUUAUAAUUUCUCCAUAAGAAAGCUUAUCAUAAGGGAUUUGUCCAUUAAACUGUUCCCUUAUCUUAAUCCUAAUCCUCUCAGAGAAAAGUCUAGGUAGUCCUAAGAUGAAUUUUUCUUUCCAAAAAGACUGGUUAUAGUUUGAUCUUAGUAUGACUUUGGUUAGGAAAACUUCUCUAUACCAUCUAAAGUCAUGAAGCUUGGGACACUUAAGGUUGGUUAAGAGAUCUACAAUCUUAUCCUUAAUCUUUGCAGGAUCUCCAAUGAAGUGCUUUGAAAUUGAAUAGAUUAGAGUAGCCACUACAUCCUCUAUAUCUUGUCCAUCUUCAUCCUUAACCACUUCAUUUUCCUCAUUAAUCCUAUAGGCUUUUAGGAUACCAUUUCUAUCCUCAAAGGUGAGAUAAUUAUCCCACCAACCCUAAAGUUGACCUGUAAACCCAACAACAAUUGUUUGAGCUACAGCAUGGCCUGACAAUCUAUUGUUUAACUUAUAGGUUGUACUAACCAUGGUCAUUUCUUGAAGCUUAGUGAGUAUGUUGUACUCAAUCAUACCAUCUAUGUUCCAUUCAUAGAUAGUGUCACUAGUGUAGGAAGCUUGAGUAUGCUGGUUUCUUUCCUCAUACUACAUAUCAGGAAAAGUUGGUCUAGGGUAGUAAUUCCUAGUUCUUGGUUGUUGAUAAUCCUCAUAACUGUUUGGUUAGGAGGUUCCUUAAAAAUCUUAAUUAGUUCAUCAGCCUCUGCUUCAGAACUAAUUUCUCCUUUAACCAUAUUGAUUCUCUUGUGAGAUGGUUGAGGUGUCUCAGAGACAACAAGGCUAUCCUUAACCUUUUGGCUUAUCCUAUCAAUGAGGGCUUGAUCAAUAUGGAGAUUCUCUAGGAAUUUCUUAGAGAAUUCAAAAGGCUUAAAUAAAGACUUAUUAUCUUUCUUAACAAACGUAGUCUUAAUGUAGUCUUGUGUUUCAAUGAUAUCCUCAAACUUGUUGAGUUGAUCGCCUGUAGUCUUAAGAAACAUGUUAGUGUAGUUGUUUUGUUCCAUGAUUCUUCUAACGUCAACAACACUAUCAAUUCCUUUAUUCUUUGGCCUAGUCUUAAAAGGUGAAGCUUUGACUAUGGUUCAAUUAAUGUUCUUUUAUAUCUUAGCUUCUAGAGGGUGGAUGGAUUCUAUGAUAGUAUCGUCACUAGUUUUCCAUAUCUUAGUUUUUUUGGAUGUGUCAUUGACACGCUUACUAGGGUAAUCUAGAUAUUCCUCUUGUUUGAAGAGUUCAAACCAGAUCCAAUACUUAAUGUUCUUCUUUUCUUGUCUUAAGUAUGUGUAGAAUUCUUCUUGGUAGAGGGUUCUAAUGUCUUUAAGGACCUUGCUAAAGAACCAAACUCUCCUUUUCUUAUUGACUUCAGAAUAGAAGUCUUUCCUUAAGAGGUCCUUGUUGAUUCAAAGUCUUCGUUAAUUAGGCUUACAGUGUUAAUCAACUGAGAAUAAGUAGGAGACAUAUCAGGAGAUUCGUCCUGAUGUGAUUCUUGAGUAAACUCAUUUUCCUCCAUGUAAAAGGGUUUGGCCACGUUGGUGUGACUUCUAACACCUGUUAGCUUAAUAUUCUUAGGAUUUGCUGAACUAGAUCCUUCCUCUAUCCUAGUGGUUCUUAUUGGGAUAGAUGAACUUGAAGCUCUAGAGGGCUCAUAAUAUGAAAUUCUAAGGCUGCUAGAAUGAUGAAAAGAGUUGGAGAAAAUUAGAUCUCGUUCUCCAUCAGGAUAUUGAACAAUCUGUUCAAUUCUUUCAGAUCUUUGCUCUAUGGCUGGGACAACAUUAGCAAAAUGCCAAUUUUCUGGAAACUCAACCUCAUUCCACUUGAUUUUCAUGGGGACUAUGAAAUUAGACUUGUUUAUCAUAUCUAAGUGGAAGAUAGUGGUUUCACCCUUGGGACUGGUGCACAAUGCUCCAAAUCCAACGCUUAUGGUCAUGCUCUUAUAGGCAAAUCUGGUGAUGAUGGAAACAUGAUUGUUUCCUUGCUUGAACUUAAAGUCAUGGGUCUUAACAUGAAGGACAACUGAAUCUAAGAUGUUGACAUCUCUUAGUCUAACUGUGAAGUUAGGGAAACACUGGAAAUAAACAGGACCAUCAUUUAAUCCUGCUUGGGUAGCUCCAAUAAUAGAAUCUCGGUAAUCAAGAUGUCUAUUAUCUCUUAAACACAUGACAAUAAAGGUGUUUAGACCUAGUCUUGUCAAGGGCUUAGCUGCAACUUGAAUCAUGCCAAAGUGUAUGAAGUUGUAGUCUCGCUUAUGCUUAUCAAUGGACUUACUAUCCAAGAGUCUUAUGACUUGAUCGUCGUGUUCUAAACUUACUGACAUUUCAGGGGUUUUAAUGGUGUAAUCUGUAAAGAACUUAAAGGUUCCUUUCUUAUAAAUUUCUUGAUUAGGUACCUUGGGUAACUUCCAAUCAUCUAAAUCAUCUUGGAUCUUAGGAUAAUUGAUCUCUUCAUUGUUUACUCUUGAGAAUUUGUGGAUUUCCUAGACAUGGUUCUGAAAAUCAAACUCAUUUUAAGGUUUUAAUCUAGAGCCUAAUAGCAGAUUAACAGACCUAGUGAGUAAUCACCCCAACCCUUUUCCAACCUUAACAAACGCCUAUCUCCAGCUAACAAUGGGCUCAACUCGGCAAGGAUCGCACUCAGGCACACUACUAUCUUUCCUAGGAUAGAUCAAAACACCCAAAACAAACCCGACUUCCUUUUCCUAGGAUAUAUAUAGUAUUUUGGGUUUGAGUAGGAGUUCAUGUUUUGUAUGUAAUUGUAGUCUACGUUGGACUAGGUUGUUUGCUCCUAAUUGAAAUAGGAAUGGUUGGUGUCACAUCUCAUUCAUUUUCUCAUCUAUUUCCAUGUUUAGAUAACUCAAGUAAUCAUAGGAAUGAAAUUAAGAAUGAUUUGAGGGAAAUGAAAUCUCACUUGUAAGUGGGAUCUCAAUUCAUCAUUAAUAGAAGGUAUUUUGAUUACAUAGUGCAAGUUAUUUUUAAAAACACUUUUCAAAAAUUGAAAAACCAAAAACUCUCUUGGAUAAGUUGUUUUUAAAAAGAAUUUUUGUAUUUUUAUUUUGUAAAAAAAAAAAAUAGUAAUUCAAUUUAUAUAAUAUAAAUAGACUUUAAUUUUAUUAAAAAUAAAAAUAAUUUUUUAAUUACAAAUAAAUUAAAAAAUAAAUAUUUGUAAUAAAAUAUGAAUAGUAAUAUUAUAAUAAAAUCAUAAAUAAAUUAAAAAUAUUUUUAAAAACAAAUAAGUUUAAUUUUUUUGAGGUACAAAUGAGCCAAAUUUUUCAUUAGGUACACAACCAACAAUUUUUAUUGGAAACAUUCCUCAAAAAAGAAUUCGUUUCCCAUAUAGCAAAGAUAUUUAUUAUUUAGUAUCUAACCAUCCGUAGUAAUCAUAUCAAUUCUACUAAGUUAUUUAAUAAUUCAUUUAUAUAUAGUACUCAAUUAUGAAUUUUUUUAUUUGAUGUAUAAUUAAUUAAUCAAUGUUUUGAAUUUUGAAUUAUUCUUAAAAUUUAAAACAUUAAUUAUGUCUAUUACUUUUUAUAGUCAUUAUAUAUAUAUAUAUAUAUAUAUAUAGAGAGAGAGAGAGAGAGAGAGAGAGAGAGCUUAAAUUUAUCUUUAAAAAUUAUUAAAUUUAUUAAUAAAUUCAAUACAAAGACUCAUUUGAUUUGAAAUUCAUUUCUUUAGUGAAAAUUUUGAAACUAAAUAGUACUUUGUUUUACUUUGUUUUUAAAUCAUACUCACAAAUAAGUUUUUAUCAUUUAGCCAAAAAAUCUCAAAGAUGUUUCUAAUUUUAUUUAUUUAUUUAUUUGUAAAUGAAAAUAAAAAAUUAGUUUAAACUAAAUAUGCGGAUAUUAUUGUUAAUUUAUUUCAUUUUUUAUUUCCAUUGUUAUUUAACAUUGAAACGGAAACAAAUAAUCAUUCCAAUCUUACAUUCUUAUAUGCAUCUAAACACAAGAAUUGAAAUCACCAAAUUCAUAUUCAAGGCAAAAUAGAAAUGGAAAAAAAAUAUUCAUUUUCAUUCCUCAUUCUCAUGUGCUAAACAUGACAUUAGUUCUACUACCUAUUUCACCAUUCUUCUUGAUAAAUUUGGUAUAUGCAAUAUUGAUCUAAGUGUGAGGUGAAUAAGAAUGAUGAUGGGAUGGGCUUGGAAAUAAGGGCAAAGUUUCUAGGUGCUAUCUAGAGGGGCAACGCGACUUUUUCAAAUUUCGAAUAUUUGUUCUCAACAUAAAGCAAAACUUUACUCACACAAUAGAUAAGACUCUGUUUGUUUUCUUCAUCCACGACUAUAUAAUGUAUAGCUCUUACUCAAGGGAUGAGCUACUUACUAUUAAGGAUUGGGUAAGAUAUUGCCUAAUGGCCAAGAAGGCAUGUCAAAAAAUAAAUCUAAUCACCAUAAAAAAUAAUAGGGGAAAAUUAAUAUAUUAUGAAUGAUGACUUUACUAUUUCUCUAUAUACAUAAUUAUAUAUUUUGAAUUUUCUCACUAGGUAAUGAGAUUCUAAAUCAACUGAAACAUAAUUAAUAAUUUAUAUUUUUAAUGAAUCUUUUAAUUUUUAAAAAUAAUUUAAAAUUUUAAAAAACAAUUCAAUUAAUUACAUAUUAAAUCAAAACAUUUCAAAAUAUUGUGUUUGUAGAUGAGUACUAAAUGCUUGCAUAUAAUAAUAAUAAUAAAAAAAUUGACUCAUUUAGAUGUUAAAAAAGUUAAAUGUUUUUCAUUAUUCAUUUUAAGUAAAAUAUUAUUGACAUUAUUAUUAUAAAAUUAUUAUUAUUCAUUUUUAACAAAAAACAAAAUAAGUUAUUCUUUUACCAAGAUGUCAAUAUCUAUAUUUUUCUAACAUAUAUUAAAAUAGUAUACUUUUCUUUUAUUAAAAAUAAUAAUUAUUAUUAUAUUAUUAUUCAAGUUUUAUUAAAAAAAUUUAUCUUUUAAUUCAUUUGUAAUUACAAAAUAAUUUUAUUUUAUUAAGAAUUUAAUUUAAUUACGCUUUUUUUUUUUAUAAAAAAAACAGUUAUGCUUUUACCAAGAUGUUAAUAUUCAUAUUUUUCUAGCUAACAUAAAUAGAAUAGUACACUUUUUCAUAUAAAAAAAUAAUUUAUGAUUUUAUUAUAAUGUUACUAUUCACAUUUUACUAAAAAUAUUUAUUUAUUUUAUUUAUUUUUAAUUAUAAAAUAAUUUUAUUUUCAAGAAUUUAAUUUUAAAAAAAUAGAAAUCAUUUAUUCUUUUACCAAGAUGUUAAUAAACAUAUUUUUCUAACAUAUACUAAAAUAAAAAAGUUUACUUGUUCAUUAAAAAAUAUAAUUUAUGUUUUUAUUAUAAUACUACUAUCUAUGUUCUACUAAAAAUAUUUAUUUAUAAUUAAAAAAUAAUUUCAUUUUUAAUAAGACUUGAACUAAAUUAAAUUUAUAAUUUUUUUUUAAAAUAAAAUAGAAAAUUAUUUUUUAAAAACAACUUAUUGAAAGAAAUUUUUUAUUCUUUACUUUUAAGAACUGUUUUUAAAAGCAACCUAUAAACCCCUUUGGGUCUGUUUGGCUAUGUUUCAUGCAACUUGUUUUUAAAAAUUGUUUUUUAUUCUUUAAUUUAAUUUUUUUUAAGUUAAAGAAUAAAAAACAACUUUCUAGUGUUUUAUAAAAAUGAGAGCUUUUGACAAGUUGUUUUUAAAAACCAUUUUUAAAAAUAAAAAAUAAAAAACUUAUUUAGAUAAAUUGUUAUAUAUAUAUAUAUAUAUAUAUUUGUAAAAACAUUUUAAAUUCAAUUUAUAUAAUAUAAAUUUAAUUUAAUUUAAGUCUUAUUAAAAAAAAAUUGUUUGGAUAAGUUUUUUUUUUUAAAUAGUUUAUUAUUUUUGUUUUGUAAAAACAUUGCAAAUUCAAUUUAUAUAAUAUAAAUUAAUUUAAUUCAAGUCUUAUUAAAACCAAAAUAAUUUUAUAAUUACAAAUAAAUUUAAAAAUAAUUUUUUUAGUAAAACAUGAAUAAUAAAAUUAUAAAUUAUAUUAUUGUGGACCCUGCAUUUAUGCUCAUGCGCUUCCACUUGUUGGCGAACUCAUUUUUUAUUUGAAAAUGAUUUAUUUUUUUAGAAAAUGACUUAGAGUCGCCACUUAUUUUUGUUUUAUUUUUAAAGGGCAAGCAAAAUAAGAAAGAAAACCCUAAGUGUGACUCCUUAUUCGAAAAAGGUAGUCUGUGUAAAACCGGAUCAGGGUUCAGGGAUCAGGUUACUUAUUGGGAAGGUAUGACAAUGACCGUAGCACUCCUCUAAGUCCUUAAAAACGGGCCUCUACUAAAAAAAAUAAAGUAAUCAUGGCAAUCAGUAAGGAAAUCACUGGAUACCCAGAACAAUUAUGCACAUGUGAGAAUUAAAACAUGCAUAAGAAUGGACAAAGUGAGAGUGGGUGCGUACCUUGACAACGAACCACAAUGCGUUAUCAAGAAAUGGGGUUAGUGCACGAUCAAUGAACAUAAAACACGUCACACAUGUCACUAAGCAGAGUGAGAAAUCAUCAGAUAUUACAAUUCAAUCAAAUUUAUUUUUAGAAGAAACAUCUGUUGAUGUAGAGCCCCUACCAAAGCCUAAUUUAUUUUUGCAUGAAUCAAUUUCAUAAAUUCAAUCGCUUGGAAUUACAGAAUUAAAUUCAUGCUUAUUUUAAAACAUCUUUUUAAAAUCAUGGAAGAUGUGAAAAUGGUUUUCCAAAGAGAAAAUGACAACUGAUUUUAUUGAAAAUGGGAUUUUGGGGACCUAAACGUUAAAGAGGGAUUAGGAAUUGAAAAUUAAAUCAUUUGAAAAUUGAAUUUUUCAAAAAUCAGUUUUGAAAGCAUGCAUGCAAGUAUGGACUGUGAAAGUGGGCCUAGGGAGGGUGGCCAUGCAAAAUGAGGUCAUACACGUGGGCCUUGGGUACAAUUGGGACUACUUUGCUGGUGCCAGUGGUGCUUGCAGCUGUCAUCCAUGAUUUCUUCAUUGGGAUCAAUUUCCAUUCUUACUGCCAAACAUUCCAUAACAAUUGACCAAACUAGUAACCCUGACCUUGCAUGAAAAUGAACGUUACCUAGAAACUCACUGCCAGUGAGAUUCAUUGCUCUUUCAAAAGGUCUCAUUUUCUUUCUCAUCCAAUUGCUUUAAGGAGCAUUCUAGCGUCACGAUUGGUGACUGCGCAUCAUCUAGAGCCUUCUUUCUUCUCAGAAUCAGGUUUGCGUGCAGAGGCCUGUGCUUGUUCAAGGUUGACCUAAAUUCAUCUAGGUUUAGAACCGACCAGUUGAGCUUGGGGAGCAACGACAAGAAUAUCAGUCACUUGCGAAGAGAAAACUCGAGAUCUUUCAAGUAAUGCCUGACAUAGAUUCCUCCAACCUGUGGCCAAUAUCUCAUUCCUUGUUGGCCAGACGCCUAUUAGGGCGUAUCUCAAUCAAUAAUAUGAUUUUUCGUUUGUUCACAAUAAAGACCGGAAGCCAUGGUUGUGAUUUAUGCAGUACAGAAGAAGUUGCCAUGGCUGGUAUCCUUACAAAUUCUGGUGUUUCUGCUAUCUGUUCAAGUGCAAAACACAACAGCUUUAUCAAGUUUGUCCCUAACAACUGAUAUUGAGCCCUCUGGAGGAAACCUUGAUAAAUUCAUAAUCACUUUUGACUCAUGCAUGGGCUGCCCAUCAAAUUUUCCUAGCAACGAGACGACUGCUGUCAUCUACUGCAAAGAGAAUUUCUUCUCGCAAAGACAAGAGGAGUUUAAGAAUACACACUAUUCUGCCAUUUCAUUUCCUCUUUCUCCACAACCAACAUAAACCAUAGUGUCUACAUUAGAGUACUUAGAAAGAGCUUAACUGAUGACCGUUUUUCCACAACCAAAUGCCCCAGGUAUGGCACAAAUUUCACCGAAAACAGAAGGGAAAAGGGCAUCAAGAACACGCUGUCCUGUAAGUAGUGGGGUAUCAGGACUACUCUAGGGAAGUUAUUUCUGUCAUUUUGAAAAAGAAAAAUUAAAGAAUGUACACAUGCUUUCAAGUGGACUGGAGCAUUCUACAUAUCAGGUGGUCUGUAGCCACAUGUGCCACUUUGUGGAAGUUGGAACAGUCGAUCACUAGGCUAUUUAGUGUGGCCAAGCCACGUUAAUCAAGGACAAGUCUUCAUACUUAAAAGUCAAAUGGUGCCUUUAGUCUCAUUACACAUGGCUAUUUAAAGAUGAACUAAUCUUUAGUGUAAUGUGAUUAAGACAGUACUAACUGAUCAAUAUUUUUUCUAAUUUUGGAUGCAAAUGCUUGCUGGCUUCAUCAUUGGAUGGGAUAAAGGUGCAUUCAUGACUCUGAAUACUUGCAGUAAUACUUGCAGUAAUACUUCAUUCUCUUUUUUCUCGAUGAGACUUCUUGGCACAAUUUUGCUUCUCAGCAACCUACCUCUCCAUGGAAAAUGAGUUGCGAUUGAUGGUACUGGAUAUUUUCUAGGAAGCUAAAUAUAGAUAUAUAGCACUCAAUGUCAACGAUAUAUAUAGCAUUAACAGUAUAUGUCUCAAUGCUCAUCAGCUACAAGCAAGGGACAAACACUUACAAUGAAUAACUCACGUCAACAUUCCUAAACAGGACAUAGAAGUGACAGAUCUAUAUAUAGAACACUGCAUAUGAGUCACAAGAAAAGAUAAUACGGGUGCAUAGCAGCUCUUAUAUUACAUAUUACUCAUACCGUUCAAAUUCACUCAGUUGGGAUGGGUGGGAGAAGGAGGCCUCUGGGGUGGCUUGUGCGUGUGAGAAGUGGAAGAAAGUUGAAUGGAAUGAAACUGAAAAACAGGGUAGAAUAGAGGUUUCUUGAAUCUUCUGAAAUCUUUAUUUUUCUGAGAUUUAUUCUCUGUUUUUGUGAGUCGUGACUCUACAUAUAUACAUGUAUUUAAAGUUAGUUAUGCCUUAUAACUAAUUAUCUAACAGUACCAAAACUAAUCAUCUAGUUGCAUGUUUCUAAUUAAUGCUAUUUAGUUACAACUAUAUAUGGCUUAACAUCCUCUCUCAAACUCAAAAGUCUAGCUAGAACAGUGAGUUUGCUUCAUAGAUUGAGAAAUUGUUGAAUAGGUAAGGCUUUGGUAAGAGCAUUAGCAAUCUGGUCAUAAGAAGGAAUGUGUUGAACCACCAAAGUCUUAUUGAGCACCUUUUCCUGAACAAAAUGGCAAUCUAGUUCCACAUGCUUAACUCGAGAAUGAAAAUAGGAUUGGCAGCAAGAAAGGUGGCUGAAAGAUUGUCAUAGAACAAAACAAAAUAGGAGAAUAAGAAGAUGAGAUAGAAAACUCCUGAAGAAGAUGUUGAAUCCAUUGAAGUUCAAAAGCAACAUUUGCUAAGGCCCUAUACUCAGCUUCAUUGCUGGAACGAGACACAACUUUCUGCUUACUGGAGUUCCAGGAGACUAGAUUAGAGCUAAAAAAGAUGCAAUGACCACUUGUACUUCGACGAUCAUCAGGGCAACCAACCCAAUCAACAUCAGCAUAAGCAGUAAGUUGAAAAUCAGGAGAAGAAUAAAAGGAAAGACCAAAGGAAGUAGUGCCCUUAAGAUAAUGCAACAAUCGUUUAACAACUUGCCAAUGAAGAUCAGUUGGUUAUUGCAUGAAUUGGCAAAGUUUAUUGAUAGAGAAAGAGAUGUCAGGCCUUGUAAUGGUACAAUAUUGCAGGGCUUCAACAAUGUUGCGAUAUUGAGAAGGGUCAGCCAAGAGGGAACCUUUAGAGGCAGAUAAAGUGUGAGAGGUAGUCAUUGGUGUAUCAAUAGGUUUAAAAUAUGGAAGACCAGCACGAGUUAACAAGUCCUGAAUAUAUUUGGUUUGGGAAAGAUGAAGAGAAGAUCCUUGCCAACAUACUUCUACACCCAAGAAGUAAUUCAGAAUACCAAGGUCCUUGAGAGCAAACUGAAAGUGUAAAGACGAAACCAUUUGGUGGACUAGCACGGUAUUAAGACCACUAACAAUAAUGUCAUCAACAUAGAUGAGAAUAAUGAUCAUGUCAGUCCCUUUCCGAAGAGGAGCUUGCUUCAGACCCUACAAGGCUUUGCGAAGUUUACAGAAAAAACCGGGUUUAGAAUGAUCAACAAAGCCUGGAGGUUGAACCAUGUAAACCUCUUCUUCUAACUCACCAUUGAGAAAGGCAUUAUUAACAUCUAAUUGUUCCACUAACCAACCAUGAGAAAUAGCAAGAGAAAGAACAAUUCAUAUAGUAGUUGGUUUAACAACAAGGCAAAAGGUUUCAAAAUAAUCAAUACCAUAUGUUUGAUUAAAACCCUUUGCAACUAAGUAGGCUUUAAAACGAUCAAUUGAGCCAUUAGCUUUGAGUUUCAGCUUGUAUAUCCAUUUACAACUAAUAAUGCGUGUAUUAACAGGUUUAGGAACCAAUGUCCAUGUGGAAUUGGUGAGAAGAGCAUCAUACUCAGUCUUCAUAGCAGCUUGCCAAUUAGGAUGCAAUAUUGCUUCUUUGAAAGAGGAGGGUUCGACAACAGUAGUUUGGAUAGCAAGGCUAAAUAUUUUUUUGGGUUUAAAAAUACCAUUUUGGCUACGAGUAACAAUAGUUCGGUUUGGAAGUGAAAGAGGAUCAGUGGAGGAGGCUGGAACAAGGGAUUGUGGUAAAGUAGGAAAGGAAGGUGGAUGAGAUGGAACAAAAUCAGUAGGGACAAUAAUGGGAGAAGAAAAAUUAGGUGGAGAAUGAUGAGGAUUCCUUGAAGAUGGUGUAGGAAUAGAGAGAAUACCAGAAUCAAGAAGUGUUAAAGAAGAGUUGGAUGAUGAUACUGGUUGACAGGAUAAAGACUUUGUUAAAAAUGGAAAUCGAGUUUCAUCAAAUACAACAUGACGAGAAGCAUAUAUCCGAGAGGAAGCCAUAUCCAAACAGAGGAAUCCCUUGUGUUUAGCACUAUAACCCAAAAAACAGCAAACAACAAAUAUAUUUGCUAGCUUGUGAGAAGCAUAAGGGCGAAGAUAAGGAAAACACAAGCAUCCAAAACUUCAAAGAGAUGUAUAAUAAGGUAAACGAUUAUAAAGAACUCCAUAAGGAGAAUUUUGUGAAAGAACAGCAGAGGGAAGGCAAUUUAUGAGAAAAAUGGCAGUUUGAAAUGCAAAUGACCAAUAUUUGAGAGGGUAUACCAGCUUGUAUUAACAAAGAAAGACCAACUUCCACAACAUGACGAUUCUUUCUUUCAACUCUUCAAUUUUGCUAAGGAGUAUAAUGACAAGAGACUUGAUGAAGAAGACCAUUUGUAGCCAAAUAAUUCUGAAAAGCUGAAACUGAAACUCAUCAAAUUGAUUUUUAGUAUCAAAUUUUCUUCAGACUGAACACAUUGAUUUUUAGUAUCAAAUUUUCUUUCAACCAUGGCUUGAAAAUGUUGGAACAUAAGUAAAGCUUCAUCUUUAGUUUCCAAAAGGUACAACCAUGAGAAUAUGCUAAAAUCAUCAAUUAGCAAGAGGAAAUAUUGAGCAUUACCAUUGACAGAAACUAUAGGAGUUGCACCCCAAAGAUCAACAUGGAUGAGACCGAAUGGUUUUAUUGCUCUAGAAGUGGAUAUUUCAAAUGGAAAACGAUGGCUUUUAGCCAACUGACAAGACUCACAUACAGAGUUAUUAUUGUCAUGUUUCAAAGGUAUUUUAUAAAGAGAUAAGAUUUUGGAAACUACAUUAAUAGAGGGAUGACCAAGUCUAUUAUGCCAAAGCCUCAAAGAACCAACGGCUAAAGUACUACUAGUAGAGUAAAAUACUAGUGGAUGACCAACAACUCUUGGUGUAGCAAGAAGUUUAUAGAGACCCUUCUCAAUUUUUCCUUGAAGAAGAGCAAGUCUCGUUUCCUGAUCCUUUACCACAAAAUGAGAAGAACGAAAUUCAAUAAAGGUGCCAUUGUUUGAGUAAAAUCGUUGCACGCUAACUAAGUUGGUGGUAAUAGAAGGAACAUGUAAGACAUCAUUGAAAAACAAAGAACCACUUGAAGAGGCAAGAGAAAAUUUACCAAUAUUUGCAAUGGAUAAACCCUUACCAUCUCCAACAAUUACUUUGUCACCACUGGUAAAUGGAUUAUGGAUUGUUAAAUUGUUAAGAUCAGAUGUGAGAUGAUGGGUAGCCUUUGUAUCAAGAAACCAAUAAGUGUCUCCCAUUGUUGCAGAAGUUGUAGUCAUAGCCUCAGGAUUGUUAGAGGUGGAAUGUUUAGAAUCUUUUGGCUGAUAAUCAGAGUUAAACCGAUACCAGCAUUGUAAAGCGGUGUGUCCGAACUUACAACCGAGAGAAAUAAUCUUUACUUAUUCUCUAAAAACUGUUCUUUAUUCCACACAUUAUUUCUAAAAACUGUUUCUAGAUAACAAUGACAAAAUAGUAUUAGGAAUUUUUAAAAAUAAAAAUUGUUUUUAAAUUACAUGAUCUAUAUCAUUCACAUUUGACCAUUAUAGCUUUGUUCAGGAAAACACUUGAAAGUAACCUUAUCGUGAUAAGAGAUAUAAGUUGGCUGUAGUUUCAAACUGAAAACAGAGGAUGGCAAUAGAAAGCAAAGCAUUAGUUAUCUGCAAUCAGUGGUGAUCAUGCCCCAUGUCAAUUUCGGACCCAUAUCUUAAAACCGUAUAAUUUGCAUUUCAACAUUUCUGAUUUCUCAGAUGUUUCAUACUCCACAGAAGAACAUUGUUUGUGAAAGCAUGCAUUUAUGCUGGAUUUUGGAUGAUGUGGGAACUGGGGCAAGGAUCAUAUGGAAGAGUGGUCGAUUUUUUCUGUACUUUAACAUUUGAAAUAGGAGCAGCACGGGCAUUUGUGGGGCUUAAUUGAUUUUGAAGCCUGAAAUUGCGUUUCUGUCAUUUUGUAAAAAAUAUGGCAGAUUCCAUGCUCUCAUAUGUUUGGUCUGUGGCCAUGUAUAGAUGCCACUUAGUGACCAGUUUGUAACUGUCAAUCAUAGUGUUUUGACUCUGGCUCAACAACAUCAGCCAUUGACGGAUUUUCAUACAUGCAAAUCAAAUAGUCUUCUUCCUCCCUUAGGAAUUUCGGUUUAAAUGUUAUUAAGCAUACAUUUGGCUGACAAUUAUUAACCACUUCAUGAUAUGGUUUCUUACCCUUAAUCAAUGGUUUCUAAGUGAAUAUAUGCAGAAGGAAAUCUGAACUGUAGACAGCAGUAUUGAUAAUUAUCAAUAUUCUUUAUAUAAGAGAAUAAACAACGUCAUAGUGAUCGUCGCCUACAAGAAAGGUACAUUUCCCAACAAGAUGUAGUUGUGACUGGUACAUGGACGUAAUUAACUCGUAGAAAAGGAUAAGACCAGUGCACGGCAGCUCUUAUUUUACAUGCUAAUUAUGCUAACCAAAGUCACUCAGUUGGGAUGGGAGGGAGAUGGAGGUUUGUGCGGUGGCUUGUGGGGCGGAGUUGGUGGCUUCUUUUCAGGAGCUUGUGGCUUUUUCGGAGCUGAAGGAGGCUCAAUCUUAUGAGGCGGCUUGUACGAGUCUUCUUUACUCUCGACAGGAGGGUGGCCAGGGUUGUGACCAUAAUGUGGUGGCUUCUCUCCCUUAGGUGGCUUGCCAACUGGGGUUGGUGGCUUGUGUUCAGGAAGUGGUUUCUCUCCCUUGGGAGGUUUACCAAUUGGGGUUGGUGGCUUGUGUUCUGGGAGUGGUUUCUCUCCCUUGGGAGGUUUAGUGGGUGACUUGUGUUCUGGAGGUGGCUUCUCCACCGGAGGCUUGUGCUCCGGUGGUGGCUUCUUGGUUGGAGGGGGCUUGGGGUAAUCAGCAAGAGAUGGGGGGGUGAGAACCACCACUCCAAGGAACAACACUAGCAAGUAUGUGGGAGACAUUUCUGAGUUUGAGCUGAUCAGAUGAUGCAAAACUAGAAGAAUUACGUGACCUUUUAUAGCAAGUAGCUCCCAAUACCCACAUGACACGUGUUACUGUGACCAUAAAUAUUAUAGGGUCCAUUUGUGCCCUACCGGGUUGAAAACUUGGACGCUUGGCCGAGGACACACCGAACUAUGGAGGACUAUUGACGUGUGAUCACAGCUUUUGGAUUUUUCUUCCUGUGCAGCUGUCUAGCGGUUGGCAUUAUUUUUUUAAUCUUAAAUAAAGGCAUAGUUAUAGAGUACAUUUAUAUAUCUUCAGAUAGCCAUUAAUAUAUUUGAUGAAGAAAGACAAGUGCAUACAACAUGUAUACGGCUUGCUUCAAUCGAGUACAUUUAUGAUCAGUUUUCCAGUGCAAGUAAACCAGUUUUUUGUUCCACAACUAUUUUGGAAUCUUGUUUAUCAGUUUCUAUCAUUAUAAUGUCACAUAGGCUGCAAACUUGGGCACCCAAAGAUCUAGUUGGGCAAAUUUGUUUCAGAAUUUCAAUGGUGGAUUCAGUAAUUGUUAAAAGGUGUUUCUUCAUUAAGGAAAGAGUCCUGUAAAAAUAUUGUUAAAAGGUGUCAUAGAAACUAUAAUAAUUAAAUAACUUCUUUUCCCCGUGGGUGGUGUUUCUUCUGGGGAUACCCAAAAUGAGUUCAGAUUAAAAUUGGUUCGAGUCAAAGCUGUCUCUUUUGUCCAGAAAUCAACUAUUUUGCGCAUUGCAUGAAUCGAUAAAGAAAAAAUGAAAGCCAAAUCACACCUCCCCUGCAAAACCUAAACCCCGGUUGCUAACUUUCUAUGUUUCAGUCCUAUUCAUACAGGAAUAUUGGUUCAAGUUUGAGAAAAAUGGCAACUUACCUAGGGAUUACUUGGUUGUGGUUUGCGACGACUAUUUACGCAACCAACCAUGAGUUUGACUUUAACGUCAUGGGUUGAAGCCUCCUACAAUCGUGUAUGAUAGUUCAAAGCUCGUAGUAGAAAUUAUACAGGAAGGAAGAAACCUCCAAAGCUAGCUCCAAAAGAGAAUUAUCACAUCGAUAGCUCCAGAGAUUCCCAAGGGGACUGAAUCAAAGACAAGUUCCUCACUUUUUCUUCUUUUGAGGCCAAAUAUGAACCAAGGAUCACACGACCUCAUUCAACUUCAUAAGUUUGAUUUCAUGCAGUUGAACACUGGGUGAAGGCCAUGACAAGAAUUGAUUAAAAAAUUCUACCACUGUUUUAAGUAAUGGAAGAUUAUUAUCUCUGAUUGGCACCACAACAGCACAUGCUGCUAGAUCUUUCUAGACACUCCAUGCAAUGAAAGUACAAUGGAUCUUGUAACGAUAGAAACUAAGCCAUGCUACAGUACUAGAUGACGAGGUAAAACUAUUAGACAUGGGUGGCAGCCUAUAUGGGAGGGACACAAGUCUAAUUGAUUUGCAUUUCAGCGUUCUAGAUGGGUAUGUUUUGGAAGAUUUGUUCUGGAAAUACCGCACCAAGUAGGAUUCUUUUUUCUCUUGAGUGGGUCCACUUGCAUGCCAAUUAUCGAGUUGAAAAGUAGAGCACCUACCUCGUGCUCGUGGAACCGAAGGUCAGUGAAGUGGGGCUCCUUUUGGCCUCUUGUGUUUCUGUUCCAACCAAGGCGGCGGAGGGAAAAACAGCAAUAUGUCUCCGCUAAAUAUCAACGCAUGAUAGCGAAUGAGGGAGAAAAAAAGUAAUUGGCAUCUCAAUCUCACAAACUUGGUACAGUAGUGACAUUAAUAGUCUUCCACAUGGUUUUUAUUUUAUUUUAUUUUAUAUUUUAUAUUUUCCAUUUUUUUAUUUUUUUGUAUGUCAAGGCUAAUGAAUAAAAUGCGUUAGCUUGUUUUGUGAUUGGAACUGCAAAUGUCCAAAUUGGAGUUUCUCCAUUUCUCAGUUCGGAUGGUUAACUUUAUAAACAAGAUAUAGGAAACAUGUGAACGUCUUGAGGAACAAUUCGAAUUAUUGAUUAGAACUCCUAGGUUGAGUUCCAAGAUUUAAAUCAGACCCCUCUAGCAGCUUCAGGGGUACCUAGCAAUUAGAACAUAUUAAUGAAGAUUUAGGAUUUAGACUCCGGAAUACAAAUUAAUAUGUAUCUUAUGCUCUGACUAGCUUCCCUGCAUAUGCACAAAAUGGAGAUGACCCAAAAAAUAGCAGAAUCGCCUUAGUUUAUGUGGUUAAGGUGAUUCUCCGGUUAAUAUCCACAUUGGCUCAUUAUGCAAAUCAACUGAGCUAUUUUUUUUUUAAUGUCAAAUAGGAACUCCUAAUUAACCUAACCAUUGGCCUGUGUAAAUUGAUUUCACAUGCACAAUGUUGUAGUAGAAGUCCACAUUUUGAAUUUUAUUUUUGGAAAGGUAAGGAAAAUGAAGCAUUGUGUAAUUAUAAAAAUAACUUCAUUGGAAUUCACAAGGUUCACCCAAAAUGGAGCUACAUCCGUAUUCUAUCUUACAGUAGACUAUAUAGAUUGUACAAUAGUAAAUUGCAAAUACAAUUAAUAAGUCUUGUGUUUCCUUACUAAUAAUCCUUUGACAUAAACAUUGCAGCACUAAGGUCCUCUUGGGCAGACACCUUGCACCCAUGAGAGCACUAAGAGGAAGCAAGGCGGAGUCAUGGGUGCAAUGUCAUGACUUGUUGCACUAAGAGAGGCUUGGUGAUGGCAUAGUGCUGCAGUAGCAAGAAUGUUGCCUUGGCAGGGACACGAUCUAGGGACAGAUGCCAAGAAAGGCUUAGCACUCACAUGAGUUGCACAAAGAUGAAUGAAAUAGAACAUCAAAGAGACAUCUUGGCAAGCUCAAGAAAGACAUGUGGGUUGGUAAAUGAAUGGAUGCAAGAGGCAACAACAUGAGGAGUUUCAAAUGGAUAGGGAAUGAGUCAAAGACAUUUGAAAGCUACAAGUUGGAUUCUAAUUACGAUUGCAAUUUGAGUUUGAGUAGGAGUUUAUAUUAUGAUUGUAAUUGUAGUAUGAGUUGGACUAGGAUUGCUUAUCCCUAGUCAAAAUAGGAGUUGUUCAUGCCACACCCUAUGAAAAGAGUUUGAGUAGGGACUAGGAUUGCUUGCUCCUAGUCAAAUAUGGAGUAGGUGGUGCCACACCUAUAAAAAAAAAAGGGACAACAUGAGAGAGAGAGAGAAUGAAUUCACCAAAGAUAUUGUGGGAGUUUUGCUUUGUUACAUCUUGUAUUAUUAUUUAGAAUAGUAAUAAAAUACAAGUUGGGGCUAGAGCCCCAUAAUCUCGUGUGCCUUUGUGGGUUAUUCUUUAUUUGCCAUCUCGUGUGGAUUGGAUUAGAUUGAUGAGGCGAAAUAUUAUGUGGGAAAUUUAUGUUGGGACACUUACCAUAACCAGGUAAAAUCUACCAAGUCUUUUGUAAUAUCUUCUACAAAUAUUUUAGACCAGUUCUUCACAAAACAUCAUAAUAUGUUUUGUGUUUCUCUUGGAUUUUGAGUUGAAUUGUCUUAGAUCAAUUGAAUGCAUCUCAAUAUUAUUAUCUUGUUUGAAGGCUUGAUGAUUUUCCAUUUAACUUUACUUUCUUUAGGUUAUGCUUGAUUCCUUAAAAGUACUAAGGAAAACAAAAAAUAAAAAAAAAUAAAAAAUGCAGAGGGUUAGGACAUGUGUUAUCUAAUUGUCCUAUCCAAAGAUAUUAAGAAAGUCAUGUAGGAAAGUAAUUGAAAACUAGGUCAAGAAAGGAGCAAAAGGGAAUUGUUUUGGUAUUUUCUUUUUUAUUCUUGAAGGUGGCAGAGCUAAAAUUUGAGAAAUCAAGCAAAACAUACUGAAAUUACAUUGAAAGAAAGAAAAUGGUAGUUAAUGUCUUGCAGUACAUGAUAAGGACUUCAUGCAUGUAGUGUGACGACCCAUGUCUUGGACUGAUGCCACACUCACGGUUACACUUAUACCCUUGGUUCUCUCUUUACUACCUUGGCUAACCUAGAUCAGGCUAUGAGAUAGGCUCCUCACCACACCAUCACUUGCCCAGUAAUUAGUGACAUUUUCAAGCAAUGAGGUAACAUGGUGACACCAAGAGGGUUUAUCCCUCGCCCCAACAAGUCUAGACUCGGUCUCAAAAAAAUGGAGAAAAAUGAGGUGUCGUUAUGCAGAAAUACAACAACCAUGCCUUCCUUAUUACUUAGAUUCAGAAUGUGAAGGUGAAAUUGAGAAACAGAAACUCUUGAAACCAGAAUGAAAAUUGAUACUUUUACGAAGAAUUACAACAUUAGAGGAAGACUACAUUCUUCCUCUAUAUUCCUACGUUUCUACACUACUUCUACUCCACUCCAUAUUUCUACAUACAUCUUUAAUCAGUUUUCCCUCCUUUAUAUAGAGCCAUCUUCACACAAAUUCCGCAAGGUAGAAAAGAGGAAUGAAACUUGGAGCAAGGUUCGACUACUGGUUGUCGCUUGUCAAGGCUGGAAUUGAACUUUUUUUCUUGGCUUUUCUGGGCAUAGGUAGUAACUUGUGGUUCCUUUUUGGAAUGAAAAUGGUACAGCUAGAACAUGUGGCACUCUCUUGUUGGAUUAUGUGUCAAACAUGUGGCAGCCAUCUAGUGGAGAUUAUUUCAAUUUUGGGAUGGAGAGUUGGCAUCCAAUUGCAAAGAAAUAUGACAUCUACCAACAUGCAAUGUAAACCUAUAUAGAUCAUAUGGAGAUAGAGAGGAAACAUAUAGAAAUGGAUAUAUACCUAGAACUAGCUUUUUAUUAAAUGAGACGGAGAGCCAACAAUGAAGGAAAAUCAAAAUUUUUGGCUCAUAUCAAAGAAUUCACAUUGUGUUACCCUAGGUUUUCUUAAAGCUUGCACAAAGCCAAAAAGCACACAAAAAAUUAUAUUUUCUAGCUCUCUACCUUGGAUGGUCUCUUGAUCCUACUUGGAGAUGUGCAUAAAUAAAAGGAUUUGAAAAUGACAAUUGACUAAGUAUGUAGUCAAUCAAUUACUCAUUAAUUGACUAGUUGAUCAAUUAACUUUGCAACAUCAUAUGCAAUCCUAAUAGCUAGUCAUCUAAUCAACUAGGUAGUAAAUCAAUAGGCCAAAAAUAUGUUUAUAAUGACUAUUUUGUACAAAAACCACCUAUAUGGUUAAAUAUAAUGCAUUUCAUUUAUAAAUCUUCUAAUUCUUGAAUAACGAUCCUAUCAUCCUUUGAAAGUUUUUAUUACACCUUUUAUACUUUUGUUCUAAAACUUACACAUGUACAUCACCCUUAAUUGUACCAUGAGAACCUAGCUUUUUUUUUUUUUUUUUUUGUAAUUCAUCAAAGUUAGCUUUUGUAUUCAUUACUGUACUAUUUUUAUUGUAACUUAGAAAGCGAGUGUUUUCAAGUGAGUGAAAUUGACUUAUAAAUAUUGUAAAGAUUCAUUGAUGUGUAUCUUAAACUAAGUGUACAAGUUGAAACAUUUGCUAGUAGAUUUUCUCAAGAUUUAGAAUAGAGCUUGAGGCUAUUGAAAUAGGUGGGGUUGCACCAAACCACAUCACAUUGUUGUUUGCACCUUUUUUUCACUCUCUUUUACUUAGUUGCUCUAUAUUUGUUGUCUAGUAAUAUCCUAUAGGCUUGAUGGGUUAGGGAGCAUCCCUUUGUGAAAAAUUUUCAUUCAAUCCUUAGUUGUAUCACGCAUAUAUAAAAUGCCUCAUUGUUUUAAUGGUAUUCAGUCGUGGCAUCACAGAUAUGGGCAUCUAAAUUUUAAAAGUUUGAAACUUUUAUCUAAAGAAAAUAUGGUGCUUUGCCUUUUUGUAAAGCAUGUUGAUGAAAUCCAUGAGAAUUGUGUACUUGGGAAGCAACAUCGAGAUGACUUUUUUUUUUUUCAUUUUUUAUAAUGCGACACCUAAGUCCGGUUUCUAAAUGCUGAAGUGAAAGGGUAGGUAUGGACCAUUGAAAUCUGAUCACAACUUUUGGCCUUUUCCUUUCUCUGCAGCCAUGUUGUCUCUUUUUUCUUUUGCAUGAUUUUCUUACCUAAACAGAAUCAUAGACUUGUUUAAUCUCUAAAUGGUAUUUCAUCCAGCUUUAAGCUACUGUAUUAUAUCUUGGUGGAGGACUUUUAAGAGUGAAACCGACAUAGAGCACAUGCAAGUGGGUAUAUGGGACAUGAAAUUUCUUCUUAUAAAGACUGCAUGGUUUUUAUAUUAGAGUUGUUGAGGCGCAAUGUAUUUAGCUUGUUUUGCAGUUAAAUUAAUUGGAUAAGUAGACAUUGUCGUUUCUAAAUUUCCCACCUAAGAUAGUGACCUUAUCCUUGACUGCUUGAUGAGAUACACAAACAAUUAUACCUUCAAAAUCUACUGUGAAGUGCUUCAUGUAUGUGUGAAGUAUUAGAAAUUUCUUUCUUGGCAACUUGUUUUUUCUUUGCCCUCUACUGAUAGGUUUGACUCAAAUUAAAUUCCCUGUCAUGCUAAUUAAUUUUCACGUGCAUGCUCAAAAGGAUCACGUCAACUCUGGUUUCUACUAUUCAGGUCCAUUCCCAGAUAAACUGGUUCAAAUUUGAGAAAAUGGCAACAGCCCUUUAGUGAUGUUGGUUUGGAGCCAGUAGCCAAACCCGCCCUGAGCUUUACCACUAAUGUCAAGGGACAAAGCCAUUUGAACAAAAACAAUAGCUUCAAGAGACUGAAUCGUGGAUGAAAUCUGAUCCACAUUUCUUCUCAUUUUGGGAACAAAUGAGAACUUAACUACAAAGAUUCUACUGCCUCAUAGUGCUUUUCCUGAUCUAAGGUUGGUUCGUUUCCCAAAUUGUGAGGUACGUGCCAUUCUCACGCUCAGGAGUGUAUCCACGUGGUGGACAUAAGAUGGUGGCUUAAUAUCUGGUGUCGGUGGCUUUACUUUACUAGGAGAGUAGUGUGUCUUCAUCUCAUUCACUGCCGGAGGGUGGCGUAAGCAGUGACGCUAAGGUGGGGCACAGUCAAUAUCAUUUGCAUUUGACCAUUAUAGUUUUCUCCCGGCUUGAAAGUAACCUUAUCGUGAUAAAGGAUUACUAGCACUAGUUCAGAUGACAGUCAUGUUAAAUUCGGACCAUGUUUGUGUCACAUUAUCAGCAACCAUGUGUUUAUGGUUCAUGCUAUCUGCAACUAAACUUGAUAUAUAACCACGUGAACUUCAAUCUAAAUUCUGGAAGUACUCUUGUGAUAGAUGGUGCCUGUCUGCAGAGUCCAUCAAUUGAAAAAUGGAGUGAGUGUAUCUAUAAGAGGGAAGGCUUGGCAAAUGUUCAGUUUUCUGGGAACUCAACAAGGAUCUAAAAUAGAUUGUUUUCUUUGCUGAUUUCAAUGGUUGAAAUUUGAGAAGAUUGUGUCCACAUAACACAACUAUUACUGGUCCUUCUGUUGCAAUUUAUCCUCUAAGGCUCUAACAUGUCUUCCAAUUCCCACUUCCCUGUUACUCCAGGAAAGCUAUUUCUGUCAUUGUGAAGAAGAAAAGAGAAUGUACAUAUCGAUGGUUUUAAGUGACUGGGGCAUUCAUAUCAGGUGGUCUGCAGCCAUAUAUGCCACUUUGUGAAGGUUGGAACAGUCAAUCACCAGGCUAUAUUAGUGUGGCCCAGCCACUUCAAUCAAGGACAAGUCUUCAUACUUAAAGUCAAAUUCUGCCUUUAGUCUCAUUAUAAAUUGCUGUUUAAAUAUUAAGCAAACAUUUGUUUAAUGCGAUUAAGACAGUACUAACUCAAUACUUGUUCUAUUUUUGGAUGCAAAUGCUUGAUGGUUUCAUCAUUGGAUGGGAUAAAGGUGCAUUCAUGAUUAUGAAUACUUGUAGUUAUAUUUUCAUUCUCUUUUUUCUCAAUGAGACUUGUUGGCACAAUUUUGCUGUUCAGAAACCUACCUCUCCAUCGAAAAUCAGUUGUGAUUGAUAGUACUGGAUAUAUUCAAGAAAGCUAAAUAUAGAUAGCACCAAAUAUUAUCGAUAUAAAUAGCAUUAACAGCGUACGUAUGUCUCAAUGCUCAUCAGCUAUAAGCAACGGGCAAACACUUACUAUGAGCAACUUGCGUCAAAAUUCCAGAAUAGGACAUAGAAGUGACAGAUCUAUAUAUAUAUAGAACACUGCAUAUGAGUCACAAGAAAGGAAAUUACGGGUGCAUAGCAGCUCUUAUUUUACAUCCUACUCAUACUGAUCAAAGUCACUCAGUUGGGAUGGGUGGGAGUAGGAGGUUUGUGGGGUGGCUUGUGCGGAGGAGUUGGCAGCUUCUUUCCAGGACCUGGUUGCUUCUCUGCUGGAGUUGAAGGAGGCUUAAUCUUCCGAGGUGGCUUGUAUGAGUCUUCAGCAUUCUCAGCAGGAGGGUGACCAGGGUUGUGACCAUAAUGUGGUGGCUUCUCUCCCUUAGGUGGUUUGCCAACUGGGGUUGGUGGCUUGUAUGAGUCUUCAGCAUUCUCAGCAGGAGGGUGACCAGGGUUGCGACCAUAAUGUGGUGGCUUCUCUCCCUUAGGUGGUUUGCCAACUGGGGUUGGUGGCUUGUGUUCUGGGAGUGGCUUCUCCCCCUUGGGAGGUUUUUCCAAUGGGGUUGGUUUGUGUUCAGGAGGUGGCUUCUCCACUGGAGGCUUGUGUUCAGGAGGUGGCUUCUCCACCGGAGGCUUGUGUUCAGGAGGUGGCUUCUCCACCGGAGGCUUGUGUUCAGGAGGUGGCUUCUCGAAUGGGGGAUGCUCAGGGUAAUCAGCAAGUGAGGGGUUGGUGAGAACCACCAUGCCAAGCAACAGGACUAGCAAGUAUGUAGGAGACAUCUUUGGGUUUGGACUUAAGACAGUGGAAAACUGCGAGAAUUCUCUAGCCUUUUAUAGCGGGUCGACCCAGUACUCACAUGACACGUGUCAUUAUGACACAUGUGCCAUGGGGUCGAUUUGGGUCCUACAGUGUUGAAAAGUUGGGCAUUUGAGGUGUGAGCACAACUUUUGGCCUUUGCUUUCUCUACAGCCGCCAUGCUUUUCCCUUUUUUCCUUUUCCUUUUGUUUUCCUCCUGCCUCGUGUUCUCAACUAAACACAAUUAGGUUGUUUAAUUGUUAAAUGAGAUUUUUGUCUGUCAAUCAUAUUAUAUCCUAUCAAGAGAGAACAGAGUGUAAUGUAGUACACAUAACACGAGGCAGUAGUAAUUUUAUCAUUUAUUUUUAUAGCUUGGACCACCGCAUUUUUUCUUCUAAAAUAUUCUGUCUUGUUAAGAGACGCAAUAAUACACAAUUUUAUCUGCCAUUCAACAUUUACUGUAAAGUUCUUUUAUCUCUUUGUAGUUCUAGAAAAGUACAAAAUGGAACAUCAUGUAUAUGGUGCCUUCUGUCCUAAAAAAGAAACUGGACAAAUUAUGAACUGCAUGCUAAAAAGAGGCAAAGGAGCUUAAUUCGCAGCAUAAUUAUUUUGGUUUCUAGAGAGCCCGGGGCCUUUUGGUUGGUUUGGGGUCAGAAAAUGAACAUCAUAGGGAUUGUGCCCUUAACUGGCCUUGUUACUACAAAGAAAUUGCCAUAGAAAUUUAUUCCAGGCUGAGUAUCUCCGGAUAGACCCCAGAAAAGAAGAGUCAUAAUGAGAAUCAACCUUUGUUGAGUUUGAUUCCAUGCCUCCAUUGUGUUCAUUUCAUGAAUCUGAUUUGCAUUUAACAUUACAGUUUUGUUCUGGAAACAAUCAAAGGAGCAUCGUUUGCUUCUUGGGUGACCCAUAGUGGUGGGUGGGUCGAUUUGCUUAGUUGAAAAUUGGACAAUUGGCUCCAUCGCCUACCUCUUGGAUUCCAUGCUCGGAUAAAACGACAACAAAUAAAUAUUUAUAACUUACAACUGGGGAAAGGAAAAAAUAGUACUAAAUUCAUGGUACAUGAUAGUGAGAGAAGGGGGUGUUACACUCAGCUAAAGUUCUUUUCUAAAUAUUGCAUGGUGUUUAAUUUUAUGUGUCGGCGCGCGUGUGAAUGGAACCUGCAAAAGUCCAAAUUGGCGUUUCUCCAUUUUCCACAUAGGAUGGUGACGUUAAUAGACAAAGAUACAAUAUCUGUAGACAUUGCUUAAAAAUCGAUGUGAAGUAUUAGAAAUUACAGGCCACUGUACUGGGGGAGCGGCUGCCCCGCCAAAGGAAGAAUGUAGCAAUUUCUUCUGUUAGCCAGGCCUUAGGAUUUAUGCAUGGGAUGCCUAAUAACAAACAGAGAAAAUAUGCUUUUGGGGAAGGUAUCCAACAACAGACACCAUCAUUCAGAUGGUGGGAAGGUAUCCAACAGAUGCCAUCAUUCAGAUGGUAACAUAUAUAUACAUUUAUUAGUGAGUUUUUUUAAUACCUAUAAAAAAAAUAUACACUUUGAUAUUGUGGCUGAAUCCAUUACAUACUCAACUAACCUUGCUCAUUAGGGAUUUGACGUAACAAGGGCAACGUUGCAGUAAAAGCUCGAAACUUUAUGCAGGUGACAUUACAUUUGGUAAAGAAGAGGAAAAUAAGGAAAGCCAUCCAUAAAAGCAAAAUUCCUCAUGGGAUGAAAUUCACAAACUUCAUUUACGUUAGAGUCGCAUCCAGGCAAUUAAUUCCACAUUAGACCGCCUUUUGACAUGUGUACGGAUCUUUUUUCAAAAAUUAUUUAUAAAUAAUUGAUACUUACAAAAAUAAUUUAAGAUUUAUAAAGGAUAAAAAAAUAUUUUCAAAUCUAUGACAAUUUAUAAAAUAUUAAUAAAAAAUUAUCUCUUAAACUUAGUAUAGUUUUAUCGUAUUAAACUUUUAUUUUGAACAAAUAAUUUUAAUCUAAGUUUUAAAUUCUAAAAUUAUUUCCUUAAAAUAAAAUUUUAAAAUUCAACACUUCAAUUGAAAUUGUCUUUUAAAAAAAAUAUCUUCUUAUUUUAAUCCUUAUAAACUAUAGUUGAUUGAAAAUACUAUUGAAGUUCUCUCUUCAAAAAAAGUCUUAUUUUAAUCUUCAUAAAUUGCCCUUGAUUUGAAAAUAAACUUUGGGUUAUCAUAUUUUAAAUAAUAUAUAUAUAUAUAUAUAUAUAUAUAUAUAUAUAUAACAAAUACUCUAUUUUUUUUUUAAAUGAACUAAUUUUAAUUAUAUUUUAUUUUAUUUUUUUAUAUAUUUUUAAUGAUAAACCAAACAUAGAAAAUCAUUUUUCUAAAUAUUUUAAAAUUUCUAAGCAACCAAACAUAAUCUUCAAAAUAAAAGGAGAAUAAGGAGGGACAAGUGAGAAAUGGCGAUUAAAAAAAAGUGUACAAAAGCUCAAUUAAUUUUCUUCUAGUCUUUUAUAUAAAAAAGUAUUGGUAUGUAAAUUAAUAUUUGGAUUUUAAUAGUAUUUUAUUUGUCUUUCUCUAUCUCAUGUAAAAGAGAAUUUAAGAUAUUUCCUAAAGCAAAGCAUUAGUUAUCUGCAAUCAGUGGUGAUCAUGGUCCAUGUCAAUUUCGGACCCAUAUCUUAAAACCGUAUAAUUUGCGUUUCAACAUUACUGAUUUCUCAGAUGUUUCAUACUCCACAGAAGAGUAUUGUUAGUGAAAGCAUUUUGUAACUGUUACUCAUAGUGUUUUGACUCUGGCUCAACAACAUCAGCCAUUGACGGAUUUUCAUACAUGCAAAUCAAAUAGUCUUCUUCCUCCCUUAGGAAUUUCGGUUUAAAUGUUAUUAAGCAUACAUUUGGCUGACAAUUAUUAACCACUUCAUGAUAUGGUUUCUUACCCUUAAUCAAUGGUUUCUAAGUGAAUAUAUGCAGAAGGAAAUCUGAACUGUAGACAGCAGUAUUGAUAACUCUCAAUAUUCUUUAUAUAAGAGAAUAAACAACGUCAUAGUGAUCGUCGCCUACAAGAAAGGUACAUUUCCCAACAAGAUGUAGUGGUGACUGCUACAUGGACGCAAUUAACUCGUAGAAAAGGAUAAGACCAGUGCACGGCAGCUCUUAUUUUACAUGCUAAUUAUGCUAACCAAAGUCACUCAGUUGGGAUGGGAGGGAGAUGGAGGUUUGUGCGGUGGCUUGUGGGGCGGAGUUGGUGGCUUCUUUUCAGGAGCUUGUGGCUUUUUCGGAGCUGAAGGAGGCUCAAUCUUAUGAGGCGGCUUGUACGAGUCUUCUUUACUCUCGACAGGAGGGUGACCAGGGUUGUGACCAUAAUGUGGUGGCUUCUCUCCCUUAGGUGGCUUGCCAACUGGGGUUGGUGGCUUGUGUUCAGGAAGUUGUUUCUCUCCCUUGGGAGGUUUACCAAUUGGGGUUGGUGGCUUGUGUUCUAGGAGUGGUUUCUCUCCCUUGGGAGGUUUAGUGGGUGACUUGUGUUCUGGAGGUGGCUUCUCCACCGGAGACUUGUGUUCUGGAAUUGAUUAAAAAAAUUCUACCACUCUUUUAAGUAAUGGAAGAUUAUUAUCUCUGAUUGGCACCACAACAGCACAUGCUGCUAGAUCUUUCUAGACACUCCAUGCAAUGAAAGCACAAUGGAUCUUGUAACGAUAGAAACUAAGCCAUGCUACAGUACUAGAUGACGAGGUAAAACUAGUAGACAUGGGUGGUAGUUGAUUACUACUCAAAAAGUACUCUUUUAUAGUUUGAAACUAACUGUUUUAAACACUUUUGAGUAGUAGUUAAUAAAUUUUAACUCAAUUGGCACAUUAAGGAACCUAGCAAGGGUUACUAAUAAACUUUUGGCAAGUUUUGGUGUUUUUGGUAGUUAUUCGAUCAUUGAAACAAGCCAAGAAUGAGGGAGAAUUUUGUGAAGUCCAUGGCAAUGCAAGUUAAAGCUCAAAUACACGAAGAAUCCAAGCUUUGGAGCACUACAUAGCCCUUUGCCAAGCCAAUUAGAGAUGCAAGGAACAAAACCAAAGGAAGAAAUCCAACAACCAACAUUUUCGCAUGGUUGUGUGAAAUUUCGCACACCAUGCGAAACCACAAGAGGUAGCCAAAGAAUUUCACAUGGUAUGCGAAAUCUUCUCAUGCACCGACUCCGUUAGAUUUUUAUCUUCAGAUAUUUUGUGUAAUUUCCUAGUUUCUCCUUGUAACCAACCUAGAUAUUUUCUUUUAUAUCUUUUUUUAUAUUUUUUAGGUAACAUCAUAUAUAAGGGGAGAGACAUAAGGAGGAUAUGGAUGUUUUUCAUAGAACACUUGUAAAUUUUCAGUAGUAAGAAAUAUACAAAGCUUUUUGCUAUGCCUUACCUUCUCAUUUUGUUUUCACCUGUCUUUCUAGCCAAACAACCUCUAAGGAUGAUUUCUCAGGGGAUGAGUGGCUAGGUUUUACGUUUCUUGGAGUGAGGGAAGCUAGGUGAAGGACCUGAAUGCAAAGAUGAGAGUUUUCCUUGCUUUAAAUGAAAGUAGUUGUUAAACAUUAAUGGUUUUUAUUUUAAGGUUUAGCUUUAAAUCCCUUAAAAACACCUUGAAUGACCAAUACUUGGUAAGCUUUUCGGAUUCUAUGGAUGCUUAUUGCUAGAUCCAUGGAUGUCUAUUAGUUAUCAUUUACGAGCCUUUGGAAGGUGAUUCAAGGUGAGGGUCUUUAGUGUUUGAAGCCAUUAAUGGGAAGCAAUUACCAUUUUUUCAUGAAUCCUUUGGAUCAAAUCUUAAUUGCUAAAUAUAAAACCGAUUUGGGAAAUAACCAUCCUUUAUGUUAUUAUCCCCAACGCAAGGAGAAGAUCCGGAAUCUUCCCUUUUGUCUAAGGAACCCGAUCCUAGUGACCUAAAGCUCCAAGAGACCUUUUCUUUGUAGUUAACUUCAUUUAUUGUUUUUGCUUAACUUAAAAUCAAUCUUUGCAACCACAAUUCCAUUUUCUUUAAAAGCUAAUUUUUAUAAGGAAAAACACCAUUUUAUUUCCUUCACUAAGUCAACUGUACGAUGAAAACCCAUCCCUGUGGACGAUCCUAGAGCCAUUAUACUAUGUUAGCUAUGCUACCCUAGUGUGAGGUGAUUUAGGUUUUAUAAAUUUUGUUGAUAACACCCAUCUGAGCCAGAAUCAAAUGGCACAACUGAACCAGGGACGAAUCAAAUGGCGCCGCUAUCGAGGAUGGUGCCAAAGUACAUUGACAUGACUUUUGGUGAACACUUGUGAUCUUCAUCACAAGUUUGGUGAUUUUUCUAUUACUAAUUUUUUUCUUUGUUUUUAUUUUAGCUUAUCUUUUAUUUAGUUUUUAGCUAACCUUAACUUUUUCUUAGAAUUGUAUUUCUUCUAUUUUCUUUGUUUUUGUUUCAGUGAUCUUUAGUUGUGCAUGCCCUAUUGGAUAAGAAAUAUUGAGGGAAUACUUGUGAAGAUUGAAAAUCCUCGAGAAACUGAGUUGGAAGUGUGAUUGAACAUCAUGGAUGUUCCACCUGAAGACCAGAAUAGCCAACAUGGUUAAGAGGAUAAUUUCAAAGCAUACCGAUCCAUGAGGGACUGCAUGCAUCCACCUCGUAUGAGUGCACCGUCAUGCAUAGUGCCUCCCACUGAGCAACUAGUAAUCUGACCUCACAUUGUGCCACUCCUACCUACUUUCCAUGGGAUGGAGAGUGAGAAUCUCUACUCGCAUAUUAAGAAAUUCGAGGAGGUUUGUAAUACAUUCCAAGAAGGAGGAGCUUCAAUUGACUUGAUGAGGCUCAAGCUAUUUCCUUUCACUUUGAAGGAUAAGGCUAAGAUUUGGCUUAAUUCUUUAAGGCCAAGGAGUAUCCGAACUUGGACUAAUUUGCAAGCCGAUUUUCUUAAGAAGUUCUUCCUUACCCAUAGGACCAAUGGUUUGAAAAGGCAAAUUUCGAACUUCUCAGCUAAAGAGAAUGAGAAAUUCUAUGAGUGAUGGGAGAGGUACAUGGAAGCUAUUAAUGCUUGUCCUCACCAUGGCUUUGACACAUGGCUCUUAGUGAGUUAUUUUUACGAUGGUAUGUCUUCUUCAAUGAAGCAACUCCUAGAAACUAUGUGUGGAGGAUACUUCAUGAGUAAGAAUCCGAAGGAAGCCAUGGACUUUUUGAGUUAUGUGGCUGAAGUUUUAAGAGGAUGGGAUGAACCAAAUGCUAGAGAGGUGGAAAGAAUGAAGUCUCAACCUAAUGCUAAGGGUGGGAUGUAUGUUUUGAAUGAAGACAUUGACAUGAAAGCAAAGGUUGUAGCUAUGGCAAGGAGAUUGGAAGAGCUAGAAAUGAAGAAGGCACAAAAAGUGGAAGCCAUUUCUGAGACAUCAGUGCAAGCUAUGCCUUGUUCCAUUUGUCAACCUAAUGCUAAGGGUGGGAUGUAUGUUUUGAAUGAAGACAUUGACAUGAAAGCAAAGGUUGUAGCUAUGGCAAGGAGAUUGGAAGAGCUAGAAAUGAAGAAGGCACAAAAAGUGGAAGCCAUUUCUGAGACAUCAGUGCAAGCUAUGCCUUGUUCCAUUUGUCAAUCUUAUGAGUACCUAGUGGAGGAGUGUCCUACAAUUCCAGUAGUGAGAGAGAUGUCUGGUGAUCAAGCAAAUGUUAUUGAUCAAUUCAAGCCUAAUAAAAAUGCUUCAUAUGGCAACACCUACAAUUCAAAUUGGAUGAACCAUCCAAAUUUCUCUUGGAAACCAAAGCUACCUCAAUACACACAACCUGCUCAAGCACCUUAGCAAUCCUCGAAUCUUGAACAAGCUAUUGUGAACCUUAGUAAGGUUGUGGGAGAUUAAAAGUCCAUCAAUGCUCAACUGAAUCAGAGAAUUGACAGUGUAGAGAGUACAUUGAACAAAAGGAUGGAUGAGAUGCAAAAUGAUCUGUCUCAAAAGAUAGACAAUGUCCAAUAUGCAAUCUCAAGGCUUACCAACCUCAACACAGUGCAAGAGAAAGGAAAGUUUAUUUCUCAACCUCAUCAAAAUCCCAAGGGUAUCCAUGAAGUGGAGGCUCAAGAGAGAGAAUCUUCAAAGGUGAGGGAAGUCAAAGCAGUUAUCACCUUGAGGAGUGGUAAAGAGGUUGAUCAACCCACAUCCAAGCCAAAGCAUAAUGAAGAGAGUUUUGUAGAAAAAGAAAAGAGAGGAAAAUAAAGGAAAGAGAAUAGAGAAAAGUACAAAGAAAGAUGACCAUGAGUCUAGUGUGGAUGAAGAGCCCAAGAGGAUAGUGAUCAAGGAAAAUAUGAUGAAGAAACACAUGCCUCCACCUUUCCCCUAAGCUUUGCAUGACAAAAAAGGAACCAAUAAUACAUCGGAAAUUUUUGAAGUAUUGAGGCAAGUGAAGGUCAAUAUCCCUUUGCUAGAGAUGAUCAAACAAGUGCCGACAUAUGCAAAAUUCUUGAAGGACUUGUGCACUGUAAAGAGAGGGUUGAAUGUGAACAAGAAAGCUUUCUUGACCGAGCAAGUGAGUUCCAUCAUACAGUGCAAGUCUCCAGUGAAGUACAAAUAUCCGGGCUACCCUACCAUCUCAGUGAGUAUUGGAGGUACUUGUGUGGAAAAAGCUUUGUUGGACUUGGGAGCAAGUGUGAAUUUGCUACCCUACUCUGUCUAUAAGUAGUUGGGACUUGGAGAGUUGAAGUCAACAUCCAUCACCCUAUCUCUGGCAGAUAGAUCAGUGAAGAUUCCAAGAGAGAUGAUAGAAGAUGUCUUGGUUCAAGUUGACAAAUUCUACUAUCCAGUGGAUUUUGUUGUUCUUGAUACGGAUCCGAUUGUCAAAGGAACUAAUUAUGUUCCUAUCAUACGAAGACCCUUCCUAGCUACAUCAAAUGCAAUCAUCAAUUGUAGGAAUGGAGUCAUGAAACUCACGUUUGUCAACAUGACAUUAGAGCUCAACAUCUUCCAUUUGUACAAGAAGCAUAUCCAUUCAGAAGAAAAAGAAGGUCUAGAGGAAGUGUGCAUGAUUGACACUUUAGUGGAGGAGCAUUGUGAUCGACAAUGCAAGAAGAUUUAGUUGAGAGUUUUGGGGAUCUUGAUGAAGGGUUACUUGAACCCUCAGAUUUGCUUGCUACCCUACUCCAUUGGAGGAAGAGAGAAGAAAUUCUACCCUUAUUCAAUGAGGAGGAGACACAAAGAGCUGCUAAAGAUAAGCCCCCAAAGCUUAUUCUUAAGCCACUACCCACAGAGUUGAAGUAUGCAUACUUGGAAGAAGACAAGAAGUGCACUGUUGUUAUAUCUUUAGCUCUUACCAUUCAUCAGGAGGAUUGUCUACUUGAAGUCCUUAGAAGAAGUAAGAAGGUAAUAGGGUGGCAAAUUUCUGAUUUGAAAGGGAUCAGCCCUUUUGUCUGCACCCAUCAUAUUUACAUGGAGGAUGAAGCUAAGCCAAUUCAUCAACCUCAGAGAAGGUUGAACCCUCACAUGCAAGAAGUGGUGAGAGUUGAAGUUCUUAAGCUACUUUAGGCUGGUAUUAUUUACCCCAUAUCAGAUAGCCCAUGGGUGAGUCCUACUCAAGUUGUGCCAAAGAAGUCGGGGAUCACGGUGGUGCAAAAUGAUAAGGGAAAAGAUGUCUCUACAUGUCUCACUAUAGGUUGGAGGGUGCGUAUCAAUUACAGGAGGUUGAAUGUAGUGACAAGGAAUGACCAUUUCUCGUUGCCCUUUAUUGAUCAAGUGCUUGAGAGGGUCUCUGGGCAUCCUUUUUAUUGUUUCUUGGAUGGCUACUCGAGGUAAUUUAAGAUAGAAAUUGAUGUUGAAGACCAGGAGAAGACCAUUUUCACAUGCCCAUUUAGAACCUAUGCAUAUAGGAGAAUGUCUUUCGGCUUAUGCAAUGCACCCACAACUUUCCAAAGAUGCAUGUUAAGCAUUUUCAAUGAUAUGGUGGAGCAUAUUAUGGAAGUCUUUAUGGAUGAUAUCACCAUAUAUGGAAGUGCAUUUGAUGAAUGCUUGGUCAACUUAGAAGUUGUUCUGAACCGAUGCAUUGAGAAAGACUUAGUGCUUAAUUGGGAGAAGUGCCAUUUCAUGGUACACCAAGGGAUUGUCCUUGGGCACAUCAUCUCCAAGCAAAGCAUUGAAGUUGACAAAGCAAAGGUUGAACUCAUUGUUAAGUUGCCAUUCCCAACAAAUGUCAAAGGAGUAAGGCAAUUCCUUGGCCAUGCCGGGUUCUAUAGGAGGUUUAUCAAGGAUUUCUCUAAGCUUGCAAGGCCUCUUUGUGAAAUAUUGGUGAAGGAUGUUAAAUUCAUAUGGGAUGAUAGAUGCCAAAGGAGUUUUGAAGAAUUGAAGCUAUUUUUGACAACCUCACCAAUAGUGAGGGCUCCCAACUAGCAACUGCCCUUUGAGGUAAAGUGUGAUGUCAAUGACUUUGCUAUAGGAGCUGUUCUUGGGCAAAGAGAAGAUGGAAAACCUUAUGUGAUCUACUAUGCGAGCAAGACAUUGAAUGAGGUGCAAAGAAACUACAUAACCACCGAGAAAGAAUUGUUAGCUGUAGUUUUUGCCUUGGAUAAGUUUCGUGCUUACUUGGUGGGAUCCUUCAUCGUGGUUUUUAUUGAUCACUUUGCUUUGAAGUAUCUAUUGACUAAGCAAGAUGCUAAAGCAAAACUGAUUAGAUGGAUUUUCUUGCUUCAAGAGUUCAAUCUCCAGAUCAAAGACAAGAAAAAAAUGGAGAAUGUGGUAGUAGACCACAUUUCAAGGCUAGCUAUCGCACAUAAUUCCCAUGCUUUGCCCAUUAAUGACGAUUUUCUAGAGGGGUCUCUCAUGUUGGUGGAAGUUGUCCCUUGGUACGCUCACAUUGCUAACUACCUGGUCACAAGAGAAGUUCCAAGUGAGUGGAAAGCACAAGAUAAGAAGCACUUCUUUGCAAAAAUUCAUGCCUACUAUUGGGAAAAGCCAUUUCUAUUCAAGUAUUGUGCGGAUCAGAUAAUAAGGAAGUGAGUUCCUGAAGAAGAGCAACAGGGGAUCCUCAGUCAUUGCCAUAAAAAUGCAUGUGGAUGCCACUUUGCUUAUCAGAAGACAACCAUGAGGGUGCUGCAAUCGGGUUUCUGUUGGCCAUCACUUUUCAAAGAUGCCCACACCAUGUGCAAGAGUUGUGAUCGAUGCCAGAGGCUUGGGAAGUUAUCAUGUAGGAACAUGAUGCCUUUGAACCCCAUUUUAAUAGUUGAUCUUUUUUAUGUUUGGGGCAUUGACUUCAUGGGACUUUUCCCUAUAUCUUUUGGCUACUCUUACAUCUUGGUGGGAAUAGAUUAUGUUUCUAAGUGGGUUGAGGCAGUCCCAUGCAAACACAAUGACCAUAGAGUGGUUCUCAAGUUUCUUAAGGAGAACAUCUUCUCAAGAUUUGGGGUGCCCAAAGCCAUAAUUAGUGAUGGGGGUACUCAUUUUUGCAACAAGCCUUUUGAAACUCUCCUAGCCAAGUAUGGGGUGAAGCAUAAGGUAGCUACACCUUACCACCCUCAAACUAAUGGGCAAGUUGAGUUAGCAAACAAGGAGAUUAAAAACAUAUUGAUGAAGGUGGUGAACACAAACAGAAAAGAUUGGUCAGUCAAGCUCUUCGAUUCACUAUGGUCAUGUAGAACAGCUUACAAGACCAUUAUCGGGAUGUCUCUUUAUCACCUAGUCUAUGGAAAAAAUGCCAUCUCCUUGUGAAAUUGGAAUACAAAGCUUGGUGGUCAAUCAAGAAGCUCAACAUGGAUUUGAGCAGAGCUGGGUUGAAGAGGUUCUUAGACCACAAUGAGAUGGAGGAAUUGAGAAAUGAUGCCUACAUCAAUUCAAAAAUUGUAAAAGAAAAAUUGAAGAGGUGGCAUGAUCAGUUGAUUUCCCGCAAGAAUUUUCAAAAUGGAUAAAGAGUCUUGCUCUAUGACUCUAAACUCCACAUCUUUCCGAGCAAGCUGAAAUCAAGGUGGAUAGGUCCUUUUACCAUUCACCAAGUGCAUUCAAAUAGAGUAGUGGAACUACUCAACUCCAACAACAUCGGGAGCUUCAAAGUGAAUGACCAUUGUCUCAAGCCCUUUGUAGAGUCUUUUUUCUCGCGACAAGGAGGAAUUCAUCCUCCUUGAUCCACAUCAAGCUUGACAAGACCAGUUUUUUUUUAUGGACUUAGUCUUUCUAAAGACUAUCGAGUCCAUAACUUUUUAUUUUAUUUUUUAUUUGAGAGUUUUUCGGUAUUAUUACUUGUUUUGUUUUUUAUUUUUCGUUUUACUUUUAUUUGGUUUGAUUUAACUUAGAUUUUUUAUGAUCAAUUGCAGGGGGGAUUUCAAAUAGAGGAAAAACCAAGAUAAUUCGCACACCCUGCGAAAAUUUCGCAAGGCAUGCGAAAUUUAUGGCUCAUUUCGCAUGGGAUGCGAAAUUUCGCACACCCUACGAACCAAUUUCGCACACUUUGUGAAAAUAAACCAACCCUACGAAAUCAUUUCAAAUACUCUACGAAAUUUUCGCAGAGCAUGUAAAAAAUUUCGCAGACCAAACACCAUUUCGCAUACUAUGCGAAAAUGUAAGGGGUCUACAAAACCAUUUCGCACCUCCAAAGCCAUUUCGCACAUUGUGCAAAAAUGAAAAGUCGCCCUAUCAUCCAUUUUUAAACCCCUUGAGCCCUGAAAUCCCCAUUUCGCAAGCACCCCUGUCCUUGCGAAUCCCUCAUUUUCCUCUGCCACCUUGCGACCUUGUCCCUCUCCAUUUGAUAUCGUGCCCUGCGCACAUCUCAUUUCAAAGACUCGCACUCUGCGCCCUCUCAAAGCACGAACCCAAGGCUCACAUUCCAUUUCCGACAUGGCACAGACCCGAGGAGCCCUUCCCGCCCCUUCAUCGAGACGCACACCAAGGUAGAGAGCCUCUUUUGCUCAGAUGCCAAGUGAUUCUCCAUUUCAGGCCACGGAGGCCCUGCGGAUUCCACAUUCCAAGGGUAGAACAGCCACUGGUCCUUCCUCUUCUAUUCCUCAGCGUAGAUAUGAGACGAGGAGACCACCUACUACACAAAGGGCGACUACUUCGCGCCAUGAGAAUUCGGUACGACACCCUCCUGCCAAGAGGGCCAGGACUUCAGGCCCAGGCGAGUCAUCCAAAGCUUCACAGCCUGAGCCUCCUGCAGAUUCCGAGGUUCCUACUGACAUAUCAUCGGAGUCUAUUAUCAAACGCCCGAUGCUCACAGCACCGCCCAUUGAGGGCAACUCUGAUUGUAGAGCGAGACCUUUCCACUUGGAGCUAUAUUUUAAUUAAGAGGCCAUGCCACAGCAGCCUGAGCUCCAAGACUCUUAUGGCUUACUACAGAGGUACCAUCUUGAGGACCUUAUGACUCCUCGUGAGUUCUUUUAUCCCAGAGUAGCACUAGACUUUUACCAGUCCAUGACUACUCGUGGCGUCCCGAGUCCUACCGCGAUGCACUUCACCAUUAAUGGACGUCAUGGUAUCCUCGAGGCCAGACAUAUUGGAGAGGCUCUACAGAUUCCUUUCGAGCUAGAGGACCCAUCUGUUUUCUGCCAAUGGUCCCCAAUAUCUCAGAGGGACAUGGUCCAUAUUUUAUCCAGGGGGACAUCUACAUAUUCGAUCCUUCUACGGAAGGAGCUUCGACCUGGGAUACUCCUCGUAGAUGUGGUGCUACUUUCCAACCUCUUUCCCUUUUAGCAUUCGAUACAUAGGCGAGGAGCUAUUUUGGACGCUUUAUUCUGUAUAUCAGAGGGCUUCUACUUUGGCCCGCACCACUUGAUCAUGGUUUCCCUCAUCCAUUUUGAGGAGAAGGUCCAUAGAAAGAAGCUUCAGAGGGCGAACACCAUUCCAUUACUAUUCCCGAGGUUGCUCUACUAGAUCUUGGAGUACAUGGGCUUUCCUACUGAGCCUCGGCUUGUGUGCCGCCGCCUUUGUCAAGAGCGAUCCACUCUCGACAAAUGGAAUCAGUUGGCGGGCUAUUCUACACCUCCAGGAGCCCCUCCCAUGGUAGCACCUCUAGUGUCCCCACAGGCAGAGUAGGGCAAGCUCCCGGUAGAGACUGCACCCCUAGUGCCCACACCUGAGGCUACUUCUGCUGUUCCGCCUACGACUCCUACUGUUCCACCAGUUGGUCCUUUUACAUCUGAGUCUUCCAUCAACAUCUCGACUUCGGAGUUUCGCGCCCUUGUGCAUACCUUUCAGACACUCACCACCACACAUACUGCUCUCUUCUAGAAAAUGGCUGAGAUGCGUGCCCAUCAGGACCAGCAGACUACUAUACUCCGCCAAAUUCAACAGCACCUGGGACUUCUGCCUCUGCCUCAGCUUGACCUUCCCACAUCAUCAGAGCCUCUAGCUCCAGUUGAGGAUACUAUUCCACCUGAGGACACUACCACAGUAGAGGUUCAGAUUCCACCACCUCAGGAGGCCACCACAGCUACAUUAGAGGAUGCAUCAUCUCCACCUGAGGCUCCCACUACUUGAUCAUAGGACAUCUCUUUAUCUUAUUGUAUUUACAUAUUAUAUUACUGGAGAUUUGUCUUUGUUUUGAUACUUUAUAUUCUGGCAUUGAAUGUAUUGCCUAAUGAUAUCUCAAUUGUACUUUCUCAUAUUAAUAUAUAGACAUCAAUUUUUUUUAGUAUACUUAGGAUUUUUCUAUUUACUCUACUCAUUACUCUUUUGUUUUUUUUUUUUUACUCAUGUGGUUUCUCCUAUACGACUCAGACUCCAUUUCACUCAGGAGGUACCACUUCUUCCCUUUAUUUUCAAUUGCUCUUGAAACAUUGAGGGCAAUGUUGAUCUUGGUUGGAGGGAGAGUUGAGGAAGGAAGUGAUUACUACUCAAAAAGUGCUAUUUCAUAGCUUGUAAUUAACUCUUUUAAAACACUUUUGAGUAGUAGUUAUCACCUUUUAACCCAAUUAACAUAUUAAGGACCCUUGCAAUCAAUUCUAAUCAAAUUGUGUUAAGUUUUGGUAUUUUGAUAGCUUUUUUAUCACCAAAGCAAUCCGAGAUUGAGGAUAUUUAUUUGGAAUCCAUGGCAAAAGAUGUUUGGACAGGACGUCCGGACACACCAUCGGAGGGCGGCGGAACGUGGGCUGUGGCAGGCUGUCGGAAUGACGUAGCAAGGCUUGUGCACUUUAGCCAAUGAUCGGGAUAACAUAUCCGAAAUUCUGCUCCGCCGACAUUCCACCCGGAUGUCUCACAUCCGGAAUUCUGCUCCGCCGACAUUACACCCAGAUGUCUCACAUCCAAAAUUCUUCUCCGUCGACAUUCCAUCCGAAUAUUUCACAUCCGACGCUUGACGCCGGAUGGGAGAGGAGGGCGUUUCAACUUCCCCGGUCAGACAUAUCCGAAUCCUUUGAUAACGCUUACCCGGAGAGUUUCGCAGCCAUUUUGCACAGUGCCGCGGUGUUCUCUUGAAGCUUCCCGAUAUGUGCGACCGACAUUUUGAGAUAUUUUGCUUUAGAUAUUUGAUGUCUAAAUCCCCAAACUCUCCUUGUAACCCACCAAUUAUAGGAUUCCUUAGUUAUUAAGUUUGGAAAAAUGGUGAAUAACCCCUUAUAUAUAGUUUGCAAUUUUCAUAAAAAAGAUAUGUAGAAUCUCGGGAGCUUGUUCCCAGAGAGACGCAUCCUUUGUACAGUUUUGGAAGGAAGUAAAAUACAGAGCACUUGCUCUGCUUUUCAUAUAUAUUUUUGUUUUCUCGUUCUUUUUAUUUCUAGCCAAUCAAAGUCUGAGGAUUUUUCCUCAGAGGAUGAGAGGCUAGGCUCUUCGUCUCUUGGAGUGAAGAAAACUAGGUAAGUUUCCACAUGCAUAAAUUGAAAGUUUUGUUGUUUUAGUUUUUAAUGAAGAGAAAGUGUGACCCGUUAAUGGUUUUUAUCUUUUUAGUUAACUUAAAACGCCUUUAAAUCACCCGGGCCAACACUUGAUAAGGCAAGUGGUCUCCAUCCAUUGAGAUGCACUAGUUUAUCUCUUGCGAGCCUUUGGGAGGUGGUUUGAAGGUAGGAUUUUCUAGAAUAACCAACACUUGAUAAGCUUUUGGACUCUAAGGAGACAUCCAUUAGUUAUCUCUUGCGAGCUUUUGACGGGUAAUCCAAGGUUAAAGAUCACCUUGAAUGGCAAGUACUAGGUGAGAGGUAUGAGCCAUUGCAAGAUGCAUUAGUGAGAGGGAUUUAGUGUUUGAACCCAUUAAAGGGAAGCAUCUGUACCACACCGGUUCGGGAAAUAACUAUAUGUUAAAUCCCCAAUGAGAGGAAAAGAAACAAGUGACCGGAACUCCCUUUUUGUAUAAGGAACCUGAGCCUAGUGAUCUAAACUCCAAGAAACACUUUUCUUUGUAAGUAAAAUCAGUUACUAUUUUUGGUUAGUUUAAAACCAAACCUUUUUCAUUCAAACAUCUUUAUGUUUUCUUUUAAAGCUAACCUUGAAAUGAAAAGGCACCAAUUCAUAUUUGAAUUAAUAUCAAUUGUGAAGUGAAAACCCAUCCCAGUGAACGAUCCUAGAGCCACUAUGCUAUAGUAGCUUUGUCUUUGCUACCCUAGUUCAUGGUUUAAUAGGUUAUAAAUUUUGUUGAUUACUCCCACAAUCAAAGGAGCACCAGUUGGACAUGAAUCAACUGAGACACUAAUUGGGCACAAAUCAGGAAGUUUUGUUAAUAAUGCUAGGUUAAUUUGUUAAUUUAGUUACUUUCUGCUUAAUUUUAAAAGUUUUCACUUUACUUUCCAUAGUUAUUAAGGAAAAAUUCUCAAAAUGAAAUGGGAGAAAUUGAAUUCUUACAUUUUUACUUGAAUUUUAGAAUUUGUAUUAUGCUUAUUGAAGCUGAUGAAUUAUUGAAACUCCUAUUGAAUUCAACCUUAUUUCUUCCACUUUAAUCUUACCACACACGGUGCACAUUAGGUUCCGAUUAUAAGAGGUGCGUUCUUAGCCUAUUGGAGGUUGGUCAAUUUGUUAAAGUUUGAGAAAGAUCUAGGUUAGGGGAGAGAGAAUAGUCUGACAUACUAUAAUCGAAAACUAAUAAACUUAACACUUAGAUCUUUGUGGAAGAGUAAGGAUUGGACCUUUGGGAGUGGAAAUUCGUUUGAUGCUUAAAUUUGCAUAAUGCUUACACUUUAUAAAUUGUGAUUAGGCAAGAGAUUUGAUGACUCUUGUUCAAGGUUGGGUUUUGCCUCUUUGAUGUUCCAUGAGAGAGUAUAAUCCUCAUCAUGCCACUUGAAAUUUUUUUUGGAGUGAUUAACAUGAUUUUGUAAAUUACUUUACUGUCUAUUUUUUUUUUAUCUCUCCUUCAUUGCUAAUGGACUAGCAAUAUGUCAGUUGAGGGGAGUGAUUACUACUCAAAAAGUACUCUUUUAUAGCUUGAAACUAACUGUUUUGAACACUUUUGAGUAGUAGUUAAUACCUUUUAACUCAAUUGGCACAUUAAAGAACCUAGCAAGGGUUACUAAUUAGUUUUUGGCAAGUUUUGGUGUUUUUGGUAGCUAUUUGAUCAUUGAAACAAGCCAAGAAUGAGGGAGAAUUUUGUGAAGUCCAUGGCAAUGCAAGUUAAAGCUCAAAUACAUGAAGAAUCCAAGCUUUGGAGCACUUCAUAGCCCUUUCCAAAGCCAAUCAGAGAUGCAAGGAAGAAAACCAGAGGAAGAAAUCCAACAAUUAGCAUUUUCGCAUGGCUGUGCGAAAUUUCGCACACCAUGCGAAACCACAAGAGGCAGCCAAAGAAUUUUGCACACUAUGCGAAAUUUCGCAUGGUAUGCAAAAUCUUCUUGUGCACCAACUCCGUUAUAUUUUUAUCUCAAAUAUUUUGUGUAAUUUCCUAGUUUCUCCUUGUAACCAACCUAGAUAUUUUCUUUUAUAUAUUUUUUAGGUAACAUCAUCUAUAGGGGGAGAGACAUAAGGAGGAUAUGGAUGUUUUUCAUAGAACACUUGUAAAUUUCCGGUAGUAAGAAAUAUACAGAGCUUUUUGCUCUACCUUACCUUCUCAUUUUGUUUUCACUUGUCUUUCUAGCCAAACAACCUCUGAGGAUGAUUUCUUAGGGAAUGAGUGGCUAGGUUUUACGUUUCUUGGAGUGAGGGAAGCUAGGUGAAAGACCCGAAUGCUAAGGUGGGAGUUGUCCUUGCUUUAAAUGAAAGUAGUUGUUAAACAUUAAUGGUUUUUAUUUUAAGGUUUAGCUUUAAAUCCCUUAAAAACAUCUUGAAUGGUCAAUACUUGGUAGGCUUUUUGGAUUCUAUGGAUGCUUAUUGCUAGAUCCCUGGAUGUCUAUUAGUUAUCAUUUAUGAGCCAUUGGAAGGUGGUUCAAGAUGAGGGUCUUUAAUGUUUGAAGCCAUUAAUAGGAAACAAUUACCAUUCUUUCAUGAAUCCUUUGGAUCAAAUCUUAAUUGCUAAAUAUAAAACUAGUUCGGGAGAUAACCAUCCUUUAUGUUAUUAUGCCCAACGCGAGGAGAAGAUUCGGAAUCUUCCCCUUUGUCUAAGGAACCCGAUCCUAGUGACCUAAAGCUCUAAGAGACCUUUUCUUUAUAGUUAACUUCACUUAUUGUUUUUUCUUAACUUAAAAUCAAUCUUUGCAACCACAAUUCCAUUUUCUUUGAAAGCUAAUUUUCAUAAGGAAAAUCACCAUUUUAUUUUCUUCCCUAAGUCAACUGUACGAUGAAAACCCAUUCCCAUGGACGAUCCUAGAGCCACUAUACUAUGUUAGCUAUGCUACCCUAAUGUGAGGUGAUUUAGGUUUUAUAAAUUUUGUUGAUAACACCUGUUUGAGCCAGAAUCAAAUGGCGCAACUGAACCAGGGACGAAUCAACAACUUAUAUGGGAGGGACACAAGUUUAAUUGAUUUGCAUUUCAACGUUAUAUAUAGGUAUGUUUUGGAAGAUUUGUUCUGGAAAUACUGCACCAAGUACGAUUCUUUUUGUCUUGAGUGGGUCUACUUGCAUGCCAAUUAACGAGUGGAAAAGUAGGAGCACCUACCUCAUGCUCGCGGAACCGAAGGUCAGUGAAGUGGGGCUCCUUUUGGCCUCUUGUGUUUCUAUUCCAACCAAGGCGGCGUAAGGAAAAACAACAAUAUGUUUGUGCUAAAUAUCAACGCAUGAUAGAUGUUUUUGUUUUUUGGUAUGUCAAGGCUAAUGAAUGAAAUGCUUUAGCUUGUUUUGUGACUGGAACUGCAAAUGUCCAAAUUGGAGUAUCUCCAUUUCUCACUUCGGAUGGUUAACUUAUAAACAAGAUAUAGGAAACAUGUGAACAUCUUGAGGAACAAUUUGAAUUAUUCAUUAGAAGUCCUGGGUUGAGUUCCAAGAUUUAAAUUAGACCCCUCUAGCAGCUUCAGGGGUACCUAGCAACCUAUAGCAUAUUAAUGAAGAUUUAGGAUUUAGACUCUAGAAUACAAAUUAAUAUGUAUCUCAUGCUUUGACUAGCUUCCCUACAUAUGCACAAAAUGGAGAUGACCUAAAAAAAUAGCAGAAUCUAGCUUCCCUACAUAUGCACAAAAUGGAGAUGACCCAAAAAAUAGCAGAAUUUCCUUAGUUUCUGUGGUUAAGGUGAUUCUCCGCUUAAUAUCACAUUGACUCAUUAUGCAAAAUCAACUGAGCUAAUUUUGUUUAUUUAUUUAAUGUCAAAUAGGAACUCCUAAUUAACCUAACCCUUGGCCUGUGUAAAUUGAUUUCACAUGCCCAAUGUUGAAGUAGAAGUCCAUAUUUUGAAUUUUAUUUUUGUAAAGGUAAGGAAAAUGAAGCAUUGUGUAAUUAUAAAAAUAACUUCAUUGGAAUUCACAAGGUUCACCCAAAAUGGAGCUACAUCCGUAUUCUAUCCUGCAGUAGACUAUAUAGAUUGUACAAUAGUAAAUUGCAAAUACAAUUAAUAAGUCUUGUGCUUCCUUACUAAUAAUCCUUUGACAUGAACAUUGCAGCACUAAGGUCCUCUUGGGAAGACACCUUGCACCCAUGAGAGCACGAAGAGGAAGCAAGGCAGAGUCAUGGGUGCAAUGUCAUGACUUGUUGUUGCACCAAGAGAGGCUUGGUGAUGGCAUGGUGUUGCAGUAGCAAGAAUGUUGCCUUGGUAGGGACAUAAUCUAGGGAUAGAUGCCAAGAAAGGCUUAGCACUCACAUGAGUUGCACAAAGAUGAAUGUAAUAGAGCAUCAGAGAGACGUCUUGGCAAGUAAAUGAAUGGAUCCAAGAGGCAACAACAUGAGGAGUUUCAAAUGGAUAAGGAAUGAGUCAAAGACAUUUGAAAGCUACAAGUUGGAUUCUAAUUACGAUUGCAAUUUGAGUUUGAGUAGGAGUUUAGAUUCUGAUUGUAAUUGUAGUAUGAGUUGGACUAGGAUUGCUUAUCCCUAGUCAAAAUAGGAGUGGUUCGUGUCACACCCUAUGAAAAGAGUUUGAGUAGGGACUAGGAUUGCUUACUCCUAGUCAAAUAUGGAGUAGGUGGUGCCACACCUAUAAAAAAAAAGGGACAACAUGAGAGAGAGAGAGAGAGAGAGAGAGAGAGAGAGAGAGAGAGAGAGAGAGAGAAAGAGAUAAUGAAUUCACUAAAGAUAUUGUGGGAGUUUUUCUUUGUUACGUCUUGUAUUAUUACUUAGAAUAGGAAUAAAAUACAAGUUUGGGCUAGAGCCCCAUAAUUAAUCUCGUGUGCCUUUGUGGUUAUUCUUUAUUUGUCAUCUCGUGUGGAUUGGAUUACAUUGACUUAGAGGGCUUCUAAGCACCACCUUUGUGGGUUAUUAUUUAUUUUCCAUUUCUUGUGGAUUAGAUUAGGUUGACUUUGAGGGCUUUUAAGCACCACCUUUGUGGGUUAUUCUUUAUUUUCCAUAUCGUGGGGAUUGGAUUAGGUUGACGAUGAGAAAAAUUAUGUGGGAAAUUUGUGUUGGGACACUUAUCAUAACCAGGUAAAAUCUGCCAAGUCCUUUGUAAUAUCUUCAACAAAUAUUUCAGACUAGUUCUUCACCAUAAACAUCAUAUUGUGUUUUGUUUUUCUCCUGGAUUCUGAGUUGAAUUGUUUCAAGUCAAUUGAAUGCAUCUGAAUAUUAUUAGCUUGUUUGAAGGCCUGGUGAUUUUCCAUUUAACUUUACUUUCUUUAGGUUAUGCUCACUAUAAGAAAAAUGAGAAAUAAUGACGCUUUUUACGCGUUAAGAAAGGCAACAGAUGAUGCUUCUCUAAAGCGUCCUCUUCGGCUCUGUCAUUAUAUGUGUUAGCCAAUAAUGACGCUUCUAGGAAGUGCCAUCUUUGAAUAAUGUUAAUAACGACACUCGUAAAAAGUGUCAUCUUUAAACAUAUUCUGGUCAAAUAAUUUUUACAAAAUUAGUAAUCUUCAAGCCGUUUCUGAAUCAUAUCUGAGCCUAUUUCUGGGGACCAGAAAACCAUCUUUUUUCCAUUCGCCUGAGAGGUCUGAUUAGCAUUUCUGGAAUCAAUCUCUAAACCCAAGCUUCCCUCAUCUACCCAUUUAACCCUCAUGCCCUCCUGUUUGAACAACUUUCCCACUAUAUACACAAAUUUUUUACCUUCUGUUGUUGGUAUUCGACCUCUUCCCAUUCCCAGCACAGAAUCCACCAUUAGUGCCACUUUGUGAAUAAAAUCAUCGAACCAGAUCUUUCGGGCGGAAGAUGAGCUCCAGAGAAAUAAAAUUUUUGGGGUCUUCCCAGCAUGAAAGUCAUAGGUAGCAUUAAUGACAUCAAGAAAUGGGGCACUGUUGAGAAAAAACAUGUUCCCAUCAACCACCCAAGAAUUGUACCAGACUCCAAACACUUCUGGAUUACAUAUGCCUUUACUAAGAUAUAUUUCUUGAUCUCCAUAUCAGAAUCUUGGAGACUCUUCAUUUUAUGAGCUCUGACACUACUGUGAAAUUGGUCCACAUCAAUCACAGGAUGACCCCUUCUAGCAAGAUCAAGCAGGAAGUCUGAAUUCGGGCCCAUAAAAAUGUAGUUCUGAAUAUUGAAACUCUCAAAGUGGCACAACAAAUUCCUUAUGACUCUUUCAGAUGCUCCAAACAGGCUCACAAGUAUAAUGGUAUCCUGUUUUUGCACAGAGUAAAGAAAAUAUCCGAGUUCUUCAAAACUCCUUACAACUAUUCCAGGAUGUACUUCUUUGAAACAGAAAUCGUACCACUUUAGCUUAGUCAGAGGUUGAAUCUAAAAUAACAAAACCCAAACUGAAAUCAAAAUCGAAAUCAACCCUAAUAGAUUUCAGAAACAACAAAUUAAAAGAGUAAAGCACAAAAGGGGGAAAACACAUAUGAAGCAAUCUCCAUACAAGCCCUAACCUUAGAUAAACCCAAAAAAAAAAAUCAAAGCAGAGAGUUACCAUAGAGCAUCUCUGUUUCAAGCUUAGAAAAUGUUUAAUGCCAUUGAUAACUAGUUGGCUAGUGGUGGACUUCAAGCUUCUCUAUUUCGGUGUUAGUAGCUCUCAAUGGCUAUGGUGAGAACAAAGAAAUGAGAGGCUUAGGGUUUGGGAUGUGAGGUUAUUGAUGAUGAUGAGGAUAAAGUUAUGGGCUCUUGGAGGGGUUAGGGAAAUUGAAGAUGGCUGAGAGUAAAGGCUAGGGUUUUUGAGAUAGUUAAUAGCUUUUUAGGGUGUGACUGUCCAUAGAUAGAAGAUAAAUGAGGGUGUGAGAAUUUAUAGAUCUCUAGGUGAUAUGGCGGGUGUGAGAAUGAAAUUUUAGAGGGAAUUGUGUGUUUGGUAGAAAUUUCACACAUGCAUAUAUAAUGUUUCAGAACAUGGCACUUUAAAAAUACGACAAGGAAGAAAUUAUUUAUUGACGCUUAAAUAAAGCGCCAAGGUCUCCAACAUUUUUGCAAUCAAUGACGUUUGUAAAAGGUGCCAUUGAAUAGGAGUGCCAUUGCUUUCCCACAAAGCAUCAUUGUUAAUCAAGCCUUUAAAAAACGCCAAGAUAUGUUGCCACUUAGGUUAAAUAUUGACGCUUUUAAAAAACGCCAAGGAAAAAAACGUCAUUAUUCAUGUUUUUUGUAGUAGUGGCUUGAUUCCUAAAAAGUAAAGGAAAGCAAAAAGUAAAAAAAUAAAAAUGUGGAGAGUUAGGACAUGCGUUAUCUAAUUGUCCUAGUCCCAAAUAUAUUAAGAAAGUCAUGUAGGUUACUUGGAGUAACGAGUCAAGUAAAGCAAGCCUUCUAGUGUUUAAGACAUUAGAUAUUACCGAACUGAUUAUGUCAUUAAUGUAUUGCAUUUGUUGUUUCUAAUAUAUAGAAGAAGAUGAAAUUAUUGGAAUAAGUGGGAAAUAGGAAUAAAUCCAAGGUACCAAAAAGUCACUUUAUCUUAGAUGUUGUUGGAAACAUAAGUGAUUUCACAAUAACGACUAUGAGACAAUCAAGGAUUAAUAAGAUAGACUUUAUAUGAUAUACCUCCCAAUUAGAGCCUAAAAAUAUGGAUGAAGCACUUAGAGAUGAAUCUUCAAUUUUUGUACUAUAGGAAGAAUUAAAUCAAUUUGUUAGCUAUUCUUUGGAUAUUUGAUUCAUCACAAGCUACAAAUCACUUUUGAUGACCAAACACGAAACUAAGAGGAUUGGGCCCAAUUCGAUGCCUAUCAACAAUGAUUUGUAUUCCACCUCAUUAAUUAUUCAAAGUUGGGAAGCUAGGUCUAACCACUUUCUCUACCUGUUCACCCUUAGAGGAGCAGAAGAAAAUUCUAACUUUGGUGCCUAAUGCCUUUGACAAUCUUUCGACAAAGAGAGUUCACUAAUUACUUUGAUUAUUUCUCUGUUGGUCACUGGGGGACAAGACUUUUGUAAUGAAGUCAACUAGAACUUGCCCUUUGAGGGCCAUUCAUGGACGAUAUUACACCAUGAAUUCCCUUAGGUCAUGUUUGGUAUGUGAGAAUGAGGAGUGGAAUGGACAUCUUAUUCAUUUUUUCAUCUAUUCAAAUGUUGGGAUAACUCAAGUGACCAUGAGAAUGAAAUCAAGAAUGAUUCAAGGGAAAUGAAAUCUUACUUAUAAGUGUGAUUUCAAUUAAUCUCUAAUAGAAAUUAUUUUGAAUCAAUAGUGCAAGUUAUUUUUAAAAACAUUUUUCCAAAAUUAAAAAAAUCAAUUUUUUUUUUUUCGAUAAGUUGUUUUUAAAAGGAUUUUUUUUAUUUUGUAAAAAGAAAAUUGUAAUUCAAUUUAUAUAAUAUAAACUAAAUUUUAUUUUAUUCAAAAAGAAAUAAUUUUUUAAUUAUAAAUAAAUUAAAAAUAAAUACUUUUAAUAAAAUAUAAAUAGUAUUAUUAUAAUAAAAUCAUAAAUAAAUUUAAUUUUUUUUAUAAAUAUUAUAAAAAUAUGGAUAUUAACAUUGGAUAAUUGAUUUAUUUUGUUAAAAUAAAAAAUAAUAAUUUUUAAUAUUAUUUUAUGUUAAAUGAAUUUUAAAAUAAAGAAAGUUUAAUUAUUUUAAGGUAUAGAAGAGCCAAAUUUUGCAUUACAUACAUAACAAACAAUAUUUAUUAGAAACAUUUCUCAAGGAGAAUCUUAUUCCAUCUCACAAAGAUACUCGUUUAUUCGAUGUUUGACCAUCCGUAACAAUCAUGUCAAUUCUACUGAUUUAAUAAUUCCUUUACAUUUAUUACUCACUUAUGAACAUGGUAUUGUGAUUUAUUUAUUUAUUUGAUGUAUAAUUAAUUAAUCAAUUUUUUAAAUUUCAAAUUAUUUUUAAAAACUAUUCAUUAAGGAAUUUAAAGCAUUAAUUAUGUCUAUUAUUUUUUAUAGUCAUUAUAUAUAUAUUGAGUUUUAAUUUAUUUUUAAAAAUUAUUAAACUUAUUAAUAAAUUCAAUAUAAAGUCUCGUUUCAUUUGAAAUUCAUUUCUUUAGUGAAAAUUUUGAAAAAAAAAUUGUUAUUUAUUUUACUUUGUUUUAAAAAAAUUGUUUCUAGAGAACAAUAAUCAAAUAAUGGUAUGAAUUUUUAAAAACAAUUUUGUUUUUAAAUCAUAUGCCCAAAUAAUUUUUUUUUAUUUAGCAAAAAACUUUGUUGUAGUAUGUGGCUCAUAUUGAGGGAAAGACAUAUAUGGAGAAAAAUGUGCAAAUGUUGGAGUGGAGCGGAGUGGAAUGACGACAUUUGUCAUUCAAACUUGUAUUUUUAUUGUUAAGGGUGACCGAUAGGUUGGUACGGUUUAGGGGUAUUUUUGGAAUUUCAUUACCUGAGGGUUAGUAUAAAUACCAUUUUAUGUAACCCUAAUUUUACAUAUAAUGUAAGUUUUCUUCCUUGUUCUUGUGGACAUAGGCAAUCCGUCGAACCACGUUAAAUCUGUGUGUUUUUUUUUCUUUUUUCUUUUUCUCUAAUUUCUUCACCAGGAAUCGUUACACUAAGAUCAACAAACUCUCAAAGAUGAUUUUUAAAAUGAAAAAAAUAAUGUAUAGUGUGAGAAUUUUUUAUUUUUUAUUUUUUUAAAAUGAAAAUAAAAAAUUGCUUUAAGGUAAAAGUGUGGAUAUUAUUGUUAAUUUAUUUCAUUUUUCAUUUUCAUUUCCAUUGUUACCUACAAUUGAAAUGGAAACAACUAAUCAUUACAACCUUACAUUCUUAUAUGCAUCCAAAUACAAAAAUUGAAAUCACCAAAUUCAUAUUCAAGGCAAAAUAGGAAUGAAAACAAAUAUUCAUUCUCAUUCUUUAUUCCCACGUGUCAAACAUGACCUCAAAGUUAUAAACAUGAACAAGAAGUCCUUGAAACACCAAUGAUCUCUUCUGGUAUAUAUAUGAGCUUGAUUGACAACUGUUUUAAAUACAGUUUUUUUUUUUUUUGUUUUCAAAAUCAAAACAAAUUUAUUUUUAUUUUUUAUAAAUAGUAGUUUUUUAAUAUUUUUUUUAAACCUUAUUAUGAAAAUAGGAUGUUUUCUAAUAUCAUAUUUUAAUUAUUUUCAAUUAUUUUCCCUUCUUUUAAGGAGGGCUAUUUUAAAAAUAUGAAAAAUGAUACAAAAUAAAGCAUUACAAAUAAAAAUCAUUUUUAAGAAAUAUAUGAAAAUAAUUUGAGAACAUUUGAAGUUCCUUAAUUAAACUUUUGUUCUAGAAAAUGCAAGAAAACUGUUUUUGAAAAUUGUUUUCAUAAUGAUAUGCAUUGAUCGUUUAAAAUUUAAUUACAUGAUAAAAAGACCUAUGUAAAAACCAGAGUUAUAUAAUCAGUCAUAGAUCAAAUCUACUAAAUAUGAAAAGUAAGUACAUAGUUGUAUAUGACUUAGAUGGAGCCUUCUCCGAAUGACAUUCUUUAGUCGGUACUCAUAUUUUUUUGUUUCGUGUCUUCAACAUAACACCUCAUGAUCCUUAAUAAAUCACCUGAAAACUAUAUUAGCACCUUAUUGUUUAAUAUUUCUCUAAAUUUUUUUAUUAAGCAAAUAAAUUCCAAAUUUAAAAUGACAAAUAAAAUUUAUUAAUUUUUAAAAAUAAUUUAAAACUCAAAAACCAAUUUAAUUGAUAUUAAAAGUCAUGAAACUUAAUAAUAUUAGAAAGUCAUGUAUCCAAAUUUAUUUUAAAUGACUUGUUUAAUUUCUUGUUUAUAUAUAUUAUAUUUUUAUAAUUUUUUUUACUAUACAAAUAAAUUUUAAAUUAAACAAAACUUAAUGCGUUGAAUUCAUUAACGAGUCUAAUAAUUUUUAAAAGUUACUUAAAAUUUAAAUACUAAAUCAAUUAGUACCACAAAUUCAUGGAAAAAAAUUGAUUUAUUACUACUAUAUUGUUUCUCUAUUGCAUAGAACCAUUAUUUUUCAAUUUUUUCAUUUGGCAAAUGAACAUCAAAUUAAACAAGACUAAGUGUAUUAAAUUCAUUAAUGGGUCUAGUAAUUUUUUAAAAUAAUUUAAAAUUCAAAUAUUGAUACUCCAAAUUAAACAAGACUUAGGUGGUGUUUGUUUUUUGGUUGAAUAGAAAAAGGUAAAAUAUUUGACUUUUUCUAUUUAGUUAAAAGUAACUUGUUGACAUCGUCCAAUAUAAUUAAAGUAAACCUAUUGAGGGCAAGUUCACUUUAAUUAUGUUGGACGAUGUCAACAGGUUACUUUUAACUCAAUAGAAAAAAUCAAAUAUUUUGACUUUUUUUUUAACUCAAAUAAUAAAUCCAUUAAUACAAAAAAAUUAUGGAUAAUUUGAAACUUUCUUUCUUUUUUUUUUUUUUUUUGCUACACAUAGCUAUAUUUUUAUAAAUUUUAUCAUUAGAGAAAUGGAUUUCAAAUCAAGUGAAACUUUGUAUUGAAUUAAUGGAUUUAACAUUUUUUAAAAAUAAUUUGGAACUAAAAAAAAAAGAUUUAAUUACUAAGAAAAUCAUAGAUCAAAACUAAUAUAUUCUGAUCCAUGAUUUUAUUAUUUUUCCUAUACAUACAAUUAUAUUUUUAUAAUUUUCUCACUAGGUAAAGAUAUUAUAAAUUAAGUGACACAUAAUUAAUAAUUUAAAUUUUUGAAUGAAUCUUUUAAUUUUAGGAAUAAUUUGAAAUUUAAAAAGUUGAUCCAAUUAAUUGUAAAUUAACUUAAAAUAUUAUAAAAUAUUAUGUUCAUAAUUAAGUACUAAAUGUAUAUAUGUAAUGAAAACUUAACUAGUUACAUGUUACAAAAGCCAAAAUUUAUUCAUUCUUUAUUUUAAAUAAAAUAUUAUUAAUAAUUAUUUUUUUUAAAAUAAUAUUUAGUAAUUAUUGUUUUUAAAUUAUUAUUAUUAAUUUUUAAUAAAAAAAUUGCAAAGUUAUUAAUAUCAUUAUAUUUCUAACAUAAAUUUAAAUAGUAUAUUUUUUAAUAUAUAUAUAUAUAUAUAUAUAUAUAUAUAUAUAUAUAUAUAUAUAUAUAUAUAAUUUAUGAUUUCAUUAUAAUAUUUUUAUUCAUGAUUGACGAAAAAUUAUUUAUUGUUUAAUUUAUUUGAAUUGCAAAACUAUUUUUCAAAAUUCAAGCGAGAAAAUAGGCCUGGAUUUGAAUUUCCUGUAGAAGAGAAGGAUGUGGAGAAUAUGUUGGGAGUAUUUGUGGAUAAAGAAAAGGCCAGGGUACUGAGAAAGGAGAGAGAACUUGCUCUUGCCAAAAGAGCCCUGCACAGGUAUUCUACUGAUUCUAAUUAUCGGUUCUUACAUGAUCAGAUUUCAGAUUUAUUUGCUGAGCUUCUGAAAUCUGAUACAGUAUUUAAACUCCGGUGAGCUUUACAAGAUUAGUCUCGCAUCCAAUUCCAAAUGGUGUCCCACAAUUGAUUCUUCUUAUGAUAAAUCCACCUUGAUAUGUGAAAAUAUUGCUCGAAAGGUUUAUCCUCGCGAGGAAUAUCCAGAAUACUAAGGAAUUGAGGAGGCUCACUAUGUUUAUAGAGUCAGGGAUAGGUUGAGAAAACAAGUAGUUGUUCCAUUACAUAAGGCCCUGGAGUUGCCAGAGGUUUUCAUGUGUUCGAACAAGUGGGGAUCACUUCCCUACAACCCUGUGGCUUCAGUGGCCAUGAAAUCAUACAAGAGCCUCUUCUCAAACCAUGAUACAGAGCGGUUUGGUGAGUAUCUUGAGAAAGUGCAAACUGGGAAGGCUAAGAUUGCAGCUGGUGCAUUACUUCCCCAUGAGAUUAUAGCUUCAUUGAAUGAGGAGGAUGCCGAGAGAGUUGCCGAGCUUCAGUGGGCAAGAAUGCUGGAAGAUUGAUCAAAGAAAGGGAGGCUCACAAAUUGCAUUGCAGUAUGUGACGUAUCAGGAAGUAUGAGUGGAACUCCAAUUGAGGUGUGUGUGGCUCUGGGGCAGUUAGUUUCAGAGCUCAGUGAAGAUCCAUGGAAAUUAAGGUAAUGUAAUUACUUUCAGUGCAAAUCCUGAGCUUCACAAGAUCCAAGGAGACAGCCUUGUAUCCAAGACUGAAUUUGUGAGGAUGAUGGAAUGGGGUGCCAACACUGACUUUCAGAAAGUUUUGACAGAAUCUUACAAGUAGCAGUGGAGGGAAAUAUGAGUGAAGAUCAAAUGAUAAAGAGGGUUUUCGUUUUCAGUGAUAUGGAGUUCGAUGAAGCUUGUGGGAGGUAUAACUAUUGUGACUAUGACUAUGAUAUGGAGGAAAUUGACGAGAGUCAGAAGGCAUCUCAGAAGUGGGAGACAGAUUAUGAAGUGAUACAGAGGAAAUUCCAGGAGAAAGGAUACAGAAAAGUUCCAGAGAUAGUGUUUUGGAACCUUAGAAACUCAUCAGCGACUCCAGUGACGGCCACAGAGAACGGGGUGGCCUUAGUAAGCGGGUUUUCAAAGAAUCUGUUGACCUUGUUUUUGGAAGGAGGUGGAAUUCUGAUCCCUCAGGAUGUGAUGGAAUUCGCCAUCUCUGAUGAAGAUUACAAGAAACUUGUUCUAUUUGAUUAAGAUAUCAAGAGAUUUAUCAAUAAUAAUAUAUUUUUUUUCUAUGUGAAAUACAUAUAAUAUUAACUGUGGAGUUAUCAAAGUUCUGGAGGUUUAAUUAUUUCUUCUUUUCAAGUUUUGUUUAUUUAAGGUUUUCUUUGUCUUUGUUAGGAAUUCCCCUUGGGUGGACCCAGCUGGGGAGUUGGAUUGAGGAAGUAAGCAGGCGAACUUGUGUUCUUCUAUGGACAGAGAAAAAAAAUAAAAUAAAAAAAUAAAAAAGGAGGUUAUUUGCAUUUGGAUGUCGUGGUUUGAGGGUACAACUACAAGCUCGAAAUUGUACAUAAUGUGAAAACUCCUGUGUCCAUUGCUGAGAACAGCAUAAAUGAUGGUGAUUUUCAAGUUGUGCCUGGUAUUCUACAGGAUGAAACAAGAAAGGAUCCAGGUGGUAUAUUGAACAAUAUCCCAAUCAUGUUGGUGGCAUCUUUAUUUAGUUAAUGGUAUUCAUUUGGUGGAAGCUGGUUGUUUAUGAUGUUUUUAAUUUUUUUUAACAUGAAGUUCGAUCAAAUACGUAUCUUAGUAUGUUUUGUUUGAGCUAAUUGGCAAAUGCGCUUUAAACAUGGUCACAUGGAUGCAGUUUUAUUUGUGAAAUGAUAAUAGUCGAUUACUUGGUCAGUAAGGUUUAUAUCUCUAACUUCAACAUCUUAUUGUAGUCUUUUAAAAUGUCAAAAGUUUAAUGCUUGAGAAAUUUUGGAAUGGAGACAUUCUAAACAAAGUUAAUAAUCCACAAGACUUGGUAAAACCGAUCAGAUGAUGCUUACGUACAUCAAUGCCUUCUUUAAGCCAUAUCCUAUUUUCAUUGAACGGGAUGUGCCAUCUAGUUUGGUUCUUUAAGCCUCCAAAUCCUAAACCUAGUCUCAAUUUAGAGCAAAUUUAGGGUGCAGGGCCUGCAUGCCUCCCCCUCCCCCUUCCACAAAUAGUAGUGACCUUGCUAUGCCUAUGCAUUGUCAAUGCCUCAUUUUCUAUGGUCUCCAAUGUAAUAUCUUAGUUUCAAUGUCUCUUUCCUUACUAUCUCCAAUGCAAUAGAUUGAUUUCAAUACCUCUUUACAACUAAGACCUCCAAAUUUUCUUGGUUCAAACCUACCAGAAUUUUUCUUCUCCUUUGCUUUCUAUCAAUAUUAGUUCCCCUAAUUUAAUAUAUACUUCUUUAUUACCUUCAACUCUACCUCUCUUUCUUUCUCUAAAAGCUUCCUCAAAGAUUUAAUUGCUUUCUUGCAUGUUUUAAGAAAACAAACAUGCUCAUAUUACAUUACCUCUACUUGAGAUCUACCUUAUACUCUACCUUCUUUCUUUACCUCCUAUAUCAUCUACUACAUUAGCUUCAAAAAUAUUAUUUAGUUUGAUACUAAAUAAGGCUCCUAAUCCUACUCUUCCUUCAACAAACUUUCUUUUUACAAGUUCCUUAAACUUUAUUUUUUAUUUUUUAUUUUUUGGAAAUUCGGGUUAGAAAGAUUCCAUUACUCUUACCUAAUAUUUCAACCAUCAAGUUGAAUCCACUUAUUGCCUAAAUCCAAGGAGUCUGCCCUCCACAAAAACAAGGAAAUUGAUCCCACAAUAACAAGGAGAUUGCCUUCCACAGAAACAAAGAGAUCUCCCUUCACAGAAGCCGAAUACAUUGCAAUCUAUUUUCUUUCUUGUAAGAUCAAAUCUUCAAUCGAGCUCCAUCUUAUGGGGGCAUAUUAGAGAAAUUUAAUAUUAUCCUUAAUUUACAUAUUAAUAUUUAUCUAUUUAUUAUAUAUUGAAUUAAAAUAGAAUAUAGAAUUUGAAUCAUAGUAGAAGUUUACUAUAAGAUUGAAUUACAAUAGUUAAUAGAGUUUAAAUUAUAAUAACUCAAAUACAUUUAUAUAUAUUUGACCUUACGAGAUUUUCUAUUUAUGUAUUUGAACUACAAUCCUUAUGAUCCUUAGGUCUCUAUACCUUCGUGAUGGGCUCCUUGACAUUUCAUAGGUUGUGCUACACAUGCAUUUGAAAUUUAGAGUGCAUUUGACAGUGAUUCUGGGAAGUGUUUUUGGCAUUUCUAACACUUAAAAUUUUUUAUUUUUCAAGUAUUAGAAAUGCUACAAACACUUUUGAAAAUUACUGUCAAACACACUCUUAGGAGCGCAUAUAGUAGAAAACUAGAAAUUGUGGUUUUUUUAGGAUUUACUGUAAUGUCAUUAGGAGGGUAGUAAGUUGAAACUGAGUAUGAAUAAAUAUUUCUUUCUUUGGGAUGUUCUUCUGGUAGGUGCUGAUGAAACUGUUCUUUUUACUGCCAAUGUCACAUAUCAGCCAGAAAUUGAAAAUUUCAGUCAAGGUGUCCUCGGUUUUAGUGGUGAGGAAAGCUAGAAAUUUUAAGGUGAAGUUCUGUUAAAAACCUUAAGUAGCUGGGAUAUCAGGCCUGUUUUGCUUGAAAAAAAAAGUUGCAAGAUAACUCAUAUGCCAAACAGGUUCUGAUAUUGUGAAUCUAUCGGCAGACAUCAGUAAUCUCAUCUUCUGAGAUGGAUGUUGGGGGUGCAUGUGGUGGUGGAGGGGCAAGGUUUCAUUUGGUUUAUUUUGUUGAUGGAUAUUGUCUAGCCCCCUGCGCCAAGUUUGAGGGGUGGUGGGUUGUGAUGGCCCUACAAUUACUAUUAAUUUCUUCCUCUUUUACCGAUUAAAGUGUCCGAACAGUCGAAGUUACCCUUAUGCAUGUCAACUUGAUCACUUACCUCUUCAAUGGAGUUUAUGCUGGUUCAUUUAGGAACUGAUUUUUAUUGUUAUGCAUUCUAUGCUGAUGUUUAGGCCUCUCCAUCAUCACUAUAUACAAAAAUUCUAGGUUGAUACUAUAGGUUGAGAUUUAUUUUUUAAAUAAAAAAUAAUAAAAAUAAAAAUUAUGGUGAUGUUUAGUUGUUUUAUGGAAAAUUUUAACAAGUUAUUUUUGGGCAAGUUUUCAAACAAAAAGAAAAGUAAAAGUUGUUUUGACAAAAACAUAUAGAAAAAAAAAAUCAUAGAAAAGAAAUAAUUUCCCCAUAUUCUAACUUUUUUUAAUUUUUCUCAAUGGGCAAAGGAAUAUCAAAUCAAGUUUGAGUAGGAUUUCUUAAUUUUUAAAAUAACUUACAAUUAAAAAAUUUUGGUGUUUUCAUUUUUGGACAAUUUUUUAUUAAGCAAAUGGACUCUGAGUCAUGCAAGAGAUAUGGUUGAUUAAUGGGUCAAACAAUUUUUUUAAAAUAAUUUAAAACUCAAAUACAUAAUCAAUGUCACAAAAUUUAUAAACAAAAAUAGGUUUAGAGAAGAUCUACACAUAAUUUUACUUUUCUAAUUUUAUUUUAUUUUAUUUUUUUGUUGGAAAAUAGUCUUCAAAUCAUGUAAGAUUUAAUAGGUUAAAUUUGUUAACAAUAAAUUUUAAAUUAUAAAAUAUAAUCUGGAACUUAAAAAUCAAUUCAAGUAAUGCUAAAAAAAAUCAAAUUUGGUAUAGAAUGACUACGUAAAAUUUUUUACAAAACAAAUGAAUUUUAAAUCAAGUGAGAUUUAAUGCAUUAGAUUUUUAUCAAAUAUAGUAAUUUUAAAAUUUAAUUUGGAACUCAACAAUAGACACAAUAAAUACCAAAAAAUAAUGAACCAAAAUUGGUUUGGAAUAACUCCACAACCUCUUUUUUUUUUUUUUGGUGCACACGAAUUUUCUUACUAGGUAUAUUGCUUUCAAAUUGAGAAAGAUUUACUAUUUAGAUUUUUUUUUUUAAUGAGUUUAAUGGUAUUUUAAAAUAAUUCAAAAUUUCAAAAAUUGACUAAUUACUAUUAUAAAUUCAUAAACCAAGACUAAUUCAAAAUGCAUUGGGGGCUAAGGGGGUUGAAAAUAGGGACAAUGGGAUGGGUUUGGGACAUGACACUCAUAUCUCAUUUCCAUUCCAAUUACAUAGUUAUCUCCCAUCCUUAUCCCAAACUUGUGUUGGAGCAAGUUGAUUUGUUCCCAUCUUUGUUGAUGAAAUGACUAAUAACCUCAUCCCCUCCUUAUCUUAGAUGUACAUUUUGUCAAAUUUGAUCAGGUAUGAUUGAUCCAAGCCCUAACCCUAAUUGGUAAUGACUGGAUACUACACCUAAUUGCAUUCUUCUUUCGUCGCAAAAUAAUGAGAUUAUAAUAAUCUAGCAAAUAAGAAAAAAUAGUAUGGAAGUUCAAUUUAACACCAUAACUAUCAAUAAUUUUAAGCUUAUAGAUGACUUAAAUGAUUAAAAACUAAUGCAAAAUACCAAAAAAAAAAGUUCAUAUAAAGAAUUCACAAGAGAACAAAAUGAACAAAAACCAAAUAUGAACAUGGGUCAACAUUAGUUAUGGAUUUGGAUUCCUUUCAAGGCCAAUCUUUGAACCAAGACUUCAUCAAAUCUACUACUUCAAAGGCUUUUGUGUUCUUCUUGGGUUGUGCUCUCAAACAAAGACUUCAAGGUGAUGCUCUAGAUGAUUGCAUUACACAUAUUUAGGGUGGAGAGAUUGGAGAAGCUUGAAGAUGCCAACGAUGGGUACAAUUGAGUGGUCAAUAAGAACAAUGUAGCCUAUGACUAGUUUGAUGUCGUGGUACAAGAGUUUUAGGCAUUGAGGUUAAAGCAAGAGCAACAUGGAAUUGAUUUUGGAGUCUUUCAAUUAGUGUAAAGGAGGAAGAAGUGGUAUUGAUUCUAGAAAUAGGGUUUUAGGUGGUGCGUUAGAGGAUGAAGAAGAAGAAAAAGAAGGAUCUGUUGGAAUUAGUGUGAGUGUGAAGAGAGAAGUAUAUAAAUAAGGGGAAGUAAAAGCAAAGUUCUAAAAGCUAUAUUUUUUUUUAUUGUUGGUGUAUGGUUGCAUGAUUAUCCCUAUAAAUAAUAGGAGUUUUUUUGGUAUUCUACUAGUAGUUGAAGGAUAAUUUCAUAAAUUUAUAUUUAGAGUGGGGUGGGGUGAGUUGUGACAAAAUUCAUACCCGUCCUAAACCUUGGUUCAGAUUUUUAAAAUAUCCUCAAACUUAUCAUAUACCCAACUUUUAUAUUUCAUACUUGUCUUGAUAGAGGCAGGUUAGGCCGGGUUACUUGAGUAACCUACAUAAUUGUCAUCCCUAGUUGAAAUACACUUUUUUGGCAGUGGCCACCAACUGAGCUAGAAGCUUGAUCGAUUGACCUACAAGAUUAGUUCUCAUCAUUUUAAAAAAAGUUUUGGCCUUGGUUGUGAGUGCAAUUGAAUCUAAACUGGCAUUUCCUUAAUGCAUCUACUUCAAUCCUAAAUUUCUUACUUCCUAAGCCUCAAUUGUUGUUAGGAUUUUGGAAAGCCCAUUUCCUUAAAUUGUAAAUUUAAGAAAAAAUAAAAUAAAAGUGAGACAUUUCUUGAUUGAAUAUUGUUAAAGGUCCCUUGGCAUUAAGACUUGGUUGAAGCCUUGGAAGAUUAGUGGAACUCUCAACUUGUGUUUGAAUCUUGAGGAGAGUGGACGUAAGCCAAAAUUUUGUCAAACCAUUAAACAAAUUGAGUUUGAAUCCUCAUUUCUUGAUUUCUUAUUUAUUUGCUUUUUCUUAUUAUUACUUGAAUUGUCAUUUGCAUUCAUUAAUGUUAAAAUUGGUUAUAAUUAACCAACACUAAUUCUCUUUCCCCUUCCCUUUCUUGGGUGUAAACCUAGGUUGGAUUAACUAGAUUAAUUUAUAAAAUCUAUUAAGAUGGUAAAAGAAUAAUUAUUCUUAACACACAUAAGAUCAUCUUCAAUCAAAUGACUCAUUGGCUAAUAUGUUGAAUUUGCUUAUUACUUGCAACUCAAAAUUGUGUUCUAGUUGAUAUGUCAAGUCCCCAGUGUAUGGACAUUAAAUUUGUAGUACGUGAUGGUAAUUAGAUGGUCCAACUCCAAGAAAGUGAUUGAAAACUAGUUCAAGAAAGGUGCAAAAGGGAAUUGUUUUGGUAUUUUCGUUUUUAUUCUUGAAGGUGGCAGAGCUAAAAUUUGUGAAAUCAAGCAAAACAUACUGAAAUUACAUUGAAAGAAAGAAAAUGGGAGUUAAUGUCUUGCAGUAGAUGAUAAGGACUUCAUGCAUGUAGUAUGACCCAUGUCUUGGACUGAUGCCAACUCACGGUUACACUUAUACCCUUGGUUCUCUCUUUACUACCUUGGCUAACCUAGAUCAGGCUAUGAGAUAGGCUCCUCACCACACCAUUACUUGCCCAUUAAUUAGAGACAUUUUCAAGCACUGAGGUAACAUGGUGACACCAAGAGGGUUUAUUCCUCGCCCUCCUCGCCCUCAACAAGUCUAGACUUGGUCUCAAAAAAAUGGAGAAAAAUGAGGUGUCGUUAUGUAGAAAUACAACAACCAUGCCUUCCUCAUUACUUUGAUUCAGAAUGUGAAGGUGAAAUUGAGAAACAGAAACUCUUGAAACCAAAAUGAAAAUUGAUACUUUUACGAAGAAUUACAACAACAUUGGAGGAAGACUACAUUCUUCCUCUUUAUUCCUACAUUUCUACACUACUUCUACUCCACUCCAUAUUUCUACAUACAUCUUUAAUCAGUCUUCCCUCCUUUAUAUAGAGCCAUCUUCACACAAAUUCCGCAAGGUAGAAAAGAGGAAUGAAACUUGGAGCAAGGUUCGACUACUGGCUGUAGCUUGUCAAGGCUGGAAGUGAACCUUUUUUCUUGGCUUUUCUGGGCAUGGGUAGUAACUUGUGGGUUCCUUUUUGGGAUACAAAUGGCUAGAACAUGUGGCACUAUCUUGUUGGAUGAUGUGUCAAGCAUGUGGCAGCCAUCUAGUGGCGAUUAUGUCAAUUUUGGGAUGGAGAGUUGGCAUCCAAUUGCAAAGAAAUAUGACGUCUACCAACAGGCAAUGUAAACCUAUGUAGAUCAUAUGAAGAUAGAGAGGAAAAAUAUAGAAAUGGAUAUAUACCUAGAACUAGCUUUUUAUUAAAUGAAACGGAGAGCCAACAAUGAAGGAAAAUAAAUUUUUUUGGCUUAUAUCAAAGAGUUCACAUUGUGCUACCCUAGGUUUUCUUAAAACUUACUUUUAUGAUAACAAAAAAAAAAAAAAACAUUAUUGUUUAAUCCUUUGUUUUAAACGCAUGUUUAGCAAGUUAUAAAAUGUAAAAAUCUUUCUAAGUUCAAAUAUGAAGAUAUGACAUCAUUUCAAGCAAGAUAGUCUCUAGGAAUUAAUGUAAAGCUAAAUUAAGGUGAAAUUAAAUUAGUUCAAUGCAUUAAUUUAAGAAACUUGACCUAUCAAAAGUACAAAAUUAGAUGAAAUCCAUUUCAAUGGUUAAAAUGAUCAAAAUCAAACUUUUUCUAAGUAUUUUUUAAAAGUAUCAAUAUUGAAAGACAAUUUUAUAUUUAGUCAGAGUUUGGACAAAACCAAAAAGCACACAAAAUCCAAGCGACCAUCUCUAGCUUGGAUGGUCGCUUGAUCUCUAGCUUGUGUACUUGGAAAGCAACAUCGAGAUGAUAUAUAUAUAUAUAUAUAUUUUAUAUAAUAUUGUUUGUCCAAAUUCCCUAAAAAUUAGGCCACCACAUGUUCAUAAUUCUCCCUUCUUGAAUUUGAAAACUCGGACAAUUGGACAAUGCGACACCUAAGUCCGGUUUCUAAAUGCUAAAGUGAAAGGGUAGGUAUGGACCAUUGAAAUGUGAUCACAACUUUUCUCUGUAGCCAUGUUGUCUCUUUUUUCUUUUGCAUGAUUUUCUCACCUUAACAGAAUCAUAGACUUGUUUAAUCUCUAAAUGGGAUUAAUUUCAUCCAGCUUUAAGCUACUAUAUUAUAUCUAGGUGGAGGACUUUUAAGAGUGCAACCGACAUAGAGCACAUGCAAGUGGGUAUAUGGGACAUGAAAUUUCUUCUUAUAAAGAUUGCAUGAUUUUUAUAUUAGAGUUGUUGGGGCGCAAUGUAUGUAGCUUGUUUUGCAGUUAAAUUAAUUGGAUAAGUAGACAUUGGCGUUUCUAAAUCUACUGUGAAGUGCUUCAUGUACGUGUGAAGUAUUAGAAAUUUCUUUCUUGGCAACUUGUUUUUUCUUUGCGGUCUACUGAUAGGUUUGACUAAAAUUAUAUUCCCUGUCAUGCUAAUUAAUUUUCACGUGCAUGCUCAAAAGAAGAGUAUGACCUUAGUGCACCAAAAUCACUUUGAUUAAUUUGUGAUAGGUUUUUGUGCAUCAUGACAUUAGCCUUAUUCAUUUAGAUAAUGUUUAGUUUUUAGAAAGUAUUAAGAAAAGGAAAAUAAAUAUUAAGAAAAAUAUUCUUAUAUUUGAUUGUAUUAUGAAAAAUGUCAUAAAAAAAUCAAAUAUAAUUUAAAUUAAUUAAUAAUUUAUACAUUUUCAAAUUAUUUAAUCUUUAUAUUGAAGAUAUAAUAUAAAUGAAAUGAGUUUUAAGUAUUAUAUAAAAGUGAUUUAUUGAUCUUGCAUAUAUGUAUUUCUUUUUUUUUUCUUCUAUUUUUUUUCUUUAUUUUAUUUUCCUUAUGUUUUCCUCAACAUUUUCCGGAACCAAACAUAGCCUUAGGAAAUCCACAAUUACCUUCAACUGAGUAUAUUCGGUUGUUUUAGCAAUGUUAGGCUGCUAACUUGUGUUGGUACGAACCUGUUAAGCCUAAAGAUGUAAUUAGUUAGGAUAUUCUUUUCCCUCUAGUCUUGUAGCUCCACGUGUAUAGUUGGUUAGGACCUCAUUGUAUAUAAUGCCUGCCCUGUUAUUGUUGAAGACAACAGAGAUAAAUAAUAUUAACAUUUUUCCUCUCAUCUCUCUUUGUUUCCCUCUGUUUUCAUCUCCUCUCUCAUCUUGGUAUCAGAGCCUCCAUGGAUUCUUUCAAAGAAACCUCCGAAUCACCUUCUGCUAGCAUUGUUAAUGUGCAAAACCCAUUAUCUCAGUCAAACAACCUUCCUUCACCAGCAGCCACACCCUCUUUUUCUUUCUUGUCUAUGAAUCAACCUCUCACAGUGAAGCUGGAUAAUGGAAACUACCUCAUCUGGAAGAAUUAGCUUCUGAAUGUCAUCAUUGCGAACAGACUCGAUGAUUUCAUUUAUGGAACUCGACCCUGCCCUCCUUGAUUUCUCAAUCUGCAACAACAAACCCUCACUCCAGAGUACUCGGUCUAGCAGAGAUACAAUCGACUUCUAAUGAGUUGGCUGUACGCAUCCUUGUCCGAAGAUAUAAUGACUCAGAUUGUUGGGUAUUCAACAACUGUGGAGAUUUGGAACGUCCUUAAUCAGAUUUACUCUGCCUCUUCAAUGGCGUGGGUUACCGAGCUUCACACCAAGCUUCAAACGCUCAAGAAAGAUGGACUCUCAGUUGGUGAAUAUAUUCAAAGGCUCAAAUCCAUUUGCAAUAGUCUUGCAGCAAUAGGAGAACUAGUUUCUGAGAAAGACCAGCUUAUCUAUUUGUUCAAUGGAUUAUAUUGUGAGUAUAAUUCUUUUGUUACCUCCAUUCAAAAUCGAUCUGACCAACCAACUAUUGAGCAAAUCCAUAGCCUAUUGCUUAGCUAUGACUUUCGGCUUGAACAACAAAACUCUGUUUCUCUCCAUUAUGCCCAAGUCCGUAUGGCUCAUCUGAACAAGAAACCUUAUAAAUCAACUCCUCAACCUACAUUCAAUCAUAUUCACAUUCAACCUAGAUACUCUUCUCCACCUUUUAAGCCAACCACUAGUCAAUAUCAACCCAGGAUUUUGGGCAAACCACAACCACAACCAUGACAGCCUCAACCUCAAUGGAAACCACAUUUUUCAAUCCAGAAUCAAAAGCCUCAGUGCCAAAUUUGUGGUAAAUUUGGACACACUGCUCUUAUUUGCUUCCAUUGCACAAAUUUGAACUAUUCACCCCAACCUUCUCCUAAAUCUUUCAAUACUGUUCUCACCACAAAUUCCCAGCUCCCUAAUCCUCCAAAAUUUUCUUACCCUACAAUGGCUCAUCCUGCUGCUACGCAUAACACGAUUCCUGAUACAAAUUGGUACAUGGACUCAGGUGCUACACAUCACUUUACUCCGGACAUCAACAUGCUUGACACUGUGACACCAUUUAGUGGUUUAGAACAGGUGACAGUUGGGAAUGGUAAGCAACUCUGUAUCUCACAUCUUGGUACUGCAAAACUACCAUCCUCGUAUUCUCCUCUUGUUCUACAUCAGGUAUAUCACACUCCAAAAAUUUCAAAUAAUCUUAUUAGUGUUAGAAAAUUGUGUUCUGAUAAUAAAGUUUUUGUUGAAUUUUAUGCCACUCAUUUUCUUAUCAAAGAUCAAGUUUCGAAGAGAGUUCUCUUUCAAGGUCAACUUGAUAAUGGCUUAUACAAAGUUCAGUCGUCAUGCUCUCCUUCUACUAUUUCCUUUCAUCCUCAAGUUUUCAUAGCCAACAUCAAGGAUCAAAAUUUGUGGCACAAGAGACUAGGCCACCCAGCUUUAUCUGUUAUUAAUCAAAUCUUGGAUUCUUGUAACAUUGCUCGAACACAGAAAAUUGGUUUUAAUUUUUGUAGUUCUUGUCAAUUAGCAAAAAGCCACAGGCUUCCUUUUUCUCUGUCUCCAUCCAUUGCAGAAAAACCUUUUGAGUUAAUUCAUACAGACCUAUGGGGUCUUUCUCCUGUUCGCUCUAUUUCUGGUGCUCGUUAUUUUUUACUUUUCAUUGAUGAUCAUACUCGUUUUACUUGGUUUUAUUUGCUCAAAACAAAAGAUGAAGCAUAUCCUACUUUUCUCAAGUUUCAAGCUCUCAUUGAAAAUCAAUUUAAUACCAAGAUUAAGGUUGUCCAAUCUGAUUGGGGAGGUGAGUUUCGAUCUCUCUCCAUACUGUUUUCAAAUAUGGGCAUUGUCUAUCGUUUAUCAUGUCCAUACACCUCACAACAGAAUGAGUGGGUUGAGCGAAAAAAUCACCAUGCGGUUGAAAUGGGAUUGUCCUUUCUUGCUCGCUCGGGUAUGCCCUUAUCUUAUUGGCCUUAUGCCUUUCAAACUGCCACUUACCUUAUUAAUCGUCUCUCUACCCCUGUGCUGCACCAUCAAUCCCCUUACUUCGCACUCUAUCACAAAUUCCCAGCUUAUACUCAUCUUAAGGUCUUUGUUCCUCUUGUUUUCCAUAUUUACGCCCUUAUAAUACCCAUAAACUCCAAUACAGGUCACUGGAGUGUGCUUUUCUUGGUUGCAGUUCACACCACAAAGGUUAUCUAUGUCUUGACAUUCAUUCUAGCAGGGUGUAUAUUUCUCGCCAUGUGAUUUUUAAUGAAGAUUCUUUUACAUUCAAGAAUUUGAAAUCUUCUCUCUCUUAGUCUAUUUCUUCUUCCUCUUCUUUAUUAGUUCCUCUGUUCAUUUCCUUGCCUCCCCUCUCCCCAUAUCCUCCUAUUUCUCCAUCUAUAUCUCAUUCUUUUCUCUCUUCUUCUUCUACCUCUAGUACUUGUUCCCCUCUCGUUGCUCCUACCUCUCUUCCUCCCUCUUCACACUUUGUGUCCCAUCUAUUCCACCUCCUUCUCCACCUUCUUCGAGUGUGGACCUGCUUGUACCUUGUGUGAAUACAAAUUUACUUACUUUUUCUCGCACUCACAAUAUUCAUCCUAUGGUGACCAGAUCUAAGGGUUUGUAUCUAUAAACCUAAGUUGCUAUUGAGUGUCUCCAUAGGUUCUCUCACUAAGCCUACUUCCUUUCUUCAAGCUAUUAAAGAUCCUUCAUGGAAGCAAGCCAUGGAAUUGGAGUUUGCUGCCCUUCAACACAACAAGACCUGGCAUCUAGUUCAUUCACCUUCCUCAGGCAAAGUAAUUGGUUGUAAAUGGGUCUAUAAGAUAAAGCUUUAGCCUGAUGGCUAAUUGAGAGAUACAAGGCCCGCUUAGUAGCUUAGGGUUAUCAUCAAACUGAAGGUAUUGACUACUUCGAAACAUUCAGCCUGGUUGUCAAGCCUUCUACUACCGUAUUGUGCUCAGUCUUACUUUUUCCCAGAAUUGGUGUAUUAGACAGCUGGAUGUUCAUAAUGCCUUCUUACAUGGUGACUUAGCUGAAGACGUUUUCAUGGAACAACCACCUGGAUUUGUUGAUCCUCUCUAUCCUACUCAUGUCUGCAAGUUGGAUAAGUCUCUCUACGGUCUUAAUAGUCACCUCGGGCUUGGUAUACUAAGCUGAGUACUUCUCUACUACACUUGGGAUUUGUUACUUCUAAGAAUGACUCUUCCUUAUUUAUUUGUCAUUCGUCUCAUGGGUUACUUCUUGUUCUUGUCUAUGUGGAUGAUAUAAUCGUCACUGGGAGCCACUCUCCUCAAGUUACUCACCUUAUCCAAUAGUUGCAUCAUCAGUUUUCUUUAAAGGAUCUUGGUCAUUUACACUAUUUUCUGGGCUUGGAGGUUCAUCACACCCCUACUGGUAUUCACCUCAGCCAAGCAAAGUAUAUCACUGAUCUCCUUACCCGGGCGGCUAUGUUGGAUGCCAAGCCAUGUCCCACUCCUAUGUCCUCCAACACAUAUCUUUCUCUUCAUGAUGGAGUGGCUCUUGAAAAUGGUUCAGAUUAUUGAAGUUUUGUUGGUGCCCUUUAGUAUUGUACCAUGACACGCCCAGAUAUAGCUUUUGCAGUAAAUAAAGUGUGUCAAUUCAUGCACCAUCCCUCUGAUGUUCACUGGCAGGCUAUAAAACGUAUUCUCCAGUACUUAAAGGGCACAUCUCAUUUUGGUCUCUUCCUACAGCCUUCCUAUGACUUCAACAUCACUUGCUAUACAGAUGCCGACUGGGCUUCCUGCCUUGAUGACAAGUGUAGCACCAGUGGCUACUGCCUCUUUCUUGCCUCUAAUCUGGUUUCUUGGUCAUCUUCCAAACAAAAAGUGGUCUCCCGCUCCAGCGCCAAAUCAGAGUACCGAGGGGUAGCAAAUGGGGCUGCUGAAAUUGCUUGGACUGAAUCUCUUCUUUGUGAACUUUCCACCCACUCGACCUCCCCUCAUUGUCUGUGACAAUAUCAGUGCCACAUACUUAGCUGUCAAUCCUAUUUUGCAUGCCCGCACCAAAACAUGUGGAAAUCGACUAUCACUUUGUCUCGGAACGUGUUCUUCAACGCUCUCUCUCUCUCCAGUUUACACCUUCGGAUGAUCAACUUGCUGAUUGCAUGACCAAGCCUCUCUCCACCCAACGUUUCAUCACUCUACGCUCCAAGCUCACUGUUCUCACUAGACCAAUGAGCUUGAGGGGGGAUGUUAAGCCUAAAGAUGUAAUUAGUUAGGAUAUUCUUUUCCCUCUAGUCUUGUAGCUCCACGUGUACAGUUGGUUAGGACCUCAUUGUAUAUAAUGCCUGCCCUGUUAUUGUAGAAGACAACAGAGAUAAAUAAUAUUAACAUUUUUCCUCUCAUCUCUCUCUCUGUUUCCCUCUGUUUUCAUCUCCUCUCUCAUCUGAACCAAAUGAUCCAUGUUAACCUUGGCUUGGUUUGAUUUGGCUCUAUCUUAGAGAGCUCAAGGAUCACGUCAACUCUGGUUUCUACUAUUCAGGUCCAUUCCCAUAUGAACUGGUUCAAAUUUGAGAAAAUGGUAACAGACCUUUAGUGAUGUUGGUUUGGAGCCAGUUGCCAAACCCGCCCUGAGCUUUACCACUAAUGUCAAGGGAGAAAGCCUUUUGAACAAAAACAAUAGCUUCAAGAGACUGAAUCGUGGAUGAAAUCUGAUCCACAUUUCUUCUCAUUUUGGAAACAAAUGAGAACUUAACUAAGAAGAUUCUACGGCCUCAUAGUGCUUUUCCUGAUCUAAGGUUGGUUCGUUUCCCAAAUUGUGAGAUGCACGGGCCAGACUUCAGAACUCUCACGCUCAGGAGUGUAUCCACGUGGUGGACAUAAGAUGGUGGCUUAAGAUCUGGUGUCGGUGGCUUUACUUUACUAGGAGAGUAGUGUGUCUUCAUCUCAUUCACUGCCGGAGGGUGGCGUAAGCAGUGACGCUAAGGUGGGGCAUAGUCAAUAUCAUUUGCAUUUGACCAUUAUAGUUUUCUCCCGGCUUGAAAGUAACCUUAUCGUGAUAAAGGAUUACUAGCACUAGUUCAGAUGACAGUCAUGUUAAAUUCGGACCAUGUUUGUGUCACAUUAUCAGCAACCAUGUGUUUAUGGUUCAUGCUUUCUGCAACUGAAAUUGAAAUUGAUAUAUAACCAGGUGAACUUCAAUCUAAAUUCUGGAAGUACUCAUGUGAGCGAUGGUGCCCAUCUGCAGAGUCCAUCAAUUGAAAAAUGGAGUGAGUGUAUCUAUAAGAGGGAAGGCUUGGCAAAUGUCCAGUUUUCUGGGAAUUCAACAAGGAUCUAAAAUAGAUUGUUUUCUUUGCUGAUUUCAAUGGUUGAAAUUUGAGAAGAUUGUGUCCCACAUAACACAACUAUUACUGGUCCUUCUGUUGCAAUUUAUCCUCUAAGGCUCUAGCAUGUCUUCCAAUUCCCACUUCCCUGUUACUCCAGGAAAGCUAUUUCUGUCAUUGUGAAGAAGAAAAGAGAAUGUAGAUAUCGAUGCUUUUAAGUGACUGGAGCAUUCAUAUCAGGUGGUCUGCAGCCAUAUAUGCCACUUUGUGAAGAUUGGAACAGUCAAUCACUAGGCUAUAUAUUAGUGUGGCCCAGCCACUUUAAUCAAGGACAAUUCUUCAUACUUAAAAGUCAAAUUCUGCCUUUAGUCUCAUUAUAAAUUGCUGUUUAAAUAUUAAGCAAACAUUUGUUUAAUGCGAUUAAGACAGUACUAACUCAAUACUUGUUCUAUUUUUGGAUGGAAAUGCUUGAUGGUUUCAUCAUUGGAUGGGAUAAAGGUGCAUUCAUGAUUAUGAAUACUUGUAGUUAUAUUUUCAUUCUCUUUUUUCUCAAUGAGACUUGUUGGCACAAUUUUUCUGUUCAGAAACCUACCUCUCCAUGGAAAAUAAGUUGUGAUUGAUAGUACUGGAUAUAUUCAAGAAAGCUAAAUAUAGAUAGCACAAAAUAUUAUCGACAUAAAUAGCAUUAACAGCGUACGUAUGUCUCAGUGCUCAUCAGCCAUAAGCAUGGGGCAAACACUUACGAUGAGCAACUUACGUCAAAAUUCCAGAAUAGGACAUAGAAGUGACAGAUCUAUAUAUAUAGAACACUGCAUAAGAGUCACAAGAAAGGAAAUUACGGGUGCAUAGCAGCUCUUAUUUCACAUACUACUCAUACUGAUCAAAGUCACUCAGUUGGGAUGGGUGGGAGUAGGAGGUUUGUGGGGUGGCUUGUGCGGAGGAGUUGGCAGCUUCUUUCCAGGACCUGGUGGCUUCUCUCCCUUAGGUGGUUUGCCAACUGGGGUUGGUGGCUUGUAUGAGUCUUCAGCAUUCUCUGCAGGAGGGUGACCAGGGUUGUGACCAUAAUGUGGUGGCUUCUCUCCCUUAGGUGGUUUGCCAACUGGGGUUGGUGGCUUGUGUUCUGGGAGUGGCUUCUCCCCCUUGGGAGGUUUUUCCAAUGGGGUUGGUUUGUGUUCAGGAGGUGGCUUCUCCACUGGAGGCUUGUGUUCAGGAGGUGGCUUCUCCACCGGAGGCUUGUGUUCAGGAGGUGGCUUCUCCACCGGAGGCUUAUGCUCUGGUGGUGGCUUCUCCACCGGAGGCUUAUGCUCUGGUGGUGGCUUCUCGAAUGGGGGAUGCUUAGGGUAAUCAGCAAGUGAGGGGGCGGUGAGAACCACCAGGCCAAGCAAGACCACUAGCAAGUAUGUAGGAGACAUCUUUGGGUUUAGACUCAGAUGGUGCAAAACUAGGAGAAUUGUCUUUUAUAGCGGAUCGCACCCAAUAAUGAAAUGACACGUGUCUUUAUGACCCAUGUGUAAUGGGGUCGAUUUGGGUCCUACAGUGUUGAAAACUUCGACAUCCACUUUUGGCCUUUUGCUUUCUCUACAGCCGCCUUGCUUUUUCCCUCUUUCCUUUUGUUUUCCUCCUGCCCCAUUCUAUCAACUAAACACAAUUAUGUAGUUGUUUAAUUCUUAAAUGAGAUAUUAUCCGUCAAUCGUAUCAUAUUUUAUCAACAGAGAACGGAGUGCAAUGUGGCAAUCCAAAGAAAGAAGAUCCAUAAUGCAGCUGUAAUUUUAUCGUUUACUUUUAUCUCUUGGACCACUGCAUUUUUGUUAAGAGGUGCAAUAAUACACGUCUUUAUCUGCCAUUCAAUGUUUACAGUAAAGAGAGGGCACAAAACUCUUCACUGCUCUGCAUGUGUCCCAAAAAUGCAAUUGGACAAAUUAUGAUUUGCAUGCUAAAAAGAGGCAAAUGAGGUUAAUUCGCACCAUAAUUAUUUUGUUUUCUGGACCCCGGGGCCCUUUGGUUGGUUUGGGGGUCAGAAAAUGAACAUCAUAGGGGGUUUUUCCCUUAUGUGCAUUUGUAUCUGAUGGCUUUAACUCGCCUUGUUACUACAAAGAAAUUGUCACAUAUAGGAACUUAUUCCAGGCUGAGUAUCUCCGCAUAGACCCUAUAAAAGAAGACAAGUCAUAAUGAACAUCUAACCUUUGUUCAAUUUGAUUCAAUGCCCCAUUGUGUCCACCUCACAAAUCUGAAUUAUUAUAUCCAUUGAAUACAUAAAUUAAUGAAGAAAAUAUGAAACCCAAGAUACAUCUCUGCACAACCUCAACCCUGGUUGCUAUGUUUCCCUUCUAUUCACAUGAGGAUAUUGAUUACGGAAUAGGGAAACCUAGCAAGGGUUUACUCGGCUCUGGUUUGAUGCUAAUUGCCAAACUUGCAACAAGCCCUGAGUUUGAAGCUCACAGAAGAUGUUAUACAGGCAGGGAAAAACCUUCAGAGUUCGCUGCCAAAGAUAAUUAUUAAGGAGAUAUCACCAAGAGAAUUCCAAGGAGUCUGAAUCAAAGACAAAUUGGUCGUUCGUGGAGGUUCUUACUUUCUUUUGGGUAUAACUCACUGAGGGCACUGUCUUUUUUAUUUUCAUUUCACAUUUAGAGUUCUGUUCUGGAAACAUAUAAAAGGAGCAUCAGUUUGUUCUUGGGUAACCCAUAGUCGUGAGUGGGUCCAUUUGCAUGCUACUUAGUUGAAAAGUUGGACCAUUUGCUCCGACGCCUACCUCCUGGAUUCCAUGCUCGGAUAAAACAAGAAUAAAAAAAUAUUUAUAAUUUACAAAUGGGGGAAAGAAAAAAAUGUCAACAACAAACUAGGAAAAAAGAGUAGUAAAAUUCAUGUCACAUGCUAGUGAGAGAAGGGGUUGUUACACUCACUCGAAGUUCUUUUCAAAAUAUCGCAUGGUAUUUUAUUUUAUGUGUGAGCGCAGUUGUGAAUGGAACGUGCAAAAGUCCAAAUUGGUGACCUUUAAUAAAUAUUUAAAACAAAAAACGAAAAAAAGGAGGGAAAAGGGAUCAGAAAAGAUAAAACAAUGUGUACAAAAGCUCAAUUAGUUUGCAAAUUACUGUUUGGAUUUUGAUAGUAUUUUAUUUGAUGUAAAAGAGAAUUUAAGAUAUUUCCGAAACAAAAGCAUUAGUUUGCUCCAUGUCAAUUUCGGCAUUUCUCAUAUGUUUCACACAUACACAGAAGAGCAUCGUUUUUUAAAGCAUGCAUUUAUGUUGGAUUAAUUUGGAUUUUGUGGGAACUGGGGCAAGGAUCACAUGGAAGAGAGGUUGACUUUUUUCAGUACUUCAAUGGUUGAGACAGGUGAAGGCCUGAUUGAUACUGAAGCCUGAAAUUGCGACUCCGUCAUUUGUCAAAACAUAUGACAGCUUCCAUGCUCUCGUUUGGUUGCAUUGUUCUGUGGUCAUGCAUACAUGCCACUUAGUGAUCAGUCUGUAACUGUCAAUCAUUGGGCUUUGACUGAACAACAUCAGCCAUGUAUAAAUACUUGCAAAUCAAACGGUCUUCUUCCUCCCAUAAGGAAUUUCGGUUUAAUUAUGAAGCAUGCAUUUGGCUGACCAUCAUAAACCACUUCUUUAAAUUGAUGAAUGAUAGUUUUUCAUUCAUUCUUUCAUUCGUUCAUAUACAGAGUAUAUAUAGAGGGUAAUCAUCAUUCUAAGAAUGGGAAAGAAUGAUACAAGGAAAUAAUGAUAUAAAGAAAUAACAACUAAUAUUCUAAUAUCUCAACUUUCCUAAUAUCUAAACAUUCCUAAUAUCUCAACACUAAAUGAUAUAAAGAAAGAAUGAUAUAAGGAAAGCAUUCCUAAUAUCUCAACACUCCUCCUCAAGUUGGUGCAUAGAUGUCAAACAUGUCCAACUUGUCUAAAAAUUUUGAGAACAGUUGACUUGAGACAUCUUUGGUGAGGAUAUCGGUCAAUUGAUCUUCUGAUCGAAUCUUAGGCAAUUCCACAAUCUUAUCAUCCAACUUUUCCUUAAUGAAAAAUCUAUCCAUCUCGACAUGCUUUGUACGAUCAUGUUGUACUAGAUUAUGAGCAAUGUCACAUGCUGCUUUAUUGUCACAAAACAAUCGGAUUGGUUGCCUAGAUAGGUAACCUAAAUCCUAUAAGAGGAGUCUUAGCCAUAAUGCCUCACAAAGUCCUAAAGUCAUACCUCUAAAUUCCGCUUCUGCACUUGAACGAGCGACGACAUUUUGCUUCUUACUUUUCCAUGUCACAAGAUUACCACCUACAAAGGUAAAGUAACCAGAUGUAGAUCGCCUAUCAUCCACUGCACCGACCCAAACAGCAUUAUACUUCUAUACUCUGAUGAUCAACAUUUUUAGCGAACAAAAUUCCCUUCCUAGGAGCAUUCUUCAAAUACCUCAAAAUACGCAUGACUACAUUCAUAUGUUGCUCUCCAGGAUUAUGCAUGUAUUGACUCACUACACUCAAUGUAUAAGCAAGAUCUAGUCUUGUAUGAGCUAAGUACAUUAAUCUCCCCACAAGUCUCUGGUAUCUUCCCUUAUCGAUUGAUACUUGAUUAGGCUCAACACACAAUUUCAGACCUUCUUCUAUUGGUGUAUUAAUAGGUUGACAUCCCGACAUUCCAGUUUCCUGUAGAAGAUCUAAGGCAUACUUUCUUUGAGACAGAAAAAUUCCUUCACUUGAUCGAGAAACUUCAAUCCCAAGAAAGUAUUUCAGACGACCAAGAUCUUUCAUUUCAAAUUCUCUAGAUAGAUACUUUUGCAAAGCUUUUCUUUCUUCAGGAUCAUUUCCUGUAACUACAUGUCAUCCACAUAUAUCAUAAGUGUCGUAAUCUUACCAUGUUGCUUUUUCAAGAACAAAGUGUGAUUUGAAUUACUUUGAUGAUAGCCAAAAGCUCUCAUUGAUUUUGUGAACCUUCCAAACCAUGCUCUCGGGGAUUGCUUCAACCCAUACAAUGACUUCUUCAAUUCGCACACCUUCUGACAUUGCUUUUCUGACACCAUGCAUCCUGGUGGAAGAUCCAUAUAUACUUCUUCAGAUAAAUCGCCAUGCAGAAAGACAUUUUUUACAUCGAACUAUUGUAAUGGCCAAUCUAGGUUUGCAGCUAAAGACAAUAAUACUCGAACUGUGUUGAUCUUAGCUACAGGUGCAAAUGUCUCUGUGUAGUCAAUUCCAUAAGUUUGAAUGUACCCACUAGUCUUGCUUUAAAUCGUUCAAUACUACCAUCUGCCUUGUACUUCACAGUAUAGAUCCAACGACACCCAACUAGCUUCUUUCCUGGUGGACAUUCUACGAGUUCCCAUGUUUCAUUUUUCUGCAAUGAUUUCAUCUCUUCAUUCAUGGUUGCUUUCCACUUUGGAUCAGCUAAAGCUUCCUGCACACUAUUAGGAAUAGCUACAGUAGAUAAUUGAUUUACAAAUGACUUAUUUGAUUCAGACAAACCAUGGUGUGGACCCGCAUUUUUCACGUGCGCCUCUACUCGAUCGGCGAGACUCGCUUUCUAUUUGUGAAAAAUUAAUUUUAGAAAAGUUGGAGUCGCCACCUAUUUUAUUUUUAUUUUGAAGGGAAAAUAAAACAAGAAAGAAAAACCCUAAAAAGUGACUCCAUAGUUUUGGAAAAAGCAUGUCUUUGGGAAACCUGAGUCUAGGUCCGGGGAUCAUGUUACUUAUUGGGAAGGUACCUCUAGGAGGUAGCACCCCUCUAAGCCUUAUGAAGGUCUCUACUAACUAAAUUAAGGGAAGUGUGGCAAUAAAUCGAUUGAUCAUAGAUACCUAAGUAGACUAGGUGAUUUUAAAGUGUGGCAUGUCAAACACAAUCAAAUUGCAAUAAAGGAGAGUUAGGGCGCGUACCUGAACCGCUUCUCAAGCGCUAUCAUAAAACAUCAAUGGUUAAUUUAAAUAAUAUAUCAUCCAGCAUGUAUUUUAUUAGAAAUAAUCAAACAAUGAAACAUGUAUAUCAGAACACUCAAGCAUUAUUAGACAUAAGCAUUAUUUCACUAUUCACAGAAUUCAGAAAGUAGGUGAUAGAGGACAUACCUGGAUAGCAUAGAUAAUUUGUAAUGUGCUUCCUCAAGUUGUAAGGGGUUAGAUAACAAAUAAUAAAAUAUAGAAAUCCUAGCAUGCUCGUUAUCUAAUUAGCAUAGCAAAAGUGAUCACAGUAUACAGAAUCAUCAAUUAUCACAUACAUCUUGUAUAUAAUUCCUAAAAAAAAUAGAUAGACAUGAUUUCAACAAGUGUCAAAUGUGGCAACAAAAAUAAAUUUUGAAAAGAUUUUCUUAUGUAGGGGUUUCACCAAUUCCCCAAAUUAAUAUACACGAAUUUAGCUUAGAAUUAUCCCAUUUAUUUGGGACUACAAGCUUUGAUUCGUGUUUUUGUUCAAAACCAAAAAUUUUUGUUGAAAAUCAAGAAGGAUGCGAACCGAACAAGAUAUGGUUGCAUAUUAUUUUUAAAUAAAUAAAUAAAUAAAUAAAGGAGAUUUUGAUCCUGAGGACUUUAAUGAGUUUUUUUUUUUAAAAUAGAUUUUUAAAAUGAUUUUUUUGAGAAAAGUAUUUUAUUUUAAAAUAAAAGGGAUUAAUUUGGGAAAAAAAUAAAAUAUAAGAAAUAAAAUACCAAACAAAACAAAAAUGAAACCUCAAAGUAAAAUUUUUUUAGUAAUUAACAAAAAUGAUAAUGGUGAUGGUAGAGGGCAAUCUUCAUGAUUUUCCAAUGGCCUCAGAAAGAAAAUCAAAUUAAAUGAAGGAUCACUAACAGGCAAGACAUUCUAAAUUAGACAAACUAACAAAGUAUCAAUUCAUGAACUAACCGCUAGGAUUUUGAAAGCAUAUAAGCUAAGAUAAGGGUGAUCAGGAACUAAUAUUAAUGAUUUUGAAAUAAAAACUAAAAAAAAGGAUCAAUUCGGGUAAGGAACUAAAAUUAUAAAAGUACCUAAACUAAUUAUGACGAGUUUGACUAAAUUAAACUAAAAACAUGAACUUUCAAACAUAGAAUUAAUUUUACUAAUGAACCAAAGCAAACUAAAAAUAUGUACUUUCAAGCAUAGAAUUAAUUUUAUUGAUGAACUAAACUAUAACAAAUAUCUAAACUAAAUAUAAUGAAUCAAAUUAAAUUAAAGCAACUUAAAAACGCAAACUUUCAAACAUAGAAUCAAUUUUAUCAAUGAAUUAAAACUAUAAAUGUAUUUGAACUAAAUAGAUGAAUCAAACUAAAUCAGAGCAAAAUUAAAAAAAAAAAAGAACUUUCUAACAUGAAAUCAAUUUUAUCAACAAAUAAAUGAAUGAAUAACAAGUAAUUAAAAGAAUAGCUACUACAUGAAUAACUGAAUGAAUAAAAUUCAAAUGUUUUCAAUCUGAAGCAAUCAAUCAAAAUUAAAUAGGGAUCAAAUCAAAAUAAUCGAAAUCGGAAAAACAAUAUGCAAUCUUUCUAAAGGUUUAACCAGACAAUUGAAUUAAAAUUAUGAAUAGAAUAAAUUAAUAAACCAAAUCGAAACCUAAAUUGUACCUAAAAAGAUUAAUUAAUUAAACUAAGAAAUCAAAAUCAAUAACAAAACUAAACUAAGGAGUAAAUUAAGACAAGACUAAUUAAAUUAAACUCACAAACACGUUUUAACUAUCAUAUGGAUUAAAACAAAAUUAGCAUGGACUUAUGAAUUACGAACAAAAAUAAUCAAAACUAUUUUAAAAAACUCACCUCUAUUAUAAGAAAAAAUCUGCCUUUGAUGCGUUGAGGUGGCUCCCCUCUCUGUGUGGAUCUCUCUGCUCCCCAGAAAAAAAAUGUCUCUUCCUCCGUUCUCUUUUGUUUCAGCAAAAUAAUAUAUCCCCUGCUGUGGAUCUCUCUACUCCCAGAAAAUAAUAUAUUCUCUCCGUGUCCUAAAGUGGACCUAGGGUGCCUAAGUGGACCUAGGGUGCCUAAAUGGGCCUAGGGUGCCUAAAUGGGCCAAGUGUAUCUAAAUAGGCUUAGGGUGCCUAAGUGGGCCUAAGUCUAAGUGAGCCUAAGUCUAAAUCAAGACUACCAAGGAUCAUAAUAAGGGGUUAGGCAAUCCCUUAACCAAAGUCUCCAAGGUGGCUAAAAAAAAGUAAGUAGUAUGAGUAGCUAUGGGUCACCAAGGAACUACUGUGGAGCAUUGAAAACGAAUUUAAAGACAUGUGCCAAAGGGACAAAAUUGAGGGUCUACAGAUGGUUAGACACAUAGUUGCUCAUGGGAUAUUUGACUUUGGUAAACAAUUCAGAUUCAUAUGUGGGUUUAGGAAUACCUUUAUUAUGACGGUGUGGUAAUCGUUUCAUGAAUGGAUCAGGUUGCAAAUUAAGAACACCCUCAGCAAACAACGAUUGGUUUGGUAUUUCAGUGAAGACAUCUUCGAACCCAAAUUGUUGACCACUCAUAUCCAACUCACCCGCUUCCUGGUUCACUAGUUCAGAUUGUCCAAAUUCAUCAUUCUCAUAGAUAUGAUAAUCAUAAUCGAGAGUCUGAAUUUCCUUAUGGUACUCCCCCUGAAGUUCAGACUUAGAUGAAAAAUACAUCGAAUAUUCAUGAAACAGCNNNNNNNNNNNNNNNNNNNNNNNNNNNNNNNNNNNNNNNNNNNNNNNNNNNNNNNNNNNNNNNNNNNNNNNNNNNNNNNNNNNNNNNNNNNNNNNNNNNNNNNNNNNNNNNNNNNNNNNNNNNNNNNNNNNNNNNNNNNNNNNNNNNNNNNNNNNNNNNNNNNNNNNNNNNNNNNNNNNNNNNNNNNNNNNNNNNNNNNNNNNNNNNNNNNNNNNNNNNNNNNNNNNNNNNNNNNNNNNNNNNNNNNNNNNNNNNNNNNNNNNNNNNNNNNNNNNNNNNNNNNNNNNNNNNNNNNNNNNNNNNNNNNNNNNNNNNNNNNNNNNNNNNNNNNNNNNNNNNNNNNNNNNNNNNNNNNNNNNNNNNNNNNNNNNNNNNNNNNNNNNNNNNNNNNNNNNNNNNNNNNNNNNNNNNNNNNNNNNNNNNNNNNNNNNNNNNNNNNNNNNNNNNNNNNNNNNNNNNNNNNNNNNNNNNNNNNNNNNNNNNNNNNNNNNNNNNNNNNNNNNNNNNNNNNNNNNNNNNNNNNNNNNNNNNNNNNNNNNNNNNNNNNNNNNNNNNNNNNNNNNNNNNNNNNNNNNNNNNNNNNNNNNNNNNNNNNNNNNNNNNNNNNNNNNNNNNNNNNNNNNNNNNNNNNNNNNNNNNNNNNNNNNNNNNNNNNNNNNNNNNNNNNNNNNNNNNNNNNNNNNNNNNNNNNNNNNNNNNNNNNNNNNNNNNNNNNNNNNNNNNNNNNNNNNNNNNNNNNNNNNNNNNNNNNNNNNNNNNNNNNNNNNNNNNNNNNNNNNNNNNNNNNNNNNNNNNNNNNNNNNNNNNNNNNNNNNNNNNNNNNNNNNNNNNNNNNNNNNNNNNNNNNNNNNNNNNNNNNNNNNNNNNNNNNNNNNNNNNNNNNNNNNNNNNNNNNNNNNNNNNNNNNNNNNNNNNNNNNNNNNNNNNNNNNNNNNNNNNNNNNNNNNNNNNNNNNNNNNNNNNNNNNNNNNNNNNNNNNNNNNNNNNNNNNNNNNNNNNNNNNNNNNNNNNNNNNNNNNNNNNNNNNNNNNNNNNNNNNNNNNNNNNNNNNNNNNNNNNNNNNNNNNNNNNNNNNNNNNNNNNNNNNNNNNNNNNNNNNNNNNNNNNNNNNNNNNNNNNNNNNNNNNNNNNNNNNNNNNNNNNNNNNNNNNNNNNNNNNNNNNNNNNNNNNNNNNNNNNNNNNNNNNNNNNNNNNNNNNNNNNNNNNNNNNNNNNNNNNNNNNNNNNNNNNNNNNNNNNNNNNNNNNNNNNNNNNNNNNNNNNNNNNNNNNNNNNNNNNNNNNNNNNNNNNNNNNNNNNNNNNNNNNNNNNNNNNNNNNNNNNNNNNNNNNNNNNNNNNNNNNNNNNNNNNNNNNNNNNNNNNNNNNNNNNNNNNNNNNNNNNNNNNNNNNNNNNNNNNNNNNNNNNNNNNNNNNNNNNNNNNNNNNNNNNNNNNNNNNNNNNNNNNNNNNNNNNNNNNNNNNNNNNNNNNNNNNNNNNNNNNNNNNNNNNNNNNNNNNNNNNNNNNNNNNNNNNNNAACCAAAGGAAGCAUGUUCCAGACGUCGAUGCCACAACCAAAUUUCAGACUUUUUCUUCUCCUCCUUAGAUCCAUCUGCCAUCAAGGCUUGUUGCAACUUAUUUGAAUCCUUUGAUUGCAAGUCCAAGUAUAGAGUUUCCCCCGCUUAAUACGACAACCAAUCGUCUGUCUUGUUUGAAUGUCCUUAAUCACACAAAAUUCAGGCCAAAAAAUGACAAUACAAGAUAAGGCUGCAGUGAUUUGAGAAACUAACAAAAGAUUGUAAUCUAAAGAUGGAACAACUAAAACAGAAUCCAAAUUCAAAGUAUCAGUAAGAGUUAAGGAUCCUUCCCCAAUGACUGGGGUUGUGUUACCAUUGGCUGUGGAAACAAUUUUUUGUGAGGAAGGUCUAAGGGGUGAAACCUGUCUAGAAUCAAAAGUCAUAUGAUCUGUAGCACCAGAAUCAAUUAUCCAUGCACUAUUAAUAACAGGUGUAAAAGUAUUUAAAAACUUACCACAAUGAUCUGUAGCGGCUACUAAUGCAGAGACUUUCUCAACAACAUUAGUCUUUGUUUUUAUUUCGGUAACAGUUGCAAUCAAGGUUUUCUUGGAAUUCUUCUUCCGUUGAUCACGAUUAUUAUCAUUAAUAACAAAGUGUUGAUAGCCUAAACAUGAUCUAAAGGUCCAUGGUGCAAACCCUCGGUUCCUCAUUGUUUUCCUGGUCAUACCAAGAGUUGUUGCUUUGAAAUUGUGGGAUAUCCAGACUGGUGGGAUCAGUUUUAUUGCAGUGAGUGCAUUUGAAUGUUGACUUAUCAAUAUUAGGGCUUGUCUUCGGAUGGUUGAUUGCUGUUGGACUACCAUAGCGACAAAAUAUCCAGGAUUUCAAUUCCAGGGCUCUGAUACCAUCUUCAAAUUGAUGAAUGAUAGUUUUUCAUUCAUUCUUUCAUGUACAGAGUAUAUAUAGAGGGUAAUCACCAUUCUAAGAAUGGGAAAGAAUGAUACGAGGAAAUAAUGAUAUAAGGAAAUAAUAACUAAUAUCCUAAUAUCUCAACUUUCCUAAUAUCUCAAUAUUCCUAAUAUCUCAACUUUCCUAAUAUCUAAACAUUCAUAAUAUCUCAACACUAAAUGAUACAAGGAAAGAAUGAUAUAAGGAAAACAUUCCUAAUAUCUCAACACCACUUCAUGAUAUAUAUAGUUUCUUACCCUUAAUCAAUGGUUUCUAAGUGAAUUUAUAUAGAAAGAAAUCCAAACUGUAGACAGCAGUAUUGGUAACACUCAAUAUUCUGUAUAUAAUAGAAUAAAUAGCGUCACAGUGAUCGUCGCCUACAAGCAAGGUACAAAUACCACAAAGAGUGACCCACAUAGACAUUCCCCAACAAGAUGUAGUAGUGACUGACACAUAGCCACAAUUAACACGUAGAAAAGGAUAAGACCGGUGCACAGUAGCUCUUAUUUUACAUACUACUUAUGCCAACCAAAGUCACUCAGUUGGGAUGGGAGGGAGAUGGAGGUUUGUGCGGUGGCUUGUGGGGCGGAGUUGAUGGCUUCUUUCCAGGAGCUUCUGGCUUUUUCAUCGGAGCUGAAGGAGGCUCAAUCUUAUGAGGCGGCUUGUACGAGUCUUCUUUGCUCUCGAAAGGAGGGUGGCCAGGGUUGUGACCAUAAUGUGGUGGUUUCUCUCCCUUGGGAGGUUUACCAAUUGGGGUUGGUGGCUUGUGUUCUGGGAGUGGUUUCUCUCCCUUGGGAGGUUUAGUGGGUGACUUGUGUUCUGGAGGUGGCUUCUCCACCGAAGGCUUGUGCUCCGGUGGUGGCUUUUUGGUUGGAGGGGGCUUGGGGUAAUCAGCAAGAGAUGGGGUGGUGAGAACCACCAGUCCAAGGAACAACACUAGCAAGUAUGUGGGAGACAUUUUUGAGUUUGGGCUGAUCAGAUGAUGCAAAACUAAAGCAUUACGUGACCUUUUAUAGCAAGUAGCUCCCAAUACCUACUUGACACGUGUUACUGUGACCCAUAAAUAUUAUGGGGUCUAUUUGUGCCCUACCGGGUUGAAAACUUGGACAAUUGGGCAAGGACCCGCCUGACUAUGGAGGACUACUGAGGUGUGAUCACAGCUUUAGGAUUUUUCUUCCUCUGCAGCCGUCUUGCCGUUGGCAUGAUUUUCUUAAUCUCAAAUAAAGGCAUAGUUAUAGAGUUGUUUAAUCUCUAAAUGGGAUUUUAUAUAUCUUCAGAUAGCCAUUAAUACAUUUGAUGAAGAAAGAAAGACAAGUGCAUACAACAUGUAUACGACUAGCUUUCAUGGAGUUCAUUUAUGAUCAGUUUUCCUGUACAUGUAAACCAAGAUCAUAUAUGUUUUUGUUCCACAACAAUUUUGGAAUCUUGUUUAUCCGUUUUUAUCAUUAUAAUGUCACAUAGGCUGCCAACUUGGGCGCUAAAUUAAAGAUCCAGUUGGGCAAGUUCGUUUCAGAAUUUCAAUGGUGGAUUCAGGAAUUGUUUUAUAAGAUAUGCAAAAUAGUAGAGGGAUGAAUAGUGUUUCAUUAAGAAAAGAGCCCUGUAAAAAUAUUGUUUAAAGGUGCCAUAGAAACUAUAAUCAAUAAAUAACUUUUUUUCCCCAUGGGUGGUGUUUCUUGUGGGGAUCAGUGACUGGUUUGAGUCAACGCCGUGUCUCUUUAGUCCAGAAAUCAACUAUUUUAUGCAUUGAAUACAUCAACAAAGAAAAUAUGAAAGCCAAAUGACACCUCCCCCGCAAAAACUAAACCCUGGUUGCUAACUUUCUAUGUUUCAGUUCCAUUCACACAAGAAUAUUAGUUCAAGUUUGAGAAAAAUGGCGACUUACCUAGUGAUAACUCGGUCUUGGUUUGCGAUUUGACUUUAACGUCAUGGGUUGAAGCCUCCUACAAUCAUCGUGUAUGCUAGUUCAAAGCUCGUGGAAGAAGUUAUACAGGGAGGGAGAAACCUCCACAGCAAGCUCCAAAAGAGAAUUAUCACAUUGAAAGCUCCAGUUGAACACUGGGUGAAAGCCAUAACAAGAUUGGUUUUCUAUCGCUCUUUUAAGUAAUGGAAGAUUAUUAUCUCUGCUUGUCACUACAACCGUGCAUGCUGCUAGAUCUUUCUAGACACUUCAAACAGUGAAACCAAGUAUGAUUCUUUUUCUCUUGAGUGGGUCCACUUGCAUGCCAAUGAACGAGUUGAAAAGUUGGACAAUUGGCCACAGCGCGCACUUACCUUCUGGAACCGAAGGUCAGUGAAGUGGGGUUCCUUUUGGCCCCUUGUGUUUCUGUUCCAACCUACUCCAGGAACCGAAGUUCAGUGAAGUGGGGCUACUUUUGGCCUCUUGUGUUUCUGUUCCAACCAAACAAAAAUGGGAGGGAAAAAUAGCAUUAUGCUUGUGCUAAAGAUCAACGCAUGAUAGCUGAAUAAGGGAGAAAAAGGCAUUGCUAUCUCAAUUUCAUAAACUUGAUAAGUAGUGACAUUAAUAGUCUUCCUCAUAGAUGGAUACAUGGUUUUAUUUUAUUUAUUUAUUUUUAUUUUUUUGUUUUAUGUCAAUGCUAAUGAAUGAAGUGCAUUAGCUUGUUUUGUGACUAGAACUACAAAUGUCCAAAUUGGAGCUUCUCCAAUAUAUUUCUCAGUGAGUUAUUGAUUAGAACUCUUGGAUUGAGUUCCAAGAUUUGAAUCAGACCCCUCUAGCAGCUUCAGGGGUACGUAGCAACCUAUAGCAUAUUAAUGAAGACUUAGGAUUUAGACUUAGGAAUACAAAUUAAUAUGUACCUCAUGCUCUGACUAGCUUCCCUGCGUAUGCACAAAAUGGAGAUGACUCCCAAAAAAAUAGCAGAAUCGCCUUAGUAUGUUUUUGUGGUUAAGAUGAUUCUCCACUUUAUAUAUCCACAUUGGUUCAUUAUGCAAAUUAAUCAACUAAGCUAUUUUUAUUUUUUCUUAAAUGUGAAAUAGGAGCUCCAAAUUAACCUAACCAUUGGCCUGAUUGAAUUGAUUUCACUUGCAUAAUGUUAUAGUAGAAGUCCGUAAUUUGAAUUUUAUUUUUGCAAAAGGUAACGUAAAUGAAGCAUUGUAAUUAAAUUUAUUUGUAAUUACAAACUAAUUUUAUUUUAUUAAGAAUUAAUUUAAUUACUCAUUUAAAAUAAAAAUCAGUUAUACUUUUACCAAGAUGAUAAUAUUCAUAUUUUUCUAGUUAACAUAUAUAAAAUAGUACACUUUUUCAUAUAAAAAAAUAAUUUAUGAUUUAUUAUAAUGUUACUAUUCACAUUUUACUAAAUUGAUGGUACAUGAUAGUGAGAGAAGGGGGUGUCACACUCAGCUAAAGUUCUUUUCAAAAUAUUGCAUGGUGUUUAAUUUUAUGUGUCGGCGCGCGUGUGAAUGGAACCUGCAAAAGUCCAAAUUGGCGUUUCUCCAUUUUCCACAUAGGAUGGUGACGUUAAUAGACAAAGAUACAAUAUCUGUAGACAUUGCUUAAAAAUCGAUGUGAAGUAUUAGAAAUUACAGGGCACUGUACUGGGGGAGCGGCUGCCCCGCCAAAGGAGGAAGAAUGUAGCAAUUUCUUCUGUUAGCCAGGCCUUAGGAUUUAUGCAUGGGAUGCCUAAUAACAAACAGAGAAAAUAUACUUUUGGGGAAGGUAUCCAACAACAGACACCAUCAUUCAGAUGGUGGGAAGGUAUCCAACAGAUGCCAUCAUUCAGAUGGUAACAUAUAUAUACAUUUAUUAGUGAGUUUUUUUAAUACCUAUAAAAAAAAAUAUACACUUUGAUAUUGUGGCUGAAUCCAUUACAUACUCAACUAACCUUGCUCAUUAGGGAUUUGACUUAACAAGGGCAACGUUGCAGUACAAGCUCAAAACUUUAUGCAGGUGACAUUACAUUUGGUAAAGAAGAGGAAAAUAACGAAAGCCAUCCAUAAAAGCAAAAUUCCACAUGGGAUGAAAUUCACAAGCUUCAUUUACGAUAGAGUCGCAUCCAGGCAAUUAAUUCCACAUUAGACCGCCUGUUGACAUGUGUACCAAUCUUUUUUCAAAAAAUAUUUAUAAAUAAUUGAUACUCACAAAAAUAAUUUAAUAUUUAUAAAGGAUAAAAAAAUAUUUUCAAAUCUAUAACAAUUUAUAAAAUAUUAAUAAAAAAUUAUCUCUUAAACUUAGUAUAGUUUUAUCAGAUUAAACUUUUAUUUUGAACAAAUAAUUUUAAUCUAAGUUUUAAAUUCUAAAAUUAUUUCCUUAAAAUAAAAUUUUAAAAUUCAACACUUCAAUUGAAAUUGUCUUUUUAAAAAAUAUCUUCUUAUUUUAAUCCUUAUAAACUAUAGUUGAUUGAAAAUACUAUUGAAGUUCUCUCUUAAAAAAAAGUCUUAUUUUAAUCUUCAUAAAUUGCCCUUGAUUUGAAAAUAAAUUUUCAGUUAUCAUAUUUUAAAUAAUAUCUAUAUUUAAAAUACUCUAUUUAAAAAAAAAUGAACUAAUUUUAAUUAUAUUAUAUUUUAUUUUUUUAUAUAUUUUUAAUGAUAAACCAAACAUAGAAAAUCAUUUUUCUAAAUAUUUUAAAAUUUCUAAGCAACCAAACAUAAUCUUCAAAAUAAAAGGAAAAUAAGGAGGGACAUUUGAGAAAUGGCGAUUAAAAAAAAGUGUACAAAAGCUCAAUUAAUUUUCUUCUAGUCUUUUAUAUAAAAAAGUAAAGGAAUUGAAAAGUAUUGAUAUGUAAAUUAAUAUUUGGAUUUUAAUAGUAUUUUAUUUGUCUUUCUCUAUCUCAUGUAAAAGAGAAUUUAAGAUAUUUCCUAAAGCAAAGCAUUAGUUAUCUGCAAUCAGUGGUGAUCAUGCCCCAUGUCAAUUUCGGACCCAUAUCUUAAAACUGUAUAAUUUGCAUUCAAACAUUACUGAUUUCUCAGAUGUUUCAUACUCCACAGAAGAGCAUUGUUUGUGAAAGCAUGCAUUUAUGUUGGAUUUUGGAUGAUGUGGGAACUGGGGCAAGGAUCAUAUGGAAGAGUGGUCGAUUUUGUUCUGUACUUUAACAUUUGAAAUAGGAGAAGCUCGGGCAUUUGUGGGGCUUAAUUGAUUUUGAAGCCUGAAAUUGCGUUUCUGUCAUUUUGUAAAAAAUAUGGCAGAUUCCAUGCUCUCAUAUGUUUGGUCUGUGGCCAUGUAUAGAUGCCCCUUAGUGACCAGUUUGUAACUGUCAAUCAUAGUGUUUUGACUCUGGCUCAACAACAUCAGCCAUUGACGGAUUUUCAUACUUGCAAAUCAAAUAGUCUUCUUCCUCCCUUAGGAAUUUCGGUUUAAAUGUUAUUAAGCAUACAUUUGGCUGACAAUUAUUAACCACUUCAUGAUAUGGUUUCUUACCCUUAAUCAAUGGUUUCUAAGUGAAUAUAUGCAGAAGGAAAUCUGAACUGUAGACAGCAGUAUUGAUAACUCUCAAUAUUCUUUAUAUAAGAGAAUAAACAACGUCAUAGUGAUCGUCGCCUACAAGAAAGGUACAUUUCCCAACAAGAUGUAGUUGUGACUGGUACAUGGACGCAAUUAACUCGUACAAAAGAAUAAGACCAGUGCACGGCAGCUCUUAUUUUACAUGCUAAUUAUGCUAACCAAAGUCACUCAGUUGGGAUGGGAGGGAGAUGGAGGUUUGUGCGGUGGCUUGUGGGGCGGAGUUGGUGGCUUCUUUUCAGGAGCUUGUGGCUUUUUCGGAGCUGAAGGAGGCUCAAUCUUAUGAGGCGGCUUGUACGAGUCUUCUUUACUCUCGACAGGAGGGUGGCCAGGGUUGUGACCAUAAUGUGGUGGCUUCUCUCCCUUAGGUGGCUUGCCAACUGGGGUUGGUGGCUUGUGUUCAGGAAGUGGUUUCUCUCCCUUGGGAGGUUUACCAAUUGGGGUUGGUGGCUUGUGUUCUGGGAGUGGUUUCUCUCCCUUGGGAGGUUUAGUGGGUGACUUGUGUUCUGGAGGUGGCUUCUCCACCGGAGGCUUGUGCUCCGGUGGUGGCUUCUCCACCGGAGGCUUGUGCUCCGGUGGUGGCUUCUUGAUUGGAGGGGGCUUGGGGUAAUCAGCAAGAGAUGGGAUGGUGAGAACCACCACUCCAAGGAACAACACUAGCAAGUAUGUGGGAGACAUUUCUGAGUUUGAGCUGAUCAGAUGAUGCAAAACUAGAAGAAUUACGGGACCUUUUAUAGCAAGUAUCUCCCAAUACCCACAUGACACGUGUUACUAUGACCAUAAAUAUUAUAGGGUCCAUUUGUGCCCUACCGGGUUGAAAACUUGGACGCUUGGCCGAGGACACACCUGACUAUGGAGGACUAUUGACGUGUGAUCACAGCUUUUGGAUUUUUCUUCCUGUGCAGCUGUCUAGCGGUUGGCAUUAUUUUCUUAAUCUUAAAUAAAGGCAUAGUUAUAGAGUUGUUUAAUCUCUAAAUGGGAUUUUAUAUAUCUUCAGAUAGCCAUUAAUAUAUUUGAUGAAGAAAGACAAGUGCAUACAACAUGUAUACGGCUUGCUUCAAUCGAGUACAUUUAUGAUCAGUUUUCCUGUGCAAGUAAACCAGUUUUUUGUUCCACAACUAUUUUGGAAUCUUGUUUAUCAGUUUCUAUCAUUAUAAUGUCACAUAGGCUGCAAACUUGGGCACCCAAAGAUCUAGGUGGGCAAAUUUGUUUCAGACUUUCAAUGGUGGAUUCAGUAAUUGUUAAAAGGUGUUUCUUCAUUAAGGAAAGAGUCCGGUAAAAAUAUUGUUAAAAGGUGUCAUAGAAACUAUAAUAAAUAAAUAACUUCUUUUCCCCAUGGGUGGUGUUUCUUCUGGGGAUCAGUGACUGGUUAGGGUCACCCAAAAUGAGUCCAGAUUAAAAUUGGUUCGAGUCAAAGCAGUCUCUUUUGUCCAGAAAUCAACUAUUUUGCGCAUUGAAUGAAUCGAUAAAGAAAAAAUGAAAGCCAAAUCACACCUCCCCUGCAAAACCUAAACCCCGGUUGCUAACUUUCUAUGUUUCAGUCCUAUUCAUAUAGGAAUAUUGGUUCAAGUUUGAGAAAAAUGGCAACUUACCUAGGGUUUACUUGGUUUUGGUUUGCGACUAUUUACGCAACCAACCAUGAGUUUGACUUUAACGUCAUGGGUUGAAGCCUCCUACAAUCAUGUAUGAUAGUUCAAAGCUCGUGGAAGAAAUUAUACAGGAAGGAAGAAACCUCCAAAGCUAGCUCCAAAAGAGAAUUAUCACAUCGAUAGCUCCAGAGAUUCCCAAGGGAACUGAAUCAAAGACAAGUUCCUCACUUUUUCUUCUUUUGAGGCCAAAUAUGAACCAAGGAUCACACGACCUCAUUCAACUUCAUAAGUUUGAUUUCAUGCAGUUGAACACUGGGUGAAGGCCAUGACAAGAAUUGAUUAAAAAAUUCUACCACUCUUUUAAGUAAUGGAAGAUUAUUAUCUCUGAUUGGCACCACAACAGCACAUGCUGCUAGAUCUUUCUAGACACUCCAUGCAAUGAAAGCACAAUGGAUCUUGUAAUGAUAGAAACUAAGCCAUGCUACAGUACUAGAUGAGGGGGUAAAACUAGUAGACAUCUUUCUAGACACUCCAUGCAAUGAAAGCACAAUGGAUCUUGUAAUGAUAGAAACUAAGCCAUGCUACAGUACUAGAUGAGGUGGUAAAACUAGUAGACAUGGCUGGCAGUUGAUUACUACUCAAAAAGUACUCUUUUAUAGCUUGAAACUAACUGUUUUAAACACUUUUGAGUAGUAGUUAAUACCUUUUAACUUAAUUGGCACAUUAAGGAACCUAGCAAGGGUUACUAAUCAACAUUUGGCAAGUUUUGAUGUUUUUGGUAGCUAUUUGAUCAUUGAAACAAGCCAAGAAUGAGGGGGAAUUUUGUGAAGUCCAUGGCAAUGCAAGUUAAAGCUCAAAUACAUGAAGAAUCCAAGCUUUGGAGCACUUCAUAGCCCUUUGCCAAGCCAAUCAAAGAUGCAAGGAAGAAAACCAAAGGAAGAAAUCCAACAAUCAGCAUUUUGGCAUGGCUAUGUGAAAUUUCGCACACCAUGCGAAACCACAAGAGGCAGCCAAAGAAUUUCGCAUGGUAUGCGAAAUCUUCUUGUGCACUGACUCUGUUAGAUUUUUAUCUUCAGAUAUUUUGUGUAAUUUCCUAGUUUCUCCUUGUAACCAACUUAGAUAUUUUCUUUUAUAUCUUUUUUUAUAUUUUUUAGGUAACAUCAUAUAUAAGAGGAGAGACAUAAGGAGGAUAUGGAUGUUUUUCAUAGAACACUUGUAAAUUUUUGGUAGUAAGAAAUAUACAAAGCUUUUUGCUCUGCCUUACCUUCUCAAGGGAUGAGUGGCUAGGUUUUCUUGGAGUGAGGGAAGCUAGGUGAAGGACCUGAAUGCAAAGGUGGGAGUUUUCCUUACUUUAAAUGAAAGUAGUUGUUAAACAUUAAUGGUUUUUAUUUUAAGGUUUAGCUUUAAAUCCCUGAAAAACACCUUGAAUGGCCAAUACUUGGUAAGCUUUUUAGAUUCUAUGGAUGCUUAUUGCUAGAUCCAUGGAUGUCUAUUAGUUAUCAUUUACGAGCCAUUGGAAGGUGAUUCAAGGUGAGGGUCUUUAGUGUUUGAAGCCAUUAAUGGGAAGCAAUUACCAUUUUUUCAUGAAUCCUUUGGAUCAAAUCUUAAUUGCUAAAUAUAAAACCGGUUUCGAGAGAUAACCACCAUCCUUUAUGUUAUUAUCCCCAACGCGAGGAGAAGAUCCGAAAUCUUCCUUUUUAUCUAAGGAACCCGAUCCUAGUGACCUAAAGCUCCAAGAUACCUUUUCUUUGUAGUUAACUUCAUUUAUUGUUUUUGCUUAACUUAAAAUCAAUCUUUGCAACCACAAUUCCAUUUUCUUUAAAAGCUAAUUUUUAUAAGGAAAAACACCAUUUUAUUUCCUUCACUAAGUCAACUGUACGAUGAAAACCCAUCCCUGUGGACGAUCCUAGAGCCACUAUACUAUGUUAGCUAUGCUACCCUAGUGUGAGGUGAUUUAGGUUUUAUAAAUUUUUUUGAUAACACCCAUCUGAGCCAGAAUCAAAUGGCACGACUGAACCAGGGACGAAUCAAAUGACGCCGCUACCAAGGAUGGUGCCAAAGUACAUUGACAUGACUUUUGGUGAACACUUGUGAUCUUCACCACAAGUUUGGUGAUUUUUCUUUUACUAAUUUUUUUUAUUUUAGCUUAUCUUUUAUUUAGUUUUUAGUUAACCUUAAAUUUUUCCUAGAAUUGUAUUUCUUUUGUUUUCUUUGUUUUUGUUUCAGUGAUCUUUAGUUGUGCAUGCCCUAUUGGAUAAGAGAUAUUGAGGGAAUACUUGUGAAGAUUGAAACUCCUCGAGAAACUGAGUUAGAAGUGUGCUUGAACAUCAUGGAUGUUCCACCUGAAGACCAGAAUAGCCAACAUGGUUAAGAGGAUAAUUUCAACACAUACCGAUCCAUGAGGAACCGCAUACAUCCACCUUGUAUGAGUGCACCGUCAGGCAUAAUGCCUCCCACUGAGCAGCUAGUAAUCUGACCUCACAUUGUGCCACUCCUACCUACUUUCCAUGGGAUGGAGAGUGAGAAUCCCUACUCGCAUAUUAAGGAAUUCGAGGAGGUUUGUAAUACAUUCCAAGAAGGAGGAGCUUCAAUUGACUUGAUGAGGCUCAAGCUAUUUCCUUUCACUUUGAAGGAUAAGGCCAAGAUUUGGCUUAAUUCUUUAAGGCCAAGAAGUAUCCAAACUUGGAUUGAUUUGUAAGCCGAGUUUCUUAAGAAGUUCUUCCCUACCCAUAGGACCAAUGGUUUGAAAAGGCAAAAUUUGAACUUCUCAGUUAAAGAGAAUGAGAAAUUCUAUGAGUGUUGGGAGAGCUACAUGGAAGCUAUUAACGUUUGUCCUCACCAUGGCUUUGACACAUGGCUCUUAGUGAGCUAUUUUUACAAUGGUAUGUCUUCUUCAAUGAAGCAACUCCUAGAAACUAUGUGUGGAGGAGACUUCAUGAGUAAGAAUCCGGAGGAAGCCAUGGACUUUUUGAGUUAUGUGGCUGAAGUUUCAAGAGGAUGGGAUGAACCAAAUGCUAGAGAGGUGGGAAGAAUGAAGUCUCAACCUAAUGCUAAGGGUGAGAUGUAUGUUUUGAAUGAAGACAUUGACAUGAAAGCAAAGGUUGCAGCUAUGGCAAGGAGAUUGGAAGAGCUAGAAAUGAAGAACAUACAAAAAGUGCAAGCCAUUUCUGAGACAUCAAUGAAAGCUAUGCCUUGUUCCAUUUGUCAAUCUUAUAAGCACCUAGUGGAGGAGUGUCCUACAAUUCCAGCAGUGAGAGAGAUGUUUGGUGAUCAAGCAAAUGUUAUUGAUCAAUUCAAGCCUAAUAACAAUGCUUCAUAUGGCAACACCUACAAUUCAAAUUGGAGGAACCAUUCAAAUUUCUCUUGGAAACGAAAGCCACCUCAAUACACACAACCUACUCAAGCACCUUAGCAAUCCUCGAAUCUUGAACAAGCUAUUGUGAACCUUAGCAAGGUUGUGGGAGACUUUGUGGGAGAUCAGAAGUCCAUCAAUGCUCAACUGAAUCGGAGAAUUGACAGUGUGGAGAGUACAUUGAACAAAAGGAUGGAUGAGAUGUAAAAUGAUCUGUCUCAAAAGAUAGACAAUGUCCAAUACGUAAUCUCAAGGCUUACCAACCUCAACACAGUGUAAGAGAAAGGAAAGUUUCCUUCUCAACCUCAUCAAAAUCCUAAGGGUAUCCAUGAAGUAGAGGCUCAAGAGGGAGAAUCUUCAAAGGUGAGGGAAGUCAAAGUAGUUAUCACCUUGAAGAGUGGUAAAGAGGUUGAUCAACCCACAUCCAAGCCAAAGCAUAAUGAAGAGAGUGUAGCAGAAAAAGAAAAGAGAGGAAAAUAAAGGAAUUAGAAUAGAGAAAAAUACAAAGAAAGAUGACCAUGAGUCUAGUGUGGAUGAAGAGCCCGAGAGGAUGGUGAUCAAGGAAGAUAUGAUGAAGAAACACAUGCCUCCACCUUUCCCCUAAGCUUUGCAUGACAAAAAAAGAACCAAUAAUACAUCAGAAAAUUUUGAAGUAUUGAGGCAAGUGAAGGUCAAUAUCCCUUUGCUAGACAUGAUCAAACAAGUGUCGACAUAUGAAAAAUUCUUGAAGGACUUGUGCACUGUAAAGAGAGGGUUGAAUGUGAACAAGAAAGCUUUAUUGACCGAGCAAGUGAGUUCCAUCAUACAGUGCAAGUCCUAGUGAAGUACAAAGAUCCGGGUUGCCGUACCAUCUCAGUGAGUAUUGGAAGGACUUGUGUGGAGAAAGCUUUGUUGGACUUGGGAGCAAGUGUGAAUUUGCUAUCCUACUCUGUCUAUAAGCAGUUGGGAUUUGGAGAGUUGAAGCCAAUAUCCAUCACUCUAUCUCUAGCGGAUAGAUCAAUGAAGAUUCCAAGAGGGAUGAUCGAAGAUGUCCUGGUUCAAGUUAACAAAUUCUACUAUCCAGUAGAUUUUGUUGUUCUUGAUAUGGAUCCGGUUGUCAAAUGAACUAAUUAUGUUCCUAUCAUACUUGGAAGACCCUUCCUAGCUACAUCAAAUGCAAUCAUCAAUUGUAGGAAUGGAGUCAUGCAACUCACAUUUGUCAACAUGACAUUAGAGCUCAACAUCUUCCAUUUGUACAAGAAGCAUAUCCAUCAGGAGGAAAAAGAAGGUCUAGAGGAAGUGUGAAUGAUUGACACUUUAGUGGAAGAGCAUUGUGAUCGAGAAUGCAAAAAGAUUUAGUUGAGAAUUUUGGGGAUCUUGAUGAAAGGUUACUUGAACCCUCAGAUUUGCUUGCUACCCUACUCCAUUGGAAGAGAAGAGAAGAAAUUCUACCCUUAUUCAAUGAGGAGGAGACGCAAAGAGCUGCAAAGGAGAAACCCCCAAAACUUAUUCUUAAGCCACUACCCACAGAGUUGAAGUAUGUAUACUUGGAAGAAGACAAGAAGUGCCCUAUUGUUAUAUCUUCAACUCUUACCAUUCAUCAGGAGGAUUGUCUACUUGAAGUCCUUAGAAGAUGUAAGAAGACAAUAAGGUGGCUAAUUUCUUAUUUGAAAGGGAUCAGCCCUUUAGUCUGCACCCAUCAUAUUUACAUGGAGGAUGAAGCUAAGCUAAUUCAUCAACCUCAGAGAAGGUUGAACCCUCACAUGCAAGAGGUGGUUCGAGCUGAAGUUCUGAAGCUACUUCAGACCAGUAUUAUUUACCCCAUAUCAAAUAGCCCAUGGGUGAGUCCUACUCAAGUUGCGCCAAAGAAGUCUGGGAUCAUGGUGGUGCAAAAUGAUAAGGGAGAAGAUGUCUCUACACGCCUCACUACAGGUUGGAGGGUGUGUAUCAAUUACAGGAGGUUGAAUGCAGUGAUAAGAAAGGACCAUUUCUCAUUGCCCUUUAUUGAUCAGGUGCUUGAGAGGGUCUCUGGGCUUUUUUUUUUAUUGUUUCUUGGAUGGCUACUCCGGGUACUUUCAGAUAGAAAUUGAUGUUGAAAACCAAGAUAAGACCAUUUUCACAUGCCCAUUUGGAACCUAUGCAUAAAGGAGAAUGCCUUUCGGCUUAUGCAAUGCACCCGCAACUUUCCAAAGAUGCAUGUUAAGCAUUUUCAGUGAUAUGGUGGAGCGUAUUAUGGAAGUCUUUAUGGAUGAUAUCACCAUUUAUGGAAGUGCAUUUGAUGAAUGCUUGGUCAACUUAGAAGCUGUUCUGAACCGAUACAUUGAGAAAGACUUAGUGCUUAACUGGGAGAAGUGCCAUUUCAUGGUACACCAAGGGAUUGUCCUUGGGCACAUUAUCUCCAAGCAAGGCAUUGAAGUUGACAAAGCAAAGGUUGAACUCAUUGUUAAGUUGCCAUCCUCAACAAAUGUCAAAGGAGUAAGGCAAUUCUUUGGCCAUGUCGGGUUCUAUAGGAGGUUUAUCAAGGAUUUCUCUAAGCUUGCAAGGCCUCUUUGUGAAAUAUUGGUGAAUGAUGUUAAAUUCAUAUGGGAUGAUGGAUUUGAAAGGAGUUUUGAAGAAUUGAAGCUAUUUUUGACAACCGUACCAAUAGUGAGGGCUCCCAACUGGCAACUGCCCUUUGAAGUAAUGUGUGAUGUCAAUGAUUUUGCUAUAGGAUUUUUUCUUGGGCAAAGAGAAAAUGGAAAACCUUAUGUGAUCUACUAUGCGAGGAAGGCAUUGAAUGAGGCACAAAGAAACUACACAACCACCGAGAAAGAAUUGUUAGCUGUAGUUUUUGCCUUGGAUAAGUUUCGCGCUUACUUGGUGGGGUCCUUCAUCAUGGUUUUUACUGAUCACUUUGCUUUGAAGUAUCUGUUGACUAAGCAAGAUGCUAAAGCAAGGCUGAUUAGAUGGAUUCUCUUACUUCAAGAGUUCAAUCUCCAUAUCAAAGAUAAGAAAGGAGUGGAGAAUGUGGUAGCAGACCACAUUUCAAGGCUAGCUAUCGCACAUAAUUCCCAUGCUUUGCCCAUUAAUGACGAUUUUCUAGAGGGGUCUCUCAUGUUGGUGGAAGUUGUCCCUUGGUACGCUCACAUUGCUAACUACCUGGUCACGGGAAAAGUUCCAAGUGAGUGGAAAGCACAAGAUAAGAAGCACUUCUUUGCAAAAAUUCAUGCCUACUAUUGGGAAGAGCCAUUUCUAUUCAAGUAUUGUAUGGAUCAGAUAAUAAGGAAGUGCGUUCCUGAAGAAGAGCAACAGGGGAUCCUUAGUCAUUACCAUGAAAAUGCAUGUGGAGGCCACUUUGCUUAUCAAAAGACAGCCAUGAGGGUGUUGCAAUCGGGUUUCUGUUGGCCAUCACUUUUCAAAGAUGCCCACACCAUGUGCAAGAGUUGUGAUCGAUGCCAGAGGCUUGGGAAGUUGACACGCAGGAACAUGAUGCCUUUGAACCCCACUUUAAUAGUUGAUAUUUUUUAUGUUUGGGGCACUAACUUCAUGGGACCUUUCCCUAUGUCUUUUGGCUACUCUUACAUCUUGGUAGGAGUAGAUUAUGUUUCUAAGUGGGUUGAGGCAGUCCCAUGCAAACACAAUGACCAUAGAGUGGUUCUCAAGUUUCUUAAAGAGAAUAUCUUCUCAAGAUUUGGGGUGCCCAAAGCCAUAAUUAGUGAUGGGGGUACUCAUUUUUGCAACAAGCCUUUUGAAACUCUCCUAGCCAAGUAUGGGGUGAAGCAUAAGGUAGCUACACCUUACCACCCUCAAACUCAUGGACAAGUUGAGUUAGCAAACAGGGAGAUUAAAAACAUAUUGAUGAAGGUGGUGAACACAAACAGAAAAGAUUGGUCAGUCAAGCUUCUUAAUUCACUAUGGGCAUAUAGAACAACUUACAAGACCAUUCUCGGGAUGUCUCCUUAUCGCCUAGUUUAUGGCAAAGCAUGCCAUCUCCCUGUGGAAUUGGAAUACAAAGCUUGGUGGGCAAUCAAGAAGCUCAACAUGGAUUUGAGCAGAGCUGGGUUGAAGAGGUUCUUAGACCUUAAUGAGAUGGAGAAAUUGAGAAAUGAUGCCUACAUCAAUUCAAAAAUUGCAAAAGAAAAAUUGAAGAGGUGGCAUGAUCAGUUGAUUUCCCGCAAGGAUUUUCAAAAUGGACAAAGAGUCUUACUUUAUGACUCUAAACUCCACAUCUUUCCGGGCAAGCUGAAAUCAAGGUGGAUAGGUCAUUUUACCAUUCACCAAGUGCAUUCAAAUGGAGUAGUGGAACUACUCAACUCCAACAAUAUCGAGAACUUCAAAGUGAAUGGCCACCGUCUCAAGCCCUUUGUGGAGUCUUUUUCUCACAACAAGGAGAAAUUCAUCCUCCUUGAUCCACAUCAAGCUUAACAAGACCAAUUUUCUUGAUGGACUUAGUCUUUCUAAAGACUAUCGAGUCCAUAACUUUUUGUUUUAUUUUUUAUUUGAGAUUUUUUCGGUAUUGUUACUUGUUUUGUUUUUUAUUUUUCGUUUUAAUUUUAUUUGGUUUGAUUUAACUUAGGUUUUUGAUGAUCAAUUACAGGGGGGAUUUCAAAUAGAGGAAAAACCAAGAUAAUUCGCACACCCUACGAAAAUUUCGCAAGGCAUGCGAAAUUUAUGGCUUAUUUUGCAUGGGGUGAAAAUUUUCGUACAUCUUACGAACCAAUUUCGAACACUUUGCGAAAAUAAACCAACCCUGCGAAAUCAUUUCGAUUACUCUACGAAAUUUUCGUAGAGCAUGCGAAAAAUUUAGCACACCAAACACCAUUUCGCAUACUAUGCAAAAACCUAAGGGGUCUGCGAAACCAUUUCGCACCUCCAAAUCCAUUUCGCACAUUGUGCGAAAACCAAGAGGCGCUGUGCGAAAAUGAAAAGUCGCCCUGUCAUCCCUUUUUAAACCCCUCGAGCCCUAAAAUCUCCAUUUCGCAAGCACCCCUGUCCUUGCGAAUCCCUCAUUUUCCUCUACUACCUUGCAACCUCGUCCCUUUCCAUUUGAUAUUGUGCCCCGCGCACAUCUCAUUUCAGAGACUCGCACUCCGCGCCCCCUCAAAGCAUGGACUCGAGACCCACCUUCCAUUUCCGACGUGGCACGGACCCAAGGAGCCCUUUCUGCCCCUUCACUAAGACACACACCAAGGCAGAAAGCCUCCUUUGCUCAAGUGCCUAGUGAUUCUCCAUCUUAGGCCUCAGAGGCCUCGGAGGCCCCGUGGAUUCCACCUUCCGAGGGUAGAGCAGCCAUUGGUCCUUCCUCUUCUACUCCUUAGCGUAGAUACGAGACGAGGAGACCACCUACUACACAAGGGGCGACUACUUCGAGCCUUGAGAAUUCAGUACGAUGCCUUCCUGCCAAGAGGGUCAAGACUUCAGGUCCAAGUGAGUCAUCCAGAGCUUCAUAGCCUAAGCCUCCUGUAGAUUCCAAGGUUCCUACUGACAUAUCACCGGAGUCUAUUAUCAGAAGCCCGAUGCUCAUAGCACCGCCCAUUGAGGGCAACUCAGAUUAUAGAGCGAGAUCUUUCCACUUGGAGCUAUAUUUUGAUCAGGAGGCCAUACGACAGCAGCCUGAGCUCCGAGACUCUUAUGGCUUACUGCAGAGGUACCAUCUUGAGGAACUUAUGACUCCUCGUGAGUUUUUUUAUCCCAGAGUAGCACUAAACUUUUACCAGUCCAUGACUACUCGUGGCGUCCCGAGUCCUACCACGAUUCACUUCACCAUUGAUAGACGUCAUGGUAUCCUCAAGGCCAGACAUAUUACAGAGGCUCUACAAAUUCCUUUCGAGCUAGAGGAUCCAUCUGUUUUUCGCUAAUGGUCCCCAGUAUCUCAGAGGGACAUGGUCCGUAUUUUAUCUAGGGGAACAUCUACAGAUUCGAUCUUUCUACGGAAGGAGCUUCGACCUGGGAUGCUCCUCUUAGAUGUGGUGCUAUGCUCCAACCUCUUUCCCUUACAACAUUCGGUACAUAGGUGAUGAGCUAUUUUGGACGCUUUAUUCCGUAUAUCAGAGGGCUUCUACUUUGGCCCGCACCACUUGAUCAUGGUCUCCCUCAUCCACUUUGAGGAGAAGGUUCAUAGGAAGAAGCUUCAGAGGGUGGACACCAUUCCAUUACUAUUCCUGAGGUUACUUUGCCAGGUCUUGGAGUACAUGGGCUUUCCUACUGAGCCUCGGCUCGAGCUUUGCCGCCUUUGUCGAGAGUGAUCCACUCUCGACAAAUGGAAUUAGUUGGCGGGCUAUUCUGCACCUCCAGGAGCCCCUCCCAUGGUAGCACCUCCAAUGUCCCCACAGGCAAAGUAGGGCGAGCUCCCGGCAAAGACUGUACCACCAAUGCCCACACUUGAGGCUAUUUCUGCUGCUCUGCCUAUGACUCCUACUGUUCCACCAGUUGGUCCUUUUACAUCCGAGCCUUCCAUCACCAUCUCGGCUUCGGAGUUUCGCGCCCUUGUGCAUACCUUUCAGACACUCACCACCACACAUACUCCUCUCUUCUAGCAAAUGGUUGAGAUGUGUGCCCAUCAGGACCGGAAGACUACUAUACUCUGCCAAAUUCAGCAGCACCUAAGACUUUUGCCUCAACCUCAACCUAACCAUCCCAUAUCAUCAGAGCCUCUAGCUCCAACUGAGGAUACUAUUCCACCUGAGAACACUACCACAGUAGAGGUCCGGUUUCCACCACCUUAAGAGGCCACCACAGCUACAUCAGAGGAUGUGUCAUCUCCACUUGAGGCUCCCACUACUUGAUCAUAGGACAUAUCUUUAUCUUAUUGUAUUUACAUAUUAUAUUACUAGAGAUUUGUCCUUGUUUUGAUACUUUAUAUUCUGGGAUUGGAUGUAUUGCCUGAUGAUAUCUCAAUUGUACUUUCUCAUAUUAAUAUAUAGACAUCAAUUUUUUUUAGUAUACUUAGCAUUUUUCUAUUUCCUCUACUCAUUACUCUUUUGUUUUUUUUUACUCAUGUGGUUUCUCUUAUACAACUCAGACUCCAUUUCACUCAGGAGGUACCACUUCCUCCCUUUAUUUUCAAUUGCUCUUGAAAUAUUGAGUGCAAUGUUGAUCUUGGUUGGGGGGAGAGUUGAGGAAGGAAGUUUUGUUAAUAAUGCUAGGUUAAUUUGUUAAUUUAGUUACUUUCUGCUUAAUUUUAAAAGUUUUCACUCUACUUUCCAUGGUUAUUAAGGAAAAAUUCUCAAAAUGAAAUGGGAGAAAUCGAAUUCUUGCAUUUUUACUUGAAUCUUAGAAUUUGUAUCAUGCUUAUUAAAGUUGAUGAAUUAUUGAAACUCCUAUUGAAUUCAACCUUAUUUUUUCCACUUUAAUCUUACCACACACGGUGCACAUUAGGUUCCAGUUAUAAGAUAAAAAACUAUCUCACCCCCUAAACUUAGAAAAAUUUACACUUGGUACCUUUGACAUCGUUUUAAUAGUGUUGGGACACCUUAUAAAAGGCCAAUGAGCCUUUAAAAAAAAAAAAAAAAAAAAAAAGAGAAAGAACAAAGUAUUGCACUUGCCUUGAAACCUGAGCAAGAUCCGAGGGGUAUACAGUGAAAGUCUUUAAAACCUGGUGCCCUAAGCCUUGAUUGGUUGGGAGUCACCGACCUCAAUGCUCGUUAUAAGGGUGAAUAGGUGGAGUUUAACAUAUUGUAGGUGCUUGGGUAUUGAAUUUCAAUCUCAAAAGUCCGGGAAAAAAUCUAAGGAGUUAGUGGUCAAAAGAUCCUUAAAGCUUGAUGCCCUAAACCUUGAUUGGUUGAGAGUCAUUGAUGGAUCCCCGCUACAUGGACAUUUUAGAAAACAAUACCUUUAGCAUUGCACGCCUACAAUGAAAAAAAAAUGUGAAAUAAAAGAGGUGCGUUCUUAGCCUAUUGGAGGUUGGUCAGUUUGCUAAAGUUUGAGAAAUCUAGGUUGGGGGGAGAGAAUAGUCCGACAUACUAUAAUAAAAAACUAAUAACCUUAACACUUAGAUUUUUGUGGAAGAGUAAGGAUUGGACCUUUAGGGGUGGAAAUUCUUUUGAUGCUUAAAUUUGCAUAAUGCCUACUCUUUAUAAAUUAUGAUUAGGCAAGAGAUUUGAUGACUCUUGUUCAAAGUUGGGUUUUUCCUCUUUGAUGUUCCAUGAGAGAGUAUAAUCCUCAUCAUGCCACUUGAAAUCUUUUUGGAGUGAUUAACAUGAUUUUGUAAAUUAUUUUACUGUCUAUUUUUCUUUAUCUCUCUUUUAUUGCUAAUGGACUAGCAAUAUGUCAGUUGGGGGGAGUGAUUACUACUCAAAAAGUACUCUUUUAUAGCUUGAAACUAACUGUUUUAAACACUUUUGAGUAGGUGUUAAUACAUUUUAACUCAAUUGGCACAUUAAGGAACCUAACAAGGGUUACUAAUAAGUUUUUGGCAAGUUUUGGUGUUUUUGGUAGCUAUUUGAUCAUUGAAACAAGCCAAGAAUGAGGGAGAAUUUUGUGAAGUCCAUAGCAAUGCAAGUUAAAGCUCAAAUACAUGAAGAAUCCAAGCUUUGAAGCACUUCAUAGCCCUUUGCGAAGCCAAUCAGAGAUGCAAGGAAGAAAACCAGAGGAAAAAAUCCAACAACCAGCAUUUUCGCAUGGCUGUGCGAAAUUUUGCACACCAUGCGAAACCACAAGAAGUAGCCAAAGAAUUUUGCACACCAUGCGAAAUUUCGCAUGGUAUACGAAAUCUUCCUAUGCACCAACUCCGUUAUAUUUUUAUCUUCAGAUAUUUUGUGUAAUUUCCUAGUUUCUCCUUGUAACCAACCUAGAUAUUUUCUUUUAUAUCUUUUUUUUAUAUUUUUUAGGUAACAUCAUAUAUAGGGGGAGAGACAUAAGGAGGAUAUGGAUGUUUUUCAUAAAACACUUUUAAUUUUCUGGUAGUAAGAAAUAUACAAAGUUUUUUGCUCUGCCUUACCUUCUCAUUUUGUUUUCACCUAUCUUUCUAGCCAAACAACCUCUGAGAAUGAUUUCUCAGGGGAUGAGUAGUUAGGUUUUACGUUUCUUGGAGUGAGAGAAGCUAGGUGAAAGACCCAAAUGCUAAGGUGGGAGUUGUCCUUGCUUUAAAUGAAAGUAGUUGUUAAAUAUUAAUGGUUUUUAUUUUAAGGUUUAGCUUUAAAUCCCUUAAAAACACCUUGAAUGGCCAAUACUUGGUAAGCUUUUCGGAUUCUAUGGAUGCUUAUUGCUAGAUCCAUGGAUGUCAUUAGUUAUCAUUUAUGAGCCAUUGGAAGGUGGUUCAAGAUGAGAGUCUUUAGUGUUUGAAGCCAUUAAUGGGAAACAAUUACCAUUUUUUCAUGAAUCCUUUGGAUAAAAUCUUAAUUGCUAAAUAUAAAACUGGUUCGGGAGAUAACCAUCCUUUAUGUUAUUAUGCCCAAUGCAAGGAGAAGAUUUCGAAUCUUCUCAUUUGUCUAAGGAACCCGAUCCUAGUGACCUAAAGCUCCUAGAGACCUUUUCUUUGUAGUUAACUUCAUUUAUUGUUUUUGCUUAACUUAAAAUCAAUCUUUGCAACCACAAUUCCAUUUUCUUUAAAAGCUAAUUUUUAUAAGGAAAAGCACCAUUUUAUUUCCUUCACUAAGUCAACUGUAUGAUGAAAACCCAUCCCUGUGGACGAUCUUAGAGCCACUAUACUAUGUUAUCUAUGCUAUCCUAGUGUGAGGUGAUUUAGGUUUUAUAAAUUUUGUUGAUAACACCCGUCUGAGCCAGAAUCAAAUGGAACCACUGAACCAGGGACAAAUCAACAGCCUAUAUGGGAGGGACACAAGUUUAAUUGAUUUGCAUUUCAGCGUUAUAGAUAAGUAUGUUUUGGAAGAUUUGUUCUGGAAAUACUGCACCAAGUACGAUUCUUUUUCUCUUGAGUGAGUCCAUUUGCAUGCCAAUUAACGAGUUGAAAAGUAGGAGCACCUACCUCGUGCUCAUGGAACCGAAUGUCAGUGAAGUGGGGCUCCUUUUAGCCUCUUGUGUUUCUGUUCCAACCAAGGCGGCGUAGGGAAAAACAACAAUAUGUCUGUGCUAAAUAUCAACGCAUGAUAGAUGUUUUUUUUUUUUUUUUUGGUAUGUCAAGGCUAACGAAUGAAAUGCAUUAGCUUGUUUUGUGACUAUAACUGCAAAUGUCCAAAUUGGAGUAUCUCCAUUUCUCACUUCGGAUGGUUAACUUUAUAAACAAGAUAUAGGAAACAUGUGAACAUCUUGAGGAACAAUUCAAAUUAUUCAUUAGAAGUCCUGGGUUAAGUUCCAAGAUUUAAAUCAGACCCUUCUAGCAGCUUCAAGGGUACUUAGCAACCUAUAACAUAUUAAUGAAGAUUUAGGAUUUAGACUCCGGAAUACAAAUAAAUAUGUAUCUCAUGCUUUGACUAGCUUCCCUACAUAUGCAUAAAAUGGAGAUGACCCAAAAAAAAUAGCAGAAUCUAGCUUCCCUACAUAUGCACAAAAUGGAGAUGACCCAAAAAAUAGCAUAAUCGCCUUAGUUUCUGUGGUUAAGGUGAUUCUCCGCUUAAUAUCCACAUUGACUCAUUAUGCAAAAUCAACUGAGCUAAUUUUAUUUAUUUAUUUAAUGUCAAAUAGGAACUCCUAAUUAACUGAUUACUGUCGAAAAGUGCUAUUUUGUAGACCUAAUUAUAAGGGUUUUAAGCACCUUUGAGUAGUAAUCAUAUUCAUUUAACCUAAUUAAUUCAUUAAGCUCCUUAGUAAUUAGUUCUAACCAUUUUUAGUGGCAAGUUUACAUGUUUUUCAUCAGCUUAUGAACCAAUUCAAGCAUGCCAAUUGAUGGAGGAGCUACUUGGGCGAGUUAAGCAAGGAUUUUGGACGUUUACAGGCUUGAAUUUCAAGUGGAAACACGAGCACAAGCAAUGGGAACACCAUUUCGCAAGGGGAGGCAAUUCACCUUGCCAAAUGACCAAUUUCGCAAGGGGAUUUUCCUCAUGGUGCAAAAUUUGGUCAUUUCGCACCAUGAAGAAACCACCUUGCAAAAUUUCGCAAGGUGGAUUUAGGCACCUUGCGAAAUGCCAAAUUUCACAAGGUGGCUUUUCACCUUGCGAAAUUUGGACCUUUCAUCUUCCCCCCUUGCGAAAUGCCUUUGAAAUCCCCUGUUUUGAGACGCUGUUGAUGAUAUUCCACUGCCGGUUCUCCAAGAUAUUUUGCUUGACUUUUAGCUUUAUAAAUACCUAUUUUACCCUUGUAAUCAACCAAUGAAAAGGUUGCUUUUGUAAUAGCUCUUGUAAUUUAGCUUUUUAUUGUCUUUAAAUAGAGGUGAAGAGCCUCAGACACGAUCAUCUUGUAACCUGUAACUUUAUAAGUUAUAAGAGCACUUUUGUUCAUACGCUUCUUUUCUCUUUUCUUUCUCAUUUUCUUAGUAGCCAAACAUCCUUGGAGGAUGAAAUCCCCAAGGAUGAGAGGCUAAAACCUUUUAGUUUCUUGAAGUAAUGGAUGCCAUGUGAAGCUCCCGUGUCAGGAUGGAGAUUUCCAAGCCAUAAAUGUAAGUAGCUGAGCGUCAUAAAUGUUUUCAUUCAAAGUAAAGCUUUUAAUCCCUCUGACUUGCUUUGAAUGGCCAAUACUUGAUAACCUUUUGGUCUCAAUGGAUUCUUAUUGUUAGAUCCACUGACGUUCAUUAGUUAUCUCCUACGAGCCAUUGUAUUGCAAGUCGAGGAGAUGACCUAUACCAAUAAAAGAGCAUUUAUGAGGUUCAACUACCCUUUUUGUAAGUUUUCAAGGACUAAAACUCAGUUGUUAAACUCAUACCGGUUCGAGAAGUAAGCAUCACCUUAGUUGCUUCCCCAACUCGAGGUGAAAAGUCCCAAAAUCUCCAUUUUUACACAGUGAGUUAAGCAUGGCUAUCCAAAGCUUUAAGAAACUUCUUUUUCCAUCUUUUAACCUAUUUUCAUGUUAGUUUAGUUUACAACACCUUCAUCUUUUUAUGUUUUCAUCUUAACCUAAUUUUUAUUAAGAAAAGUUCACUCCAUCCUCCGAACUUCACCAGUUAAAGUAAAAACCCUUCCCAGUGUUCGAUCCUAGAGCCACUAUGCUAUAGUAGCUUUGCUACUUUAGUGUAAGGACCUUAGGUAUAAAUUUUGUUGAUACCCUUACAUGCCAAGCUACCAAGAGUCGGGUUAUCAUUAACCUAACCAUUGGCCUGUGUAAAUUGAUUUCACAUGCACAAUGUUGUAGUAGAAGUCCAUAUUUUGAAUUUUAUUUUUGUAAAGGUAAGGAAAAUGAAGCAUUGUGUAAUUAUAAAAAUAACUUCAUUGGAAUUCACAAGGUUCACCCAAAAUGGAGCUACAUCUGUAUUCUAUCCUACAGUAGACUAUAUAGAUUGUACAAUAGUAAAUUGCAAAUACAAUUAAUAAGUCUUGUGCUUCCUUACUAAUAAUCCUUUGACAUGAACAUUGCAGCACUAAGGUCCUCUUGGGAAGACACCUUGCACCCAUGAGAGCACUAAGAGGAAGCAAGGCAGAGUCAUGGGUGCAAUGUCAUGACUUGUUGUUGCACCAAGAGAGGCUUGGUGAUGCCAUGGUGUUGCAGUAGCAAGAAUGUUGCCUUGGCAGGGACACGAUCUAGGGAUAGAUGCCAAGAAAGGCUUAGCACUCACAUGAGUUGCACAAAGAUGAAUGUAAUAGAGCAUCAGAGAGACGUCUUGGCAAGUAAAUGAAUGGAUCCAAGAGACAACAACAUGAGGAGUUUCAAAUGGAUAAGGAAUGACUCAAAGACAUUUGAAAGCUACAAGUUGGAUUCUAAUUACGAUUGCAAUUUGAGUUUGAGUAGGAGUUUAGAUUUUGAUUGUAAUUGUAGUAUGAGUUGGACUAGGAUUGCUUAUCCUUAGUCAAUAUAGGAGCGGUUCGUGUCACCCUAUGAAAAGAGUUUGAGUAGGGACUAGGAUUGCUUACUCCUAGUCAAAUAUGGAGUAGGUGGUGCCACACCUAUAAAAAAAAGGGACAACAUGAGAGAGAGAGAGAGAGAGAAAGAGAGAGUGAAUUCACUAAAGAUAUUGUGGGAGUUUUGCUUUGUUACGUCUUGUAUUAUUACUUAGAAUAGGAAUAAAAUACAAGUUGGGGCUAGAGCCCCAUAAUUAAUCUCGUGUGCCUUUGUGGUUAUUCUUUAUUUGUCAUCUCGUGUGGAUUGGAUUAGGUUGACUUAGAGGGCUUCUAAGCACCACCUUUGUGGGUUAUUAUUUAUUUUCCAUCUCUUGUGGAUUAGAUUAGGUUGACUUAGAGGGCUUCUGAGCACCACCUUUGUGGGUUAUUAUUUAUUUUCCAUCUAUUGUGGAUUAGAUUAGGUUGACUUAGAGGGCUUUUAAGCACCACAUUUGUGGGUUAUUCUUUAUUUUCCAUAUCGUGUGGGUUGGAUUAGGUUGACAAGGAGAAAAAUUAUGUGGGAAAUUUGUGUUGGGACACUUACCAUAACCAAGUAAAAUCUACCAAGUCCUUUGUAAUAUCUUCAACAAAUAUUUUAGACUAGUUCUUUCAGUUAGUGUAAAGGAGGAAGAAGUGGUAUUGAUUCUAGAAAUAGGGUGUGUGUAUUUGAACUACAAUCCUUAUGAUCCUUAGGUCUCUAAACCUUCGUGAUGGGCUCCCUGACAUUUCAUAGGUUGUGCUACACAUGCGUUUGAAAUUUAGAGUGCGUUUGACAGUGAUUCCGGGAAGUGUUUUUGGCCUUUCUUACACUUGAAAAUUUUUAUUUUUCAAGUAUUAGAAAUGCUACAAACACUUUUGAAAAUUACUGUCAAACACACUCUUAGGAGCGCACAUAUAUAGUAGAAAACUAGAAAUUGUGGUUUUUUUAGGAUUUACUGUAAUGUCAUUAGGAGGGUAGUAAGUUGAAAUUGAGUAUGAACAAAUAUUUCUUUCUUUGGGAUGUUCUUCUAGUAGGUGCUGAUGAAACUGUUCUUUCUACUGCCAAUGUCACAUAUCAGCCAGAAAUUGAAAAUUUCAGUCAAGGUGUCCUCUGUUUUAGUGGUGAGGAAAGCUAGAAAUUUUAAGGUGAAGUUUUGUUAAAAACCUUAAGUAGCUGGGAUAUCAGGCCUGUUUUGCUUGAAAAAAAAAGUUGCAAGAUAACUCAUAUGCCAAACAGGUUCUGAUAUUGUGAAUCUAUCGGCAGACAUCAGUAAUCUCAUCUUCUGAGAUGGAUGUUGGGGGUGCAUGUGGUGGUGGAGGGGCAAGGUUUCAUUUGGUUUAUUUUGUUGAUGGAUAUUGUCUAGCCACCUGCGCCAAGUUUGAGGGGUGGUGGGUUGUGAUGACCCUACAAUUACUAUUAAUUUCUUCAUCUUUUACCGAUUAAAGUGUCCGAACAGUCGAAGUUACCCUUAUGCAUGUCAACUUGAUCACUUACCUCUUCAAUGGAGUUUAUGCUGGUUCAUUUAGGAACUGAUUUUUAUUGUUAUGUAUUAUAUGCUGAUGUUUAGGUCUCUCCAUCAUCACUAUAUACAAAAAUUCUAGGUUGAUACUAUAGGUUGAGAUUUAUUUUUUAAAUAAAAAAUAAUAAAAAUAAAAAUUAUGGUGAUGUUUAGUUGUUUUAUGGAAAAUUUUAACAAGUAAAAGUUAUUUUUGGGCAAGUUUUCAAACAAAAAGAAAAGUAAAAGUUGUUUUGACAAAAACAUAUAGAAAAAAAAAUCAUAGAAAAUAAAUAAUUUCCCCAUAUUCUAACUUUUUUGAAUUUUUCUCAAUGGGCAAAGGAAUAUCAAAUCAAGUUUGAGUAGGAUUUCUUAAUUUUUAAAAUAACUUACAAUUAAAAAAUUUUGGUGUUUUCAUUUUUGGACAAUUUUUUAUUAAGCAAAUGGACUCUGAGUCAUGCAAGAGAUAUGGUUCAUUAACCGGUCGAACAAUUUUUUUAAAUUAAUUUAAAAGUCAAAUACAUAAUCAAUUUCACAAAAUUUAUAAACAAAAAUAGGUUUAGAGAAGAUCUACACAUAAUUUUACUUUUCUAAUUUUAUUUUAUUUUAUUUUUUGUUGGAAAAUAGUCUUCAAAUCAUGUAAGAUUUAAUAGGUUAAAUUUGUUAACAAUAAAUUUUAAAUUAUAAAAUAUAAUCUGGAACUCAAAAAUCAAUUCAAGUAAUGCUAAAAAAAAAUCAAAUUUGGUAUAGAAUGACUUUGUAAAUUUUUUUACAAAACAAAUGAAUUUUAAAUCAAGUGAGAUUUAAUGCAUUAGAUUUUUAUCAAAUAUAGUAAUUUUAAAAAUAAAUUUGGAACUCAACAAUAGACACAAUAAAUACCAAAAAAUAAUGAACCAAAAUUGGUUUGGAAUAACUCCACAACCUUUUUUUUUUUUUUUUGGUGCACACGAAUUUUCUUACUAGGUAUAUUGCUUUCAAAUUGAGAAAGAUUUACCAUUUAGAUUUUUUUUUAAUGAGUUUAAUGGUAUUUUAAAAUAAUUCAAAAUUUAAAAAAUUGACUAAUUAAUAUUAUAAAUUGAUAAACCAAGACUAUUUCAAAAUGCAUUGGGGGCUAAGGGGGUUGAAAAUAGGGACAAUGGGAUGGGUUUGGGACAUGACACUCAUAUCUCAUUUCCAUUCCAAUUACACAGUUAUCUCCCAUCCUUAUCCCAAACUUGUGUUGGAGCAAGUUGAUUUGUUCCCAUCUUUGUUGACGAAAUGACUAAUAACCUCAUCCCCUCCUUAUCUUAGAUGUACAUUUUGUCAAAUUUGAUCAGGUAUGAUUGAUCCAAGCCCUAACCCUAAUUGGUAAUGAGUGAAUACUACACCUAAUUGCAUUCUUCUUUCAUUGCAAAAUAAUGAGAUUAUAAUAAUCUAGCAAAUAAGAAAAAAUAGUAUGGAAGUUCAAAUUAACACCAUAACUAUCAAUAAUUUUAAGCUUAUAGAUGACUUAAAUGAUUAAAAACUAAUGCAAAAUCCUAAAAAAAAUAAAAAUCAUAUAAAGAAUUCACAAGAGAACAGAAUGAACAAAAACCAAAUAUGAACAUGGGUCAACAUUAGUUAUGGAUUUGGAUUCCUUUCAAGGCCAAUCUUUGAACCAAGACUUCAUCAAAUCAACUACUUCAAAGGCUUUUGUGUUCUUCUUGGGUUGUGCUCUCAAACAAAGACUUCGAGGUGAUGUUCUAGAUGAUUGAAUUACACAUAUUUAGGGUGGAGAGAUUGGAGAAGCUUGAAGAUGCCAACGAUGGGUACAAUUGAGUGGUCAAUAAGAACAAUGUAGCCUAUGACUAGUUUGAUGUCAUGGUACAAGAGUUUUAGGCAUUGAGGUUAAAGCAAGAGCAACAUGGAAUUGAUUUCGGAGUCUUUCAGUUAGUGUAAAGGAGGAAGAAGUGGUGUUGAUUCUAGAAAUAGGGUUUUAAGUGGUGCGUGAUUACUACUCAAAAAGUGCUAUUUGAUAGCCUUUAAUUAAUCCUUUUUAACACUUUUGAGUAGUAGUUUAGGCCUUUUAACUCAAUUGGCAUGUUAAGGAUCCUUUAAAGCAAUUUUGAUCACUUUGUGCAAGUUUUGGUGUUUUUGUUAGUAUUUUGAUCACCAAAGCAAGUCAAGAAUGAGGAGAACUAUGAGGAAUCAUGGGCAAAGCUUAGAAUUCAAUUGCCAAGAGUGAAUCCGGAUUGCAAGGAGAAAAAGCAAAGAGAAUCUGUCAUGAAGCCUAUUCUUGAUGACAGUCGUAGCAGCCACUUUUGGAGCACUUUCUGAAGUCCAAAUGAUGCAAGCUAUAUACCAUUUCAAAGAUCAGGAAGUCAACAAUCCAAUGCUUCAAACGGUGCGCGAUUCGGAGUUGAAACGAAGAAGUUGCAGCCAUUACAAGCCAGUCACUCUAAAGUGUUGCGGAAUCAGCCUUUUGUUGCGAGAAUUUCGCAGCACUUUUGUACAGUAAGGUGUUUCUCCUUCUGACGAUGCACGAACCAUGCCGCGAGAGGGAAGCUAGGAACUUCAAGAUGGAAGCCAACUUUGCAGCCUGGUGAAGAUAGCUUGGUCUUGCGAAAUAAUUUCGCAGCCCUCUUGGGUGUCUGCGAAAUUUCGCAGGCACCACUUUUUUCCUGCGAAAUGGCUCCGGAAGCCUCCCGAAGCUUGCUACCGACAUUGGGAGAUAUUUUCCAUUAGAUUUUUGUUGUCUAAAUUCCAAAAUACUCCUUGUAAACCACCAAUUACAUGAUUCCUUAGUUUUUAAGUUAGUAAAAAGACCAAAUAUCUAUGUAAUAAUUAGUUUUAUAUUAGUUUGCUAUAAAUACCUCUCGGGAGCAUGUUCUCAGAGAGGAGUUCCUUCUGUAACCAUUUUGGUAAGCAAGUAAAGUCUUUUCUUUCUACUGCCUUACCUUCUCACUUUGUAUUUUCAUUUUAUUUCUAAGUUAUGAAUUCUCUGAGGAGCUUUCCCCAGAGAAUGAGUAACUAAACCUCCAAUUCCUUGGAGCUAAGGUUGCCGGGGAAGGUUCCAAGUGCAAGAAUGCAAAGCUCUGUGGUUUUAGCUAGUAAUGAAGAGGAAGUGAAAUCCUUUAGUGAUUUCAAUGUUUUUAGUUAACUUAAAACACCUUGGAGUCACCUGGGCCAACACUUGGUAAGGCAAGUGAUUUCCAACCGUGGAAAUGCACUAGUUUACCCCUUGCGAGCCUCUGGUAGGUGACUUCAAGGUAGGAUUUUCUGGAAUUACCAACACUUGGUAAGCUUUUGGACUCCUAGGAGACAUCCAUUAGUUAUCUCUUGCGAGUUUGUGAAGGGGAAUCCAAGGUUAAAGAUCACCUUGAAUGGUAAGUGCUCGUGAGAGGCAUGAACCAUUGCAAGUUGUAUCAGUGAGAGAAUUAAAGUGAAAUCUAAUUGAAGGAGUCUCUGUACAUCACCGGUUAGAGAAUUGACUAUAAGUUGAAUCUCUAAUGCGAGGAAAUGAACCAUCUGACCGGAGCUAUGUCUUUUGCAUGAGGAACCACCCCAGUGAACCUAAAUCUCCAAGGAAUGCUUUUCUUCCUAAAUUAUUCCAAACUUCUGUUAAGUUAGUUAGUUUAAGUCUAAACCUUUACCAAUCAAACUUUGUGUUUUAUUUCUUAAGCUAACCGUGAAAUGAAACAAAACCAAUUCACUUGGAAUUGGUAUCCUUGAUUGCUUGCAAAUCAUUCCCAGUGAACGAUCCUUAGAGCCACUAUACUAUAGUAGCUUUGUAUUUGCUACCCUAGUGUAUGGUGUUAUAGGUAUAAAUUUUGUUGAUCACUUCCUCAAUCAAGGAACACCAGCUGAACACAAAUCAGCUGAGACACCAAUUGGGCAUGAGUCAAAUGGCGCCGUUGCCGGGGAAUGAGUGUCAAGAUCAUUGUGAUACCAUUUUUGAGCACUUGUGAUUUUCAUCACAAGUUGGUAAAGUUUCUUUCACUUUACUAAUUUUCAUUCUCUCUUUGUUUAUUUACAAUCUAAGUUUAUCUUUUUAAAAUUUAGUCUAGUUUAAUUUUGCUAUUGUAGCCUUGUUUCUCUUGUUGUCCUCUGUUCUUGUUGUCCUCUGUUUUCAUUUUAGUUGCAGCUGAAUACUAGUUGUGUAUGCCAAAGUGGAUACGAGACAUUGGAGGUAGGCUUAUUAAGUGUGAUACACCUCAGAGAGGAGAAUUGGAAGUAAUCUUGAAUAUCAUGGAGGCUGCACCUGAAGAUCAGCAUAGUCACCAAGGUCGUCAAGACAAUCUCAAUGAAUUCAGAUCAAUGAGGGACCGUAUGCAUCCACCUCGUAUGAGUGCACCAUCAUGUAUAGUGCCCCCUACAGAGCAACUAGUGAUCAGACCAUAUCUUGUUCCACUUCUACCAACUUUCCAUGGGAUGGAAAGUGAGAAUCCGUAUGCACACAUCAAGGAAUUUGAAGAUGUUUGUAAUACAUUCCAAGAGGGAGGAGCUUCAAUUGAUUUGAUGAGGCUUAAGUUAUUUCCUUUUAAUUUAAAGGAUAAGGCCAAAAUUUGGCUUAAUUCUUUAAGGCCAAGGAGUAUCCGCUCUUGGACUGAUUUACAAGCUGAAUUCCUCAAGAAAUUUUUUCCUACUCAUAGAACAAAUGGCUUGAAAAGGCAAAUUUCAAACUUCUCAGCUAAAGAGAAUGAGAAAUUCUAUGAGUGUUGGGAAAGAUACAUGGAAGCUAUAAAUGCUUGUCCUCACCAUGGCUUUGAUACUUGGCUACUGGUGAGUUAUUUUUAUGAUGGUAUGUCCUCCUCAAUGAAGCAACUCCUCGAGAAAAUGUGUGGAGAAGAUUUCAUGAGCAAAAAUCCAGAGGAAGCUAUGGAUUUCUUGAGCUAUGUAGCUGAUGUUUCAAGGGGAUGGGAUGAACCAACUAAAGGAGAAGUGGGAAAGAUGAAGUCUCAGUUGAAUGCUUACAAUGCAAAGGCUGGGAUGUAUACUUUAAAAGAGGAUGAUGACAUGAAAGCAAAGUUGGCAGCUAUGACAAGAAGAUUGGAGGAGCUGGAGCUGAAAAGAAUGCAUGAAGUGCAAGCUGUUGCUGAAGCACCAGUGCAAGUGAAGUUGUGUCCCAAUUGUCAAUCGUUUGAACAUUUGGUAGAGGAAUGCCCUGCAAUUUCAGCUGAAAGGGAAAUGUAUAGAGAUCAAGCAAAUGUUGUUGGACAAUUCAGGCCCAAUAACAAUGCUCCUUAUGGAAAUACCUACAAUUCAAGUUGGAGGAAUCAUCCAAAUUUUUCAUGGAAGGCCAGAGCAACUCAAUACCAACAGCCGGAUCCACCAUCUCAACAAUCUUCAAGUAUUGAACAAAUAAUAGCUAAUCUCAGCAAGGUAGUGGGAGAUUUUGUGGGAAAGCAAGAAGCCACCAAUGCUCGAGUGGAUCAAAGAAUGGACAGAGUGGAUCAAAGAAUGGACAGAAUGGAGAGUAUGUUGAACAAAAGAAUGGAUGGAAUGCAAAAUGAUAUGAAUCAAAAAUUUGAUAACAUCCAAUAUUCAAUUUCAAGGCUUACAAAUUUGAAUACACUGCAAGAAAAGGGAAGAUUUCCUUCUCAACCUAACCAAAAUCCCAAAGGUGUCCAUGAAGUGGAAAGCCAUGAGGGAGAAUCAUCACAGGUGAAAGAUGUGAAAGCUUUGAUCACUCUAAGGAGUGGUAAGAAAAUUGAGCAGCCAACACCCAAGCCACAUGUUGAGAAAGAAGAAGAGAUGAAGAAAGGGAAGGAAAUGGAAGAUAAAGGCAGUGAGAUCAGUGAAGAAAAGAAGGACUCUGAUGCAACAAUGAAAGUAAUUCCAGAGAAGGAGCUUCUGAAGGAAGAAAUGCUGAAGAAAUCAACUUUUCCACCUUUUCCUCAAGCAUUACAGGGGAAAAAGGGGGUUAGAAAUGCAGCUGAAAUCCUAGAAGUAUUGAGGCAAGUGAAAGUUAAUAUUCCACUGCUGGAUAUGAUCAAACAAGUUCCAACGUAUGCAAAAUUCCUAAAGGACUUGUGUACUAUCAAAAGAGGGUUGACUGUAAACAAGAAAGCCUUCUUGACUGAGCAAGUAAGUGCAAUCUUACAGUGUAAGUCUCCUUUGAAGUACAAAGACCCUGGAAGUCCUACCAUUUCAGUCAUGAUUGGAGGAAAGGUAGUGGAGAAAGCCUUGCUAGACUUGGGAGCAAGUGUGAAUUUGCUUCCAUAUUCUGUCUACAAGCAACUGGGACUUGGAGAGUUGAAGCCAACAGCAAUCACUUUGUCUCUGGCAGAUAGAUCAGUGAAAAUUCCAAGAGGGGUAAUUGAGGAUGUAUUGGUUCAAGUAGAUAAUUUCUACUAUCCUGUAGAUUUUGUUGUUCUUGAUACAGAUCCUACUGUAAAGGAAGCUAAUUUAGUUCCUAUCAUCCUUGGAAGGCCAUUUCUUGCAACUUCAAAUGCAAUCAUCAACUGUAGAAAUGGGCUUAUGCAACUCACUUUUGGUAACAUGACACUGGAUCUAAAUAUUUUCUAUAUGUCUAAAAAGCAAAUCACUCCAGAAGAAGAAGAGGGUCCAGAAGAGCUAUGUAUUAUUGAUACUUUGGUGGAGGAGCACUGCAAUCAACAUAUGCAAGAUAAGUUGAAUGAAAGUUUUGUGGAUAUUGAGGAAGGUUUUUCUGAAUCUCCUAAUGGGCUUGCUACUCUACAAAGUUGGAGAAAGAUAGAAGGAAUUCUACCUUUGUUCAAUGAAGAAGAGGAGGCAGCUGUUGAAAAAGAAAUUCCAAAACUCAAUCUGAAGCCUUUACCUAUGGAGCUGAAAUAUACAUAUCUUGAAGAAAAUAAUCAAUGUCCUGUCGUAAUAUCUUCAUCUCAAACCAAGUCUCAAGUGAAGGAUGCAAGCUUCAAAUGGGAUCCGGGCAAACUGAAUCAGGAAGGGCAAAAAGUUUUGAUGUAUGACACAAGACUCCAUAUCUUUCCUGGGAAGCUCAAGUCAAGGUGGAUUGGUCCAUUUGUUAUUCACCGAGUAUAUUCCAAUGGAGUGGUGGACUUAUUGAAUUCCAAUGGCAAGGACAGCUUUAGAGUCAAUGGAUAUCGUCUUAAGCCGUUCAUGGAGUCAUUCAAAUCAGAAAAGGAGGCAAUCAACCUCCUUGAACCUCAAAAAGCCUAAGUGAAAUGGGUUUGCUGGACGUGGUUUUACCACAGUCCAAAAAUUUUUGUAAAUUUUGUAAAUUUUCAAGUUGUUUCCAUGCUUUUAAUCUUAGUUUUUGAUUUUAAAUCAUGUUUUUAGGUGUGUUUUAAUCGUUUUAUAUGAUCCCAGGCGGAAGAAAUUUCAAGGGGAUUGAAAAGAAAAAAAUCGGGUCGAAAUUGGAGCCGAAACAGAGCAAAAACAGGGGAAAAACAGAGCUCUGCGAAAUUUCGCAGGGUGAAGGAAACUUCUGCGAAAUUGGCAUUUUGCUGCCAAACCAUUCCGCAGCACUGUAGAAGCCUCUGCGAGUGUAUUUCGCAAUUGCGAAAGUGGAUUUGGCACACGAGUGCCACUUCGCAGCACAGUGACAUCAAUUUCGCAGCUGCGAAACUCACUGCGAAGUUGCUGCGAAAAUGGCAAGUUGCUGCGAAAUUGGCGUUUUGUUGCGAAACGUAAUCUGACCCCUGGGCUUCCGUUUUUCCUAUUUAUACCUGUCAAAAGUGCUGCGAAAAAGGUUUCAAAAAUUAGAGCACCAUUCUCGCAGCCCUUUCAUCUUCUUCGCCAAGCCACGCCGUCCGUUUCUCCGGUCGUCUUCUCCGUUUAGCAGCGCCGGCCAAAGAUCGAUAGCCCAAAAAUGGCACGAACGCGAGGGGCAAAGUCUUCAUCCCCUUCGAACCGCAAAAGGAGUCUGCGAAAGGAGCCAAGUUCAGGCUCUGUUCCAGAACCUGCUCCAAAGCCUUCGCCGUCGAGACCACAACCUUCUCCAGUGAAGCCGGCGCCACCAAAGCCGCCGGCAAGGCGAUAUUUAACCAGGUCAGGUGGUCAGCCAUUGAAGAAGAAAGCCAGAGUUGAGAGCUCUGAACCAAUCGAUUUGACUGAGCAAUCCCCUGAGAAAUCACCAAAUCCUUCACCGGUACAAAUUCCAGUGCCAUCACCGGUUCCCUCGCCAAUUCCCUCACCAGAAGCAACUCCAAUUCCAUCGCCGGUACCAUCUCCGGCACCCCAAGAAAAAGCUCAGGAGCCUCAAGCGCCAAUUCCAGAGCCCCAAAUUGCAGCUGAAGCACCUCUGGAAGAAGUGAUCCGAAGGCCAAUGCUGCCUCAGCCCCCAAUCGAAGGAAACCUGGAUUGCCGAACUCGGGCAUUCCAUUCUGAGCUUUGCUUCGAUUUAACAGCAUUCAGAGUGAGGCCAGAGCUUGCCCAAUCCUUCCAACUGCUGAGGAGAUAUCAUAUGGAGCAUCUGCUAGCUCCAAGGGAUUUUUUCUAUCCCCGGGUAGUCACGGAUUUCUACCAAACCAUGACAACCAAAGAAGUAAGAAAUCCAACUCUGAUUCAUUUCAUAAUUGAUGGAAGGCAUGGUAUUUUGGGAGCAAGACAUAUUGCUGAAGCCCUGCAAAUUCCUUUUGAGCCAACUCAAUUCGACAAUUUUAAAGCUUGGACAAAUCCUACUGAGUUAGAGAUGGUUAGCACACUAACCAGAGGAGCUGCAAAUCGAUCGCAUUUGUUGAGGGGGGAGCUACCUCCAGUUAUGUUUUUGAUUGAUGCCUUUUUGAGGCAUAAUAUCUAUCCCCUGCAGCAUUGGACCCAAAGAAGGGGAAUUCUCCUAGAAGCCUUGUACAAAAUGUCUGAAGGAUUCUUCUUUGGGCCUCAUCAUCUGAUCAUGGCAGCCCUUCUAUACUUUGAGGAGAAGGUUCACAAGAAGAAGCUUCAAAGAGCAGAUUGCAUUCCACUCCUCUUCCCAAGGCUGCUAUGCCAAGUUUUGGAGCAUCUCGGAUACCCCUCUGAGCCUCAGCAGGAAAGAAAGAGAAUAUGCCGUGAGCCUUUUACCCUUGAUAAAUGGAAUAAUAUGACGGCCUACAAAAUUGAUCAGCCUGGGCAGCCUCAGCCAGCAGCAAGGAGAGUCUCCCCAAGACAUAUACCUGAAGGUAUAACACUUGCUACUCCUGCCAUCCCUCGAGCUCCACCAGCUGCACCUGCUCCAUCACAGCCAUCCACAUCAGCUGAGCCGAGGAUGGCCAUCCCUAUAUCCGAAUAUCGAGAGCUGUGCCGUGCAUUGGAGACUCUUACAGCUUCUCAGAGCAAUCUUGCUCAGGAGUUGGCAGCCAUUAAAGCAUGCCAGGAGCAGAUGUUAGCCUCUCAGACUCAACAAGCUGCCAUCCUAAGGCAGCUUCAAGUCCAUUUCGAUCUGCCACAAGCUGUAGAGCCCUCUAUUCCUACUCCACCAGAGCCACACUCUCAGCCUUCAGAGUCUCAUCCUCCAGAACCCGAAGCACCAGCUGAUCCACCUACUGAGGAGGCAGAUCCUUCUGCCUAGCACCAUCACCCCCCUCAUCAGACAUUAUAUAUAUAUUUGCUGUUUAUGUUUUUAUGCAUGUUUGUUUUGUUUUAGUUGAAAAGAAAUCCCAGUAUUUUGGUACUAUAUAUGGGAUUCCUUGUGUUACUUGUCUUUAGUAUUGUAAUCACAUGAACUCAAAGUAAUACAAGUUGACUAUUUCUUGUUAAAAGUUAGCAUUAAAGUUUCCUUAUUUCCUUUUCUCACAUAUUCUAUUCUUUUUGAAACAUGUGGUUUUCCCCAAUCAAUAUUCGAAUUUGAUAUCAGCAUGGAGGUACCACUUCCUCCCUUUUAUUACAGUCACUCAAAUCACAUUGAGGACAAUGCUCAGUUCGGUUGGGGGGUAUGAGGAAGGAAGUAUUCUAAACCUUUUUGGUAUUGCAAUUAUAUUGGUUAAUUAGUUGUAGAUUUUACUUUUUACUAGUGUUACUCUAUUCUCCAUGAAUUUUGAGGAAAAAUUUUCAAAUUAAACCAAGAGAAAUUGAACUGUUGUUUUUCACUUGACUUAGAGUAUGGAUUAUGCUUACUAAAGUGGUUCAAUUGUUGAAACUUCUACUGAAAUUGAAUUGAGUUCUUCCACUUUAAGCUAUCCACACACUGUGCACAUUAGUUUCCGAUUAUAAGAUGAAAAGCUAUUUCCCUCUUGACUUAGUAUAUUUUUGGGACUUGGUAUAUUUGACCUCAUUUGAUAAAAAUUGAAACACCCUGCAAAAGGCCAAUGAGCCUUUGAAAUAAAGAAAGUUGUUUGCUUGCCUUGAAACCCGAGCAAGGUCUGAGGGGUAUAUGGUGAAAAUCUUUAAAGCCUGGUGCCCUAAGCCUUAAUUGGUUGGGAGUCACCGACCUCAAUGCUCGUUACAAGGGUGAAUAGGUAGAGUUAGCAUAUGGUAGAUGCUUGGGUAUUAGAAAUUCAUUCUUAAAAGUCCGGGGAAAAAUCCGAGGAGUUAGUGGUUGAAAGAUCCUUAAAACUUGGUGCCCUAAACCUUAAUUGGUUGGGAGUCAUCGAUGGACCCCCAUUACAUGGACAAGUCAGAAAGAGUACCCCAUAAAGCUACCUUAAAAAAAAAAAAAAAAAAAAAAAAAAAAAAAAAGAUGAAAGUGUGUUCUUUUCUUAUUGAUUUUGGUCAGUUUGCUAAAGUGUUGAAAAGAGAUAGGUUGGGGGGUGAGAUUAGUAGCAUAUUAUUCUCGGAACCUAAGGAACCAAUACACAUAGAUUUUUGUGGAAGAUUGAAGUUUAGUUCUUAGAAAAUGAAAUGAUUUUAAAACUUCAGUUUGCAUAAUGCACUCCCUUGAUUGACAGUGUUUAGCAUAGGUGUUAUGACUCUUGUUGAGAUUUGGGUUUGUAUUUCUUUAAUGAUUCAUGUGAGAAAUAGAUCAUCAUGCCACUUGAGAAUUAUUUUCCUUUUAGCAUGAUGUUGUAAAUUUUAGAUUAGUUUGCUAUUUAUUUUUUAUUUUCUCUCCUAUAUUGCUAAGGGACUAGCAAUAUGUCGGUUGGGGGGAGUGAUUACUACUCAAAAAGUGCUAUUUGAUAGCCUUUAAUUAAUCCUUUUUAACACUUUUGAGUAGUAGUUUAGGCCUUUUAACUCAAUUGGCAUGUUAAGGAUCCUUUAAAGCAAUUUUGAUCACUUUGUGCAAGUUUUGGUGUUUUUGUUAGUAUUUUGAUCACCAAAGCAAGUCAAGAAUGAGGAGAACUAUGAGGAAUCAUGGGCAAAGCUUAGAAUUCAAUUGCCAAGAGUGAAUCCGGAUUGCAAGGAGAAAAAGCAAAGAGAAUCUGUCAUGAAGCCUAUUCUUGAUGACAGUCGUAGCAGCCACUUUUGGAGCACUUUCUGAAGUCCAAAUGAUGCAAGCUAUAUACCAUUUCAAAGCUCAGGAAGUCAACAAUCCAAUGCUUCAAACGGUGCGCGAUUCGGAGUUGAAACGAAGAAGUUGCAGCCAUUACAAGCCAGUCACUCUAAAGUGUUGCGGAAUCAGCCUUUUGUUGCGAGAAUUUCGCAGCACUUUUGUACAGUAAGGUGUUUCUCCUUCUGACGAUGCACGAACCAUGCCGCGAGAGGGAAGCUAGGAACUUCAAGAUGGAAGCCAACUUUGCAGCCUGGUGAAGAUAGCUUGGUCUUGCGAAAUAAUUUCGCAGCCCUCUUGGGUGUCUGCGAAAUUUCGCAGGCACCACUUUUUUCCUGCGAAAUGGCUCCGGAAGCCUCCCGAAGCUUGCUACCGACAUUGGGAGAUAUUUUCCAUUAGAUUUUUGUUGUCUAAAUUCCAAAAUACUCCUUGUAAACCACCAAUUACAUGAUUCCUUAGUUUUUAAGUUAGUAAAAAGACCAAAUAUCUAUGUAAUAAUUAGUUUUAUAUUAGUUUGCUAUAAAUACCUCUCGGGAGCAUGUUCUCAGAGAGGAGUUCCUUCUGUAACCAUUUUGGUAAGCAAGUAAAGUCUUUUCUUUCUACUGCCUUACCUUCUCACUUUGUAUUUUCAUUUUAUUUCUAAGUUAUGAAUUCUCUGAGGAGCUUUCCCCAGAGAAUGAGUAACUAAACCUCCAAUUCCUUGGAGCUAAGGUUGCCGGGGAAGGUUCCAAGUGCAAGAAUGCAAAGCUCUGUGGUUUUAGCUAGUAAUGAAGAGGAAGUGAAAUCCUUUAGUGAUUUCAAUGUUUUUAGUUAACUUAAAACACCUUGGAGUCACCUGGGCCAACACUUGGUAAGGCAAGUGAUUUCCAACCGUGGAAAUGCACUAGUUUACCCCUUGCGAGCCUCUGGUAGGUGACUUCAAGGUAGGAUUUUCUGGAAUUACCAACACUUGGUAAGCUUUUGGACUCCUAGGAGACAUCCAUUAGUUAUCUCUUGCGAGUUUGUGAAGGGGAAUCCAAGGUUAAAGAUCACCUUGAAUGGUAAGUGCUCGUGAGAGGCAUGAACCAUUGCAAGUUGUAUCAGUGAGAGAAUUAAAGUGAAAUCUAAUUGAAGGAGUCUCUGUACAUCACCGGUUAGAGAAUUGACUAUAAGUUGAAUCUCUAAUGCGAGGAAAUGAACCAUCUGACCGGAGCUAUGUCUUUUGCAUGAGGAACCACCCCAGUGAACCUAAAUCUCCAAGGAAUGCUUUUCUUCCUAAAUUAUUCCAAACUUCUGUUAAGUUAGUUAGUUUAAGUCUAAACCUUUACCAAUCAAACUUUGUGUUUUAUUCCUUAAGCUAACCGUGAAAUGAAACAAAACCAAUUCACUUGGAAUUGGUAUCCUUGAUUGCUUGCAAAUCAUUCCCAGUGAACGAUCCUUAGAGCCACUAUACUAUAGUAGCUUUGUAUUUGCUACCCUAGUGUAUGGUGUUAUAGGUAUAAAUUUUGUUGAUCACUUCCUCAAUCAAGGAACACCAGCUGAACACAAAUCAGCUGAGACACCAAUUGGGCAUGAGUCAGUGCGUUAGAGGAUCAAGAAGAAGAAAAAGAAGGAACUGUUGGAAUUAGUAUGAGUGUGAAGAGAAAAGUAUAUAAAUAAGGGGAAGUAAAAGCAAAGUUCAAAAAGCUAUAUUUUUUUAUUGUUGGUGUAUGGUUGCAUGAUUAUCCCUAUAAAUAAUAGGAGUUUUUUGGUAUUCUACUAGUAGUUGAAGCAUAAUUUCAUAAAUUAAUAUUUAGAGCGGGGUGGGGUGAGUUGUGACAAAAUUCAUACCCGUCCCAAACCUUGGUUCAGAUUUUUAAAAUAUUCUCAAACUUAUCAUAUACCCAACUUUUAUAUUUCAUACUUGUCCUAAUAGAGGCACGUUAGGCCGGGUUACUUGAGUAACCUACAUAAUUGUCAUCCCUAGUUGAAAUACACUUUUUGGCAGUGGCCACCAACUGAGCUAGAAGCUUGAUUGAUUGACCUACAAGAUUAGUUCUCAUCAUUUUAAAAAAAGUUCUGGCUUUGGUUGUGAGUGCAAUUGAAUCUAAACUGGCAUUUGCUUAAUGCAUCUACUUCAAUCCUAAACUUCUUACUUCUUAAGCCUCAAUUGUUGUUAGGAUUUUGGAAAACCCAUUUCCUUAAAUUGUAAAUUUAAGAUAAAAUAAAAUAAAAGUGAGACAUUUCUUGAUUGAAUAUUGUUAAAGGUCCCUUGGCAUUAAGACUUGGUUGAAGCCUUGGAAGAUUAGUGGAACUCUCAACAUGUGUUUGAAUCUUGAGGAGAGUGGAUGUAAGCCAAAAUUUUGUCAAACCAUUAUACAAAUUGAGUUUGAAUCCUCAUUUCUUGAUUUCUUAUUUAUUUGCUUUUUCUUAUUAUUACUUGAAUUGUCAUUUGCAUUCAUUAAUGUUAAAAUUGGUUAUAAUUAACCAACACUAAUUCUCUUUCCCCUUCCCUUUCUUGGGUGUAAACCUAGGUUGGAUUAACUAGAUAAAUCUAUUAAGAUGGUAAAAGAAUAAUUAUUCUUAACAUACAUAAGAUCAUCUUCAAUCAAAUGACUCAUUGGCUAAUAUGUUGAAUUUGCUUAUUACUUGCAACUCAAAAUUGUGUUCUAGUUGUGUCAAGUCCCCAGUGUAUGGACAUUAAAUUUGUAGUACGUGAUGAGUAAUUAGAUGGUCCAACUCCAAGAAAGUGAUUGAAAAGUAGUUCAAGAAAGGUGCAAAAGGGAAUUGUUUUGGUAUUUUCGUUUUUAUUCUUGAAGGUGGCAGAGCUAAAAUUUGAGAAAUCAAGCAAAACAUACUGAAAUUACAUUGAAAGAAAGAAGAUGGGAGUUAAUGUCUUGCAGUACAUGAUAAGGACUUCAUGCAUGUAGUGUGACCCAUGUCUUGGACUGAUGCCAACUCACGGUUACACUUAUACCCUUGGUUCUCUCUUUACUACCUUGGCUAACCUAGAUCAGGCUAUGAGAUAGGCUCCUCACCACACCAUUACUUGCCCAUUAAUUAGAGACAUUUUCAAGCAAUGAGGUAACAUGGUGACACCAAGAGGGUCUAUUCCUCGCCCGGAACAAGUCUAGACUUGGUCUCAAAAAAAUGGAGAAAAAUGAGGUGUCGUUAUGUAGAAAUACAACAACCAUGCCUUCCUCAUUACUUAGAUUCAGAAUGUGAAGGUGAAAUUGAGAAACAGAAACUCUUGAAACCAAAAUGAAAAUUGAUACUUUUACGAAGAAUUACAACAACAUUAGAGGAAGACUACAUUCUUCCUCUUUAUUCCUACAUUUCUACACUACUUCUACUCCACUCCAUAUUUCUACAUACAUCUUUAAUCAGUCUUCCCUCCUUUAUAUAGAGCCAUCUUCACACAAAUUUCGCAAGGUAGAAAAGAGGAAUGAAACUUGGAGCAAGGUUCGACUACUGGUUGUAGCUUGUCAAGGCUGGAAGUGAACUUUUCUUGGCUUUCUGGGCAUGGGUAGUAACUUGUGGGUUCCUGUUUGGCAUAAAAAUGGCUAGAACAUGUGGCACUAUCUUGUUGGAUGAUGUGUCAAGCAUGUGGCAGCCAUCUAGUGGCGAUUAUGUCAAUUUUGGGAUGGAGAGUUGGCAUCCAAUUGCAAAGAAAUAUGACGUCUACCAACAUGCAAUGUAAACCUAUGUAGAUCAUAUGAAGAUAGAGAGGAAAAAUAUAGAAAUGGAUAUAUACCUAGAACUAGCUUUUUAUUAAAUGAAACGGAGAGACAACAAUGAAGGAAAAUAAAAUUUUUUGGCUUAUAUCAAAGAGUUCACAUUGUGUUACCCUAGGUUUUCUUAAAACUUACUUUUAUGAUAACAAAAAAGAAAAAACCAUUAUUGUUUAAUCCUUUGUUUUAAACGCAUGUAAGGUGUAAUUAAGUUAGUUCAAUGCAUUAAUUUAAGAAACUUGACCUAUCAAAAGUACAAAAUUAGAUGAAAUCCAUUUCAAUGGUUAAAAUGAUCAAAAUCAAACUUUUUCUAAGUAUUUUUUAAAAGCAUCAAUAGUGAAAGACAAUUUUAUAUUUAGUCGGAGUUUGGACAAAACUGAAAAACACACAAAAUCCAAGCGACCAUCUCUAGCUUGGAUGGUCGCUUGAUCCCACCUAGAGAUGUGCAUGAGUAAAAGGAUUUGAAAAUGGAAAUUGACUAUGUAGUCGAUCAAUUAACUUUGCAACAUCAUAUGCAAUCCUAAUUGCUAGUCAUCUAAUCAAUUAGGUAGUCAAUCAACAGGCCAAAAAUAUGUUUAUAAUGACUAUUUUGUACAAAAACCACCUGUAUAGUUAAAUAUAAUGCAUUUCAUUUAUAAAUCUUCUAAUUCUUGAAUAACGAUCCUAUCAUCCUUUGAAAGUUUUUAUUACACUUUUUUUACUUUUGUUCUAAAACUUACACAUCACCCUUAAUUGUACCAUGAGAACCUAGCUAUUUUUUAUUUUUUUUUUUGUAAUUCAUCAAAGUUAGCUUUUGUAUUCAUUGUUGUAUUAUUUUUAGUAUAACUUAGAAAGCUAGUGUUUUCAAGUGAGUAAAAUUAACUUGUAAAUAUUGUAAAGAUUCAUCGACAUGUAUCUUAAACUAAGUGUACAAGUUAAAACAUUUGCUAGUAGAUUUUCUCAAAAUUUAGAAUAGAGCUUGAGACUAUUGAAAUAGGUGGGGUUGCACCAAACCACAUCACAUCGUUGUUUGCACCUUUUUUCACUCUCUUUUACUUAGUUGCUCUAUAUUUGUUGUCUAGUAAUAUCCUAUAGGCUUGAUGGGUUAGGGAGCAUCCCUUUGUGAAAAAAUUUUAUUCAAUCCUUAGUUGUAUCACGCAUAUAUAAAAUGCCUCAUUGUUUUAAUGGUAUUCAGUCGUGGCAUCACAGAUAUGGGCAUCUAAAUUUUAAAAGUUUGAAACUUUUAUCUAAAGAAAAUAUGGUGCUUUGCCUUUUUGUAAAGCAUGUUGAUGAAAUCCAUGAGAAUUGUGUACUUGGGAAGCAACACCGAGAUGACUUUUUUUUUUUUUUUAUAAUAUUGUUUGUCCAAAUUCCCUACAAAUUAGGCCACCAGAUGUUCAUAAUUCUCCCUUCUUGAAUUUGAAAACUCGGACAAUUGGACAAUGCGACACCUAAGUCCGGUUUCUAAAUGCUAAAGUGAAAGGGUAGGUAUGGACCAUUGAAAUGUGAUCACAACUUUUCUCUGUAGCCAUGUUGUCUCUUUUUUCUUUUGCAUGAUUUUCUUACCUUAACAGAAUCAUAGACUUGUUUAGUCUCUAAAUGGGAUUAAUUUCAUCCAGCUUUAAGCUACUAUAUUAUAUCUAGGUGGAGGACUUUUAAGAGUGCAACCGACAUAGAGCACAUGGAAGUGGGUAUAUGGGACAUGAAAUUUCUUCUUAUAAAGAUUGCAUGAUUUUUAUAUUAGAGUUGUUGAGGCGCUAUGUAUUUAGCUUGUUUUGCAGUUAAAUUAAUUGGAUAAGUAGACAUUGGCGUUUCUAAAUCUACUGUGAAGUGCUUCAUGUACGUGUGAAGUAUUAGAAAUUUCUUUCUUGGCAACUUGUUUUUCUUUGCGGUCUACUGAUAGGUUUGACUAAAAUUAUAUUCCCUGUCAUGCUAAUUAAUUUUCACGUGCAUGCUCAAAAGAAAAGUAUGACCUUAGUGCACCAAAAUCACUUUGAUUAAUUUGUGAUAGGUUUUUGUGCAUCAUGACAUUAGCCUUAUUCAUUUAGAUAAUGUUUAGUUUUUAGAAAGUAUUAAGAAAAGGAAAAUAAAUAUUAAGAAAAAUAUUCUUAUAUUUGAUUGUAUUAUGAAAAAUAUCAUAAAAAAAUCAAAUAUAAUUUAAAUUAAUUAAUAAUUUAUACAUUUUCAAAUUAUUUAAUCUUUAUAUUGAAGAUAUAAUAUAAAUGAAAUGAGUUUUAAGUAUUAUAUAAAAGUGAUUUAUUGAUCUUACAUAUAUAUAUUUCUUUUUUUUUUCCUUCUAUUUUUUCUCUUUAUUUUAUUUUCCUUAUGUUUUCCUCAACAUUUUCCGGAACCAAACAUAGCCUUAGGAAAUCCACAAUUACCUUCAACUGAGUAGAUUCUGUUGUUUUAGCAAUGUUAGGCUGCUAACUUGUGUUGGUACGAACCUAUUAAGCCUAAAGAUGUAAUUAGUUAGGAUAUUCUUUUCCCUCUAGUCUUGUAGCUCCACGUGUACAGUUGGUUAGGACCUCAUUGUAUAUAAUGCUUGCCCUGUUAUUGUAGAAGACAACAAAGAUAAAUAAUAUUAACAUUUUUCCUCUCAUCUCUCUCUGUUUCCCUCUGUUUUCAUCUCCUCUCUCAUCUUGGUAUCAGAGCCUCCAUGGCUUCUUUCAAAGAAACCUCCGAAUCACCUUCUGCUAGCAUUGUUAAUGUGCAAAACCCAUUAUCUCAAUCAAACAACCUUCCUUCACCAGUAGCCACACCCUCUUUUUCUUUCUCGUCUAUGAAUCAACCUCUCACAGUGAAGCUGGAUAAUGGGAACUACCUCAUAUGGAAGAAUUAGCUUCUAAAUGUCAUCAUUGCUAACGGACUCGAUGAUUUCAUUGACGGAUCUCGACCCUGCCCUCCUCGAUUUCUCGAUCUGCAACAACAAACCCUCAAUCCAGAGUACUCAGCUUGGCAGAGAUACAAUCGACUUCUGAUGAGUUGGCUGUACGCAUCCUUGUCCAAAGAUAUAAUGGCUCAGAUUGUUGGGUAUUCAACAGCUAUGGAGAUUUGGAAUGCCCUUAAUCAGAUUUACUCUGCCUCUUCUAUGGCGCGGUUUACUGAGCUUCGCACCAAGCUUCAAACGCUCAAGAAAGAUGGACUCUCAGUUGGUGAAUAUAUUCAAAGGCUCAAAUCCAUUUGCAAUAGUCUUGCAGCAAUAGGAGAACCAGUUUCUGAGAAAGACCAUCUUAUCUAUUUGUUCAAUGGAUUAGAUUGUGAGUAUUAUUCUUUUGUUACCUCCAUUCAAAAUCGAUCUGACCAACCAACUAUUGACAAAAUCCAUAGCCUAUUGCUUAGCUAUGACUUCCGGCUUGAACAACAAAACUCUGUUUCUCUCCAUUCUGCCCAAGUCCAUAUGGCUCAUCUGAACAAGAAACCUUAUAAAUCAACUCCUCAACCUACAUUCAAUCAUAUUCACAUUCAACCUAGAUACUCUUCUCCACCUUUUAAGCCAACCACUAGUCAAUAUCAACCCAACAUUUUGGGCAAACCACAACCACAACCAUGACAGCCUCAACCUCAAUGGAAACCACAUUUUUCAAUCUAAAAUCAAAAGCCUCAGCGCCAAAUUUGUGGUAAAUUUGGACACACUGCUCUUAUUUGCUUCCAUCACACAAAUUUGAACUAUUCACCCCAACCUUCUCCUAAAUCUUUCAAUACUGUUCUCACCACAAAUUCCCAGCUCCCUAAUCCUCCAAAAUUUUCUUACCCUACAAUGGCUCAUCCUGCUGCUACGCAUAACACGGUUCCCGAUACAAAUUGGUACAUGGACUCAGGUGCUACACAUCACUUUACUCUGGACAUCAACGUGCUUGACACUGUGACACCAUUUAGUGGUUCAGAACAGGUGACAGUUGGGAAUGGUAAGCAACUCUGUAUCUCACAUCUUGGUACUGCAAAACUACCAUCUUCGUAUUCUCCUCCUGUUCUACAUCAGGUAUAUCACACUCCAAAAAUUUCAAAUAAUCUUAUUAGUGUUAAAAAAUUGUGUUCUGAUAAUAAAGUUUUUGUUGAAUUUUAUGCCACUCAUUUUCUUGUCAAGGAUCAGGUUUCGAAGAGAGUUCUCCUUUAGGGUCAACUUGAUAAUGGCUUAUACAAAGUUCAGUCGUCAUGCUCUCCUUCUGCUGUUUCCUUUCCUCCUCAAGUUUUCAUAGCCAACAUCAAGUAUCCAAAUCUGUGGCACAAGAGACUAGGCCACCCAGCUUUAUCUGUUGUUAAUCAAAUCUUGGAUUCUUGUAACAUUGCUCGAACACAGAAAAUUUGUUUUAAUUUUUUAAAUUCUUGUCAAUUAGCAAAGAGCCACAGGCUUCCUUUUUCUCUGUCUCCAUCCAUUGCAGAAAAACCUUUUGAGUUAAUUCAUACAGACCUAUGGGGUCUUUCGCUCGUUCGCUCUAUUUCUGGUGCUCUUUAUUUUUUACUUUUCAUUGAUGAUCAUACUCGUUUUACUUGGUUUUAUUUGCUCAAAACAAAAGAUGAAGCAUAUCCUACUUUUCUCAAGUUUCAAGCUCUCAUUGAAAAUCAAUUUAAUACCAAGAUUAAGGCUGUCCAAUCUGAUUGGGGAGGUGAGUUUCGAUCUCUCUCCAUACCGUUUUCAAAUAUGGGCAUUGUCUAUUGUUUAUCGUGUCCAUACACCUCACAACAGAAUGGGCGAGUUGAGCGAAAAAAUCGCCAUGCGAUUGUCCUUUCUUGCUUGCUCUAUGCCCUUAUCUUAUUGGCCUUAUGCCUUUCAAACUGCCACUUACCUUAUUAAUCGUCUCUCUACCCCUGUGCUGCAUCAUCAAUCCUCUUACUUCGCACUCUAUCACAAACUCCCAACUUAUACUCAUCUUAAGGUCUUUGGUUCCUCUUGUUUUCCGUAUUUGCACCCUUAUAAUACCCAUAAACUCCAAUACAGGUCACUAGAGUGUGCUUUUCUUGGUUACAGUUCACACCACAAAGGUUAUCUAUGUCUUGACAUUCAUUCUAGCAGGGUGUAUAUUUCUCGCCAUGUGAUUUUUAAUGAAGAUUCUUUUCCAUUCAAGAAUUUGAAAUCUUCUCUCUCUCAGUCUAUUUCUUCUUCCUCUUCUUUAUAAGUUCCUCUGUUCAUUCUCUUGCCUCCCCUUUCCCCAUCUCCUCUUAUUUCUUCAUCUAUACCUCAUUCUUUUCCCUCUUCUUCUUCUACCUCUAGUACUUGUUCCCCUCUCGUUGCUCCUACCUCUCUUCCUUCCUCUUCACACUCUGUGUCUCCAUCUAUUCCACCUCCUUCUCCACCUUCUCCGAGUGUGGACCUGCUUGCACCUUGUGUGAAUACAAAUUUACAUACUUCUUCUCGCACUCACAAUAUUCAUCCUAUGGUGACUAGAUCUAAGGUUUGUAUCUAUAAACCUAAGUUGUUGUUGAGUGUCUCCAUAGGUUCUCUCACUAAGCCUACUUCCUUUCUUCAAGCUAUUAAAGAUCCUUCAUGGAAGCAAUCCAUGGAAUUCGAGUUUGCUACCCUUCAACACAACAAGACCUGGCAUUUGGUUCCUUCACCUUCCUCAGGCGAAGUAAUCGGUUGUAAAUGGGUCUAUAAGCUAAAGCUUCAGCCUGAUGGCUAAAUUGAGAGAUACAGCCUGCUUAGUAGCUAAGGGUAUCAUCAAAUUGAAGUAUGGACUACUUCGAAACAUUCAGCCUGAUNNNNNNNNNNNNNNNNNNNNNNNNNNNNNNNNNNNNNNNNNNNNNNNNNNNNNNNNNNNNNNNNNNNNNNNNNNNNNNNNNNNNNNNNNNNNNNNNNNNNAGCUUCAGCCUGAUGGCUAAAUUGAGAGAUACAAGGCCUGCUUAGUAGCUAAGGGUUAUCAUCAAAUUGAAGGUAUUGACUACUUCGAAACAUUCAGCCUGAUUGUCAAGCUUUCUACUAUCUGUAUUGUGCUCAGUCUUACUUUUUCCCAGAAUUGGUGUAUUAGACAGCUGGAUGUUCAUAAUGCCUUCUUACAUGGUGACUUAGCUAAAGACGUUUUCAUGGAACAACUGCCUGGAUUUGUUGAUCCUCUCUAUCCUACUCAUGUCUGCAAGUUGGAUAAGUCUCUCUACUGUCUUAAAUAGUCACCUCGGGCUUGGUAUACUAAGCUGAGUACUUCUCGCUACACUUGGGAUUUGUUACUUCUAAGAAUGACUCUUCCUUAUUUAUUUGUCAUUCGUCUCAUGGGUUACUUCUUGUUCUUGUCUAUGUGGAUGAUAUAAUCGUCAUUGGGAGCCACUCUCCUCAGGUUACUCACCUUAUCCAACAGUUGCAUCAUUAGCUUUCUUUAAAGGAUCUUGGUCCUUUACAUUAUUUUCUGGGCUUGGAGGUUCAUCACACCCCUACUGGUAUUCACCUCAGCCAAGCAAAGUAUAUCACUGAUCUCCUUACCCGGGCGGCUAUGUUGGAUGCCAAGCCAUGUCCCACUCCUAUGUCCUCCAACACAUAUCUCUCUUUUCAUGAUGGAGUGGCUCUUGAAAAUGGUUCAGAUUAUCGAAGUUUUGUUGGUGCCCUUUAGUAUUGUACCAUGACACGCCCAGAUAUAGCUUUUGCAAUAAAUAAAGUGUGUCAAUUCAUGCACCAUCCCUCUAAUGUUCACUGGCAGGCUAUAAAACGUAUUCUCCGGUACUUAAAGGGCACAUCUCAUUUUGGUCUCUUCCUACAGCCUUCCUAUGACUUCAACAUCACUUGCUAUACAAAUGCCGACUGGGCUUCCUGUCCUGAUGACAAGUGUAGCACCAGUGGCUACUGCCUCUUUCUUGCCUCUAAUCUGGUUUCUUGGUCAUCUUCCAAACAAAAAGUGGUCUCCCGCUCCAGCGCCGAAUCAGAGUACCGAGGGGUAGCAAAUGGGGCUGCUGAAAUUGCUUGGACUGAAUCUCUUCUUUGUGAACUUUCCAUUACUCCCCCUCCCCUCAUUCUCUGUGACAAUAUCAGUGCCACGUACUUAGCUGCCAAUCCUAUUUUGCAUGCCCGCACCAAACAUGUGGAAAUCGACUAUCACUUUGUCACGGAACGUGUUCUUCAAUGCUCUCUUUUUGUCCAGUUUACACCUUCUGAUGAUCAACUUGCUGAUUGCAUGACCAAGCCUCUCUCCACCCAACGUUUCAUCACUCUACGCUCCAAGCUCACUGUUCUCACUAGACCAAUGAGCUUGAGGGGGGAUGUUAAGCCUAAAGAUGUAAUUAGUUAGGAUAUUCUUUUCCCUCUAGUCUUGUAGCUCCACGUGUACAGUUGGUUAGGACCUCAUUGUAUAUAAUGCCUGCCCUGUUAUUGUAGAAGACAACAGAGAUAAAUAAUAUUAACAUUUUUCCUCUCAUCUCUCUCUCUGUUUCCCUCUGUUUUCAUCUCCUCUCUCAUCUGAACCAAAUGAUCCAUGUUAACCUUGGCUUGGUUUGAUUUGGCUCUAUCUUAGAGAGCUCAAGGAUCACGUCAACUCUGGUUUCUACUAUUCAGGUCCAUUCCCAUAUGAACUGGUUCAAAUUUGAGAAAAUGGUAACAGACCUUUAGUGAUGUUGGUUUGGAGCCAGUUGCCAAACCCGCCCUGAGCUUUACCACUAAUGUCAAGGGAGAAAGCCAUUUGAACAAAAACAAUAGCUUCAAGGGACUGAAUCGUGGAUGAAAUCUGAUCCACAUUUCUUCUCAUUUUGGAAACAAAUGAGAACUUAACUAAGAAGAUUCUACGGCCUCAUAGUGCUUUUCCUGAUCUAAGGUUGGUUCGUUUCCCAAACUGUGAGAUGCACGUGCCAGACUUCAGAACUCUCACGCUCAGGAGUGUAUCCACGUGGUGGACAUAAGAUGGUGGCUUAAGAUCUGGUGUCGGUGGCUUUACUUUACUAGGAGAGUAGUGUGUCUUCAUCUCAUUCACUGCCGGAGGGUGGCGUAAGCAGUGACGCUAAGGUGGGGCACAGUCAAUAUCAUUUGCAUUUGACCAUUAUAGUUUUCUCCCGGCUUUAAAGUAACCUUAUCGUGAUAAAGGAUUACUAGCACUAGUUCAGAUGAUAGUCAUGUUAAAUUCGGACCAUGUUUGUGUCACAUUAUCAGCAACCAUGUGUUUAUGGUUCAUGCUUUCUGCAACUAAAAUUGAUAUAUAACCAGGUGAACUUCAAUCUAAAUUCUGAAAGUACUCAUGUGAUAGAUGGUGCCCGUCUGCAGAGUCCAUCAAUUGAAAAAUGGAGUGAGUGUAUCUAUAAGAGGGAAGGCUUGGAAAAUGUUCAGUUUUCUGGGAAUUCAACAAGGAUCUAAAAUAGAUUGUUUUCUUUGCUGAUUUCAAUGGUUGAAAUUUGAGAAGAUUGUGUCCACAUAACACAACUAUUACUGGUCCUUCUGUUGCAAUUUAUCCUCUAAAGCUCUAGCAUGUCUUCCAAUUCCCACUUCCCUGUUACUCCAGGAAAGCUAUUUCUGUCAUUGUGAAGAAGAAAAGAGAAUGUACAUAUCGAUGCUUUUAAGUGACUGGAGCAUUUAUAUCAGGUGGUCUGCAGCCAUAUAUGCCACUUUGUGAAGAUUGGAACAGUCAAUCACUAGGCUAUAUAUUAGUGUGGCCCAGCCACUUUAAUCAAGGACAAGUCUUCAUACUUAAAGUCAAAUUCUGCCUUUAGUCUCAUUAUAAAUUUCUGUUUAAAUAUUAAGCAAACAUUUGUUUAAUGCGAUUAAGACAGUACUAACUCAAUACCUGUUCUAUUUUUGGAUGCAAAUGCUUGAUGGUUUCAUCAUUGGAUGGGAUAAAGGUGCAUUCAUGAUUAGGAAUACUAGUAGUUAUAUUUUAAUUCUCUUUUUUCUCAAUGAGACUUGUUGGCACAAUUUUGCUGUUGAGAAACCUACCUCUCCAUGGAAAAUAAGUUGUGAUUGAUAGUACUGGAUAUAUUCAAGAAAUCUAAAUAUAGAUAGCACAAAAUAUUAUCGACAUAAAUAGCAUUAACAGCGUACGUAUGUCUCAGUGCUCAUCAGCUAUAAGCAUGGGGCAAACACUUACUAUGAGCAACUUACGUCAAAAUUCCAGAAUAGGACAUAGAAGUGACAGAUAUAGAACAUUGCAUAUGAGUCACAAGAAAGGAAAUUACGGGUGCAUAGCAGCUCUUAUUUUACAUACUACUACUCAUACUGAUCAAAGUCACUCAGUUGGGAUGGGUGGGAGUAGGAGGUUUGUGGGGUGGCUUGUGCGGAGGAGUUGGCAGCUUCUUUCCAGGACCUGGUUGCUUCUCUGCUGGAGUUGAAGGAGGCUUAAUCUUCCGAGGUGGCUUGUAUGAGUCUUCAGCAUUCUCAGCUGGAGGGUGACCAGGGUUGUGACCAUAAUGUGGUGGCUUCUCUCCCUUAGGUGGUUUGCCAACUGGGGUUGGUGGCUUGUAUGAGUCUUCAGCAUUCUCAGCAGGAGGGUGACCAGGGUUGUGACCAUAAUGUGGUGGCUUCUCUCCCUUAGGUGGUUUGCCAACUGGGGUUGGUGGCUUGUGUUCUGGGAGUGGCUUCUCCCCCUUGGGAGGUUUUUCCAAUGGGGUUGGUUUGUGUUCAGGAGGUGGCUUCUCCACUGGAGGCUUGUGUUCAGGAGGUGGCUUCUCCACCGGAGGCUUGUGUUCAGGUGGUGGCUUCUCCACCGGAGGCUUAUGCUCUGGUGGUGGCUUCUCGAAUGGGGGAUGCUUAGGAUAAUCAGCAAGUGAGGGGGCGGUGAGAACCACCAGGCCAAGCAACACCACUAGCAAAUAUGUAGGAGACAUCUUUGGGUUUGGGCUCAGAUGGUGCAAAACUAGGAGAAUUGGCUAGCCUUUUAUAGCGGAUCGUACCCAAUAAUGAAAUGACACGUGUCAUUAUGACCCAUGUGUAAUGGGGUCGAUUUGGGUCCUACAGUGUUGAAAACUUCGACAUCCACUUUUGGCCUUUUGCUUUCUCUACAGCCGCCUUGCUUUUUCCCUCUUUCCUUUUGUUUUCCUCCUGCCCCAUUCUAUCAACUAAACACAAUUAUGUAGUUGUUUAAUUCUUAAAUGAGAUAUUAUCCGUCAAUCGUAUUAUAUUUUAUCAAGAGAGAACGGAGUGCAAUGUGGCUGUAAUUUUAUCGUUUAGUUUUAUCUCUUGGACCACUGCAUUUUUGUUAAGAGGUGCAAUAAUACACGUCUUUAUCUGCCAUUCAAUAUUUACAGUAAAGAGAGGGCACAAAACUCUUCACUUCGCACCAUAAUUAUUUUGUUUUCUGGACACCCCGGGGCCCUUUGGUUGGUUUGGGGGUCAGAAAGUGAACAUCAUAGGGGGUUUUUCCCUUAUGUGCAUUUGUAUCUGAUGGCUUUAACUCGCCUUGUUACUACAAAGAAACUGUCACAGAUAGGAACUUAUUCCAGGCUGAGUAUCUCCUCAUAGACCCUAUAAAAGAAGACAAGUCAUAAUGAACAUCUAACCUUUGUUCAAUUUGAUUCAAUGCCCCCAUUGUGUCCAUCUCACAAAUCUGAAUUAUUAUAUCCAUUGAAUACAUAAAUUAAUGAAGAAAAUAUGAAACCCAAGAUACAUCUCUGCACAACCUCAACCCUGGUUGCUAUGUUUCCCUUCUAUUCACAUGAUUUGAUGCUAAUUGCCAAACUUGCAACAAGCCCUGAGUUUGACACCUAGUAUCGAUGGGCGAAUUUAAAGUCUCCUCCAAACAUAUAUUCCACAGCUUGAAGCUCACAGAAGAUGUUACAGGCAGGGAAAAACCUUCAGAGUUCGCUACCAAAGAUAAUUAUUAAGGAGAUAUCACAAAGAGAAUUCCAAGGGGUCUGAAUCAAAGACAAAUUGGUCGUUCGUGGGGGUUCUUACUUUCUUUUGGGUAUAACUCACUGAGGGCACUGUCUUUGUUAUUUGCAUUUCACAUUUAGAGUUCUGUUCUGGAAACAUAUAAAAGGAGCAUCAUUUUGUUCUUGGGUAACCCAUAGUCGUGAGUGGGUCCAUUUGCAUGCUACUUAGUUGAAAAGUUGGACCAUUUGCUCCGACGCCUACCUCCCGGAUUCCAUGCUCGGAUAAAACAAGAAUAAAAAAAAUAUUUAUAAUUUACAAAUGGGGGAAAGAAAAAAAUGUCAACAACAAACCAGGAAAAAAGAGUAGUAAAAUUCAUGUCACAUGCUAGUGAGAGAAGGGGUUGUUACACUCACUCGAAGUUCUUUCCAAAAUAUCGCAUGGUAUUUUAUUUUAUGUGUCAGCGCAGUUGUGAAUGGAACGUGCAAAAGUCCAAAUUGGCGUUUUUCCUUUUCCCGUGUAGGAUGGCGACCUUUAAUAAAUAUUUAAAACAAAAAACGAAAAAAAGGAGGGAAAAGGGAUCAGAAAAGAUAAAACAAUGUGUACAAGAGCUCAAUUAGUUUGCAAAUUACUGUUUGGAUUUUGAUAGUAUUUUAUUUGUCCAUCUAUAUUUGAUGGAAAAGAGAAUUUAAGAUAUUUCUGAAACAAAAGCAUUAGUGUAAAACUAAAUUAAGGUAUAAUUAAGUUAGUUCAAUGCAUUAAUUUAAGAAACUUGAUCUAUCCAAAGUACAAAAUUAGAUGAAAUCCAUUUCAAUGGUUAAAAUGAUCAAAAUCAAACUUUUUCUAAGUAUUUUUUAAAAGCAUCAAUAUUAAAAGACAAUUUUAUAUUUAGUCGGAGUUUGGACAAAACCAAAAAGCACACAAAAUCCAAGCGACCAUCUCUAGCUUGGAUAGUCACUUGAUCCCACCUAGAGAUGUGCAUGAGUAAAAGGAUUUGAAAAUGGAAAUUGACUAAAUAUUUAGUUGAUCAAUUAAAUUUGCAAUGUCAUAUGCAAUCCUAAUAGCUAGUCAUCUAAUCAAUUAGGUAGUCAAUCAAGUGUUUGUAAUGACUAUUUUGUACAAAAAACCACAUGUAUAGUUAAAUAUAAUGCAUUUCAUUUAUAAAUCUUCUAAUUCUUGAAUAACGAUCCUAUCAUCCUUUGAAAAUUUUUAUUACACCUUUUUUACUUUUGUUCUAAAACUUACAUAUCACCCUUAAUUGUACCAUGAGAACCUAGCUAUUUUUUUUUUUUUUGUAAUUCAUCAAAGUUAGCUUUUGUAUUCAUUGUUGUAUUAUUUUUAGUAUAACUUAGAAAGCUAGUGUUUUCAAGUGAGUAAAAUUAACUUGUAAAUAUUGUAAAGAUUCAUUGAUAUGUAUCUUAAACUAAGUGUACAAAUUAAAACAUUUGCUAGUAGAUUUUCUCAAAAUUUAGAAUAGAGCUUGAGGCUAUUGAAAUAGGUGGGGUUACACCAAACCACAUCACAUCGUUGUUUGCACCUUUUUUCACUCUCUUUUACUUAGUUUCUCUAUAUUUGUUGUCUAGUAAUAUCCUAUAGGCUUGAUGGGUUAGGGAGCAUCCCUUUGUGAAAAAAUUUCAUUCAAUUCUUAGUUGUAUUACGCAUAUAUAAAAUGCCUCAUUGUUUUAAUGGUAUUCAGUCGUGGCAUCACAGAUAUGGGCAUCUAAAUUUUAAAAGUUUGAAACUUUUGUAAAGCAUGUUGAUAAAAUCCAUGAGAGUUGUGUACUUGGGAAGCAACAUCGAGGUGACUUUAUUUUUUUUUCCUUUUAUAAUGCCACACCUAAGUCCGGUUUCUAAAUGCUAAAGUGAAAGGGUAGGUAUGGACCAUUGAAAUGUGAUCACAACUUUUGGCCUUUUCCUUUCUCUGCAGCCAUGUUGUCUCUUUUUUCUUUUGCAUGAUUUUCUUACCAAAACAGAAUCAUAGACUUGUUUAGUCUCUAAGCUACUAUAUUAUAUCUCGGUGGACUUUUAAGAGUGCAACCGACAUAGAGCACAUGCAAGUGGGCAUAUGGGACAUGAAAUUUCUUCUUACAAAGAUUGCAUGAUUUUUAUAUUAGAGUUGUUCACGUGCAAUGUAUUUAGCUUGUUUUGCAGUUAAAUUAAUUGGAUAAGUAAACAUUGGCAUUUCUAAAUCGACUGUGAAGUGCUUCAUGUACGUGUAAAGUAUUAGAAAUUUCUUUCUUGGCAACUUGUUUUUUCCUUGCCAUCUACUGGUAGGUUUGACUAAAAUUAUAUUCCCUGUCAUGCUAAUUAAUUUUCAUGUGCAUGCUCAAAAGAAGAGUAUGACCUUAGUGCACCAAAAUCACUUUGAUUAAUUUGUGAUAGGUUUUUUUGCAUCAUUUAGAUAAUGUUUAGUUCUAAGAAAAAUUUAUAUAAAAAUGGUUUAUUUAUCUUACAUAUAUAUAUAUAUAUAUAUAUUUUUUUUUUUUUCAUUUUUUUUUCUUCUAUUUUAUUUAUUUAUUUUAUUUUCCUUAUGUUUUCCUCACAUUUUCCGGAACUAAACAUAGUCUUACGAAAUCAACAAUUGCCUUCAACUGAGUAGAUUCUGUUGUUUUAGCAAUGUUAGGCUGCUAACUUGUGGUGGUACGAACCAAAUGACCCAUGUUAAUCUUGGCUUGGUUUGAUUUGGCUCUAUCUCAGAGAGCUAAAGGAUCACGUCAACUCUGGUUUCUACUAUUCAGGUCCAUUCCCAGAUGAACUGGUUCAAAUUUGAGAAAAUGGUAACAGACCUUUAGUGAUGUUGGUUUGGAGCCAGUUGCCAAACCCGCCCUGAGCUUUACCACUAAUGUCAAGGGAGAAAGCCAUUUGAACAAAAACAAUAGCUUCAAGAGACUGAAUCGUGGAUGAAAUCUGAUCCACAUUUCUUCUCAUUUUGGGAAAAAAUGAGAACUUAACUACAAAGAUUCUACUGCCUCAUUCAUAGUGCUUUUCCUGAUCCAAGGUUGGUUCGUUUCCCAAAUUGUGAGGUGCACGUGCCACUCUCACGCUCAGGAGUGUAUCCACGUGGUGGACAUCAGAUGGUGGCUUAAUAUCUGGUGUCGGUGGCUUUACUUUACUAGGAGAGUAGUGUGUCUUCAUCUCAUUCACUGCCGGAGGGUGGCGUAAGCAGUGACGCUAAGGUGGGGCACAGUCAAUAUCAUUUGCAUUUGACCAUUAUAGUUUUCUCCCGGCUUGAAAGUAACCUUAUCGUGAUAAAGGAUUACUAGCACUAGUUCAGAUGACCGUCAUGUUAAUUCGGACCAUGUUUGUGUCACAUUAUCAGCAACCAUGUGUUUAUGGUUCAUGCUAUCUGCAACUAAACUUGAUAUAUAACCAGGUGAACUUCAAUCAAAAUUCUGGAAGUACUCUUGUGAUAGAUGGUGCCUGUCUGCAGAGUCCAUCAAUUGAAAAAUGGAGUGAGUGUAUCUAUAAGAGGGAAGGCUUGGCAAAUGUUCAGUUUUCUGGGAAUUCAACAAGGAUCUAAAAUAGAUUGUUUUCUUUGCCGACUUCAAUGGUUGAAAUUUGAGAAGAUUGUGUCCACAUAUCACAACUAUUACUGGUCCUUCUGUUGCAAUUUAUCCUGUAAGGCUCUAACAUGUCUUCCAAUUCCCACUUCCCUGUUACUCCAGGAAAGCUAUUUCUGUCAUUGUGAAGAAGAAAAGAGAAUGUACAUAUCGAUGCUUUUAAGUGACUGGAGCAUUCAUAUCAGGUGGUCUGCAGCCAUAUAUGCCACUUUGUGAAGGUUGGAACAGUCAAUCACUAGGCUAUAUAUUGGUGUGGCCCAGCCACUUCAAUCAAGGACAAGUCUUCAUACUUAAAGUCAAAUUCUGCCUUUAGUCUCAUUAUAAAUUGCUGUUUAAAUAUUAAGCAAACUUUUGUUUAAUGCGAUUAAGACAGUACUAACUCAAUACUUGUUCUAUUUUUGGAUGCAAAUGCUUGAUGGUUUCAUCAUUGGAUGGGAUAAAGGUGCAUUCAUGAUUAUGAAUACUUGUAGUUAUAUUUUCAUUCUCUUUUUUCUCAAUGAGACUUGUUGGCACAAUGUUGCUGUUCAGAAACCUACCUCUCCAUGGAAAAUAAGUUGCGAUUGAUAGUACUGGAUAUGUUCAAGAAAGCUAAAUAUAGAUAGCACAAAAUAUUAUCGAUAUAAAUAGCAUUAACAGCGUACGUAUGUCUCAAUGCUCAUCAGCUAUAAGCAUGGGACAAACACUUACUAUGAGCAACUUACGUCAAAAUUCCAGAAUAGGACAUAGAAGUGACAGAUCUAUAUAUAUAGAACACUGCAUAUGAGUCACAAGAAAGGAAAUUACGGGUGCAUAGCAGCUCUUAUUUUACAUACUACUACUCAUACUGAUCAAAGUCACUCAGUUGGGAUGGGUGGGAGUAGGAGGUUUGUGGGGUGGCUUGUGCGGAGGAGUUGGCAGCUUCUUUCCAGGACCUGGUUGCUUCUCUGCUGGAGUUGAAGGAGGCUUAAUCUUCCGAGGUGGCUUGUAUGAGUCUUCAGCAUUCUCAGCUGGAGGGUGACCAGGGUUGUGACCAUAAUGUGGUGGCUUCUCUCCCUUAGGUGGUUUGCCAACUGGGGUUGGUGGCUUGUAUGAGUCUUCAGCAUUCUCAGCAGGAGGGUGACCAGGGUUGUGACCAUAAUGUGGUGGCUUCUCUCCCUUAGGUGGUUUGCCAACUGGGGUUGGUGGCUUGUGUUCUGGGAGUGGCUUCUCCCCCUUGGGAGGUUUUUCCAAUGGGGUUGGUUUGUGUUCAGGAGGUGGCUUCUCCACUGGAGGCUUGUGUUCAGGAGGUGGCUUCUCCACCGGUGGCUUGUGUUCAGGAGGUGGCUUCUCCACCGGAGGCUUAUGCUCUGGUGGUGGCUUCUCCACCGGAGGCUUAUGCUCUGGUGGUGGCUUCUUGAAUGGGGGAUGCUGAGGGUAAUCAGCAAGUGAGGGGGCGGUGAGAACCACCAGGCCAAGCAACACCACUAGCAAAUAUGUAGGAGACAUCUUUGGGUUUGGGCUCAGAUGGUGCAAAACUAGGAGAAUUGGCUAGCCUUUUAUAGCGGAUCGUACUCAAUAAUGAAAUGACACGUGUCAUUAUGACCCAUGUGUAAUGGGGUCGAUUUGGGUCCUACAGUGUUGAAAACUUCGACAUCCAGUUUUGGCCUUUUGCUUUCUCUACAGCCGCCUUGCUUUUUCCCUCUUUCCUUUUGUUUUCCUCCUGCCCCAUUCUAUCAACUAAACACAAUUAUGUAGUUGUUUAAUUCUUAAAUGAGAUAUUAUCGGUCAAUCGUAUUAUAUUUUAUCAAGAGAGAACGGAGUGCAAUGCAGCUGUAAUUUUAUCGUUUACUUUUAUCUCUUGGACCACUGCAUUUUUGUUAAGAGGUGCAAUAAUACACGUCUUUAUCUGCCAUUCAAUGUUUACAGUAAAGAGAGGGCACAAAACUCUUCACUGCUCUGCAUGUGUCCCAAAAAUGCGAUUGGACAAAUUAUGAUUUGCAUGCUAAAAAGAGGCAAAUGAGGUUAAUUCGCACCAUAAUUAUUUGGUUUUCUGGACACCAUAAAAAGAUGUUAUACAGGCAGGGAAAAACCUUCAGAGUUAGCUACCAAAGAUAAUUAUCAAGCAGAUAUCACCAAGAGAAUUCCAUAGAGUCUGAAUCAAAGACAGAUUGCUCGCUCGUGGGGGUUCUUACUUUCUUUUGGGUAUAACUCACUGAGGUCACUGUCUUUUUUAUUUGCAUUUCACAGUUAGAGUUCUGCUCUGGAAGGUUUGUUCUGGAAACAUAUAAAAGGAGCAUCAUUUUGUUCUUGGGUAACCCAUAGUCGUGAGUGGGUCCAUUUGCAUGCUACUUAGUUGAAAAGUUGGACAAUUUGCUCCGACGCCUACCUCCUGGAUUCCAUGCUCGGUAAAACAAGAAUAAAAAAAAAUAUAUAAUUUACAAAUGGGGGAAAGAAAAAAUGUCGGAAAAAAUAGUAAAAUUCAUGUCACAUGCUAGUGAGAGAAGGGGUUGUUACACUCACUCGAAGUUCUUUUCAAAAUAUCGAAUGGUAUUUUACUUUAUGUGUCAGCGCAGUUGUGAAUGGAACGUGCAAAAGUCCAAAUUGGCGUUUUUAUUUUUCCCAUGUAGGAUGGUGACCUUUAAUAAAUAUUUAAAACAAAAGACGAAAAAAAAAAGGAGGGAAAAGGGAUCACAAAAGAUAAAAUAAUGUUUACAAAAGCUCAAUUAGUUUGCAAAUUACUGUUUGGAUUUUGAUAGUAUUUUAUUUGUCGUUCUAUAUUUGAUGUAAAAGAGAAUUUAAGAUAUUUCCGAAGCAAAAGCAUUAGUUUGCUCUGUGAUGUCCCACAUCGAAUAGGGGAGAAAGUUUCUGGCGCUAUAUAUGUAGAGGCUCCUCUUAACCAAGUAGAUGCGUUUUAAAACCAUGAGGGCCCCCUUAGGUCCAAAGCGGACAAUAUCUACAUGAUUGGGUGUAAGUCAUUACAAAUGGUAUCAGAGCCGAUCCCCGACCCCGGUGUGGGGGUUUGUUUGGCCCUGUAAGGGGUGUUUGUCUGUUUGACCCCACAAUCCCAUGGGACACAACGAGGACGUUGUGUCUGCAUGGGGGGGCGUUUGUGAUGUCCCACAUCGGAUAGGGGAGAAAGUUCCUAGUGCUAUAUAUGUAGAUGUUUCUCUUAACCAAGUAGAUGCAUUUUAAAAUUGUGAGGGCCUCUUUGGGCCCAAAGCGGACAAUAUCUACAUGGUUGAGUGUAAGUCAUUACAUGCUCCAUGUCAAUUUCAGCAUUUCUCAUAUGUUUCACACAUACACAGAAGAGCAUCGUUUUUUAAAGCAUGCAUUUAUGUUGGAUUAAUUUGGAUUUUGUGGGAACUGGGGCAAGGAUCACAUGGAAGAGAGGUUGACUUUUUUCAGUACUUCAAUGGUUGAAAUAUGUGAAGGCUUGAUUGAUACUAAAGCUUGAAAUUGCGACUCUGUCAUUUGUAAAAAAAUAUGACAGCUUCCAUGCUCUCGUUUGGUUGCAUUGUCCGGUCGAGAGGUGCAAAAAGCAUUCUCUCUCUUCUAAUAGUCUUUUCGUUUAAAUCAAGGGAUUUGCCUUCCCGGUCGAGGUCCAAUAGAGGGUAACGGUCACCUACUAAACAUUAAAUGCUCCAACAACUAGUGAACUGAUCGACCCCAGCUCGACUAGUUGAGGUUACUUUUUGGUUUUCUUGUCUCCCGAGGUUAGAAACCUAUAAAUAGAGAGCUUCACUUCAUUUAUGAGUAAGAGAACACCUAAAUUUAUUUGUUUACCUACUUGUUUUUGCCAUAAAAGCUCUCAUUUCUUUUCUUGGUGUAUUAAAUCUCCAUUUGCAUAUCCUUUAGUGCACCUUUGUGAUUCAUUCUAGCCUUGAGUUGUAUUUAAGCCUUUGUUGAGCUAGGUUGAGAGUUUCAUACUUGUUUAUUGAGUGUUAAAGCCUUCAAGUGAGUUAAAACUUGAAGAGAUUGUGUAAGAGCCCAUUGGAGUCGGAAUCCAAGUGUAAAGGUGAUUAAAAGCUUGGUUGAAGCUUCAAGUUAGUGGAACUCUCACUCGGUUAUGAGCUUGAGAAGAGUGGACAUAGACAAGGCAGUGUCGAACCACUAUAAAAUCUGAGUUUGAUUUCUCUAACCUUAUCUCUUUAUAUUUGCUUCUCUUGUGCUUAAAUUUUUUGUGUUUAAAAAGAAUUUUUAAAAACUCAAUUCACCCCCUUCUUGGGAGUUUUUCUCUUUUAAGAUCAGCUUUUAUUUUCUCAAUUGGUAUCAGAACUAUGCCUCUUGUUUAAGACUUAAUCGUCUAAGAGGAAAUGGCUAAUCCAUCAAGUUCAUCUCACAUUGAAAGUUUUGCAACCAAUAGACUUCUUUUUUUUUUUUUGCGGGAACUGAUUAUCCCUAUUGGAAAACUAAAAUGACUUGGUUUUUACAAUCAAUUGAUUUAGAUGUAUGAGAUGCCAUUGAAGAUGACCUAACUUUUCCUUCAAAACUAGUUGAUGGAGUCAUGGUUCCAAAACCUAAGCAAGAAUGGGAUGAGCGUGAUUGAAGAAAUUUUCAAUUAAAUGCUAAAGUCGUUUAUACUUUGCAAUGCUCUAUGGACAGAAAUGAAUAUAAUAGAAUAUGUCAAUGCAAAUCGGUUAAAGAAAUUUGGAGAUUGCUUGAAAUAACUCAUAAAGGAACAAAUCAAGUUAAAGAGUCAAAAAUCAAUUUACUUGUUCAUAGAUAUGAAUUGUUUUUUAUGAAAGAUAAUGAAACUAUUGUUAAGAUGAUCACUAGGUUCACCAACAUUGUUAAUGGUCUUAAAGCCUUGGGAAAGACCUACAAGGAAUCCGAAAACGUGAUGAAGAUCUUGAGGUCACUUCCAUCAAAGUGGCAUACCAAGGUCACCGCAAUUUAAGAAGCAAAAGACUUGAUCAAGCUACCUUUGGAGGAGUUCAUAGGGUCAUUGAUGACAUAUGAAAUCAAUUUGGCAAAGAAGUAACAAAAAGGUGAAGACAAAAAGAAGAAGAACAUAACUCUCAAAGCUACAACUAAGGAAGAAGAAGUUGAAGAAGAAAAACAAAUUGAAGAAGAUGAAGAUUUAGCCCUCAUCACAAGAAAGUUCAACAAAUUCAUGAGGGGUGAAAGGUUUAGAAGAAGAAGGUUCACUUCUAGAAGAGACUUUUCUAAAAAGGAAUCUUCAUCUAAUGGUGACAAAAAGAGAUGGGAAGAGAAAAGAGACUUGGUGUGUUUCAAGUGCAAGAAACCGGGACACAUUAAAUAUGAUUGUCCUCUCUACAAAAGUGAAGUCAAGAGGAAAAAGAAUAAGGCAAUGAUGGCCACUUAGAGUGAAAGUGAAGAUGAAUCAUCCGAAGAAGAAAAUGAGAAAGAAGUGGCAAACAUGUGUUUCAUGGCAAUAGAUGAACUUGAUGAGGUAAAAUCUAACCUUAGUGAUUAAGAUAUACAUGAUGCAUUUGAAGAAUUGUAUGAGGAUUUUUAAAAACUUAGUUUGAAAAAUAUUUCUCUUAAAAAGAAAGUUCAACAACUUGACAAAGAACUUAGAGAAGUAAAAGAAAAAUUUUCAAAUGUUAAAGUUUCUAAAACUCAUCUUGAAAAAGAAAAUGAGAUUCUAAGAAAGAAAAAUGAAUAGUUGAACUCCUCUCUUUCAAUCUUUUCUUCUAGACAAAAAUCUUUUGAAAUGAUUCUAACUAGCUAAAAAUGUGUUUUUGACAAACAAGGGUUAAGAUUUAAAUCUUCAAAAAAUCAAAAGUAUUUUAAAAACUAUUUUGUAAAGGAAUCCACAAGUGCAAGUCCUUCCACUACUUGCAACUUUUGUGGAAGAGAAUGGCACAUUAGUAGUACGCCCUUUAAGAAAUGGUUCUCAAAAGAAUUUAAAUGCAAAAACUAAAAAAGAUUUGGAUUGAGAAAUCCAAGGUCACUAACCCUCAAGGACCCAAAAAGAUAUAGGUACCUAAAUCAACUUGAGUUUUAUGUUGUAAGGUUCAAAGAAUGAUAAGUGGUUCUUAGAUAAUGGUUGCUCAAGACACAUGACCGGAGAUGAAUCCAAGUUUGCUUUUCUUAAAAAGAAAAAUGGAGGAUAUGUUACCUUUGGAGACAAUGCAAAAGAAAGGAUGAUUGGUCAAGGCAACAUUGGUAAUGGCACAUCCUCUCUCAUUGAAAGUGUUUUAUUAGUAGAUGGUUUCAAACAUAACCUUUUAAGCAUUAGUCAAUUUUGCGACAAAGGUUUUUAAGUGAUUUUUUAAGCAUCUCAUUGCAUCAUCAAGGAUAUUCAAAAUGAUAAAACCAUUUUCAUGGGCCAUAGAUGUGAUAAUGUUUAUGCUAUAAAUAUUUCAAAAUAUGAUGGCCAUGAUAGAUGUUUUUCAAGCAUGCAUGAUCAAAGUUGGUUGUGCCAUAGGAGAUUGAGACAUGCUAACAUAGACCUCAUUUCCCAACUCAACAAAGAUGAACUUGUUAGAGGCCUUCCCAAAAUAAUUUUUUAAAAAGAUAAAGUUUGUGAAGCUUGUCAAGUGGGAAAGUAAAUCAAAAACUCUUUUAAAAACAAAAACUUCAUUUCCACAUCUAGGCCACUUGAGUUGUUGCAUAUGGAUUUAUUUGGUCCCUCUAGGACACCAAGUCUUAGAGGAAAUUCUUAUGCAUAUGCUAUUGUGGACGACUUCUCUAGAUACACAUGAGUCUUGUUUUUUAGUCAAAAGAAUAAAGUUUUUUAUGAGUUUUCAAAGUUUUGCAAUAAGAUUCAAAAUGAAAAAGGUUUUUCAAUUACUUAUAUAAGAAGUGAUCAUGGGAGAGAAUUCGAAAAUAUUGAUUUUGAAGAGUAUUGCAAUGAGCAUGGAAUUGACCACAAUUUUUUGGCUCUUAGAACUCCUCAACAAAAUGGGGUAGUUGAAAGGAAAAAUAGAACUCUUCAAAAAAUGACAAGAACCAUACUAAAUGAAAACAACUUACCAAAAUAUUUUUAGGCCAAAACGGUUAACACUUCUUGUUAUGUUUUAAAUAGAGUAUUAUUGAGGCUCAUACUUAAGAAAACUCCCUAUGAGCUUUGGAAAAACAAAAAACCCAACAUUAGUUAUUCCAAAGUCUUUGGAUGCAAUAUUUUAUAAUAAACACCAAAGACAAUCUUGGAAAAUUUGAUGCAAAAUUGGAUGUUGGAAUUUUCCUUGGUUACUCAACUUCAAGUAAAGCUUUUCGAGUUUUAACAAAAGAACCAUGGUUGUAGAGGAGUCCAUCCAUGUUAUUUUUUAUGAAUCUCCAAGAAAGAGAGAGGAUUGAUGAUGAUUUAGGUUUGAAGACCUCUAUAGGAAGAUUGCAAAUCGAAGAUAGAAGACAACAAGAAGAAAAUGGAGAGAAUCCAAAGAAAGAAGGAUCACCAUUGGCACUACCCCCUCAUCAACAAGCGCAAGGUGAAUCAAGUCAAGAGCUUCCUAAAGAAUGGAAGUUUGUCAUCAAUCACCCACAAGAUCAAAUUAUAGGCAAUCCAUCUAGUGGGGUAAGAACUAGAUCCUCUCUUAGAAAUAUUUGCAAUAAUCUAGCUUUUAUCUCUCAAAUUGAGCCUAAAAAUAUAAAUGAUGUUUUAGAUGAUGAAAAUUGGAUAAUUGCAAUGCAAGAAGAGUUAAAUCCAUUUGAAAGAAGUGGAGUAUGGGAAUUAGUACCAAGACCUUCAAAUCAAAGUGUUAUUGGAACUAGAUGGAUCUUUAGAAAUAAAAUGGAUGAAAAUAGCAUAAUUGUUAGAAAUAAAGCAAGAUUGGUAGCCCAAGGUUUUAAUCAAGAAGAAAUGAUAGAUUAUGAAGAAACCUUUGCCCCCGUAGCUAGGUUGGAAGCCAUUAGGAUGCUACUUGCCUUUGCAUGUUUUAAAGACUUUGUUUUAUAUCAAAUGGAUGUGAAAAGUGCUUUUUUAAAUGGUUUUAUAAAUGAAGAAGUAUAUGUUGAACAACCACCCGGUUUUCAAAGUUUCAACUUUCCUAACCAUGUUUUUAAACUUAAAAAGACACUUUAUGGUUUGAAACAAGCACCUAGAUCAUGGUAUGAAAAAUUGAGUAAAUUUCUUUUGAAAAAAAUGUUUUAAAAUGGGAAAAAUUGACACAACUCUUUUUAUAAAAACCAAAGAAAAUGAUAUGCUCUUAGUUCAAAUAUAUAUUGAUGAUAUCAUUUUUGGUGCUACUAAUGUCUCUCUUUAUGAAGAAUUUUCUAAGUGCAUGCAUAGUGAGUUUGAAAUGAGCAUGAUAGGAGAACUCAACUUCUUCCUUGGACUUCAAAUCAAGCAACUAAAGGAAUGAACCUUCAUCAAUCAAGCAAAGUAUAUAAGAGAUCUUCUCAAAAGGUUCAACAUGGAAGAAGCCAAAACAAUGAAGACUCUAAUGAGCUCAUCCAUUAAGCUUGAUAAGGAUGAGAAAGGUAAAUCCAUUGACUCUAUUAUGUAUAGAGGCAUGAUAGGUUCUUUGCUCUAUUUGACCACUAGUAGACCUUACAUUAUGUAUAGUGUGUGUUUGUGUACUAGAUUUCAAUCUUGUCUUAAAAAAUCUCACUUAAGUGUCGUGAAAAGAAUCCUCAAAUAUUUGAAAGGGACAAUGGACAUAGGCUUAUGGUAUCCUAAGAGUGAUAACUUUGAAUUAAUUGGUUUUUUGGAUGCUGAUUUUGUCAGUUGUAGGGUUGAAAAAUAAAACACUAGUGGCACUUUUCAUUUCUUAAGACACUUACUUGUCUCAUGGCAUAAUAAGAAGCAAAAUUUGGUAGCUUUGUCAACAGCAGAAGCUAAAUACAUAGCAACUGGUUUAUGUUGUGCACAAAUCCUUUGGAUGAAAUAAACACUUAGUGAUUUUGAUUUAUCUUUUGAGCAUAUUCCUAUUAAAUGUGAUAAUAGUAGUGCCAUAAGUAUAUCAAAAAAUCUCGUGCAACACUCUAGGACUAAGCAUAUAGAGAUUAGACAUAAUUUUCUUAGAUAUCAUACACAAAAGGAUGAUAUAACACUUGAAUUUGUAAGCAUAAAAGACCAACUUGCCGAUAUCUUUACAAAACCUCUAAGAACAUUUUGUUGAUAUUAGAGGACAAUUAGGAGUGAUUUCUUUAUGAUCUAAUGUGAUGAAUUCUUGAUGAAUAUACUUUUUGAUUGCAUGAAUUUCAUGUCAUAUAUGCAUCAUAUAGAAAUAUACUUAGAUAAUGGUCAAAUUUCGACCAAAAAUCAAAAUUCCCAUGGCAUUAGGCAUAAAAAUUUUGGAAUUUCAACUGAAAAUGGUAGGAGGAGGAUCACAAAAUGAGAAAGUAUGCAAAAAUUGAAAAAUCAAAACGUUGACCAAGCGGUCAAUCGGACUAGACCGAUCGACUAGUUUGUCGAGAUUUAGGAUUUUUAAGAGACUCCAACGCUUCAAUUUUUGCACCGUUCUCCUCUAUUUCUUCACGGUUUCUCUGAUUUUGUCUUUUAGAGACUAAUUUGAGUGCGUUUUGGAUCAAUUGAAGCAUUUUGGAUUGGAUUUUAGGAAGAUUGAAAGUUAAGGUUUCGGAUUUGGGUCGCCUUCUCUUCCUCUCGCGUGUCACAAUCAGCUUUAGCAUUGUUCUCUUUCCAUUUUCACACACCUAGGGUUUCAGUUGUGAGCAUCUCUCUCUCUUUACCAACCACUACUCCCUUGCUUCUUCCAUAUGGCUCCUAGGCGAGAGUCCGCUACUUCUAGGGCACAAGGCAAGCACCCAACUGAGUCGUCUCAGUCAAAGGCACGUCGAAAAGUGAGAUUUGACAUUGCCUUGUUCAGUUCCAUGGAGGACUACCAACUAUACAAGCAACACUUUGCUUAGAGACGAGUAGUUCCCAAGAGAAAUAUUAAUUUUCCUCAACUUCAGCAUUUCGAAUUUAAGGGUCUAUUUACUAGGAUGGUUGGUUGUCUAUUGUCACAAUUUCGGAGCCGGUUUUCCUGACCUUAGUGCGAGUUUUUUACUCGAGGGCGACUUAUGGCAUGGGUGGCAUGAUCAUUUCUACUGUUGGAGGAGUUGAGAUCUGUCUGGACCCAGAGAGCAUCUGCCAUAUUUUCGAUAUUGCUCUGGUUGGACUCAAAGUAUACAAGUCCAAAAUGUGGCCCAUUGUGCCAGGAUUUGAGCUUAGAGAGGUCAUUCAGAGGAUUUGUGAACUUCCAGACGCCCAGGAGAUGGGCAAACCAUUGCCACACAGUUUGACGGUCAUCAACAGGGUGCUACACCAUAUAUUGUGCUCUAUCUUUCUACCACGAAGUGGACAUUGAGAUGAGGUCUCUUAUUAUGAGGCAUUCCUUAUUGACUCCAUUCUAACGGAGAGACGAAUUCAUCUACUAUGUCAUCAUUCACUAAGCCUCCUCACAGUGACAUACCACCUCAUCAGGCACCUCUUGCUCCUGACCAUGCUCCAUUGAUGGAUUUAUUUACUCAUAUUAGCUCUCUAGGCACUCGCAUGAAGGAGUUUGUUGUAGUUAGUGAUACAUGGUUCUACUCCAUAGAGGAUCGCAUGGAUCAGUAUCAGACUGGCUUCACGUCACAGUUUGAGUAUCUCCAAUAGAGGAUUGAGCAUAUUGAGGAUCACUUGAGCAUGAGAAGAUGAUGGCUUUUCUAUGCUCUGUGUUUCCACCUCCACCUCGUCAACCUUGAUUUCUUAGAGACCCAUUGUUUUCAUUUUGUAAUGUUGCCAAAAGGGGGAGAUAUUUAGGAUCUAGGACUCUAUAGGAGACUUACAUGCAUAUCAUUUUCAUAUCAUUGUUUGGAUCGUACAUAUUGGAUAGUGAUACUUUUUACUUAUAUAUGAUAUGCCUAUAUGUUUCAUGUCUUACAUUGUUUCUUAUUGCAAAUUAUCUCUAACAUGUCUUGAUUAUCUUUUUUUUAACUUCAUAAAUUUUGAUUGUUAACCCAUGAUUGGUUUGAGGGGAAGAUUCUUCUUCUCCUAGAUAACCAAGGUUUGUCAUCAUAAAAAAAUUGGAGAUUGUUAGCCCAAGGGUUCUCCUAAUCAUGUUUUGAUGAUAACAAACCAUGCUUAAGUUACUAAUUGGUUUGAAUUAUAAAGAAUUUCAAGUGUUAAUUUGAAAAUUCAUCAAAGAACCUAAUGGAUGCAAGAUCAAGAUUUUUGGAAGACCUUUAAUCAUAAGAAACAUAUGUAAGAUGAAUGCAUGGGUGCACUUAAGAUUUGCAUAUCAUUUCAUGCAUAUUUGGAAAACACGGUUUAUGCUUUAAAGUUACAUUUCCAUCAAAAUUUGAGAUCCAUCAAAUGAACCUUAGGAAAAAUGUUUUAAAAUUGGCAUAUAAUUUUACCUAAAGACCUUGCCUAAGUGUUAGAAGCAAAAGGACAAAAAAAAUAUAGGUUUUCUGGUCAAAAAUGGUGAACCAGUCAAGGCAUUGUCUAAAUCAGCUCAAUCGGCCAAGGUACCGGUCGAUCGGUUUCCCUUUCCCUGUCGAGAUCUAGUCAAGAGGUACAAAAAUCACAAUCUCUGUCUCUUUCUCUCUUUGUCUAUCUUCCAGUAGUCUUUCCUUCCCGGUCGAGGGAUUUGCCUUCCCGAUUGAGGUCCGAUUGAGAGUAAUAGUCACUUGCCAAAUAUUAAAUGCUCCAACAGUUAGUGAACUGGUCGACCCCCACCUUGCCCAGUUGAGGUUACUUUUUGGUUUUCUUGGCUCCCGAUGUUAGAAACCUAUAAAUAGAGAGUUCCACUUCAUUUAUGAGCAAGAGAACACUUGCAUUUAUUUGUUUACCUACUUGUUCUUGCCUUAAAAGCUCUCAUUUCUUUUCUUGGUGCAUUAAAUCUCCAUUUUGAUAUCCUUUAGUGCACCUUUGUGAUUCAUCUUAGCCUUGAGUUGUAUUUGAGCCCUUUUUUUAGCUAGGUUGAGAGUUUCAUACUUGUUAAUUGAGUGUUAAAGCCUUCAAGUGAGUUGAAACUUGUAGAGAUUAUGUGAGAGUCGAUUGGAGCCGAAAUCCAAGUGUAAAGGUGAUUAGAAGCUUGGUUGAAGCUUCAAGUUAGUGGAAUCCUCACUCAAUUAGGAGCUUGAGGAGAGUGGACGUAGCCAAGGAAGUGUCGAACCACUAUAAAAUUUGAGUUUGAUUUCUCUAACAUUGUCUCUUUAUAUUUGUUUAUCUUGUGCUUAAAUUUAUUGUGUUUAAAAAGAAUUUUUAAAUACCCAAUUCACCCCCCUCUUGGGUGUUUUUCUCUUUUAAAAUUAGCCUUUAUUUUCUCACAAACUAUUGUAGUAUAGUGGUUUUUAGGUGUCAUCCAUUAGGAUGAAUUGUUCUCGGUAAUUAAGGCGUGAAUGAGAGGAGAAUUAAUGAUUGUGAUUAAGUAAAAUUGAUUUGAAAAUUCAUGGUGAAAAAUCAAUUUAACAAUGGUUUCUAAUUGAGAAAAACAAUGAAAUGUGAAAUAAAAUAAAAUUAAUAGGAAAUGAAAUUCUCGAAGUUAGAAUUUUCUAAAAAACAAAUUCCAUGGUGAAUGGAUGUUGAGAUCUAAUUUUCAUCAAGUUAGAUUGAAAACCGAAAUUUUCAUAUAAACUGAUUUUUUAUUUAGUUUUAGGUCUAGAUUUAAUUUCCCUUAAAAUUAGGUUAUUUAAUCCAAGAAAUCAAUUCAAAUCAUAUAUUCAAUUCAUCUUAAAUUAUCUUCCAAUUAUUCACACAAUGCAACUAUUCAAUCUCAUCAAAUCUAGCUUUUAAGAAUUUAAUGAAUCUACCUAGUUUGCAUUGUAAUAGUCAUCCAUGACAAUUUGAAGAGAAAAAUAAUUCAAUUAAUCAAUCACUUGGAUCAAAUUACCUUUGCAAUUAAAGUUCAUUUCUCUAAUUCACCACAGAUUUUGUCUCUAGAUCCUCCUUUCUCAAAGAAAAAUGAGAUUUAGCCACACAUGAUUGGAGAUUUGGUCUCAUAAGGCAUGUUUAGCUAGUGAUAAAAUGAGAGAAAAUAAAGAAAAAUAGAGAAUUCGAUUAAGAAAGAAAAUCUAAAAAAUUCUACAAUUAGAAAUGUCCAAAAAGCUUUUUCAUGAGAAAAUCAAGUUUCUAUUUAUAGGCCAAGGUCAAGUGGACACUUGACAUCAUCUAAGAGGUCUUCCGGAAGCUUCUUCAUCAAGAAAUCUGGAGUUUAAUAAUAAAAUGGUCAUUUCACAAGAGCUCAAACAAUUUCGCAUGAUUAUGUGAAAUAAAAAAUGCAACAACAGCAAUUUACAUCUUCUUGGAGCAUUUCGCAUGACUGUGUGAAAUUUUCACAUGAUCAUGUGGAAUCGACUUGACAACUCUCAUUUAGCCUACAACAUAAUUCCACCUUUUGGUCCAUUUUUCAUAGUCAUGCGAAAUGGAAAUAUUUGAUUUUUAAGUUUUCUUUUGUCAUUUCUUUCAUUUCCUUCUCUUGAUUCCACUUCAACUACCUCCGAAUCCUGGUCCAAACCAAUUGCAUUACUUCUUUCAUUAUGCAUUUGGAUCAUCAUCAACAUUAUUUGUUCUCUUCAAUUUGAUUCAUCUCUUUUGUCACCAAUUUAUCAAAAUCAUACCUUGAAAUGACUCCAAAACUUCAUAAAACUUGUUAGUAACUCUUGCAAGGGCAACAACAUAUUAAUUAAGUGUUUUAGGCAUAGUUACUACUCAAAAGAUGCGAAACUCAUGAUAAUUAUUAUAUAAAAUAUGCUCUUUUUGAGUAGUAAUCAACUUUCUUGCAUAAGCAGACCUUUUAGGGUGGAGUACUAAAGACCAAUAUGCUUGUCCUUGUUGUAAUAAAGAAACUUGCUCUUAUUGAUUGCACCAUGGGAGAAAAUUUUGCUACAUGAGUUAUCAUCAAUUUCUUCCCACCAAUCAUAGAUUUAGACGUGACAAGAGGCCUCUUAAUGGCAAGGAGGAACUGACACUCACACUUAUACAAUUAUCGGGCAUUGAUGUGUUGCAACAAUUAGAAUAACUUACACCAAUUAUGUUGGGGAAGUCACAAAAGGCAAACAUGAAAACUAAAAGGAAAAAAGAAAAAUGUUACAUAUCACCACAACUGGAAAGAAAAAAGUAUUUACUUUCAUUUGCCAUAUUGGAAAGCACUUAUUUUACAUCAUAAUAAUUUAGACAUAAUGCAUAUUGAGAAAAAUGUGUGACAAUAUAAUUGAGACAUUGUUCAGUAUUGACGAAGAAACAAGGACAACCUAAAUAGUCAUCUCGAUUUACAAGCUCUAACUAUUAGAAAUGAGAUUCACCCAAUAGAAAGCAGGACCAAAUUUAUUUUGCUUGCAACAUGCUACUCACUCACCCCAAAUGAGAUUAAGGAAUUUUGCAAGUUUUUGAAAUCAAUAAAGGUCCCCAAUGGCUAUUCUUUCAAUAUCUCUCGUUAUGUGCAACUCAAUGAAAGGAAGAUAUAUGAGCUCAAAUUGUAUGAUUGUCAUGUCCUAAUGCAACAACUUCUCUCACUUGUAGUUCGUGGAGUUCUACAUAAGAAUGUUUGUGGAGUUAUCAUAGAAUUGCGUAAUUUUUUCAAGCAAUUGUGCUCAAAGGUGUUAGAAACAAAUCACUUACACCAACUUGAGAACAAUAUUAUUGUCAUACUAUGUAAAAUGGAGCAAAUAUUUCUUCCAUCAUUCUUUGAUAUUAUGGUGCAUUUACUUGUGCAUCUAGUAAGGCAAAGGUUGCAAGACUUGUGCAAUAUUGUUGGAUGUACCUAAUUGAACGAUAUUGUUAUAAUUUCAUAUGAAUCAUUUAAUUUUAUUUUAUAUUAUGUUCAGUUCAUUAACAUGUACAUUGGUCUACAUAUGGAUGAUGAUAGGUACCUAAGCACUUUAAAGUCAUAUGUGCGUAAUAGAACUUUUCUAGAAGGUUCUAUUGUAGAAAGGUACCUUGCAAAAGAAUGUACAACAUUUUAUUCUAGGUACUUGAAUGAUGUGGAAAUAAAGUAUAAUCACAAUGAUAGAAACUUUGUUGGUUUCAACACUAGAGGAGAUGAAAGGGGUUAUCUUUAAACAUAUUGGACAUGCAUUGGGAAAGCCCAUAUUUCAUUAACUUAGUUCAAAAGAGUGGUCACAAGCACAUUUAUAUGUGUUGACAAAUUGCGAAGAUGUCAUACCAUUCAUUGAGUAAAAAAUUUAUUUGAAUUUUAAUUAAAGCUCUAGUUUAUAUCCUUAAUCAAUGUUUUUUAAAUUCACAAGGAGCACAAGCAAACCAUCAAGGCUAGACCACAUAUACGUGUUUGAGACGUAGAUUUAAUUCAUAACAAGGAAUUUAUCAAGUGGUUUGAAAGACAUGUAAGUAUAUUCCUUAUUAUAAGGGAUUUAUUUCACAUUAUGUUUAUAUUGAAUCCAAACCUAUUAUUGAAUUGUAGGUUGAACAAUUACAUAAUGAAGGUCAUAUAUCUGAACACCUUCUCACAUUAUCAUGUGUUCCAAAUUCAUUAGUUACAUGCUUCAAAUGAUAUAUUGUCAAUGGAUUUAGAUCCCACAUUAAAGAACGUGAUAAAAAAGUUUUUAAAAAAAGACUCAGAAUAAUGGAAUUGUUGUAGUUGCAAAAACGUCAAGCUUUACAAGUGCAUGUGAUAUGAGUCCAAUUAUUAGUGAUGCUCUCUACUAUGGUGUUCUAACUAAAGUUGUUGAGUUACAUUAUCUUGGUGAAAAUAAGGUUGUUUUAUUCGAGUUUGAUUGGUGGGAUGUUACAAAUAUUGGAAAAUUGAUAAAAGAUGAUGAGUACAAUUACACAUUUGUUAACUUUGCAUGAAUUCUAACCACGAACGAACGAUUUGUACUUGCAUCUCCAGCAAAGUAAGUGUUCUAUGUGAAGAAUGCGAAUGAAUCAGAUUGGCAUACUAUCAUGGAGAUGCAACCUCAAGACCUCUAUAAGAUGAACGGGAUAGGAUCCAAUGGUGAUUUUGAACCAUUUCAACAAAGUGAACUACAUGAUCACUAAUAUAUCUCAGAUUUAGUUGAUGAAGAUAUAAUCAAGUGGAACAAAAGUGAUGUUUUAGGACUAAUCAUCCUAAAAAAUAUUGUAGUUUCUUAAAAAAAAAAUGAAAAUGAAGAAGAUAAUUGAACCUUUGUCAUACUUUAAAAAGCAACUAUGCAUUGUUCAUUUUGUAUGUUUUGGUUUUCUUCAUUUAAUUUCCUGAUUUUUGUGAUUCAAUGUCAUAUUAUUGAUCUUGAAAUAUUUUUCUAAUUUUUCAUUCUACGAUGGUUUCAACAAGGAUGACAUCAAGUCAAAAAAGGAAAUGUGGUCCCACACACAAUAUUGCAUUACAGGGAUUAAGGUCAGGGAAGAAGGUAAAAGUUGCAUUUAAUGAGUACAAUCAAUUGGUUAAACAGAAAAAUGGAAAACACUUAUCGAGCUACAUAGGGACACUUGUAUCUAACCAACACAAUGUACCUCUCCAAGCUAGUGAUUGGAAAAAUGUUCCAAAUGAUGCAAAAGAGAAAGUAUGGCCUUUGUUUUGGUAUGUUGUAUUUCUCACUAUAUGAUGUCAUUUCACUGUUAUUCUAUUUUGUGACUAACGUUUGAAUCAUAUGUAAGAAAAAUUUGAAGUAGAUAAAGACUGAAAAGAUUACAUGUUGGGUAUAGCCUCAAAUAAAUAUAGAAGCUAUAAAAAUAUGAUGAAUGCAAAAUACUAUGACCCUUGGCAUAAGGAUGCAUGAGGAGAGGUUAAUACAUAAAUCACCAUUUGUCUCUGAUGUUGAUUGGAAGUGGCUUGUCUCUGAUGCAUAAACCAAAUCCCCCACUGAAUGUUUGAUAUUUGAUAGCAGGAAAAACACACCCGCAGCUAUACACCUCCAUCAUUCAGAUAAUUAUAGUGGGGGAGAUGAUUCAUGGUUGCCCUUAUACCCUUUAUUUGCACCAUCUAUUGAGAUUCUUUAUCAUGGCCAGGUUUUACUGCAGCAAUAAGAUAUGGUGGCAACAAUUUUAUCUAUAGGUGCGGUUCCAGACCGCCUCCAUAGGUGCGGUUCCUGACUGCCUCCAUAGGUGCCUCUUCUUGUAAUGUUUGUUCUGGGAAUUACACUUGAAAGCCUUAUCGUGAUAAGGGAUUACAAACACUAGUUCAGAGGACAGCCAUGUUAAACUUCCACUAUGUUUGUGUCACAUUAUCAGCAGCCUAGUGUUUAUUGGUCAUGCUAUCUGCAACUAAUAUAACCCGGUGAACUUCAAUCUAAAUUCUGAAAGUACUCAUGUGACAGAUGGUGCCUUUCAGCAGAUAUCAUCAAUUUAAAAGUAGUGUGUGUGCCUAUAGGUGGGAAGGCCUUGGCAAAUGUUCAGUAUUCCGGUAAUUCAAGAAGGAUAUAUCUAAAAUAGAUUUUCUUCUUGCCCAUUUCAAUAGUUAAAAUUUGAGAAGAUUGUGUCCACAUCACACAAAUAUUAUUGGUCCUUCUGUUGCAAUUUACCUCUGAACAUGUCUUCCAAUUCCCACGGUCCUGUUACUCCAGGAAAACUAUUUCGGUCAUAUUGAAAAAAAAAAUAUUAAAGAAGGUACACAUGCUUUUAAGUGGACUGGGGCAUUCAUAUCAGGUGGUCUGUAUCCACAUAUGCCACUUCGUGAAAGGUGGAACAGCCUAAUCACUAGGCUAUUUAGUGUGGCCCAGCCACGUUAAUCAAGCACAAGUCUUCAUACUUAAAGUCAAAUGGUGUCUUUAGUCUCAUUACACAUCGCUAUUUGAAGAUUAACUCAUCACUAGUGUAAUGCGAUUAAGACAGUCCUAACUCAAUAUUUGUUCUAGUUUUGGAUGCAAAUGCUUGCUGGUUUCAUCAUUGGAUGGGAUAAAGGUGCAAUCAGGACUAUGAAUACGUGCAGUAAUACUUCAUUCUCUUUUUUCUCAAUGAGACUUCUUGGCACAAUUUUGCUGCUCAGCAACCUACCUUUCCAUGGAAAAUCAGUUGUGACUGAUAGUAAUGGAUAUAUUCUAGAAAGCUAAACAUAGAUAGCAUUCAAUAUUAUCGAUAUAACAUUAACAGCGUAUGUCUCAAUGCUCAUCAGCUACAAGCAAUGGACAAACACUUUGAGUAACUCACAGCAGUCAAAAUUCCUAAACAGGACAGACGUGACAGAUCUAUAUAUAGAACACUGCAUAUGAGUCACAGGAAAAGAUAAUACGGGUACAUAGAAGCUCUUAUUUUACAUAUUACUCAUACUGAUCAAAGUCGCUCAGUUGGGAUGGAUGGGAGAAGGAGGUUUGAGGGGUGGCUUGUGCGGGGAAGUUGGCAGCUUCUUUCCGGGAGCUGGUUGCUUCUUUGCUGGAGUUGAAGGAGGCUUAAUCUUCCGAGGUGGCUUGUAUGAGUCUUCAGCAUUCUCAGCAGGAGGGUGACCAGGGUUGUGACCAUAAUGUGGUGGCUUCUCUCCCUUAGGUGGUUUGCCAACUGGGGUUGGUGGCUUGUUUUCUGGGAGUGGCUUCUCUCCCUUGGGUGGUUUGCCAACUGGGGUUGGUGGCUUGUGUUCUGGGAGUGGCUUCUCCCCCUUGGGAGGUUUUUCGAAUGGGGUGGGUUUGUGUCCUGGUGGUGGCUUCUCUCCCUUGGGAGGUUUACCAAUUGGGGUCGGUGGCUUGUGUUCUGGGAGGGGCUUCUCUCCCUGGGGAGGUUUAGUGGGUGGCUUGUGUUCUGGAGGUGGCUUCUCCACCGGAGGCUUAUGCUCUGGUGGUGGCUUCUCGAAGGGGGGAUGCUCAGGGUAAUCACCAAGUGAGGGGGUGGUGAGAACCACCAUGCCAAGCAACAACACUAGCAAGUAUGUAGUAGACAUCUUUGGGUUUGGACUCAGACAGUGCAAAACUACGAGAAAUCGCUAGCCCUUUAUAGCGGCUCGGACCUAAUACUGACAUAAUAUAAAAUAAAUAUUAUAUUUUAUCAAGAGAGAACAGAGUGUAAUUUUAUCAUUAAUACCGAUCGAGGCCAAAGAAAGAAGACCCAUAAUCCAUUUCCCACAAGCAUACACAAUGCAGCUGUAAUUUUAUCAUUUACUUUUAUCCCUUGGACCACUGCAUUUUUGUUGAGAGACACAAUAACACAUUUUUAUCUGUCAUUCAACAUUUACAGUAAAGAGAGGGCACAAAACGCAAUUAGAUAAAUUAUGUUUUGCCUGCUAAAAAGAGGCAAAUAACUUUAUUUGCAACAUAAUUAUUUUGGUUUCUAGUGACCCCGGGGCCUUUCGGUUGGUUUGGGAUCGGAAAAUGAACAUCAUAGGGGGGGUUGUGCCCUUAUGGGCAUAUAUAUCUGAUAGCUUCAACUGGCCUUGUUCCUAGAAAGAAAUUGCCAAAGAUAUAAACUUAUUCCAGGCUGAAAGUAGAUGAGAGUCAUAAUGAACAUCAACCUUUGUUCAGUUUGAUUCAAUGCCCCCAUAGUGUUCAUUUCACAGAUCUGAAUGAUUAUAUCCGUUGAAUACAUAAAUUAAUGAAGACAAAUAUGAAACCCAAGAUACAUCUCUGCAUAACAACCCCAACCCUGGUUGCUAUGUUUCCCUUCUUCUAUUCACAUGAGGAUACUGGUUAUAAUUGUCAAACUUGCAACAAGCCCUUUGACACCUAACGUCAAUGGACGAAUUAAAAGUCUCCUUCAAACGUCUAUUUCACAGCAUGAAGCUUAUAAAGGAUGCUGACAACCUUCAGAGUUAGCGACAAAAGAUAAUUAUCAAGGAGAGAUAGUUCCAUGAGAAUUCCAAGGAGUCUGAAUCAAAGACAAAUUGCUCACUCAAGGGUUCUUAUUUUCUUUUAGGUACAAAUCUCUUGAGUGUUGUUAAAGAAACACGUCACUGUCAUUUUGAUUUGCAUUUAACAUUUCACUUUUGUUCUGGAAGGUUUGUUCCGGAAACAUAUCAAAUGAGCAUCAUUUUCUUCUUCGGUGACACAUGGUCGCGAGUACGUGGGUCCAUUUUCAUGCCACUUAGUUGAAAAGUUGGAAAGAAAAAACAUGCCAACAAGAAGAUAGUGAGAGAAGGGGCACUUCAAGCCUUUAACAUGAACAAACAGUAAAUAAAAGAUGUUUCUCCACUCAUAAAAGUGUGUUAGAUAGCAAUAUAACGAAUCACAUCCAAAAUCUUUACUAGGCUCAAACAUAAAGAAGACUCAUUUUUAAGAAAAGAUAAAAAUGGCAUUGUCUGAUAGUAUCCAAUACACGAGAUGGCACUUAAUUUGUACAAGAUCUGUCAAUGCUGACGCACAUUUUCUGAUUAAAAAAAAACUGAUCAGUCAAAAGCAAUGAAGAGAAGUGAUGACAAUGAAUGAUGCUUCCAAUAUUUUCACCCCUUAUAGUGUUCUUCAUGAUUCAGAUAUAUAAUUGGAAAUAGAACAACCCUAUGCCAUACAUUCGUCUAAGUAUGGUGUCUAAUUUUUUGUGUCAGCGGUUGCGAAUGGAGCGUGCAAAAGUCCAAAUUGGCGUCUCUCCAUUUCCACAUAGGAAGGUGACCUUUAUUGACAAAUACCCAAUAUUUGUAGACAUUCCUUAAAUAUCAUAACUUCUUGUUGAUUUGAAAAUCAUUUUUCAACUACCAUGUUUUAAUAAAUAUUUUUUAAAAUGUAUUUUUAUCAAAGUCCACCAUGAUGGAUAAUAUUCACCAUGCAAUAAUUAAUAAAGUACAAACUAAGCGAAAUGAAAAGCAUUUUCUUUGCUUUGAGUUGAUUUUGGUUGCAUUGAGUUGAUUUUGGUUUCAUGGUUUUUUCAACUCUUAUUUUGAUUGGAAGAUGUCAAGAAAAGAAAACAUAAAGAAAAAUUAAAAGGGAAAAAAGAAGAAAAAUAAAAAAAAAUAGAUUUAAAAGUUAAUAAAUUAUUUUUUAUAUUUAUUUUAAUUCAUUUCACUUAUUUUUCUUUUACUAUAUAAAAUUUAAAUAAUUUAAAUUUUAUAAUUAAUUUAAUUACAUUUCAUUUUCUUCUAUAUUUAAAUAUUGGAAAAAUAUUUUACUUAAUAUUUUUUUCUUUAAUUUCUUUGGCAUUUUGGGAACCAAACUUAGCCUUUAAAAUAAAAAACAAAAAAAAAAUGAAAAUAAGGAGGGAAAAGUGAGAAAAGAUAAAAACAAUAUGUAAAGGAUUUGAAAAGUAUUAGUUUGUAAUUACUAUUUGGAUUUCAAUAGUAUUUUAUUUGUCUUUCUAUAUUUCAUGUAAGAGAGAAUUUAAGAUAUUCCCCAAGGCAAAGCAUUAGUUACCUGCAAUCAGUGGUGAUAAGGCUCCAAGCCAAUUUUGGGCCCCAUAUCUUAAGACAGUACAAUUUCCAUUUCAACAUUUCUGAUUUCUCAGAUGUUUCACAUACCACAGAAGAACAUUGUUUGUGAAAAUAUGCAUUUAUGUUGGAUUUUGUAUGCUGUGGGGACUGGGGCAAGGAUCAUAUGGAAGAGUGGUUGACUUUUUCUGUACUUUAACGGUUGAAAUAGGAUAAGCACGGGCAUUUGUGAGGCUUAAUUGAUUUUGAAGCCUGAAAUUGCGUUUCUGUCAUUUUGUCAAAAAAAUGGCAGAUUCCAUACUCAUAUGUUUGGCCUGUGGCCAUGUACAGAUGCCAUUUAGUGACCAGUUUGUAACUGUCAAUCGUUGCGUUUUGACUCUGCCUCAACAACAUCUGCCAUUGACGGGUUUUCAUACUUGCAAAUCAAAUAGUCUUUCGUCCCAUCAGGAAUUUCGGUUUAAAUAUUAUUAAGCAUACGUUUGGCUGACAAUCAUUAUCCAGUUCAUGAUUUGGUUUCUUACCCUUAAUCAAUGGUUUCUAAGUGAAUAUAUGUAGAAGGAAAUCCGAAGUGUAGACAGUAGUAUCGAUAACUCUCAAUAUUCUCUAUAUAAUAGAAUAAACAGCGUCAUAGUGAUCGUCGCCUACAAGCAAGGUACAAAUACCAAAACGAGUGACUCACAUAGACAUCUCCCAACAAGAUGUAGUAGUGACUGACACAUGGACACAAUUAACUCGUAGAAAAGGAUAAGACCAUUGCACAGCAGCUCUUAUUUUACAUACUACUUAUGCUAACCAAAGUCAAUUAGUUGGGAUGGGUGGGAGAUGGAGGUUUGUGCGGUGGCUUGUGGGGCGGAGUUGAUGGCUUCUUUCCAGGAGCUUCUGGCUUUUUCAUCGGAGCUGAAGGAGGCUCAAUCUUAUGAGGCGGCUUGUAUGAGUCUUCUUUACUCUCGACAGGAGGGUGGCCAGGGUUGUGAUCAUAAUGUGGUGGCUUCUCUCCCUUAGGUGGCUUGCCAACUGGGGUUGGUGGCUUGUGUUCAGGAAGUGGUUUCUCUCCCAUGGGAGGUUUAGCAAUUGGGGUUGGUGGCUUGUGUUCUGGGAGUGGCUUCUCUCCCUUGGGAGGUUUAGUAGGUGACUUGUGUUCUGGAGGUGGCUUCUCCACCGGAGGCUUGUGCUCCGGUGGUGGCUUCUUGGUUGGAGGGGGCUUGGGGUAAUCAGCAAGAGAUGGGGUGGUGAGAACCACCAGUCCAAGGAACAACACUAGCAAGUAUGUGGGAGACAUUUUUGAGUUUGGGCUGAUCAGAUGAUGCAAAACUAAAGCAUUACGUGACCUUUUAUAGCAUGUAGCUCCCAAUACCCACUAAGUAUUGUGGGGUCCAUUUGUGCCCUACGGGGUUGAAAACUUAGACAAUUGGGCAAGGACCCACCUGACUAUGGAGGACUAGUGAGGUGUGAUCAUAGCUUUAGGAUUUUUCUUCCUCUGCAGCCGUCGUGCCGUUGGCAUGAUUUUCUUAAUCUUAAAUAAAGGCAUAGUUAUAGAGUUGUUUAAUCUCUAAAUGGGAUUUUAUAUAUAUCUUCAGAUAGCCAUUAAUAUAUUUGAUGAAGAAAGAAAGACAAGUGCAUACAACAUGUAUACGACUAGCUUUCAUGGAGUUCAUUUAUGAUCAGUUUUCCUGUACAUGUAAACCAGGAUCAUAUAUAUGUUUCUGUUCCACAACUAUUUUGGAAUCUUGUUUAUCAGUUUUUAUCAUUAUAAUGUCACAUAGGCUGCCAACUUGGGCGCUAAAAGAACCAGUUGGGCUAGUUCGUUUCAGAAUUUCAAUGUGGAUUCAGGAAUUGUUUUGUAAGAUAUGCGAAAUAGUAGAGGGAUGAAUAGUGUUUCAUUAAUAAAAGUGUCCUGUAAAUUAGAAGGUGUCAUAGAAACUAUAAUCAAUAAAUAACUUUUUUUCCCCACGGGUGGUGUUUCUUGUGGGGAUCAGUGACUGGUUUAGGUUCACCCAAAAUGAGUUCAGACUAAAAUUGGUUUGAGUCAAUGCCGUGUCUCUUUUUUCCAGAAAUCAACUAUUUUAUGCAUUGAAUAAAUCAUACAAAGAAAAUAUGAACGCCCGCAAAACCUAAACCCUGGUUGCUAACUUUCUAUGUUUCAGUUCUAUUCACGCAAGAAUAUUAGUUUAAGUUUGGGAAAAAUGGCAACUUACCUAGUGAUUACUUGGUUUUGGUUUGCGACUAUUUACGCAACCAACCAUGAGUUUGACUUUAACGUCAUGGGUUGAAGCCUCCUACAGGAAGGGAGAAAGCUCCACAGCUAGCUCCAAAAGAGAAUUAUCACAUUGAUAGCUCCAGAGAUUCCCAAGGGGACUGAAUCAAAGACAAGUUCCUCACUUUUUCUUCUUUUGAGGCCAAAUAUGAACCAAGGAUCACACAACCUCAUUCAACUUCAUAAGUUUGAUUUCAUGCAGUUGAACACUGGGUGAAGGCCAUGACAAGAAUUGAUUCAAAAAUUCUAUCACUCUUUUAAGUAAUGGAAGAUUAUUAUCUCUGAUUGGCAUCACAACAGCACAUGCUCCUAGAUCUUUCUAGACACUCCAUGCAAUGAAAGCACAAUGGAUCUUGUAACGAUAGAAACUAAGCCAUGCUACAGUACUAGAUGAUGAGGUAAAACUAGUAGACACGGGUGGCAGCCUAUAUGGGAGGGACACAAGUCUAAUUGAUUUGCAUUUCAGCAUUAUAGAUAGGUAUGUUUUGGAAGAUUUGUUCUGGAAAUACCGCACCAAGUAGGAUUCUUUUUCUCUUUAGUGGGUCCACUUGCAUGCCAAUUAACGAGUUGAAAAGUAUGAGCACCUACCUCGUGCUCGUGGAACCGAAGGUCAGUGAAGUGGGGCUCCUUUUGGCCUCGUGUAAACUUGAUUCAGAAGUGAAGUUAAUAGUCUUCCAUUCAGAUGGAUACAUGGGAAUUUUUCUCUUUUAUUUAUUUAUUUAUUUUUUUUUUGUGUGUGUAUGUCAAAGGAUAAUGAAUGAAGCGCGUUAGCUUGUUUUCUGACUGGAACCGCAGAUGUCCAAAUUGGAGUUCCUUCAUUUCUUACUUAGGAUUGUUACAUGUAUAAACAAGGUAUAAGAAAUAUGCCAACGUGUCUUGAGGAGUUAUUGAUUAGAAAUAACAAGUCACCCGACUGUAGAGUUCCAAGAUUUGAAUCUUCAGACCCUAUAGCAGCCUCUGGGGUACGUGGCAUCCUAUAGCAUAUUAAUGAAGGCUUUUUCGAUUUAGACUUCACAAUACCAAUUAAUAUGUAUGCACAAAAUGGAGAUGACCCCAAAAAAAACAGAAUCGCCAUAGUUUAUGAGGUUAAGGUGAUUCUCCACUUAAUAUCUACAUUAGCUAAUUAUGUAAAUCAAAUGAACUUCUAUUUUUCCUUUUUUUUUUUGGUUUAUGUCAAAUAGUAGCCCAUAAUUAACCCAACCAUUAGCCUGUUUGAAUUGAUUUCACAUGCACAAUGUUGUAGUAGUUCAUAUUUUGAAUUUUAUUUUUACAAAGGUAGUUAAGGAAAAUGAAGUAUAAUAAUUAUAAAAGCAGACUAUAUACACUACAAUAAUUGUUAGAAUGGUAUCUCAAAUUCUAAUUUAAAAUAUUAUUUUUUGUAAAAGAAAUAUUAUAUAGAAUAUUUCCUAAUUUUAUAAAUGAUUAUAAUUAGAUCUUUAUAAAAUAAGGAAAGUUGGUAAGAAUAUCUUUAUAAAUAUUUUAGGUCAUGAGAGAAAGAAAUGGGAUAAAAAUGUGAUGAAGAGGUGAAAUAAGAGAGUUGAUUAGGAUAUAGAUGUGAAGAAGAAAGGGAUUCAAUAUAUAUAUAUCUUUCAAUUACCACAUUAAAACCCUGUGAACCUUUUAUAUGGUUUACUUUAUUUUUAUAUUCCUCCUUUAAUAUAUUUACAUUAAUGCUUCCAUUGGCACAACAAUAACGAAUUACAAAUACAAGCAACAAGUCCCAUGUUUUAUUACCAAAAGCAGGUAAAAUCCACCUAAUAUAUUACAAUAUAUUCAUCCAAUAUUUUAGACCAAUUCUUCACCAUAAAUAUCAUAAUGUGGCUUUUGUUCUUUCUUAAAUUUAAAUUGAAUUGUCUUAUAUCAAUUUGUUUGUGAUUUUUUCAUUAACUUCACUUUCAUUUGGUUAUCUUUGGUUUUUGAAAAGUAUUAAGGAAUUAAUUAACAAAAUAAUGUUAAGAAAAAUAAUUUUCUCUCUUUUGAUUUUGAUUUUGUAGUAGAAAAAUAUAAUUAAAAUUAUUUAAAAAGUAUGUAAUUUUAAAUUAUUUAAUAUUUAGAUAAAAAAAAUAAGUCUAAUGAGUUUAAAAUAACAUAUAAAAAUAAUUUAUUUAUUUUAAAUUUAUUUUUUAUUUUCCAUUAUGUUCUCUUUCUCUUUUACUUUUUCAUAUUUUUUCUUACGAAGAAUCAAACACAACCUCAUAUUAUAUGUCAAGUGUUUGUCUAUAUUUGAGCAAUGUUAGAUACGGCCAUGGAUUCAUCAAACUAAACUGAUUUUAAUAGAUACUUCACAAAUUGAUUUAUACACUAAAUCAUUGGAUAGCAAUGAUGCAUUGGAAUUAAACGUAGGAUGAAGCUCGAAGAACACUGUUUGUGUAACAACAUAUUUAUGAAAUUAUGCAAAGGAUGAGCUUCGGGGUAGUAGUACAAGGUCAUUAAUGGAGAGCCGUGUUAAACCUUGAUUGUGAUUGGAUUCCGUUAUCAGCAACAGCAACCUUGUUUGUAACCUUGAAAGUCAUUCUGUCCACAUCGAAACUCCAAUUUGACGUUUGUAAUUACCAUUCCUGGAGUGUUCCUUGAUUGAAAUUUAAAUAAUAAUUGCGGCCCACAAGGAAUAUUUUCGAUUCUGUGGGAAUUUGACAAGGUUUGUUAGAGAAGACUGGUGACAUGUUGACUUCAAUGGUUCAAAUAGGAGACGUAUGUGGAUUUGGGGGGUUUAAUUGAAACUGAGUCCCUAUGGCUUUUUAAUAUUUGCAUUGAGCAGUCUCCAUGUGACUUCCUAAUUCCCACCAACCCUCCUGUCCAUGCUGUGAAACUAAAUUGUAAUUUAUCAGCCUUUGUCAAUGGUUUCUAAAUUAAAGAUAUAGACCAUGCAUGUACUUUAAUAAAAGCAAAUCUAAAGUGUAGAUAGCAGCAAUGGUGACACCCAAUAUUCUCCAUAAAAUAGAAUUAGAAUAAGCAGUGUUACAUUGUUCAUGAUCACCUACAAGCAUACAAGAACUUCCAUGAAUAACUCAUAGCAAUUGCCAACAGGGCGUCGUAGAGACUCAUACAUAGAACACUAUCCACCCAGAGGAAAGGACAAGACCAGUGCGCUGCAGCUCUUAUUUUUCACAUGUAUACCACCACUCGUAAUAACCAAAUUCACUCAGUUGGGAUAGGUGGGAGAUGGUGGUUUGUGGGGUGGCUUGUGGGGAGGAGUUGGAGGAGGCUUUAUUUUCUGAGGCGGCUUGUAUGAGUGUGCAGGAGGAUGCCCGGGAGUGUGACCAUAAUGUGGUGGCUUCUCUCCCGUAGGUGGUUUGCCAAAUGGGCUUGGUGGCUUCUCUCCCUUAGGAGGUUUACCAAUUGGGGUUGGUGGCUUGUGUUCUGGGAGUGGUUUCUCUCCCUUGGUAGGUUUGCCAAUUGGGGUUGGCGGCUUAUGUUCUGGGAGUGGCUUCUCUCCCUUGGGAGGUUUGCUAAUUGGGGUUGGCGGCUUAUGUUCUGGGGGCGGCUUCUCUCCCUUGGGAGGUUUGCCAAUUGGAGUUGGCGGCUUAUGUUCUGGGAGUGGCUUUUCUCCCUUGGGAGGCUUGCCAAUUGGGGUUGGCGGCUUAUGUUCUGGGGGUGGCUUCUCUCCUUUAGGAGGUUUGCCAAUUGGAGUCGGCGGCUUAUGUUCUGGAAGUGGCUUUUUUCCCUUGGGAGGUUUGCCAAUUGGGGUUGGCGGCUUAUGUUCUGGGGGUGGCUUCUCUCCCUUGGGAGGUUUGCCAAUUGGAGUCGGCGGCUUAUGUUCUGGGAGUGGCUUCUCUCCCUUGGGAGGUUUUGUUGGUGGCUUGUGUUCUGGAGAUGGCUUCUCCCCUGGAGGCUUGUGCUCCGGAGGUGGCUUCUGAAAUGGCGGGGGCUUGGGGUAAUGAGCAAGAGAUGGAGUACUG
RNAcentral lists this long non-coding RNA (214950 nucleotides) under Vitis vinifera (wine grape). RNAcentral describes it as "long non-coding RNA (VVIN_LNC001392)". Lineage: Eukaryota; Viridiplantae; Streptophyta; Magnoliopsida; Vitales; Vitaceae. The record is from RNAcentral.